RNAcentral lists this long non-coding RNA (221919 nucleotides) under Vitis vinifera (wine grape). RNAcentral's name for it is "long non-coding RNA (VVIN_LNC006931)". The record is from RNAcentral. Lineage: Eukaryota; Viridiplantae; Streptophyta; Magnoliopsida; Vitales; Vitaceae.
GCUGCGGAUGCCAUAUUUCACUUCUCAACACAUCGUCCCAUUCCCUUUUUUCGUCCUUAGAAUACAAGAGACAGCCGAGUGCUUUCACAGCCAAAGGCAAUCCUUGGCACUUGUCCACAAUCUGUCUGCCUAUGCGUUGAAGCUCAAGGUAUGCGUUGGGGUCUCUAUCUUCAAAUGCAUGCUUUUUAAACAGGGACCAACUAUCUUCAGAGCUUAAUUCCCCAAGAUGAUGAGUAGGGACUGCUCGCAUGGUUGUUGCAACAGAUUGAUCACGACUGGUCACGACAAUCUUGCUUCCCUCUGCUGCGAGGAGUGGAGUUCGUAGAAUAUUCCAAACUUCACGAUCACUAAGCUCCAUAUAACCUUCAUCACGAGGCUUCAAAUUCCAGACGUCAUCAAGAACAAGCAGAAAUUUCUUGUUACGAAGUUGCUCUGUGAGUUGAAGCUGAAGCAAAUUUAGGUUGUCAGCGGAAGUAGGUGGAGAACCAAUUUCCUCAAGAAUUGUUUUGGUGAGUUUGAUAAGGAAAAACUCAGUGGAAACACAGACCCAUGCUUGCAAGUCGAAGUGUUUCUUCACUUCCUCAUUUUUAUAGAGACGCCGAGCAAGCGUGGUCUUGCCGCUGCCGCCCAUGCCCACUAUGGACAUCACCCCCAUUUUGUCGCCUGUUGUAUUGUCAGAACGCAACCACUCCACCAUCUCCUUCUGAAUUCCAUCCCUGCCGACAAAAAUGGAGUCAUGCUCCAAAGAAGUGGUUAUUGGUGAUCUUGGUCUUGGUGACCGUUUCUCGCCCCCACCUUCUGCCAGCCCCAACCCAACUUUUUCUAGUGCGAUUUUUUCCAGUUGAACAAUCAUGCCCCUGACCCUGGACUCCAUGCUUUUGAUAGCAAAUGGGGCCUUCACAGAAGCAGAGAACUUCUUCCAUUUCCACGCCUUAAGAGUUCCGUCGGUAACGAUCUCGUCCAGCAGGUCUUCCGCACCAUACACAGCAUCCUUGACAGGGACGAGCCACUCUUUGACAUUUGGGUUCGAAAAUUGCUUCACCUCCGCAUCAUCGAGCACAUUGUGAACAACCACGAGUUUCCUCUUCAACUCGUUGAGGAGUUCAUCGCUAAGGCUCCGUCGCCGAAUGAAGUUUAUGAGCUCUGGAGAAGCCAACCUUUCGAAUAGAACUUGAAGCGAAGUUGAGAGGAGGGCGUCCGCCAUAUCUGUGUCGACUGUUGCUUUGCAAUAGGAAUUCAGAGGAUUGGUUUCUGUUACCGCGAUACCACCAAACUGCAAAAGACUGGGUUUGGAUUACCACACUGCAGAAUGCUUGAAGGAAUCAUUAUUGGUGGUGGACCCAGCUGCCAGAUAUUGGUGGUGGACCCAGCUACACUGCAGAAUGCUUGAAGUUAUUGGUGGUGACCCAGCUGCCAAUAUUUGUCAAACACCAUAGUGGUGAGAAAAAGAACAGGAAAAGCGAGUGGGAGGUAGAUGCGCUUUCCCCAAGGAAAGCAGAAUCAACAACAGCAUUCGGUAUUUUUCUUUUUCAUCUACGCAUUUCUUCUUUCUUUCUUCUAGUAUUAUUAUUAGUAGACAUAUACACACAAAUAUUUGUUUAUAACAUUUUCAUUCUUAAUAUUAUAAAAUUUAUUAUUAAUAAUAUUUAUACUAAUAUUAUUUUUUAAUAAUUAUAUUAGUAUCAGGAUUUUAUAAUUAGUAUCCUUACUUUUAUUGCUUAUAAUAAUAAUUAUUAUUAUUAUAUUAUGUUAUUAUUAAAAUUUAUUAGUAUUUUCACAUAAACAAUGAUAUAUGCAUAAGACAUAUUAAAAUUUUGAAUAUUAUGGUUAUUAUUAUUUAAUAAUAAUAUUAUUAUUUGAUUCAAAAAAAGUUUAUAAUAUAAUAAUAACAAAAAUAAUUUUUUUAAUAAAAUAAAUUAUAAAAAUAUAAUAAUUUUAUUAUUUAUAAAAUACAUUUAUUUUAAUGCAAUUAAAAAAAUUAAAAUAAUUUUAAAAAAUUUAAAAAUUUUCAAAAAAAAGUUAAAUGGGACGGGAUUAGGAUGGGAUCGAUCCAUCCCAAUGUCGUCCCGUUGUCAUCCCUAACUCAUCUUGUGAUAAUUAAGGCCAUUUUUUAUCAUUGUUUUUUUAAAAUGGUCUUUUAUCCUUAAUAUAUAUAUAUAUAAUAAUUAGAAAUAAAACAUAAUUUUUGUUUUUAAAAAUAAAAAAUAAGGCAUUUUUAGAUCAUAUCCUUUUAGUUACUUUUAUUUGUUUUUAAAAAGUAAUUAUAUAAAUAUAAAAAAUAAAAUAAUUUAAAUAAAAUUUAUUUUUAAAAUAUAGAAAAUUAGUUAAUAACACUUUAUCUUCUCAAGCUCUUGUUUUAUAAAAUAUCAUAAAAUAAUUUUCAAAAACUUUUUUUUUUCACAAUUUUGACAAACAAAACGUGUUGCAAUAAUGCACUUAAAUUCAAUGAACCUAAAAGCCAAAUGUGCAGUGUUGACUUUUCAACAGAGAGUUCACACAUGCCCAUUUUUUUAAUUAAAGCACUAUUGAUAUAAAAUAUAUAUUUAAAUAAAAAUUAGACUUUUAAAAAAAUUAAAAUAUAUUUUUAAAAUUAAAAUAUAUUUUUAAAAUGUUAAAAAAAUAUUUACAAUAUUUCCUUAAAAAAAACAUCUUCCAAAAACAUUUCUUUAAAAAAUACUUCCACCGAUAACAAUUUAGACACACUUGUGAUUUAAUAGUUAAAUAUUCUUUCCAACAGGAAUUCAACUAUCAGUUUGUAUUACCACGAUACCACCAAACUGCAAAAGACUAAUUUUGGAUUACCAAAAUGCAGAAGAGCUGAAGGAAUCAUUGAUGGUGGACGACCCAGAUGUCCACAUUAUUUGUCAGACACCAUAAUUGAGUGAUGAGGAAAUGAAAGAAAAGAAAAUAAAAAACAAAAAAGGUGAUGCCAAACAUGGUCUUAUAAGGUGGGUGGAGCGAAAGCAACAAAGGAAACUAGCAGGAUUUUUCAUUGCUAUUCCAUACCUUAAAGGACAAAUUUUGAAUUACCAAAAUACAAAAGACUUGAAGGAAUCAUUGAUGGUGGUGGACCAGAUGUCCACAUUAUUUGCCAAACACCAUAAUUGAGUGAUGACAAAACAAAAGAAAAAGCAAAAAAGGUGAUGCCAACAUGGUCUUGUAAGGUGGGUGGAGCAAAAGCAACAAAACAAACUAGUAGGAUUUUUUUAUUGCUAUUCCAUAUCUCAAAUGACUAAUUUUGAAUUACCAAAAUAUAGAAGACAUGAAGGAAUCAUUGAUGGUGGUGGACCAAGAUGUUCACAUUAUUUGCCAAACACCAUAAUUGAGUGAUGAGAAAAUGAAAAACAAAAAAGGUGAUGACAAACAUGGUCUUGUAAGGUGGGUGGAGCGAAAGCAACAAAGUAAACUAGCAAGACUUUUCGUUGCUAUUCCAUACUUCAAAGGAUUGAUUUUGAAUCAUCAAAAUACAGAAUACUUGAUGGAAUCAUUGAUGGUGGUGGACCCCGAUGUCCAUAUUAUUUGCCAAACACCAUAAUUGAGUGAUGAGAAAAUGAAAAAAAAAAAAAAGUUAAGAAAAAACAAAGAAGUGAUGCCAAACAUGGUGUCGUGAGGUGGGUGGAGCAAAAACAACAAAACAAACUAGUAGGAUUUUUUGUUGUUAUUCCAUACUGAGAAAAUAAAGGGCUAUUCUAAAUAGAUAAAAACACCCAAGAGAGGAGGUGAAUAGAAGUUAAAAAAUUUCUUUUUAAACACAAUAAAAUUAAGCAUAAGAAGUACAAAUAUAAAGAAGUAAGGUUAUAGAAAGUAAACUCAAAUUUAUAGUGGUUCGACACUUCCUUACUUACAUCCACUCUCCUCAAGCUCCUAAUCGAGUGAGGGUUCCACUUAUACUUGAAGUUUCAACCAAACUUCUAAUCACUUUUUACACUUGGAUUCCAUCUCCAAUGGACUCUUACACAAUCUUUUCAAGUCUUUACUCACUUGAAGGUUUUAACACUCAAUUAACAAGUUUGAAUCUCUCAACCUAGCUCAACAAUGACUCAAAUACAACUCAAGGCUAGGAUGAAUCACUAAGGUGCACUAAAGAAUAUGCAAAUGAAAAUUUAAUGCACUAAUAAAAUAAUGAGAGCUUUUAUGGCAAUAAUAAGUAGGUAAACAAAUAAAUGCAAGUGUUCUCUUACUCAUAAAUGAGGUAGAGCUCUCAAUUUAUAGGUUUCUAACCUCAGGAGCUAAAAAGCCAAAAAACAGUCUCAACUGGUUGAACUGGGGGUUGACUGGUUCAUUAGCCGUUGGAACAUUAAAUGCUUGGCAGGUGACCGUUACCCUCGACCAAACCUUAACUGAGAAGGCAAAUCCAUCAACCAGGAAAGAAAGGCUACUAGAAGAGAGAGAAUGUUUUUCACAUCUCUCAACCGGACCUUGACAUAGAAAGAGUAAUCGGUAGACCGAUACCUUAGCUGAUUGAGCCGAUUGGCCAGUGCCUCGACUAGUUCACCAUUUUUAGUCUGAAAACCUAUCUUUUUCUGGUCUUUUUGCUUCUAGCACUUAGGUAAGGACUUUAGAUAAAAUAAUAUGUCAAUUUUGAAAUGUUUUGCCUAAGGUUCAUUUGAUAGAACUCGGAUUUUGAUGGAAAUGUAACUUUAAUGCAUAAACCGAGUUUUAAAGAUGUAUGAAAUGAUAUGAAUACCCUAAGUACACUCAUGCAUUCAUCUUACGUAUGUUUCCUAUGAUUAAAAGGUCGUUCAAAAGUCUUGAUCUUGCAUUCAUUAGGUCCUUUAAUGAAUUUCCAAAUUAACACCUGAAAUUCUUUAUAAUUCAAAUCAAUUAGUAACUUAACCAUGAUUUGUUAUAAUCAAAACAUGAUUAGGAGAAUCAUUGGGCUAACACAUACCUCAAAGGACUAAUUUUGAAUUACCAAAAUAUAGAAGACUUGAAGGAAUCACUAAUCUUUUUAUAAUUUAGAAAAAUAAGUAAAACGAGUUUGAAGAAAUGUAUAAAAAUAAUUUAUUAAAUUUAAAUUUAUUUCUUAUUUUCCUUCAUUUUUUCUUUUUUUCUACUUUUUCUUUCUAUUUUCUUUCCUUCUCGUUUUCCCUCAAAUUUUCCAAGAGCCAAAUAUAGCUUAAAGGUUUAGAAUCUUAUGCACAAGACUUUCAAUUUUUUUUACAAUAUUAUUUUAUUAGUUAAGAAUUAAAAUUUAAUGUACCAUAUCUAACACUAACAAAAAAAUUUAUAACAACCAAUCUUAUCUUUUAAGAAUAUAUUGUUUAAAUGAGAUUAAAAAUUAAAAAUAAAUUUUAAUUCAUUUAACAACUAAAUUAAAAUGAAAUUUAUAUAUAUAUAUCAUAAAUUUAUACAAUUUUGAAUCAUUUUAUAUGGAGGAUUGAGAAUGGAGAGAUUGAAGAAUUGUUUGGUGACGAGGAGAUUGAUCGAAGAUUUUAUAGUCUUAAGGUUCUAUGGGAUGAAAUUUUUUGUAAAGAGUUUAAAUUUUUGUAAAAAAUAAAAUUAGUUUUAUGUUAUUUGAUUUCAUGGAAAUACAAAGUUUUAAUUCAAAGAUUAUGUUUUAAAAAUAUUAUUUUUAAAAUAUAUUUAGUAAAGAUUUAUAAAAAUUUAAAAUUAAAAUUAGUUAAUCUAUCAACUAAAUUAAAAUAAGAUUUAUAUAUUAUUUUUAUAGAUUUACAUGUGUAAAAUCUUUAAAAUGCCUCAACUUAAAAUAUCCUUACAAAAUUUCAUUAAUCUACUAGCAAUCUGCAUAUUGUCUCUACAUAGAGUCAAUUUGCAUUAGGAUGAAUACCAUCAUAAUAAUAAUUACGCUCCACAUAUGAUGUAUCUUAACAUCCACUUGGAGGUUAAAAAAUAAUUAAAGUAAGGGAAACUAAUAUAUUUAAAAUUUAAAAAUCAUUAUGAAGAUUUGGACAAUAAUUCAAGUAGGCAUCUUUGAAAUUUGGCUUCCAAAUCCCUUUGUCAAUAUACACCACCCUAUGACAAUUAAAUAAAUUAAAAGAAGGAAAAAAAAUGUUAAAGGAAUGACAAAACAUAGGGAACAAUUAUAUUUAAGGAGUGGAUGGAGUUGAUAAUGACUAAAGGGUACAAAUCUUGCAUAAUUGAACUAAAAAGGUAGAAAAGGUUUGUAGAUUGUUGUGGAAGAUAUAAACCCACUUUGUGAGUCAAAAAUGCUCAAAAUACCCUUAAGGGUGUUUUUUAAAAAAGGACAAUUAAGUACUCAUGAUAAUUAAUAUAUUAAGAUUUCAAGAAAAAUUAAUAAUAAAUAAAAUCUUUUUCUAAAUCUAUUUAACAAUCAUAUAGUUUUUAUUUUAUUUUAUUUUUUCAAGUGGCAACUAUUAUCUUAAUUUAUUUUUCAUUUUAAGGUUCAAUUAUUAUUAUUCUUUAUUUUGAAAUUUAAUUAAAUGAAACUGUAUAAGACAUGUUUAUAUUAAUUAGCUAAAAAGGAUAGAUUUUUUAGCAAUAUGAUUAAAAUAAAUAAAAACAAGGAAUUUGAUUUUCUUUAUAAAAUAGAUUAGGAAAAGUAUAUUUCGAUACAUUCGUAUGAAAAAAAAAUUCAUAAAAUAGGAACUCAAGUUUAUAAAAUACAAAUUUUAAGCAUUCAUCUAAAAAUAAUUAUCAUUUCAUGCAUUUUUUUUGUCAAAUAUAUUAUAUUUGAUAAUUUAGGUAUUAUAUUUUAAUAAUAUAAGUAGUACCUUUGACCCCCAUAAAACUUGAAUUAUUUUAAAUAGUUUCUAUUAUAUAAUUAUUUAACCAUUUGAUAUAAAUAUUAAAUAAUAAAAAAUAUAUCAUUUUUUAAAGAAUUUUAAUUAUAUUUGACUUUCUUUUGUAUUUUCUAUGGUGUAAUUCACAUAUGAGAAAAUCAUUUUCUUUAACAUUUUUUUUUCUUUCCUUAAUAAUUUUCGAGAACCAAACAAGGCUUGUAGGUUUGAAUUAUAGGGUAUAGAUGCCAAAAAUACCAGAAUGAGUUUGGGUUUUCAUGCUAAAUGUCUUUAUUAUUAUUUGGUAGCACUUUUCCAAAAUUGUUCCAUUCCCAAAACCACUUAAUUUGCUUAAAUAUUUUUACCUCACGAUAUCAUAACAUUAUAAUGGAAUAGAUUUUGUUGGUGUUCAAAUCAUGUCAACUCAAUUUCCAAACCAUUCGGAUUGUCAUUUGGUGAAAAAUAGAAAGAAAUUUUACUUUAUUGAAAAGCAUUUCAUUUUGAUUUGAAUAUGCUGCAAUGAAAUAGUUACUAAACCAUGGGGUAGCAGAAGAAGUAAUCGAGAAAAUGAAGAAGGAUGUUCAAGAAUUCUUUAUGCUGCCAUUGGAGAAGUUUUCAAGAUUUCUCCUGAGUAGAAAACUUAAUGGUAAGAGUACAAUAAGUCAUAUGAAAUUGGAGAACUGAAAGAGCAUAAGAACCAUGUUUUAUUAAAAGACCUGUGAAAGUUUAAUCAGUCAUGGAACUACUAAGAGGGGAUGAAUUAACAGUUUUCUUAAAUUUUGUCCAAAGUUAUGAAUUUUUAUUUUUUAUAAUUUUUUUUUACUUAAAUUGAAACUUAUUAAUCAAGGUAAGAUUUCAGCCACAUCGAGAAACAAUUUACGUGAAAAGGGACUGAUAAAAUCUUGAGUUUACAGAUGUAAAAACCAUAAGGCCAAAGACUGUAGAACUCCAACCCACUGAAUCAAGAAUAGAAACACAAAUUUAUCUACCAACCUACACUAAUCUCAUAUCUACAAUGCAACACCAUCGUACUCUUAAGUGACUUGAAAGGAUGUGAAUAUUUCUCACAAACUUCAUAAUGAAAUUCAAAUUAGCUCUGAGAGUUUUGGGUUAGGCACAAAGAGUAAUAAUGCAUAGCUUUUGUGUGUGAGUUUUUAAGUGAACUUAAGACUCAAUUUAAAGCAUGUAUUUUACUAAAAAUAAAAAAAUAAAUUUAAGAAACUUCAAGAAUUUUGGAAAGAUAAAUUUUAAAAAAAAUUCAAAGAGAGUCAGAAAAUGUUUCCUUUUUAAAUUCUCAAUUUAAUUUAUUUUCAAAUUUAUUAAGAGUUUAAGAAAUAUUUUCUUUUUAAAUUAUCAAUUUAAAACUCUCUUUUAAAUUAAUUUUAUUAUUAAUUUUCAUGCAAGUCUACUCUAUACAUUUUACAUCGUUAUUCUCAAUUAACUCAACAAUAUUAGAGUGUAACAUCCCCAAUUGAUUUUGCACCAACCUUAAGUCUUCAAAGACAAUGAUUGAGGCAUUUCUUCUCCUAUUUUCUCCGAUGUAGAAAAAAAACUUGAAUAAGGUUAAAGCUGGUCUAUAGCAAAAAGUCUUAAUUUGAGUUAGCCUCUUUUUUUUUUUCCAAAUGAUAUGCAGGUCCAUCUAGCCUUCAACUCAAAUUUUUUAUUCAAAAAUCACAUGUGGAUAUGUGAACAAGUAAAAGUUGAGUUUUACCUAACAAAUCAUUUUGAAAAUUAGGAAAUUUAAAAGGUAUUAGUUUGUUAAACUCACCACCCCUGUCUAUUCUACAAAACAAGAAGAUUAGCAAAGAAAAAGUAUUCAUAUUUGUACUACAAAAUAAAAAGAUUAGCAAAGAGAGAAAUUGUACCCAUGAGUGCAGAGUUUUGGGUUAAAACAACCCUUUUGAUGGGAAAAAUAUUAAAUUUAACCACUUUGUCAAACUAAUGUGUAAAAUGAUCCUUUUAUUAUCACAUAGGAGUCAUAUCACUAAUAUAUAUAUAUAUAUAUAUAUAUAUAUUUAAUUUAAGUUGAAGCCUCAAUUGCCAAUUAAGGCUUCAAUUAUCAAUUAUGACUUUAUUUUUAACCCGAAACCUUACUUGCCAAUUGAGGUUUCAACUAAAAAAAGAAACCUCAAUCGUCAACUAAGACUUAAUUUUUUAAUUGAAGCCUCAAUUGACAAUUGCGGUUUUAUUUUAAAACUGAAAUCUCAAUUGUCAAUUGAGGCUUUACUUUUGUGGAAGGAUUAUGUGACACUCACGUUACUAGAAAAAAGCCAUACUGAAUAUAAGUUUCAAAAGUGGCUUAAAAGGUAUAAAUUUUAUGAUCAAAGAUGCCAUUUUGACCCAAAAUCCCAUGGGUGCAUGAGACUCUAGUUAAUCAUAGAUUUCAUAGAUAAAAAUCAGAGUUAGGAUGAUUCAACCCCUAAGCGUCAAGAAUUCUUUAACAUAAUGUUAGAACAUUUUCCAAUUUAAAUUCGAGAGUUGACUUUAUUUGAAUGUGCUUUUGAUUUUUUUUUUUAAAUAAGCUUCAGUGUUUUUUUUAAAAAGAAAUAAAAAUAAAUAAAAAUAGGAGCUUCUAUAUAGAAAGUAAAAAUUUUAUCCAACAAAUAUAAGGCUCACCUUAUAUCCUUAUAAAAUAAAAAAUUUUAAAUUUUUUAAUACCUCAAAAUUUUUAAUCAAUAUUUAAAUAUCAUUAUAUUUUCAAUAUGAUUCCUUUAAAAGUUAAAAUUACUUAUAUUUUUUAUUUUCAAAAAAAAAAUAUAUAUAUAUAAGUAAUUUUAUGUUUUUUAAUUAUUAAGAUGGAUGAAAUAAUCCCAAAUUUGCAAAAAUAACUUCUUCUAUGUUUGAAUUUGAAAAAUAACUCAUUUCCAACAUAAAUACUCUUCAAUAUUUGGAUUAUUUUAAUAUAAAUUUUAGAAGAAAGUGUUAUUUUGACAGGAAAACAUGAAAGACAUUUUUGUUAAAAAUUGAUCUUUUUUUAAGGCUAAAAUAUAUAUAGGUUUAUAUUUACAAAUUUGAGACUAUUUCGUCCUCUUAAUCAAAUAACUUAAAAAAGAAAAGAGUUAAUUCCACAAGUGGGUUUAAAAUACUCACAAAAUUGCAAUAUAUAUAUAUAUAUAUAUAUAUAUAUAUAUAUAUAUAUAUAUAUAUAUAUAUAUAUAUAUGAAAUUACAAAUUUACCCUCGUGUGUUGAGCACAUGACACUUCCAUUCAUUAAAGCUAACAUUGUUAAAUAACAAAUGUACAUUGCAACUAUUUAAGAAGUAUGAAGGGCACAUUGCUUGAUUUUAGUACAUGGUGAGAAACUUGUUGAACAAGUUAUGUGUAAAGUUUUAUGGUUCAUGUAUGAUAGAAAAUACAGAUCUACUACAACACUGGAUUUGCAAUUUGGGUUAAUAUUUAAAGAAAAGACCAUAGGACAAAAAGAAUUAAACUUUUGGUGGAAAACAAUAAAGAAAGGACUACAUGGAAAAAGGGAAGAGAUCAUUAUAAAGGAAGAUUAUUGAAUAGAAAUAAUUCCAAGAACCUAAGGCAAGACAUAGAGUAUCACUACUACUAUCACAAAAAGGGGUAUAUCAUAAAAUUUAUGAAAUUUUGAAAAAGACCUAAAAAAUGAAGAAAAAAAAAAACAAAUCAAAGAAGCCUACAAGUGUAACUAGUGUUCUUAAAGUUGCGAAAUGAAGGUAAUAAAUCAAAAGUAGAUUUGUUAAUAGUUUUUAAAAUGCUUGAAUUAGGAAUUGUCUACUUGUACCAUACAAGCCCUUGUAGAGACUGGUUUGACAUGUAAAUUGUUUGUAAAAUCAUUUUAAUGGGCAAUAAUGCACCAAGUUGCUCCACGAGAAGGGGAGGGGUUUGUGAAACCAUCACUUGUCAUGACAUACAUCGUCGGGUAAUCACGGAUGAGGGCAUCCACGGGAGGCCAAUGUCUACCCUCGCUCCACACCCCUCUAGUACAAGGCUCUAGGAGGGAGAGAGGCAACAAGUGUGUGACACCAAGGUAAAUAUGCUUGACCUUAUGGCUUUGGGAGCAACUUGCAUUGAAAGACUUGAUGAUUCACAAGAUUCUACAAUUCAUACAAAGUAUUGCAUUUUGCGACGUUCUUCAUCAAUAAGAGAGCCUAGAUAUCCAUUGUCAAGAAUUCUUUAUGUAUGAAAACAAAGGCGCCUAACCGACAUGCCCAAGAUCAAGGCAACUGGAGCGUGUUGCUUCGCCCAAGUUACUUAGCGCGUUUUGUGCCAAAGUUUGUUGUUCGCUCAAGAGGGCUUUUGUGAAUCUUUGUAAUAAAGGGAUAAUACAGAGUGGGCCGUAAUUUAGCAUCUUACACGCUUAGUUUCUUCCAUUGGUGGCAUAUAUUAUUUUGUCUGUCAUUGGUGAUUAUUUAAUAAAACUAUGAGAGUAUUUCAUGAAAUAUAAAUAAGAGGUUUUUAGGAUAUUUAAUCGAUGGUAAACAAAAGUUGAAAACUAAGUAGGGAGGAAGAUAAAAUAUUUUAGAUUUGAUAGUGGACUUGAGCAUUAGAACAAGAAGUUCACAAAGUAUUGCGAGAAUUCUUAUAUUACUUAACAUCACAUGUAAAGAAAUUACAAAGCAAAAUGGAGUGGUUGAAAAGAUGAAUAGAACACCAUUGGAAUGACUAGGUGGCUAAGAUUAACCAUUGGGUUACUUAAGAAUUUAAGGGCUAAAGCUAUCAACAUAACUUAUCAUGUAAUUACUUAGUUGUCAAGUUUUACAAUUAUUUUCAAUAUUCCAAAAGAAGUGUCAAGUAAAUCAAUUGACUUUUCAUCUAUUGAAAUAUUUGAUUGUUGCACUUAUAUUCAUAUAUAGGUGAAAAAAAAAUUCAAUCCAAAAUAAAAAAGGUAUAUAUUCCUUGGGUUUGAAAAAAGGAUUGAUUAAAGACUAUAGACUUUGGGAUCCAACAAUUAAAGAAAAAAAAGUGGUGAGCAGAGAUGAAUUCAAUGAAAAACAUAUGUUAAAGAAAGAUCAAGGACAAAUGAAAUUGGUAUUGAAAAAAAAUUCAACUACAUGACCAAUCAUCGAGAUGAAAUUUGAGAAAAAUGUCAUUAAAUAUGAAAUCCCUCCUAAUUGAUGUCCCUAUUAGAACUUUAUAUGGGCAUCUUUCUCUAUUGCUCUAAAGAAUCAUCGAAUUGGGUAAGGACAUCAAUUUUAAGAUUUUAAUUUUUUUUCAUUAUUUAUUGGAAUAGGAGAUCUUUAAAUUUUUUUGGGGCUCAAUUAGGAAGGAUGAUAGUUAUCAAUGUGUUGGUGCUAUGUCAAAUGAGAAUCCAAUGCACAUGUUGACUAAAGUUGUUCUUAAGGAUAAGUUCAAGCAUUGGUUGAAUGUCAUUAAUUUUUCAUUUUGUAGAACAUGGAAGGUCAAUUUUAUCGAAGAGCCAGGUCAAUCAACUUCUAUUAGGACUUCCAUUGAUUCUUGAUUUGACUAGAGGGACUCCUAGCAGUAAAUUUGUAUGAAGGGGCCCUACGGAGAUGCAAGAGCUGCCAAUCGGAUCGACCAAUAAAUGAUAGGCCCAUGCAGAGAUGUCCCUGAAAUAGGGGAUUGGUUGAUUGGAAAGCUUAGGCAGAGUAUAAAGGAGAACAAUUUAGCAUUUUGGGAAAAGCACAUAUGAAGAUGUUUACAAGUUUGGAAAUUUGAGUUAAAGAAGAGAUGGUCUAAAAAUGUUUCAAAUUUCAAUUUUAUGUUUUUCUAAGUUUGAUAUAUCCUAUUUGGAUAUUUGGGAAGUCUUCUCUUGUUACAUAAGGUAGUCCUAUGAUGAGAUUUGUUAUGAAAAUAGGUUCUUCCUCGUGUGAAAUAUUCCUAUGAAAUUAAGAAGGAAUAUAGGAAGAGUUUUUAUUGAAAUUAUGAAUCUUUUUUUUAUGUAAUUAGAACUAAAAUAUGAGAGUUUUAGAAUUGUAAUUACACCUUUGAAUAUAAAUAAUUGAUAAUAGUGAAUUAAUUUACCUUCUCCCUCUAGAUGUAGGUAAAUGCUAAAUUAUGUUAAAUCUUGUAUUCUCAUAUGAUUUUUUUUUUCAUUUAUUUUUCAUUUUCUUGCCCAUUUCUAACUUGCUACUACAUAAUAACAGGUGGUAUCAGGCUUUUUGUGUUUGCACAACAAAUGGUCUCAGUUUUUCCAGCACCACAAAAAUGAUAUUUUACUUAAUUGCUCCUCAGUGGAAAAGUUGGAAAGAAAAAUUAAAUCAUCGACUACACCUUUUUUUUUUUUUCCAAAACUUUUCUUGUCUUUGUGCAAGAAAAUUAGUAUAUUUUCUCUUUAGUAUUUGUUUCUCAUUUAUAUAUAUAUAUAUAUAUAUAUUCAAAUGGAACCUUAAUCAUCUUUUAUAUGAAGUAUAAAAGAAUUAGAAAAUAUUCAAAUUUUAAAUGAUUUUUAUUAUACUUUGUCCACUUCCUAUUUCAUAUAUCAAAUUACAAUAGAAUUUAAAAUUCUUUUAUAAGUUUUUUCUCCCUUUGCUACCACAUAAACGCAAAGACAGUAUGUGAGUUAAAUACCUUAAAAGAAAAAGAAAUUAAAAUGUGAUACAAAACAAAAGUAACCUCUUUAAAUUCAAGGAAACAAAACACUAAACUUUUUCAUGUAUUUUAUUCCAUUUAUAAAUGCAACAUGACAAAAAUAGACAAAAAUAUAAAUGGAAACCCUUUGGGUCCUUUAUUUUAUAUUUUAUCAACUUCAACCAAUUCUAUUUCUAUAGCACAACCGAUAUUAUAAAGUUCAAUGAGUAUAUAAUAUAUAAAGAUACUAAUCAAUACGAAUUAUUCUUUCUUUCAAAUGGCUACUUGUAUUAAAAAUUAAAUGUAAUUCCUCCUAAACAAUAAAAUAUGUUGACACGAUUUCAAUGAAUAUACAGUACAUAAAGAUAUGACCAAUUAGUACGAAUUAUUCUUUCUUUUAAAUAGCUACUUAUACUAAAAUAUAAGUAAACAUAAUUCCUCCUAGAUAAUAAAAUAUGUUGACACAAGGAGGAAUAUAUUUACUAAUUAUAUCAUUUGCAAUAGCCUCAAUCUCGUGACGUUCUUCGAACCAACCAUAGACUUUAUUGAGAUAGGUUAACCAAGGGAGCUUCCACUCUCAUAACUCGUAUAUGAAAAUUUCAUCUUGUACAACUCAAAUAGAAACCCAUAAAUACCAGUUGAAACCAAAAUGUAAUAAAUAAAUAAAAACAUAUUUCAAUGGAUCCAAUUAGUAUUUUUCUGAUCUCGGAUAAACAAACAAAUUUUUCUUCAUUUUGUUUUUUUUUCCAUUAAUCUUUGUAAGUAAAUUAUAUUUUAAUUUAACAAAGCACUAAACUUUACUUUAAUUUUCAUGCAGGAUCAACUAGCUUAUCAUAAUAAAAUUUAUCAAUAUAGCUGAGCAGAGAUUUGAUGUAAUAAUACCAUACAAAAUUCAAGUAAAAUUAAAUUAAUCAAAUAGGACACUACGGUCAUAUUUGGAUACAUAUUCUAUUUUUUAUUUUUAAAAUUAAAAUUUUGAUAUAAAAUAUGACAACCCUUUGUAUAAAAAAUAAAAAUUUAUCCUAUAAUCUUAAAACUACUUUUCAAUAUUAAAAAAAAAUGAGGACGUGUCCUAAAAUUUUAAACAAAUUUAAAAAUAUUUUUAAAUACCAAGAUAUCCACUUUUUUCUUUUUUAAUAAAAAUUCCUAUAUUUGAUAUAAAACUCUAUUUUAAAAAAUGAAAAAUAAAAAAUGUAUCCAAACAUAAGCAAAAUUGUUAGAUUUCAUUGUGAGAUUUCUUAGAUUCUACAAUUCAUAGUGAAAUGAAGACGAGAGAUAACUGACUGAAUUAUGAAAAAAAAAAUUAACAUUGAUGAGAUUCAAAAAUGCUAGUUAAUGAAAGAGUUUCUCCGCCAGGAUGACUAAGAAAAAUGCUGAAAAAUGUGUCAUGCCCAAAGCAAUGUUACAAUGAAGAAUAGAAUGAGAGCUAACCCGAAACAAAAUCCGACAAUCGCCAUGAAAGCCUGGAUGCAGAGGAAAUGUAACUAGAGACAUGUAAGGAAUCAUUAAGCAAGUGAGAACAAUAUCAAAAUCUCAUGUACGACUUACUUACCUUUCCCUGAGAUUCAAACUUGAAUUUUACUGUAAACCAUGACAAUCCUCUAUCUACAAUAGGUGCAAGUGCAAGGGCCCUGCAUGAGAAGCACCUCUACAAAAAUCACAGAAAACCCAAAGGAAAAAAAAAAAAAAAGAGUAAAUAAAUAGAAACUAGUCUAUCAGAAACCAGGAGGCUGCAACAAAUAAUCUCCAAAUGUCAGAUUUAAUAUUUAUUUACAAAUGCCACUAAAAGGCCUUUUCAUCAGAGAAAUCUAGAAUAAAAAAGGAUAAGGAGCCAUUUGGAUUACAGAGGUCAAAGAUUGGGUUGGAUGGGAGCAAGUUUAACCUCCUCAGUGAAAAUGAAAAUGCAAGGCCCAUCAUCAACGCUAGGUUCAAAAAUUGACACCAUUUCUUGAAGACUUUCUUUUUUCAUUCUUCAAUUGUCAUUUUGAUUCAAAGAAGCAGCAGCAUGAUAGACUAAACAAUCAUCAUAAACCCAGUUGCAAGUUAUAAGGAUAAGAAAGAAAAUGAACAGAAAACAUAUAUGAGAGAACUGAUAGGCCAAAAAAAUCAUUGUUGAAGGAAUCGAGCAUAAAUCUCUGAACAAAAUUUAGCUGAAAUUCACUGAUUUUGGGUUAUUUUGUGAUAAGAGCAUUGCAAUAUCCCAAUAAACUGUUACGCUAACUAAAGAUUUAAAACAGAAUUUAGCUGCUUACCCUCCAGCUCUGACAAGUUUAGUGACCUGGCUGCCUGCCCACACCAUAGCCAUGAUUUUGACAAAUCUGCCAAUUGGAUUCCAUGUCAAGAUAUUUUGAAAAACUUGUGCAAAAAGAAACUUUUUGGAAUAAGUUUUUACCUUUCAACUGCCGCCAAAUAACCCAUCCUUCCUGGUGCUGGAGCAAUAUAAAACCUAGAAGCAGCAUAGUGAAUUCAGAGUUAUACUGGUUAUUUGAAAUCUACUCUGAACACCUAUGAUAGAGACUGCAGGAUGUGGUAAAACACUAAGGCAUAUUUCAAACUACAUUAUAAGGUAUUUGAUUAGAAAAUUAAAUAAAUAAAUAAAUAAAUAAAAUAACAUAACAUAAAAUACAAAAAAGAAAAAAAAAAUUAACAAACUGAAUUUGUCCAUAUGCAACAAUAUGCAAUUGUUAGCCAUGAAUCCCAGUUAUGUCGGUUUCCAGUAUUAAUAAUUAAGCAUGAUGUUUAUGAACUAGACCAGCAUUCUAAUAACUCUAGAUUGAAGGGCAUGGAUGUCACAUUUGUAUUCCAUCAUGUGCAACUAACAUCACAUUGAAAUAAUAUCCACUAAAGCAAGUUAAGACCCAGUAUAUCAGAUUAAAUUUUUUCUACCAUGAACAUAAGCUUGAUAAAAAUGAAGAUGGAAAUGCAAUACUUCUUUAUAUGACAUAAUGAAGGGAACCAAAUACAAGGACUCCCCAUUCCAGAUGCAGAAAGCCAAGUUACAACCUUUGCCAAAUAAAGAGAUCCACCAUAAGUUCAUUUUUAGACAUGCUAUAGUUGAAUAUGCCAUCAGUAAGUGAUCAAAAGCCAAUUCAGAUGGGAAUAACAGCCACAAUGUUGGGAAGGUCAAUAACAAAAGCAUUGACUUGAAUGUUGGCAGUGUCAUUUACACUGGCCAUAAGAACCAGAGGUAAUGCAUACAGUUGGUAAGGUGGGGAGGAGGAGAUGAGAAAUUGAAAAGUCUUGAAUUUAUUUGUUUCAUGCAAUUCCGUUUUCCAAUACUCUAUACGAUAAUAUACAUUGUACAGCACAAGAAUAGGGUUGUUUUAAAAUUUUGAACAAAUAAAAAUUUCAUAUCAAUAUCUAAUAUUUAAUAAAAAAGAAUGAAACAAGAGUAAGUACAUUCUCUUCUCCUUAACAUGGUAUUAAAGCAGUCUCCAAACUCUUAACUCCUAGUUGCAUACUUGAUUUGCACUGGAAGUUGCAGUUUGCUCAUUUUGUUAUUCAAGUAAGUUACUUCAAUCUAUCAUAGUUUAAAUGACUUGGGACGGUAGUUGUCAUGGGCACGAAUUUUCCCACAAAUUUUUCGCAUUCACACAGCGCUUAGAAGCCCUCUAAGCCAACAUACUCAAACCCACAUGAGAUUGCAAUCAAGAAAAACCUCACAAAGACACACAAGGCUAUGGAGCUCAAUCCCUAACUUGUAUUUUAUUUCUUCUCUAAAUAACAAUACCAGACAUAGCUUAACAAGACUUCCACAAUCUCUUUGGUGAGUUCAUGCUCUCUCUCAAGCUAUGUAUAUUCUCUAUGAUCUCCAGAUUGCACGAUAAUUCAAAGGGCACUCCAGUCCUCCUUUUAUAGGUGUGACACCAACCACUCCCUAUUUGAUAAGGAGCAACGAAUCCUAGUUCUACUCAAACUACAAUUAAAAUAAGAAUCUAAACUCCUAUUCAAACUCAAAUUACAAUAACAAUUUGAAUUCAACUCUGAACUUUCAAAUGUCUUCGGCCCAUUCCUCUUUCAUUUGAAACUCCUUGUAUCAGGCCACAUAUCAGCCCUUCAAUUCCCUGGUUUGUGGUGCAAUAUAUCUUCCUUAAGCUUGUCCCAAUGCCAAGACAUCUUUGUUGUGUUCUGCCUGAAGUCUACCCACUCUUGUGCCUUGAGUCAGUCCAUUCAUGCAUUUGAAUCAGCUGAUGCAUCCGAUCAGCUUGCUAUAGCGUCUCUAGGCAGCCUACUACAUGUGUCUCUAUGCAACUAGUGUGCAUGCCAAGCCCUCUCUUAGCCUACAGAUCUAGCAAUUUUCCUUGGUGCCAAUCUUUCCUUUGGCUGUAGCCCCUUGUUGUUCCUUGAGCGUGUCAGUCAUGCUCAUAUGUGUUCCCGCAUCUGGAUCACGUCCAUGCUGAGGCAACCUGCCCAAGUUUGCUCUGCCUAGCUGUUGUUAUGGCAUCAUGCCAUGCCCAAGCCCUCUUCUUGGUGCAGCAACGAGUCAUGGCAUUGCACCCAUGACUCCUCAUCUCUAUGCACAAGGCAUUGUGCCCUUGUGCCACGCCACCUCAUUGCACAAGGCAUUUCCCCCUCAUGCUACCGUUGGGAAGGGAAGACUGCAUAGCACCCCAUGUCGUUGCAACCUUGAGUUGCACACCAUCACAUGUCAUGGAGCCCAUAUAUGGUUGCUAGCAAGGCUUGCCCAUGUGCCUUGCUCAUGUUUGAGGACUUGCACCAAAGCCCCUAAGUGUGGCCAUGCCCAUGCCACCUCGUCUCCCUUGAGUCACCCCCACCCUCACCCCCCUUAAAAGAGCAUUUUAAGCCCUUUUAAUUAAUUCAAGAAAAUCUAGAAAAUUUUGCUUCCACUUGGAGUCUCCCUUUUGAAGGUUCCUAUAAAUCUUUUAUCUCUAAGCGAAUUAACCAAGUCACUUAAUUGUUUUGCAACAUUCCUUCCCUUCCCAUAGUGUAUUUCAAGAUCUCUUAAUGAACAAGACAAUUGGUGGAGGGCAUGAAGUAAGUGGAAUUUAUCACCAUAUUGGCCCACCUUUUACUCCAAUUGCUCUACGUACUUCCAUUUCUUCUAUGUAGUGGCACACCUUUCACUACGCAUCUUUAGCAUAUGGGACUUCUAGUUAUAUUGGACUCCAAGUUAAAGCACCAAGUUUGUGAGUCAAGCAAAUAGCAUCACCAUAGUGUUGUUCUAGUCCUUUUUGUUCUAUAAUCAAUAAGAGGAGUACUAGUCCUUUUCAUCUUGUUCAUUUAGACAUUUACAGUUUAUGUAGUGUUGUUCCUAAUGUUGAACUAAACUUUUUUAUUGCUAUUUUAUUAAUUAGAUCAAUGAAAAUGGUAUGAGCAUAAAGAGGCUGAAUAAUAGGUACUAAUCUCUUAAAAAAAACUAUCUUGUAGAAACAUCAUCAGGUGACUAUGCACAAGUAAAUGGUCUGACAAGGCGUGAGAAAAACAUUCAUUUUUGUGCAACAACCAAGUAUUUGCAUCUUAAUCAACCAAAGAAUAAAUGGCUGAAGACAAUAAAUGACUGAACAAAAAGAAAAUCAUAAGUUUUAGGCCAGACACUUUUUUCAUCAAUUAUAUACAACAACAAUAAAUCAAAUAGUCCUAAAUUUCAAAAGAAUAAUGCUCAGCAGCUAUGCAUACUCACAAGUCACAAAUACCUCAUCCUUGACUAAUUUACAUGAAUGAAUUAUUUACUUACCAUACCAAGAGAAACGUUGUAAGAUAGUAUGCAGUAUUCAGGAGUCCAUAGGAUAAUAUUCCAGAAAUUCCAUAUCUCUUCAGUUUCUUUAGAAGACUGAAAGGUUAAGCAAGAAUGAGCUCUCAAUGUAAGUAGACAUGCAUUUCAGCAUACAAAGGGCAAAAGGAUUGAGGUAUCACUUCUUACAGAUUGUUUGCAUGAAAUUCAGUAGUAGAAGAGAAAUUAAAAUGAUUGGGACAAGAUCACUCAUCCAAACAAUAGUUUAUUUACAGAGAAAAGGUCUAAAGCAUAAUCAUGCAGUAGACAAAAUGAAUCUUUUGUGUCAUGUUCCAAUAAUGUUAACAAACUACAUUAAAUUCAUAAGGUUACAUAGAAAAAGAAAGAAAAGACAUUGUUGCAAUAGUUUGGUUGUUACACUGCUAGCACCCAGACUACGACCAAAUCCUUGCAUUGAAAUUGAAUUUCAAACUCCCAAUGUGAAAAAGGAAGAUACAAAAAAGAAAAGAAAAACAGGAGGAAAAAAAAAAAAACAGAGGGAAAGAAAAGAAACAUGGGAUUUCCAUGUAUAAUACAUACAUAUUAUAUCUAUAGAUAAAUGCAUGUAUGUGCAUAUGUCAUAGAGGCUGGUCAGACACAUUUCAAGAAGUUUCACAACUUGCUUUGGAAUGACAAACACGUGGAUCAAUAAAUGGCUUGUCUCCAUUAUUGAGAAAUUGCAGGUAAAUUUCAUCCACUACAGGCAUGGGGUGGCUGGACAAAGUUAUGCCAUUUGGUGGGAUGUAGUGGACUUAAGACAGAAAAUUCUCAAUCAUUCUUCUGUCCCUUGUGCAGUGUUGAAGCUGACAAUAUUAUUGAGCAUACAAGGAAUGUGAUGUAAAACAUCAUUGAGGACCAUGAGCUGCGAAGGCAGGGAGAAAUUAAGUUAUGAUUAAGUUUUGGUGAGGGAUUUUCAGAUGCAGAUCAUAUGGCAAAUUAACUUCAGAGAAUUGCAUGUUUUUAUUCAUUUCCAUACACAUUGAAUAAUCAUAUUUAAAAUCCCUCAUUCACUUGUUUCGCUUCCAUUAGUGCUCCUUCCACAUGCCUAUUAGCAGCAUAGACCUCAUGAUAGUUUGGUAAAGGUAAGACAAUAAAAUUGAAAAAUACAGCUAAAGCCUAAAAUAUUGGCUCAUAAAGAGAGAAACCAUCCAAGUUCUAUCUUAAAUGACUCUACAAGUUCUAAACAGGGAGACAAGGACUUCAACCUGGUCCAUCAAUGCAUAUAAAUGGGUAAUCAUUCCAACAACCAUUACGUUAGAAGUACACUAAAAGAAAAUUAUUAAACAAUGUUGUUUCCAAAAAUUCCAUGUUAAAGAAUAGAAGAACAUACUGCUAUAAAUGAAAUUCAUUCAAAACAGUUCAAACAGUAAAGUUAAGAAUUGUGACUGCAUAUUUUUUUUUAAAAGAAACAAGAAUUGUGACUGCAUAUCACCACACUUGUUUUAUUUAUAAUCCACACAAUGUAUUCUUCCCUAGCAUGUUAUCCCAUUAAGUAACCUCCAGAUAAAAUUCCCUUUCUGACUCUGUCAAUCAGCCAAAAAAUUUGAUGUAAAAUGUAAAAUACAUGGGUACACAAAAACAACUAUAUAAACUGCCAUCCCAUCAUUAAUAAAUCAUUUGUCUAUAACAUAGACUAAUAGCACUGUAAGGCAAGUAGGAAGUACUCUUUUGAUGUGUGCAGUUCUCCUUCACCAUUUUCGCCCUUUGCACUGGAGUCUAUAAAAAUAUGUAUAAGUAGAUUUUUAGAAAUAUCAAGUUUAUCAAAUGUAAAAUAUGGUAUCACAGAAAGCUACACCAUUUUUCUAGUUAUCAUUUGAAAGAUAUUGAUACCUUCAUGGUUGGCAGAGUAGUCAUGACCAUUUGACAUGCCAGAAGCCUAACCUACAACAAAGGCAAUGUUGAAAAAGCAAUAUUCAAAAUUCAAUGAAAAAAACAGAAGACAAACAAAUGAACAAAUAGCAAAUCAUCACACUCAAUUGUUUUCCAAAAAUGAAAAACCAAAUGAAAGGAACAAGGAAUAUAUUGAGAAAAAAACCUAUGAUCAAUGGAUAUGCAGUUGCAUUCUAGCACAUAUAUAGGAUCAAACAAGUAACUAAUCUAGACAUAGCUGCAGCAAAUUUGUGUAUCUCUGAAUGCGUGUCUGCUUUUUGUGGGGGGAUAUUUAUUAUGACAUGUUCUUAGUGCAGACAAACCAUCUGCAUUUACUUGAGGAUUAGGUAAACAUACUUUCCAUUUAAAAUGAGGCCUUGAACAUCAAGCCCCGGUGAGUUUUCAAAUAAGGAAAACAUAAUAGCUUUACAAUGAGUCCCAUAGCAAGAAGGCAUGCAAUUCCAUUCAUCAGCAUACCAGAAUAUAGAAUAGUGUGGACAUGUGGACACAUGCCAGAAUUAGCAUUGGACACACUAACAUGCCAGUCAUACAUAGAAAGACUUUCCAAAGAUAUUAAAGUAAAACACUGGUAGUAAGCAAAUUAGACCCAGAAAAACAUGCAAGUAUAGGCCAAGAUCAAAUCUUAAUUUUAAUUUCCAGAAAAAAAAUAAAAAAUUAUAUCAACCAAUAGAAAUGGUAUCAUCAGCAAUUAACACCAAAACACACCAACAUAUCGGAAUGCAUAUCACGUGUACCAAUCUCCAAUCAGCAUUACACCUGUACAAGUUAGCCUGUAGCAGGUCAUAAUAGGUUCAGACUAUAAAACCUUCCAAAUCUUCCUUUGCAGGGCUUAGAAACUAUUUUCUAAGUAAUUUGCAAUUUUAAAAGCCUGUGACAAAAUUUUGGAUGAAGAGCUUAAACUAUAUACUCACAAACCCACUCCAAAAUUUCCUUAAGGUAAUACACAUUUUUUGAAGUCCUUUCCAAUGUCUUCUCUUAUUUGAGUUAGAAAAGCCAAUGUUUUUAUGAAUUGACUACUACGGCUGUUGAGGUUUGAGGUGUAUAACUAAUUUCUUAAUAUAUCAUAAUUUACAUCAGUCAUUAGAAAUUAAGGUUCCAUCCUUUUACACUAAGAAAAUCCUGAGAGCAAUUAAAAAAUACCUUCUUUAAUAUUAUUAAAUUUAAGUUUCCUUUAGGUCUUUGAGUCUAAUAGAAAUUAGUAUAAAAGGAAUUUUAAUUUUCUUACACUAAGAAAAUAAAAAUAAUAGGCAAAAUAAUUUUCAAAUUUUGGAACUUUAUAGGUAAUGCUUAUUAAAAUAAAGCAACAAAGUUUGUCAUUUGCCAAUGAAUGAACCAAUUGUGGAAAACUAUGCAAAAAAUUUUAUUAGCAUGGAAUUUUUUUUUUCUGCCAAUAUAUAGAAUUCAAUUUCAAACCUGCCCCUCCCAACCCACCACUUGCUACUUGAGGCAAGCUUAGAGGCAGAAAACUAUUUACAAUUCUACGUAUGGAUAAAAAUUAUUUCUUAGAUUUUAUGCCAAUUCCAUAUUUAUAGGUAUCAAUUUAUUAUUCUACUGUUGUCAGAAGCUUCAAUUUUGGGCGUCCUCAUGGCUAUGCCACCCUUAAAUGAGAACAACUUUGGUCUUCUGUUUUUCUUUUUGAGCUCUUCAAAUUUUUGCAAGUUACUUCUAUCCAGGUUCUAGGAAACACCCAUUUUUUUAAAUCUCCAAUAAUUUAGGGUUCUGUGGCUGAGGGAAUAGACUUAUUUUUGGUUGAAGCACAUAAAAUUCUUGGCUAUUUUUUUAUUUUUUAUUUUGCCAUCAGGUCCUUUUAGGUUGAUUUUUCUACUUAUUUUUCACCCACCAAUUAACAUUGCCCUAACUCUGUUAUCUAUCCGAACAAAUGUUUAUGAACUAGCAAAUCAUACUAAAAUUUCUUACUAGUUGACAUGUGCAUCAUCUCAGCAUGUCAUUCCAACACCAAACUACAACCAUAAUCUCACUAACAUCCUAACUGCCUCAAUGAGUAUGGAUUACAGAAAUGCAAUUAAAAUAUACUUCCCUAUUUAAUUUCAUAAUUUUUAUAAUAAUAUUUCAGCAAUAUUUCCACAUAGUAGCUUAUGUGAGAAAUCCCCAUUUCCGUAUAAAAUCGAAAAACCCUAUAGCUUGCGCAUGUAAAUAGAAAAAAAAAAAAAAAAGACAGAUUUUGCAGAAUUGGGAGAGCAGACUCACACCAGCAUGGCCAUUGAUUGAGCAGAAACGCAGAUGACGAUGAUGGUGGUGGAAUUGGGAGAAAUUGUUGAGUUUGUGGAAUGUGGGAACCCUAGGAAUGCUGGGAUUGAAACCCUGGAUUGAAACAAGAGGAUUGUGAGAGAGAAUUGGAAAUUGAAGAAUCAAACACAAAAAAUAAAUCCAAGAAAUAAAAAAGAAGCGUAAAAAUGAAAUAGAGAAGAGUGUGUAUGACGCACCUGAUGAUGUGAAAGCAGCUUCAGCUGGUGAAGGCAAACUUUCGACGGGAGAGACAUGAGCAUACCGGCCUCCGACAACAAUCCCUCCAAAAUAUUCUUUCUAUACCAUUUAUUAUUAUUAUUAUUAUUAUUAUUAUUAUUUUCAGGUUAUUUGAAGUGCAAUGUCUAGCUAUACCAUUUAUUAUUAUUAUUAUUAUUUUAUUGCUAUUAUUAUUUUCAGGUUAUUGAAGUGUAAUGUCCACCAUACCUUAUAUGCCAUCCAUGAUGAAGGCCUUAGAACUCUCCAUGGAGCCUAAAUCUCGGGAUGCUAAUCACCCUAUAAUAACCAGCAUAGAGUAUAUUCAAAGUAUCAUUAAUGACAAAUUUCGAACUUAGGACCAUAUGUCAUUUACUGAGACCACACUUCUUAAUGUUCAUCCUUAGCGACACACUCAUAUGUACCAAAUCAUCCGAUAACCUGUUUUUCCUAUUUUCUCAUUUUUACAAAAAAAAAGAAAAAAUAAGAAUAACUUCUAUUUUUAAAAUUUUAAUUUUUUUUAUAAGUAAAUUUUUGUUCUCAUUAGGACCUGUGGAACCUCCCACAAGUCCUCCCGAAUCAUUUACCACUUGAGUCAUGCCUUAAUGGCUUGUUUUUUUAAAAAAUAAUAACAACUUUUAUAUAAAAAAAAAUACUUAUAAAAAAUAUAUACAUGUCAUUAAAAGUUUAAAGAAAUUUAAAUUUGAUAAUAAUUUUUUAAAUAAUUUAAUGUGUUAAUUGUUCUUAAAAACCGUAAAUAACCUAAAAAAGAACAGUAUGUUUGUAAAUUGACCAAAUUGUUAUAUGGUUUUAAAUAGUCACCUUAACAAUGUUACAAGUGAGUUGAUUAAUUUAUGGUAGAGAAGAAUUACAAUAGAAUUCAAUUAGUUAUCGCAUUUGAAGUCUUUGAUUAUUUGUUGAAUAAUAUUUGCAGCCAAUUAGCUAGGGUUGGCUAACCCAAGCCAAACCUAGUUACCAAUAUGUCCAACCUAUGCUAAACUCGAUUCAAAGUAAGGUUGGUAGUUACUAAACUCAUUAACAACUAAAGUUUCUAUGGAUUCCCACGAGUUUUCAUGGAUUAUCAAAUAAACCACAUAUAAUGGAAUCUCCUAAUAUAUAAAAGACAUAUUUCAAAUUAUAAAUUAAACCAUAUUAUAAAAUAAAAUUUUAAAAGCUAAGUAUAUAUCAAAGUCAUAAAUUAUAUUACUAUUCACUAAUUUUAAUGGUAACAUGAAACACAAGUGUGAAUAUUUAAAAAUAUUUUAGUAAUUAAACAAAAAUGAUAGACUUAUAGUGUAAUGUAAUAAAACUAGCAAAAGUUAUAGUUAUUUCAUUAUCCCUUUUAUAAAUUUCAUAUUUUAAAUAAACUAAUAAAUAAUAUAAUAGUAAUGAAUUUGCUUAGUCUUCAUCAUGUAGAACCAAUUUGAAGAAUUUUUUUUUAACAGGACUGAUUAAUGACUUAAUUAAGGGUAGGUUACAGCUAAAAUAUUUAGUAGGACUGAUUAGUGACUUAAUUAAGGGUAAACUACAGCUAAAAUUUUCCUAGUAGUCUUCCACUAUGGCAAAUUGUGGGAACUAGUAGUGGCCUGUCCAACCUAUAGAGGAAACAAAUAGGUGAGUGAGUUAUUGAAUAUGUGGCUGAGAGUGACCAACCAUUGAGGCUCACAUGAAGUUGUAGUGGCUGAAAGGAAGGGAUAAGAGACCAAAAACAUGCUCAGAGAGAUUCUUGUUAGGAUCAAAUUGGGGGCAUAGAUAUAUCUCUUUGGUAAGAGUUCCCAUAAUUUAGGUAUUAAUGAAAUAGGUAUAAAAUAAUUAUAUAUCUUGAUAUGAUCAUGUUGUUAAUGAUGAUCUAAUGAGUUGAAAUAUUAUGUUUUCAACUGUGUAUAUCUAAUAAAUACAUCAAGUGCUUAAACUUUAAUAUAGAAAUGGUCCACAAUGGCUUGUAUGACUCAUCGUCUUAUAAACAUAUUAUUUAGAUUAGGCUAAAGUGGUCAAAGUAAGAAGAAAAAUUGAUACUUGAUUUGAAGUAUGAAGAAUUCUUCUUAGACUUUGUGUGUAGUGUUGUUAGCUUAUUGUUGUGUUAAAGUCUAUUUUGAUGUAUUUUGGAAAGAAUGACCAACUAGAACCACAAUAAGAUGUUGCAAAACUUAUUUAAACAAGGGCUUGUGAGCAAGAUUUUUUUUUUUCCCUUUCAUGUACAAAUAGUAUGAUGAAUGAAAAUUUGAUUCUCGAUUGUAAUUAGUGUUUUCUUUAAGUUUUAAAUCAUGCAAUGAAUACUUAAAAUUAGCUUACGAUGUCAAAGAAUGUAAGUAAACAAGGUUUUACAUGUUGGAUAUAUAAUAAAUUCAAAACCUUUACCUUCCACAUUGAAUGAUUACAUUUUUUCUUUAAGUGCCCUUUAAUCAUUCUCAUUUUGUUUAAUCAUUUUCUAUAAUGUCUCGAGCAUAGUAGAUUUCUAUAAAUUUACAUGAGCAUUCCUUAACUCUUCUUGAGUGAUCCUAAACUUAGCAUUGAAACAAUCAUAAUUUAGGCGAAGAUGCUUAUACGUCUUCAUAAUCAUCCUUGGUUGCUAGCCAUUUUUCCUUAAUUACUUUAGGAUGUUUAGUGAAGAUGAUUACAAAUAUUAACUAGUUCACUCAAACAUUUUUGUAUGAGUGUAGAACAAUUUUGCAUUCUUUCCACAUCACUUAUGCAUCUUCGUUCCAAGAAAUAAGAUAUAGAACUCUUAUGUUUUGCCUACACCACUUGGUUCUCCAACCCAUUGUGCUUAUGCAUCCUUUUUAUAUCACAUAUGCGACUUGCUUCUCAUUAAGAUAUUUCACUUACAUGUUCUUGUAUAUGCAUAAUUUAGGAAAAAAUAUUUAAAAAUAGAAAAAUAGAUUUUAAUACAUAUAUUUGGAACAAUUAAACUCAAACUAUGCAAGUGACCUUGUCUACUAUGUAGGUGACUUUGUUUACUACAUAGGCAAAGUAUAUGACAGUGAUAGUCAAGGAAGCUAUGUGGUUGCAUGGUUUAGUGGAGAAUUUAAGAGUAAAGCAAGAUCACAUUGUGAUUUAUUAUGAUAAUGGGAGUGCCCUAAAUUUAUUUAAGAAUAAAAUUCAUCACUCAUUGGUAAGGCAUAUUGAUGUCUAAUUUCAUUUUAUUUAAGAGAUUCUAGAAGAAAGUCAUACCUUAUUUUAGAAAAUUACUGAUGUUAAUGAGGUAGGUCAUAUUUAAAUGUGAUCCAUGUUGAAAGGAUCAAUGUACCUUUAGGUGUGUAGUAGCAAAAUCUUUAAAGAUUGUUUGGUUAGCUUCAUUUAAAUUACUUAGUUAAAUAUUACAUAGUCAAUUAUAUGUUUGACUUUUUGAACUAGAACAUUUAGAUUUUGGUUGUUGUAGUUGUUAUAAUUACUAUUUAGGUUUUUAAAAAGGUAUAAAUUUAUAAUUUUAGUUGGUUUUAUUAGUUUCAUUUAAAAUUCCCAAGAAACUUCAGUGAAGGAAAACAGAGCAAGAGAGUUUUUGAGAAUUGCUUAUAAUUCUUGUAUAUUAUUUUGAUAUCUUUAGUGCAUUCAUCUUAUCAUUACCAUAGAUGAAGGCAUAUUGUCAAACCAUAUAAAUUGUUUAUCUCUUUGUCUAUAUUGAGCUGCCAAGAUCAGUUCCUUGUAAUCCAAUGGCUUAUUUUGAUUCCACGAUGCUACAAUGUAUUGAAUUAAGCAUAGGGAUUAACAAUUCCAAUCAUAAACAAUAAGAGAUCCUCCCCAACAGCAUAAAAAACUUGAGAGACCCGAGGCUCGCAUCUCAGAAUAUGCUCUUGAACUAACACUAAAGAUGCCUAGAUUCACCACCACCCUUUCCACCCCAAUGUUGUUAGAAGUAGAAUCUAAUCAAAUGAAGAGUUCCUGAUAGUUGCGAGUUCUUAUGAUUUUUUUCCAUCAUUUUCUGACUUUUUUUUCAUCCAUUACGUACGUCCUUCUGAGUGGAGUUCUCCUUUCAUGGUAUCAGAAAAUCAUACUCAAUGAAUUCGUUAUAACCAGACCAUAACCAGAACCUCCAUGGCGUGUUUUUCCUGUGUUUUUUCUGAAAAUAUAGCUACAUUUAUACAUAUUUUUAAGAAUAUUAAAGGCAUUAUCAAAGGAAGAAACCGAGAAAACUGAUUGUAUAGAAAUCUAUAAUUGUGCUUACUUUCAGUCCUAGUCACAAAGUUUCAACCAGAUAAAUCAUGUCGAGAGAUGCCCAGCAAGUGGUGGUGGUCCAGGAUGCAUCCAGAGAUGUUAGUUCAAGAGCAAUCCUUAGGAUUCUCCAUGACUUAACACUUAAGCCUGGAGAUGACCUUACACUCCUCGGAGUUCUUCACCAGGUUAAUAAUCCUUGUACGCUUUCUUUCAUGGGAGGUAGGAAAAUACGUAAAAAUUCAUGCCUUUUUUUUCUUUUGAGUACAGAAGAAAAAUCCAAGAAGAAAGAAAUAUUAAACAUAGCACCAGGAAAAUGAUAUAUACCAAAAGGGAAAUUGUGCAGGUUUAUAGAUUGAUGAAUGAUGUGUCAGAUUUCCCAAUACAACUAUUUUAUUCUAAGGUAUACUUUGAUAAUAGAGACAACUAUUUUAUGAUCAAAUGAAAAAAUGAGGUAUAACAAUUAACCCAAGACAAAUCCUUAAGUGAUACUUUAGUUUUUUAUGAAAUAAAUGUUCUUUUUAUAUUAGUAUAAAAGAUUAUUUUUUCUUAGUUUCAUUUAGGGAAAAUUUUGAUUUUUUAAAGUUUUAAAGUUGGUUAAUGUAAAAUUUGUUUUUUAUCUUUUAGAUUUUCUUUUCCAUAUUUACAAAAAUAGAUAAUUAAAUAAACUUAGAUAAAAAUAGAAUUUUCAUGUUCACUUGUUUGCCUUAUGAAUUUAUUUUACUAUUAAAAUAGGUGCUUCUUAUUAUUUAAUUUUAAAAGUGAAGAUGCAUGUUUUAAUAAAUUCUAAGAGAGGACAAUGUUUAAAAUAAAAAAUUGAAAUAUCGUGGAAAUUAAUAUUUUAUUUUAAAUACAGACAAUUUCCAUGUAAUUUUGUUUGUAUAUUAUCACUACAAAUCAACGAUGACUCCAAAUAGCCAUUGGCCUUAAGAGAUGUCAAGCUCACAACAAAAAUAAUGUUCUAAGUUCUCUAAAAAUAUUUUAAUUAAACACAAAGGUAGUCCAUCAUCUAAUCAACAUUUGCAUAUACAAAACCAUUUUAGCAAAAGUUACAUCAUCCGUUAGUAUAAGCAAACAUGAAUAAGUAUUUCCUAAUUAAGAAAAAUAUUAAUUCAAAUAUUUUAAAUUGGCCAACAAAUUAGGAUAUUGAAAUAAUGGUCUCUAUAUCAAAUGAGUUAUAAGAAAAGGUAACAUUAUCUUUCAUCUAAAUUUCUAUGCUUUCACAAUCUUCAAAAUUAAUAAAACAAUAAGUUAUCUUUCAUUUGAUGCCAUUGGCUAUAUUGUAUUUUCUCGUGACAAAGUGAUGAUUAUCUUUUUUUUUUUUUUAUGCACUUGAUUGAUUUGGUUUCCACCAAUGUGACUUUAGUGAUUUAUCCUUCGCCGGUUGUUAGGAUAAUGGUAGUGGUUAAUAUGAUGUCGUCAAUAGAAUAACUACCUACUCUAGGUAGUAUGUUGGAUAUGAUGUUAUAAACCUACUUAUAGAUUAAUAUAGUUCAACAAAUACUAAUUUGAGAGAGAGAGAGAUAGGUCUAUGGUGAGUUGUAGUGAAAGGGAAGGAUUAAGGCUAGGGUUUGUGUGGGUAUGAAAAAGAUAAAAACAUUUUUAUUUUCAUAUCCAUUUUUGGAUUUUAAAAAAUAAAAAUAAAUAGGUGGAUAUAGAAAGAGUUCAAGUGGUUCGUUUGCAAUUUCCCUUCAUAAAACAUCACAGUUGUCAAUGAGAUCUAUGCACUAAGUAAUUUUAACAACCUUUGUUUGUGAAUUGCUUGUUACUGCAUUAAGUUUUGGUAUUCUCCUCCAUGUAGGUGAAACAUAUCAUGUUUAUGUAGAAUCAUUAAUAUAGUGUUUAACAGCUUCCAUGAAAAAGAAAGCGUGAGAGCUUGGGGAUAUACUUCCCAACUUAGAGGACAUCUCAAUAGCAAUGAAUAGAUUUUCAUAUAAAUGGUUAAAUAGUAUAUAAAAUAAUCGAAGAUGUCUUGUUUUAGUUUACCUCCUAGGUAGAUAGCCUAGUUACUUCAAGUAGUUUUGGCAACACCAUUUACUAUCAUCUUCAACGAGUAUAUAUCCUUCAAGGCAAGGCCUCACUUUCUUAGCUCAACAAAAAGUUUAUUAUGAUAAGUUAUCUUGAUAACUAAUGACUAAUCUUGGUGUAUAUAUAUAUAGUUAAGAGGGAUGUGAAUCAAUGAGAAAUAGUUUCCACUUUGUGCUAAUGAUAGGUUUGAGUCAAGGUUCAAAUUUUCAUCCAUGGAAGUAUGAAUGUUGAUCAAUAUGAAAUUCUGGUCCAUCUUGUGAUAACAAAUAGUUUAUCAUAUGUAACUCAAAAUUAUUCUUUCUAUACAUUCAUCUUGUGCACCCACCUUUCUGUUUCUUUAUUGUACGUAUCACUUUCUCUUAUUCCAUAAGGAGAAGCCACUAGACUUGAGAAAUCAAUUAGAGAAUGAUACAAUUCCAACAAGAUCGAGUAUGAAACAUUUCUUAUCAAUCUUUUCAUAGUGACUCAUAGCUUGUAGUAAAUUAAUGGGCUAUUUGUUUUUUAACUUGAGUUUUGAAGCAAGUUGUUUUAAGAUUUAAGAUAAAAGUAAAAAAGAAAUUUACUUUUUCUAUUAACACAAAAUUAUCUUAGAAAAUAUGAUACGUUAAAAAAUAACCAUUUUAAAAAUGACAAAUCUUAUAGAAAAAAAUAAUAUAAAAAAAUAACACUUAACACUAUUAAAUAGUAUUUAGUUUUGAGUUAUAUUAAGGUAUAUAUAUAUAUAGACACACACCACCUAAGGUGAUGUUUUACUUGUUUGUUUGUUUUUUCUAAAAUCUAAAUAGAUUUGAAUUUGGAUUGAAUUUAAAUAGAGCAAAAUGUCAUAAGUGUUUAGACUCUUUGUGCUUUAUUGUAUUUGAAAUAUGUUAAGUGUUAAAUUGUUUAUUUUUACUUAUGUCAAAAUACUAUAAGUAUUAAAUUUAUUUAUUUCACUUGUUAAAAAUGUCUACAAAAUUAAUUAUAGUAUUUGUUAUUAUUUUAGUUUUAAAAAUUUACAAUUUUUAAAAUAUAUAGUAAUUUAAAUAUUUCCAAAAUAUCAAAAUUAUUACGAUAAUAAACAUUUUAUAAUAAUUAAUAUUGUAAUUAUUUAAGCAUAAUUGGAUAAUAACAAGGAUUUCCUAUUAUGCUUGGUUACUAAAAAAAUAUUUUAAAAAAUUUCUAAUUUGACACUUAUUUCUAUAUGGUGUGUCUUCAUAUUUAAAUUUAAAUAUUUUCCAAAAUAUCAAAAUUUAUUACUAUAAUAAAAAUUUUACAAUAACUAAUAUUGUAAUUAGUUAAGAAUAAUUAUAUAAUAAUGAGACUUUCUAAUUAUGCUUGAUUACUAAGAAAAUAUUAAACAAAACUUCUAAGUUAACAAUUAUUUCUAUCUGGUGUAUCUUUGGAUUUAUGGAUUUGUAAUUGAAAAAUGUGUUUUAUUAUUGAGAUUAAUUCAUUAAUUUUUAUAUUUUAGAUUUUCAACAUUAAAUCCUAACAUUUUAUUUUUCAAAAUUAAUUAUUAUUGCUUAUUCUAAUAAUGUGGACCCCGCAUUUCGGCUCAUGCACUUCCACUCGAUGGCGAGCUCGAUUUUUAUUUGAAAAACGAUUUUAUUUAUUAGAAAAUGACUUGGAGUCACCACUUAUUUUUGUUUUAUUUUUAAAGGGUAAACAAAAUACGAAAGAAAACCCUAAGUGUGACUCCUUAUUUUGGAAAAGAUAAUCCACGAAAAACCGGAUCGGGCUCGGGGGUCAGGUUACUUAUCGGGAAGGUAUGGUAAAGACCGUAGCACCCCUCUAAGUCCCUAAAGUCGGGUCUCUACUAAUAAAAUGAAGCUAACGUGGCAAUUGAUGAGGGAAUCAAUGAAUACUUAGUGUAAUCAUGCACAAGUGAGAAUUAAAACAUACAUAUAGAAAGACCAGAAUGGGAGUAGAUGCGUACCUGGGUGAUGAGCCACAAUGCGCUAUCAAGAAAUGGGAUUAGUGCAUAGUAAUGAACAUAAAAUGUGUCAAUCUUAUCACCAAACAAGAGAAAGAACCACCAAUAGCACGCAUGACAUUUCGUUCAAAUUCAUUUUUAUUUUAAAGAAAAUUUAUUUGAUGUUGGGCCCCCACCAUAGCCCAUCUACUUUUGAGUGAAUCGAUUUCGUAAAUUCCAUCAUCAAGAAUUACGAAAAAUAAAUUCACACUUAUUUUGAAACAUUUUGAAAAUCAUGGAAAAUUCAAAAGUGGCUCGCCGGAAAGGAAAUGGUGGCCAAAUUUCAUUGAAAAUGGGAUUUUUAGGUCCUAAAAAUAAACUAAGGAUGAAAACUUAAAAAAAAUGUCAAAAUUAUUUGAAGAAUUUAAAAUUUGAGAAACCAUUUGAAAACUGGAAUAUGAUGGAUUAUUUUAAAAUCAAGGAUGAUGAAAUGAAAAGAGGUGGUACGUGGUCACCAAGACUACAUGUCAAAAGUGACCAUGCAACUCAUGCAAGAGUAGGUCUACGGGUAAGAGUACUGGAAUUGGGUAUAAGAUAACCAAUAGGAAUGGGGUAAAUUAAGAGACCCCAGCGGCAAGCAACUUCAUGAGGCCUUCCUUUGUUGAUGUGUACCAGAACCAACCUUCUUUUUGCCUUUUACAAACUUCUGUAAAGAUCCACCUCUACAAUUCUGAGCUUUUAUGCAUGAUUCAAAGAUAGCAUGAUGUUGUGCUUGGAUGUUCUCUUGGCUAUUACUGCCUUUUCUCCUUGUUGACCGAGAAUUAGUACCAUCAGGCAUCAAGUUAUGCAUUUCUUCCCUCAUCCAAACAAACAAGUUUUCUCUUGCAACUUUAAGAUCCUCUAAUAAGGACUCCAUGAAGAUUUUAAAAUCAUCCAAUGUUGCAGGAUCACAUGCAUUGCUCUUACUCUUCUUCUUAUUAACUUUCUUGAAAGAAUCCCUCUUCGUCUCUUUACUAUAUAAAUUAUUCCUCUUGCUUGAUCCAAUCUGCAUUUUGUUAGCUUUCCCAAUUUUGAAUUGAUCCCCUGAACUACGAUCAGACUUACCUUCUUGUUGAGAUCUAGGAGUACCACUGGUUUCAUCAUUUUCAGGCGAAAUAAGAGAGGAAACCAGUUUGUGCUUCUUGAGAACUGGCUCACCACUGGAACUCGAUUUGGAAUUAUCACUUGAAGAAUCAACGUCACUGUCUCUCCUCCUGAACUCCCACCUCUGCUGAAAUUUCAGGUCUUCACUCAUGUUAGUACUUGGGGAUAUAAUCACAACUGUAUAACUAUGUGCUCAAUCCUCGGGAGAGUCCGACCAUAAACGACUAGACCCACUUAUCAUCAAAGUUUCAACUGCUUGUUUGGAGAAUGAAAUCAGUUUGAUGGAAGGAUUUCCACUGCAACUGCACCUUGAACUCGUUUGAAAGAUUGUACCAGUGAUUCUAGCAGCACCCCUCCUCACAAAUCAAAUUUUGUGAAGAGACACCAUGAUUAAACCGCUCCAUCAUUCUCUUUCAUACACCCAGCACAAGAGCAUCCUCUGUGGAUGAAGCCCAACCAUUGCUCUGCAUCCACUUGGAACAAUCUUCUUAGCCCCAGAUGGGAGCUUGAUCCUGCUGGUGCCAUUAUCAGGGUUGUGGCUGACGACAAUAGCUCACUUGCCGGAUGCCCUGGCGAAGACACCUCGAUCACCAACGUGAUCUUCAACGUUACAGACCUCGGCACCUUCGGGAGUAGAGCGCAGGGGCAGAACGUUAUCGGCAAUGAGGGUGGCUUUCUUACUGCAGCAAACGAACUGGCCCGUGUAUAUGCUCUCAGCCACCACGAUAGGUUCAUCAUGACUGCAACUCCUACUAAACCAUAUCCCUGUCUCAGCAUCAAUAACCAGCUAGGUACUGCAUGUAUCACCAACACCACUAUCGAGGUCCAGGCUAUCACAAGUUCUGUUGCUAGGCAGAGCAGCAGGAAGUUGGUUAUCAAAGACAUGGUAAAUUUUAUCACCACCUAGGCGCACGCCAUCGAGAUGCUCUUUGUAUGUCUGAUCGAAGACACAAGAAAUUUCCAUGAUCAUGUAUAACUUUCUUCCAUUCUUCUUCAGUUGCACCAGUACCAAAUCCAUAUCAGCCAAGGACCCUUCACGCACAAGUAGCCACAGAUCUGUCAGAGAUGCACUUGAUACAAUUUUGCGAGCAACUGUAUGAUGAUUCUGCUUUUGGCCUGGAGGUGGAACUAAACCUUCCACUAAUCUAUAUUUUUCUCAAUAAUAUAUAUCCUCUAACCUUGACAAAAUAAUAACUUAAAUCCCAGUGUUGACUCCUUGCUUCUCGCCACUUAAGCUAACAAUGAUUAUGCCUUGUCACCAGAUGACUUCAAGAGCUAGGUUGUCCAAAAUCCUGUUAAGAAAUUAGUCCACACCAACUGAUAACAAGCUGAUGUGGCCCUCGAAGACAUUGAUUGAACCUAGUCCAUGUUGUAGUCACUUUUUGAAUUUCAUGAUCAAGAAAAUGAAGAGGAAGCCAUUUAGAUGCAUGGUUGAAAAUGGUCAACUGUUAUGCCCCCAUCAUCAUCACCUCUAGUAUUAUGAACACAAACCAGUUGCAACCGCCAUUCACAGACUCCCAUCACAGUUCAUGGGCCUGAAAUGAAUCUCCAACUAAUGGUGUAAGCAACAAGCUGAAUGUUGUUAAAAAUAUGAGAAAUGGGUGGAGAGUUGUGCGUUAAGAAGCAGAGAAUGGAAUAAGGGAAUAUACCCCUUCCCUCAAAGGCACAGAGAUGGAAUCAAGUAAUUGAAGCCGAAGGAAAGCCUUUCGGGUAGCCAAGAAAGCUUGAUUUACAUAUUCUGCAUUACUUUCAGCAACAUUGGCAAUCACAUCCCUGUCUGAGAGGCCAACUGGUUGUCCUUUGUGGUGAGUUCAGUGUCAUUUUAAACUUCUCCAUUGUAUCAAGGGAUAGCCAGCACAAGAAAGAAAUGAUACAAUGAAGCAGACAUGAGGCAUCUUUAGAAAUCCUCUGUGGAUGACAUUUUAAAGGCUCUGUGAUAUUCUGAAGCAUUGCUACUCAACUAUGACCUCCAUCCCUGAUAUAAAACACUAAACCAACCUCAAUCUACUUAACAUGCAUCUCGGGUACUCCAUAGAGAUUAAGCAUCUGUAAUCAUAGCUUCCGCUCCUUGAAUUUGCGUUCUCAGAUGGAGAUGCACCAAUCAAAGCAAACCACAGACAAACACCAAAAACAGAGACGUAUAGAGAAGAAAAUUGAUAAAACAAAACAGGGAUAGGUGAAAUGAGAGUUUGUUAAGCAAAACCUGGUCCCAUAAAUUAUCAACAGGCUUACCAGUUAGUGGGAGGGGAAAUGGGUUUAAGGAGAAAUGAUAGGAGAGAUACAUUCAGACAUCACGCAAUAAAACUGGACAAGAUUCAUACUAUUUCUCUCAACUAAAACCCAUAAACAAUAGAUGGAUAUAUAGUCAUAGCAAAUCCAGUGGAUGCUCAGAGAUCAACAAAAGUAGCCAUAUGAUAUCCACACACAAAUAGCUAAAUAACACCCACUAAUGAACAAAAGAGAAUGAAUAGCAAGAGAAAAAAAUAGAGAUGGAUAAGAAACAUACCUGGAAAUACCCCUCUCCAGUAAAAUCAGCUGAACUGCUAGUCCAUUGCUCUCUCCCCCUUCCUCUGGUUCCCCUCAAGUUAAAACAAUACCCUUCUCAAAUAUCUCCGACCAAAAAACCUUCUCCAAAAACUUCCCUUUCUCCUCUGCCAACCCCCCUCCAAAAAGCAUCUCCCUCUUCUCUACAACUGGCAGAUACGCUCCUCCCAUAACAGAAACGUUCUUCUCUAAACGUCCCUUUGGGAUCUCUUAUCAAACCUCUAAUGACUCUCAAGACUAGGUCACCGAUAUGUAGUGGUAUGGGCUUGACCCGCUUUUUGAAAGCGCGGGCCAUCUUCCUCUAUUAUGCACGAACAUGGUCUGUUGCUCUCAAUCUCAUCUCAUAUAGGAGAUUGAGCUGAUCAAAUCGAGCCUGAGCCCAAUCCGCCUCGGGAAUCUGCUACUUUAGUGCUACUCUCAAUGAACUCAUCUCGAUCUCAACUGGUAGCACUGUCUCCAUACCGUAUACCAAUGAAUAAGGUGUGGCUCCUGUAGAGGUGCGAAAAGAAGUCCGAUAUGCCCACAAUGCGAAAGGGAGCUUCUCUGACCAAUCCCGAGAAGUCUCAACCAUCCUCCGCAAUAUCCUCUUAAUAUUCUUAUUCGCAGCCUCUACUGCCUCAUUCGUCUACGACCUAUACGCAAACGACCUAUGAUGUCGGAUGUCGUAUCUCUGUACUAAGGUAUCAACCUCUGCUCUGAAAUGUACCCCUCUAUCUGAAAUCAACUCAUGAGGGACUCCAUAGCGACAGAUAAUGUGUGAUCUGAUGAAACUAGCAACUCCAGCUGAUGUCAAUCUCUCAUAUGAGGCGGCCUCCACCCACUUGGUGAAGUAAUCGAUGGCGACCAGGAUGAACUCAUGACCACUGGAAGAUUUCGGUGAAAUCUUUUCGAUGAUGUUAAUACCCCAUAUAGAAAAUGGCCAUGGUGAAGUCAAUGCGUGCAACUCAGAGGACGGCACGUGAAUGAGAUCUCCAUGUAUUUGACUCUUGGGACAUCUCUGAACAAACUGACAACAAUCUGUCUCCAUGGUCAACCAAAAAUAGCCAAUCCUCAUGAUUUUACGGGCCAACAUAUGCCCUCCCAUAUGUGGUCCGCAGACUCCCGCAUGAACCUCUCACAUCACUCUAUCGACAGAAGCGUAGUCCAAGCAUAAUAACAGCAUCCCAUCAGGUGAUCGUCUGUAUAGUGUCUUGCCACAAAUCACGAAUCAUGCAGCCAACUGUCUCAAUGUUCUCUUAUCCUUGGCCGUGGCGGCCUUAAGAUAUAUGCCAAGUCUCAAAAAGUGAUAUAUGUCAUGAUACCAUGGCAAACCAUCGUCUAUCUCCGUAUCAUCGAUCAGAAAACAAUAUGUAGGAGCAAAUCUGGACUUAAUCAGUAAAUGACGAAUAGUGGCAUCAGCAGGAAUGUCAAUCAUGGAAGUUAGAGUAGCUAAGGCAUCAGAAAACUAGUUAUGCGCUCUAAGCAGAUGUGUGUAUCUCAAAUCAUCAAAUCUCCCAACCAGUAGCUCCAAAUAUGGCGGUAAGGCCUAAGUUUCACAUCUCUAGUCUUCCACUCGCCCUGAAUCUGUCUCAAAACCAGAUUGAAGUCGCCAAACACCUCUAUCUAUCUAAUCCCGAGCUCAAGGGCCGUCUCUAAUCCCAAGAUACAGACCUCAUACUCAACAAUGUUGUUUGUGGCCGGAUGUCGAUCCAAGAAUGCCAAACAAAUAGAUCGGGGAAUGUGAUCACCAUGAGGGGAUAUCAACAAGACGCCUAUCCCGUAUCCAGAAUGGUUGGCUGCACCAUCAAAGUACAUGUGUCAACCUGAUAAACUAGUCACAACAGCGACAUCCUCGCCUGGGAAGUCAUCAUCAAUGGCUCUACCAUUGGAAACUAGUAAUGAGGCUAAGUGAUCUACAACAAUGCUCCCUCUUAUGGACUUCUGAGUGACAUAAUGGAUGUCAAACUCGGUCAGAAGUACCAGCCAUCUCAUGAGACGACCGAUCAAAGCGGGUCUGUCAAAAAAAUAUCUCAGAAGAUCUAGAUGGGAUAUCAAGUGCACUGAAUACUCGGUCAUGUAAUGUCUUAGUCGGUGAGUGGCCCAAACCAAUGCCAAACAGUAGCGCUCAAUCAUGACAUUCCUUGCCUCAUAGUCUAGCAUCCUCUUACUCAAAUAAUAAAUGGCUUAGUCAUUGCCUGAAUCAUCAAGCUGAGCUAACAUGCACCACAAUGCUACAUCUGAAAUUGACAGAUAUAGGAGUAAGGGACAACCUGGUGUAGGAGGCGCCAAGACUGGAGGUGACAACAAGUACUUUCUGAUCCUCUCAAAUGCACGCUGACACUGAUCAUCCCAAACAGUAGGUUGACUCUUCCUCAAGAGUCGGAAAAUGGGCUCAUAGAUGUCUGUCAAUCUGAUGAUGAAUCUACUGAUAUACUGAAGUCUACCCAAGAAGCCCCUGACCUCUCUCUCUGUCCUCGAUGCAGGCAUGUCAAGGAUGGCUCUGAUCUUAUCCGAGUCUACCUCUAUGCCUCUCUCUCUGACCAUAUACCCCAAGAGUUUCCCAGAAGUCACUCCGAAAGUGCACUUCUUGGGAUUCAGUCUCAAUUUGAACCGUCGGAUCCUCUCAAAGAACCUCUCUAGAGUUGCUAGGUGAUUUGGUCUGUCUUGGGAUUUCACUAUCAUGUUGUCUACAUAAACCUUGACAUCCCGAUGCAUCAUGUCAUGGAAGAGGGUGGUCGUCGUUCUCUAAUGGGUGGUUCCUGCAUUCUUCAAUCCGAAUGGCAUGACUCUAUAGCAAUAAGUACCCUACUCGGUAAUGAAGGACGUCUUCUCCAUGUCCUUUGGAGCCAUCAAGAUCUUAUUGUACCAAGAAAAUCCGUCCAUAAAGGACAACAUCGAAUGACCUGUCAUACUAUCAACCAACAUAUCGAUGUGUGGGAGAGGAAAAUCAUCCUUAGGACUGGCCUUGUUGAGAUCUCGGAAAUCAACACAAACUCUCACCUUGUCGUCCUUUUUGGGAACAAGGACUACAUUGGCCAGCCACUCCGGAUACUCGACCACUGACAAAAAUCCUACACUGAGUUGCUUCUGGAUCUCCUCCUUCACUUGCAAGCUCCAACGAGGGUGCAAUCAUCUCAACUUCUACUUAACCGGUCUAGCAUGGGGCAGAAGUGGCAAACGAUGUUGGACGAUAGAUGGAUCAAGGCCUGGCAUGUCCUCAUAGGACCAUGCGAAAACGUCCAAGUAUGCUCUGAGCAACUGGAUGAGGUUGUCCCUCUCAUCAUCAGAUAAAUCUGAUCUGAUCCUCAACUCCCUAGGCUGAUAUAUUGUGCCGAAAUCAACAAUCUCCAUGUCCUCUAUAGCAGGUGAAACUCUCUGAUCAAAGGGAUCCGAAUCGGAAAUAGAAGAUGAGUCAUCAUCUGAGUCGUGUUGUGCAAUCUCAUCAUCAAUAUCAAAAAUCUGUGAUGUGGGUGAAGAUGGUGCAGAUAAAACAAUAUCGUAAAAGAGAGGCAAAUUUUAAAAAAUGCUCAAAUCCAUAGAUGAAAAGUCAGAAACAUAGUCAUGAUGGGAGACAAAUCCCGAUAAAACAUCAAAUGAAAGAGGUGAGUCUACAAAGUCGAACAUUCCCUCAACUAGGCCAAUAGGGCCAUCAAGAAAAUCAUCAACAGCUAUAAUGUCCUCAGUAAUCUCCGAAGUAGGGGCAGUCUGGAUCUCCUCAGCGAUCUCAAUGAAAGACACCCCGAAGAGAUCAAAUGGUGAAGUGAGCUCAGGCUGGACUAUCUCCUCAAUCUGGCUCAAGCUCAAUGCAAGCAUCUCAUCGACGUACUCGUCACAUGGCAUAGCUCCGUCUACUAUGUCGCUAAUCUCAACAAAUGUCUUGUGAUCAUCGAUCUCAUCCAAUAAGCAAAGCGUCAUAAGGCUCGUGCGAUCUGGAGAGGCAGGAGCGAUCAACGCAGAAGUCGAAGGAUCAAGGGCUCCGUUACUCAAUUGUAACUGCUGGACGAGGCGCUGAAGCUCGGCCUCCUUGGUGGUGUUGAAUCCUCUGAUGAUCCCAUCAGAUGGUGCAUGUGACUCCGAUGCCCUCACAAAGUAAUCUGCCAGGCUCAUGGUGUAUGGGCGAACAGGAUAAUAAAAGAGCGUAUGAGUCAGUCGAGCCCUCACCCUCUCCUUGCUCAAUCGCGCCAUAUAACGAUAAUCGGCCUCAGUGGGGAUGAACCUGAGUCCGAAUGGUACGUCGUGAUCAGGGAUGGCUAUGAACUCACUAGGCCCAUGCUGACACUACCCUAACCCUAUGCCGGGAAAAUAAGGCAUACUCUGCAUCAUAUCGAGCACCACCGUGCUACUAUGCUGGUCAAAGGACAUGGCUACGAAAUCUCGGUAGAAAUCUUCUAUCUCCACGGUUUGUACCUCAUCAAAGGUGAAUCCAGUCAGAAAAAGAUCGUCAUCAGUGUGACUAAUCUCAAGCACAGGCUUGGCAAAAAUGAACAUAUCUCCCACAGACUGCACCACGACGACCUGGCCAUCGUGAAUAAACUUCACCUUUUGAUGAAGGGAAGAAUGAAUGGCCCCAGCUCUGUGGAUUCACGGUCGGCCCAGAAACAGGUUAAAGGAUGUAGGAAUCCUCAAAACCUGAAACACGGUGACAAAAGUGGCCAGAUCAAUUAGUAGUUCAAUCUCUAGUGUGCCCAUGACCUCCCUUCGAGUACUGUCAUACGCGCGAACGGUCUAAGUGGAGGGACAGAAAUCAGAUGGUGCAUAGCCGAGGGCAGUGAUGGUGGCCAGAGGACAAACGUUCAGGGUCGAGCCAUUGUCCAGAAGGACAGAUGGGACUCGACGGCCUGAACAACCAACAGAUAUAUAGAGUAGACGCGUGUGGUCUGAGCCCUCUGGUGGCAAGUCAUCAUCGGAGAAUACAAUGCAUGUGGCUCUACCGACCGUCAUCAUAUGAAUCAAUCCCUCAUGGGAGGUGGUAGUCUUAACUCUAAUCUGGCUCAGGGCUCAAAUCAGAGCAUCAUGGUGAGUGGUCAAGGAUGCCAACAAACUCCAGAUGGAAAUACGAGCCUGAGUGCUCUAUAGCUGCCUCAAAAUCUCGGCGUCCUCUACUCUGACCUCAUCGGGAACAGAUGUACCCUCAACUGGCUUAGCUGCUGCGCGAGGUGGCUAUCGCAACACUCUACCUCCUCAAAGAAUAUACUAAACAUCCAAAGUUUGAGAAUCAUCAACAUGCGGAGCUUGAACCUCCUCAACAUUCGAGAUCAAGAUGAAUGGCGUCUGGACGCUGUAAUAUGGAAAAAUCAAUGGCUCAACAGUGGUAGUCUGUACUAAUGCCACCUGGGGAACUAAUCCGAAUGAAAUGGGCAUCUGAGGCCCCAAAGUCGCUCCGUCCAUCUCAUAAAUCCCAUUUGACAUGAUAGGCUCUGGCUCAAUGUCAUCACAGCUCAACAUAUGGAUAUAGUCAUCAUGAUCAAAGAACUCCAGGAAAUGUAUGCUAUCGACCGGUGGGGGGACCACAUGUGUAGUGUGGGCAAGUAAUGGGUUUGUGGUUACACUCGGCUGACCCAAGUGCACCAAACCCUGGUCGAUCAGAUCCUGGAUGGCAUGCCUCAAAGUGGUGCAGCGAUCGGUCUCGUGUCCAGGCCCUUGAUGGUAUGCACAGUGCAAAUCCAUCCUGAAUUAAGGUGGAAUCGGCUGAGGUGGCAGCCUGGGAGUGAGAACGGUCAAUAACCCGGCCUCUGUAAGCUUCCGAAGAGCCUAGCUCAAUGGCAUGCUUAAUUGCGAGAACUACCUCUGUGUCCUCAAAGCAGAUGGAGCAAAAGUCUGCUGAGCUUUGGGUUGAGGAUAAGGCGUUGUGGGUCUCGCAGUGAAUUGAGCAGCAUAGCAUGGCUGUCCUAUGGCCGUGUAGGAAAUUGGGGGUCUCUCAAUGUCCUGGGUGGCAUAAUAAGGCAAAGCCAAAGUCUGUGGCAUGUAGACUGAUCAUAAGUCGGGUGAGGCGCUCGUGGCCUAUACUGCUGAGGUGGAUAUGAAGAAUGAGCCUCAGGAAGCUAUGGGAUCGGCUGAUGGCGCCUGGGAGGUCUCUAACUGGAAGAACUAAUGGCGCUCACGUCAACUGAUCUUUGUCCUCCAAAGGGCUUCUUCCCCUUAACAUCACUAGGGGAAGAAUCUGUCCACAAUCCUCUAGAGAUGUCGUCCUCGACAUCGUAUAAAGUCAAAACCAAUGAACCAAAAUCUGUGAAUGGUACCCUAACCACGUGUCUGGCGAUCCUGGGCUGUAAACUCCUCAAGACCAUCUAUAUCUGAUCUCUCUCUGAAGGUCUAUCAAUGAUCUCGACAAUCUUCCCACGCCAGCGGGAAAUGAAUGAAGAAACUAACUCAUCUAUUAUCUACCUCAGAGCCUCGAGCUUUCUCCUCGAUACAUCCACGACAGUGUUAAAUGAAAACUGUCGUAAGAACUCCUGGGCCAAGUCGUCCCAUGUUCGGCGUCGUGAGGACUUCAAGGAUGCAAACCAACGUUGGGCCGUCCCACUCAGAGAUAGUGGAAAUAAAGUGAUCAUCUGAGACUCAUCCAAUCCAUGAGCCCUCAUCACUGUGCUAUAGAGUCUGAGGUGGAUGCGUGGACAACUAAUGAUCGUAUAUCUCUUGAUGUCUGGCAUCCUAAACUUAGCCGGCAAACUGGCUAUCGGCAUACCCUCGAAAUCAUCCCAAACAAUUGAUCUAUCUGACACUCUCAUCUGCCUCAUACGCUGUUUAAGACAGUCCAUACGUGCAUGAGCAUCAUCAACGACAGUGGUCUGGACAACAGCGGGUGGAACAAUCUCAGAAUGUCCAUGUAAUAUAUAGGGUGAGGCCUGAGGCACUGAAGGAACGGGUGGUGGUGGUGGAUGUGGAUGUGAGUCAUACGACGUCUCAUCCUGAACUGUUGGUGGUCUACUUUGCUGACCACUGAUCUCCUGCCUGAGGCUAGCCAAAGCCUCCUGGAUAGAAGCCAUGGUAGCCGUAAACUGAUCCAUUGUAACAACCUGCUGAUCCAUACUCGGUCUCUCUGAAUACCGGACUAAUCUCCCCUCUACUCUGACCCAAGAAGGCGUAUCCAGACUGUGAACGAAGAUCCGAUCCUGAUCGAUUCUUCUCCUACUCCUCUCCUCAAGUCUCUCAAAACCAGCAUCCAAAAGCACCUCCUUCGACCUCUCCUAUCUUCACUCCCCUCAAAAGCACCAGAAGUCUCUCAAAAAUCUCUUUUGCCCCUUGCCAAAAAGCCCCCUCCUCUCCAAAAUAUCUCCCCACAAAACGCCCCCUACGCUUGCCAGAAUAUCCUCUCUCUCAUCCGAUCCUCCUAACAGACUGCGGCCUCUCUAGAAUGUUCUUUCCACGUGUUCAACUCUCAUUUGCUCCUCGAUUCCACUACCUAAUUCUCUGUCCACCAACCACGAGGUGAUACGUGGCUCCUUGAGAGCCUUCCACCUGGCAAAAUGAGUUGCAGAAAAUGCAUGAAAGUGAGGCCCCAAAAUGAGGGUCUACAAAUAGGUUUUUAGAUGAGUGUGAAUUGUGUUUUGGAAUUCUAACUAAAAAAAAUUCAUUAGAAUUGAUGAUAGUUUAUUUUAGUCUUGUUCUACUAUAAGAGGUUGAAUUAUAAAAAUUUGUAGUACAUACAUUUCUAAUAAAAAUGUUUAUGAUUUAAGUAUUGUUAAUUUUAUUAUUAAAUGAGGAAUCUACAAAAAUUUAUGAAAUUUAAUUUUGUUGAGAAUUUGAUGAAUUAUGAAGCAGAAACAGUAGCUAAAUGUGGUAGAAUUUUGAUUCAAGUUUUGGAAUUUAUGAAUUUAUUUAGAUUAAUUUGUUACCCAAAUUAAGUUACUUUUAUGUUGUUGGGCUUCUUUUAAUAAAAAAAAAAAAUCAUUAAAAUUUAUAUCUAAAUUUUAUCAAGAAUCAAGAGGAAAAAUGGACAAAAACAAAGCAUAUUUCAAUCAUUUCAUUUUUUUUUCUUGAUGACAACUUUGUUAAUUUAUAAUAUAUUCAUUUUUCUUCCAAAUUACACAAAAUUGAAAUAGUUUAAUUCUUUCUUCAGAUAAAAGUUAUCUAAAGUCAUAAAAAAAAAUGAAAUUGAUUUUAUUUUAUGUGAGGAAUUAGGUCUAAAUAUCAUAACACAGUUAGAGAUCAAAAAAAUAUAAAGAGAAAAAAAAUGACUUUUUCUAUUAAUAUAAAAGUUAAAAUUAAUUCAUUUUUUCCUUAAGUAUAUAUAUAUAUAUAUAUAUAUAUAUAUAUAUAUAUAUAUAUAUAUAUAUAUAUUUUAAAAAAAAAAGUAAUAAGCUGAAAAAUAAAUAGUUCUAAAAUGUAUUCAGUCUUGAAGCAACUUACUUUAACAUUUGAGUAAAAAAACUAAAUAAAAAAUAAAAAUAGAAAAAAUCAAGCCCUAAAGCAUUGGAUGAGCCAAUGAUCGGAUACUUGAUUUUAACUAAGCAGUUACUUGUCAAUAAUUGUGUUCAUGUUCAUCUCUGCCAAGUACCUUAAAAUGAAAAGGAACAAGUUCAUAUAAAAUCCAAUUUGUCUUUCUCACCCAACACAAUUGCAACCAUCCACCACCAAUUCAAUAUCUCGAAAAACCUUCAAUGUCUCUAAUAGAACCAAAAUCAUGUUAUAUUUGGGAACAUUAAAAUCUUGAUGUAAUGCAACAUUUCAAAAGAAUUUUUCACUUUGAUCUAUGCUCAUAUCAACAUUUCUCUUUGAUAUAGGCAUUUUUCAAAAGAAUUCACCUAUCUUUUCUUGCUAAAGCCUUAAAUUUCUCUCUUCUCUCCAUAACAAACCUUGAGCAUGCAACUUACUAAAUAGACAUUACAUAGGAUUCAAAAUUAAUUUUCAACAAUUCUCAAGUAUAGUGCCUAUUGCAUAAGCAAAUAUACUUUUAAAGAUAUUGUUGAUAGCCUUCUCUAUGCUAAUAGCACUUUUAAUGCUUGGGUUGAUCUUUAUGAUUGAUUCCACCAAAGCAAUGCCCCACGAAUCUUCCAAAUCGAGAAGCACAUAGUUGUUCUUGAGCAAAGAUCUAUGGAUGUCAACACAUACUACACUAAGCUCAAGGUCCUCUAGGAUGAGCUCAAAAAUUAUCAACCCAUUCUUGUCUAUCACUAUGGAGGCACAAAGUCUUGGUUAGACACCAACAAUAGGAGUACAUCAUGCAAUUUCUUAUGGGUUUGAUUGAGUCAAAUGCUUAAACUUGAACACAGAUCUUAAUGAUGUCUUUGCACUAGUUGUCCAAGAAGAAUGCCAAUGUACUAUUAAUCAAGGCUCUUUUUUUCCUAUCGAUUCUCUUAUGCCCAACAUUUCAAAUUCCUCUGCUUUUGUUACAACAACAAAUUUUUCUCGAAAUUCAACUUUAAAACCCAAGUGUGAGUGACCCUAAUAUUCCCACUGUGGCUUGCAAGAACAUAUUGUAAAUAAAUGCUAUCAUCCUGGCUAUAAGUCAAAAUCAAAGAAACCUGAAGUAAAAAAUUCAAGCCACCUAGGCCAAUGCAACUAUUAAUGAGACUAUUAACUCUGGUUCACCCCUUGGAUCUCUUACUUUAGCUCAGUGUCAUCAAUUGUUUGCAUUCUUGAGCUCUCAACUUCAUAACAACUUUCUUGUUAUGCUAGAAUCUCAAUAGCUAGAACCCUUUGUUUCCCAGUUCAAUGGUAUACUAUCUUUUUCUUCUGUCUCAUAAUUUUCCAAUUUCUUUUUCCACCUGGAUUUUGGACAUAGAAGUCGCACAUCAUGUUUGUUGUUCAUUAAGCACAUUUACACAAUCUACUCCAGCACAAAAUUCUUUUGUAACUUUGCCUAAUGGUCAAUCUGUUGUUAUUAAUCGUAUUGGUUAUGUGUUUUUGUCUCCUGAUCUCAUCCUUAAUAAUGUCAUGUUUGUUUCUAAUUUCCAUUUCAAUCUCCUCUUUAUCUGUUCGCUCACUCAAAGUUAUAAAUCUUCUAUUAAUUUUAUGGUUGAUUCUUGUACUAUUCAAGGCCAUACACGGACCAAAAUGAUUGGGAUGAGUAGAAGACAUGGUAGCCUAUACUUCUUAAAUAUAGUCAAUUUUCAUUCCACUACACCACAAAUUUUCAGUCCUUGUAAUAAUGUUUCGUUGUCUCAAAAUGAAAUUUGGUUUUACCAUUUAGGUCAUCCUUCUUAUGUAACAUUACAAACAUUCAAAAAUGAAAUAGAAGUUAAACCAAAUUCUGGUGAUUCAAGUCAUUGUUUAGUUUUCCAUUUAGUCAAAAGAUGCAAAUUACAUUUUAUUUCUCACAAUUAUUUGUCUGUUUUGCCUUUUCAACUCAUACAUUGUGAUGUUUAAGGUCUCCUUCACACAUUUACCAUUGAAGGUUAUAGAUAUUUUUUUUACUAUUGUUAAUGAUUGUACUCAUUUUAUUUGGGUGUAUCUUUUGCGUGCUGAGCCUGAUGUUACUGAAGUUAUUCCUAUUUUUUUUUCUCAUUGAUUCAAACUCAAUUUGGAACACAAAUAAAAUUUGUUCACUCAGAUAAUCCUCCUGAAUUGGCAUUUUUUGACUUCUUUCAUGCAAAAUGAGUCAUCUCAUUUCAUUCUUGUGUUGAUUAGCCUCAACAAAAUUCAAUAGCAGAAAGAAAGCAUCAACAUAUCUUAAAUGUUGUAUGGUCUUUAUGUUUCCAAUCACAUAUUCCAUUGGUUUAUUGGGGGGAUUGCAUUCUUAUUAUUGUACACUUAAGAAAUAAAACUGCAUUCCCACUUUUGUCCAAUAAAACAACCUUUGAACUUCUUUGGAAAAAGAAGCUUGCAUAUUCACAUCUUUGUAAUUUUGGUUGCCUAUGUUAUGCAUCUACUUUAGAUCGUCAUAGGACAAAUUUCUCACCUCAUGUCAUUCCUUUUGUCUUUCUUAGGUACCCAUCUGGUUAUAAAGAAUACAAAUUAUUGAAUCUAGUCACUAAUUCUGUGUUUAUCUCCCAUAAUGUGGUAUUUCAUGAGUCUAUAUUUUCUUUCAAAACUAUUCAAACUUAUUCUCCUCUUCCAAAUAUUUUCUCUGAUACUGUUUUACUAUUUCCUUCUUUUUCUUCCAUUCUUGAAUCUACAUCUUUGCCAAUAUCAACAAUUCCUACUGUUUUCAUACCUUCUACGUCUCAUUGUCAUCCUAAUCGUGUUCGUAGGCCUCCUUUUUAUCUAGCAUAUUACUACUGCUAUUCUUGUUCCCACAGCACAUCUUCUACCUCACAUCCUCUCACACAUGUCCUUGAUUACACAAAAUUGUCAAAUUCAUAAAAAUAAAAAAAUGAAUAAAAGUUUGUGUUAUUUCCUAUAAUUUUGAACCCACCACAUACUUCAAGGCUGCUACUAUUCUAGAUUGGCAAGAUGCAAUGUCUGCUGAGUUAGGAGCUCUUGAACAAAAUGACACUUGGUCUUUAACUACUUUGCCACAAGGAAAACAUGCUAUUAGGUGCAAAUGGGUGUACAAAAAUAAGUAUAGAGUUGAUGGAACUAUUGAACAAUACAAAGCUCACCUUGUAGCUAAAGGCUGCACACAACAAGAGGGCAUAGACUAUCUAGGUACCUUCUCUCAUGUUUUCAAAUUGGUUACUGUUAAGGUUUUGCUUGCUUUGGCUACCAUUAAUGGUUGGAGCCUUCCUUAGAUGGAUGUCAAUAAUGUGUUCUUACAUGGUGAUCUUUUUAAGGAAGUUUAUAUGACUCUCCUAGUUAUCACCUGAAGGAAAAUCAUUAUCCUCACACUCUGUUUACAAAAUUCAAAAGUCUUUAUAUGGCUUGAAACAAGCAUACGACAAUGGUUUUCCAAACUCUCCAAUUUCUUACUUGUUGAAGGUUUUUAAACAUUCUAAUGCAAAUCACUCUCUUUUUGUCAAAGUUGUCAGUACUCACUUCAUUGCUCUGUUAGUUUAUAUGGAUGACAUUGUCAUUGUUAGUAAUAGUGAUGAGCGAGUUGAGAAAUUAAAAGUUCUAUUUAGGAAAGCUUAAAUACUUCUAAGGCCUUGAGGUGGUGAGGUCUAAUAAGGAAAUUUCCCUUAGUUAGCACCAUUAUGCCUUACAAUUACUAUCAGAUAUAGGCUAUGUUGGUUGUAAAUCAAGGAAAACACUUAUAAAUCCAAAUGUGAAGCUCACACAAGACAAAGGUGAUCUAUUAAAAGAUCUUUUAUUUUACAGAAGAAUGAUAGGCAAAUUGCUUUAUCUAACCGUAGCAAAUCCAGAUUUAUCAUUUUCAGUACAUAAAUUCAAUCAAUUUCUUGCAAAGCCCAGAGUUCUUCAUAUGUGGGCAAUACAACAUGUGCUUCAGUACUUGAAAGCAUGGUUUGAAAUAUUGGUAAACACGGAUAUAUCGAUACUUGGAUUUUAUGAAUAUGUUGGAAAUAUUGGUAAAAUAUCGGUAAAUAUUGGUAAAAUAUCGGUGGAUAUUUUGGCAAAAAUAUUGGUGAAACAAAAAUUAUUCAAAAUUCAUGGAAAUGUUUGGAAAACUCUAAAAAAAAUGAUAAAAUAAGCAAGAAUACAUAUGUUAAAGUUAUUGUAAGUGGAAUUGACAUAAAUAUGGUCAAUGAGAAAAAUAUGGAGGGAUAUAUCAAACUUAAUAAUUUAUUAUUUAUCUUAUCAAAUUAAUUUUAAUUUAUAAAAUAUUAGAACUUCAUUAUUUUUUUUAUUUUAGUAAUGUUUUGAAUACAUUUAUAUUUUUAAUAUUUGUAAAAUAAAAACAUUCAAAAUUAAAUAAAAUUAAAAGGAUAAACAUAAAAAAAGUGAACUGAUAGCAAUUUUUAAAAAUAAGAUUAAUGAGAUAAAUGAUGAUACAUUUAAUAUUAAAACUAUAAUUUAUUUAAUUCAAAUACAUUCAACAAUGUAAAAUAAAUUAUGAUGCAUAUAUAAUUUUUUUGAUAUUUAUAUUUUUUUUAUAUAAUUGUCAUAUAAAUGAUAUAAAAAAUAAAAUAAAAUAAAAGACUUGUUAAGAAAAUUAUAAUGAUGGUUUUAUACUUUUAUUAAAUAAUUAAAUAAAAUUUUAAAUAAAAUAAUUAGAAUUAAUUUAUUUAUUCUUUUAAUGAUGAAUUUUACCAUAUUUAUUGUGAACAUAUAUUUACAAAUGUGGACUUGGCCCAAUAGUAGUCAGGCUUCACCCAAGCCUUUUGGCCUAGGUUUGAAUCCCCUUGGAUGCAAUAGAAAAAAAUUUGAAGGAAUUUACCCGAAUAUCGACAUCUUUUCGAUGAAGUUGAUUGACUUUCGGUGUACAAUAUCAUGUCGACUCUCCCUGAUAUUUUGACGAUCAACUUUUAGUGUGGAAUAUUGUGUUAGCUCUCCCUGAUAAGCAAAAUAUCGACAAUAUUUCAUCAAAAUUUUGCAACAUUUUAGUGUGGAAUAUCAUGUCGACUCUCCCCAAUAUUUCAACAAUCGACUUUCAGUGUGGAAUAUCGUGUUAGCUCUCCCUGAUAAGCAAAAUAUCGACAAUAUUUCGCCAAAAUUUUGCAACAUUUCAAACCAUGCUUGAAAGUUAUGCAGGACAAGGUUUUUUUUUUUUUUUUUUCAUUAAUAGAGUUGAAAAGGUUUGUUGAUUCAAAUUGGGCAACUUGUGUGGUCUGUUAAUGAGUUUUGCUUUUUUUUAUUUAUUUAUUGUUGAUUCCUUAAUUUCCCAGAAAUAAAAAAGGCAGCAUACAGUUUCAAGAUCUUUUGUUGAAGUUGAGGACAAAUUUAUGGCAAAUGCAACAUGUGAAUUGAUGUGGUUACUUUCUUUAUUUAGAGAUUUGCAUGUAUCUCGUCCUAAGCCUGCCUUGCUAUUUUGCAACAAUCAAGCAACUCUUUAUAUUGUAGCUAAUCCAAUUUUUCACAAGCACACUAAGCACAUUAAGAUCGAUUAUCACUUGGUUAGAAAGAAACUGCAAAAUGGAAGCUUGAAGACACUACAUAUUUCAUCUAAACAUCAAGUGAGAGACUUGUUGACCAAACCUUUUUCUUCACCUCAAUUUCUUUUUCUUCUUAGUAAAAUCGAAAUUCACAAUAUUCAUUCUCCAUUUUGAGGGGGAGUAUUAGAAUAUUUGGGUAUCUUGCAGUAUGGUUACAAGUUAAGUAAAGAAUUGUUAGUUUGUUAAAUAAUUGUUAGCUUUUUUUUUUUUUUUUUUUUUGCAACUAGAUGUGUCUAUUCAAUAACUUCAUAUGGUUAUAGUUAAUUAAAGAAUCCUUUACGUAUUAACUGUUAAAAUAAUUUGUUUCCAACUUUCCUAUUAAAUUUUCUUCUGCUCAAGAUUUCAAAAAUUAUAGUUCAAGAAAGCUCUUUCGAUUUCUAUGUUGCACUGUAUCUUCUUAUAUGUUAGUACAAAUCAUACUCCUCUUUUUACCUCUUCAAUGAAUCCUUUUAGGAGUAAGACCACCAAGUGAGCACCCUUAUAUUGAUCCACAAGCUUUUUAUUACAUAUUUUUUGUUUGUGCACACCACCUCAAAUUUAAGUGGCCCAUAAAUUUUAUACUUUGGAUACCUUACCAUCCAAUCAUAAGCAUAAACUAAAUUUGAAAGGAUAAGAUUAGUUUAUUUUAGAGAAAUUGAGCUCCAAGUCCCCUAGCCAAACAUGAAGUUUUGAAGCAUGAAAUUUUUGUGAUGGGACAUAAUUGCAAUCCUUAUUAAAUUGAUCAAUUGUGUUAUGCCAAGAAUGCAAAUUAUGCAUGGCAAAGUGGUUAGAAAGUGUACAAAUGCACCAUCUUUUUACUUGUUUGUUUACUCAAAUUUCUCGGUCAAUUUUUUUUUUUCAUUCUUAUCCCUCUUGAUUGAGGCAAACAUGUUUUGGCUAGUGCUCUCAAAUUCCUUAAAUAUAUUCUUUUCAAUAUUGUAAACAUUUGGCUUGGUCAUUGUUAUAGUUAUCAAUUGUGUCAACUUUUACUUUCUCUCAUCCCCAAUUACAUAUGCACUUUGUAGCUUUAAUUUUUUUUUAGUGAUUAAUCUUAGUUUUUAUCUAAUUGUUUGCCUUAUAGUCUUUGACAUAACUAUAAGUGUAACAUGUACCUCUCACAAACCAAAAGACAUCACUUGUCUUCUUUAAUUUAAACAUUUUUGCAUCUGUGUAAGAUCUGAAACUAGAAUUUCACAACAUCGCGUAGUCAUUUUCUCUAGUUGUUUCUCAAAGCUCUCUUCAAGAUUUAGUUCAUGUUCAAUUACCAACUUUGAGUUUUCACUUUUUUUUUUUCCCAUGAGUCAUGAGGAAAUGAAUUUCAACUGUGUUUCAUCUAUCCAUCUCUCUUAAAUUGUUUUAUUCGAUAGUUACCAAUUGUAGAAUUGUUUUUAUAUAUUCUUUUCAUAGAUAUUGUUAAUAAAUUAUGCUAAAUGAGUAGCUUCCUGAUGUGGUGAGAGCUAAUUUUGUUAUUGCUAGGAUAAUAUCUUUUUAACUUUCUUAACUUUUUCCGAAUUAUAAACCACUCAUGCUUUGACCAAUCUCCAUGUGUUUUUCAUUUGUUUGGAUUUAUGGGCUUUUGAUUCUAUUUGGUGAAUAGAUAAUAAGGAAUUAAGGAUCUGAGAUUGACAUUACUUUAAGGAUGUUUGAAGAUGACAUAGUGAAGCAUAGAAUAUUUUUUUGGGUUGUAUCUCCUCAUUUCCCAUACUUAUGGUGGACAUUGAUGAGUUGGAUUAUUUGAAUGAAAUGAGCUUUGGAAAAAUACUAGUAAUUACAUGAAUUGUUGCAAUAUAUUUGAGUGAAAAUAUUAUGUUAGUGUCUCUCCAUGUCACUAAUUCAAACCUGUUACUUUCCAUUGUAAGUGGUAGAAAUAUAUUUUUUAUUUUCUAGAAAACAUUACUCUAACUUGUGAAAAAGGUUCUUAUGCCUCCAUAUUAAAUGUUAUAUGAUGGAAAAAAAACUUGAAUCUCUCUGUUUCCUCAGUCUGGAUCAGGUUAGGAAUAUGCAUAACUAUCCUAGGCUUUUUCUAAAUUCUAUGCACAACAAAAAAAUUAAUUUUUUUUAUACUUUAUAAGGAUCUAGAAAGUGCUAACGAAAACUAUACCUCAAAUUCGGAUGCUCCCGAGUCUUCCGCUCGAUGACUCAAACCUUGAUCUUGGCACACUUCUAAUGGGGAGGAAAUGAGGGUGGAGGCUAUAGUUUUCUCUCUCUCUGGAUGGUGGACGAUAAAAGCUAUGGAACCCCUAACCUCUAGGGGGUAUUUAUAGGGUUCCUAAGUGGGCUUAAGUGACUUGAGCCCAUACAGGCUUGGGUCACUUAAUCUAACCCAAAAUGAGUUCUAACUGAUUAAUUAACCCAAUAAGGCUUACUAAUUAAUCAAUUAGCCCAAUCAAGAGACCUUGUUCACUUACCCCUAUACAACCUUGCGUAAUUAUCAAAAUGCCCUUAUGCACAGAAGUGAACUUAGAGUCAAUUCAACCCUCAUAACCCAUGCCAACAAGGUAUAUGAGUUCAAAGUGGGGACCAUUGGGACCCAUAGAAAUACUGACUCCCUCAAAAUCAAAUUCUAAAGUUGAUUCAAUAUCACACUAUAGAGAAUCAACUAAACUCCAAUAUCUUAUGUAAAUAACAACGAGACACUAAGUGAUCGGGUCUGUGACUUGCUAUCCAUUGUGUUCAGUCUCCCCAUGAACUAAUGUCCGUAGUUUAAUAAGGUGAAAGCUAUUAGUCUUUCAAGACUACCUCUACCUUCUAUUUUGUGUUCAAUUGACAUAUCUUAGCUCUCAAAGAGCCUAUGUCAAGUUCCAUUUAAUGAACUACAUGACCAUAGUUUCCAUGAACACACCUCCUUAAGAUCACCCAAGGGGACACACUAUCUCAAUCCUAAGAGAUAUCAUAGUGCCUCUAUUGAAAAUACCUAUUACUACCAGCUUCUAUCAACAAUGACCCAAUCCAUACGGAAUAUAUGAUCAGCUUACGAUUUCACCUGUAGGUCAAAGUCAUUGCCAACUUUAGCACAAGCUUAAUAUUCUCUCAAGGUUGAGAGACAACACAAUGAAACAGCUUGGUGAGGUCAUGACUCAAUAAUAGCCUUAAGUCAUGACUCACCAUAAGUCUUGUCCAAUGUGUAACCAUACAUACUAGUGCACUCACCAUGGGAAACCCAUCCUGAUAACCAAGACCAGUGAUCCCUCCAAUUAGGAGGUGGUGCACUACAACCUUUAAUGGGUUGCCUAGACCCAUGAACCAAUUGUAAACAAGUCAUCUAUUUGCAAGGAACCCAUGACUUAGAUCUUCUGUGCAACUCCUAAUGCACCUAAGUCACGUACAAUACAAAAAAUGCAGACAAGAAUGCUCAUAAAGUAUAAUAUAUGGAAUAAGAAUAGAUAAAAGUGAAACUGGAACAUCAUUAAAUAAAUAAUGAAUUCCAAAUUUAUUACAUCAUGUCAUGAUUUUAAGUGCUUUAUCCUAACAUUAUAUAUUUGAGAUAAACAUGAUAUAAUGAGAUUUAUGUUUCUUUGUUAUAAUAUUUCAAUAAGUAAUUGUGUUUUAAUUUUAAUAAACUAUGCAUGCAUGAAACAAUUCAAGUAUCAUUAGCAUCAUUGGUAUCAUUGUGAGACAAAAGUUUCUCUUAUUACAUACUAAAGAGAUUUAAGUUAUCAAAAAGUGAAAACGGUUUUAUCUAGGCUAGUUUCAAGUUGACAACUUUUAAAUUGUUUAUCAUGUGAUAAAGAACUUUUCCCUACAAAUGAUACUUGAAUUGUAUAAUUAGACAGUGUAGGAAAACAUAAUAUCUAUGAAGUUAACUGUUUAUUCUUAAUUCAAUUUUUAGAAAUUUUGGUAGUCUUUCCUCUUAUUCUCUGGGUGCAUAUUUGGAUAAAGUUGCAUAGUAUGCCUUGUCCAUUUUACAUACUUAGAGAACUAUAAGGAAAUUCUACUAAAACUUCUUUAAAAUGAAAUUGACCACAUUGGUCAUUGACACAUAGAGAUUAUGUAUUUCUAUAUGGGAUAGGAACUACUACCGAAUUUAGGAUGUUGGAGAUGUUAGAAUGCAUAAAACAUGCAUCAAAAUUUGACAUACUCAAAUGAUUUUCUUUAUUUAGUAAAUUAGUAUAGAUAAUGUUUGAUGCAAAGGUCAUGGACAAACCCAAUAUAAUAAUAUUAAUAUGCACUAGUUUUAUUGAGGUUAUACAUCCCUUUUAAUGCAAGUAUUCAUGGUCAACAACAUUUAUAACUUAUUAGUCACUACUACAAAUAAGAUAUACCAUGACCUUGUUUUUUCCUUGGCACUUUUAAAAAUGUUAAUAAUUAGCGUGAUAUUUCAAAAGUGUAGAUCUAUGUUCAUAGAUCAAAAUGGUUAGAACAAUGCUUACUUUUUUUCUUUUAAAUUUGGCAUCUUAAAGAAAUGUUGAACUACACUUUCUUGAUUAUUAUUUGAACAAAAAAAAAAGGUUGUUAAACGAAUAGCAUAGAAAAUGUUGCUAUUUUCUUCAAUUUGAAGUUUGAUCACUAUUGAAAGUUUGUUCUUAAAAAAUGGAUCAUUUGUGGAUUUCAAAGGAUAGAGGACUAAAGGAGUAUGGGGAUGGGGUAGAACAUUUUUAUCACAUUUGCAAUAUAAAAUUCUGCAUAUAAAAACUCCAUUAAAUGUCCAUGCUUGUAGAGUGGUAAUAUGAUAUUUCAUACUCCUCAAAGAUUUCCUCAAAGAUUUCCUCAAAAUAUUAGAGAGCAUAUGUUUUUCUAUAGAAUUAAUCAGAAUUACCAUAUAUGUUAUUGGCAUGGGGAAGCAACUCCAAGUGAACCACCAACUAGAAGGGUAGAACAUUAUAAUAUGGUUCAAUUUAAUGAUGUAGAUAGUACAAUAGAAAUGGUUGAAGUUGUACAAGUUGAAUGUCAAAAUGACCUAAAAUUGCUUGAAAGAUUACUUCAAAUUGUUGAAAAACCUUUUAUAUCCUAGUUGUAGAAAAUUCACACAAUUGUUUGCAUUGGUUAAAUUAUACAACUUGAAAACACACUAUGAGUGGUCUGAUAAAAGCUUUUCAGAGCUUUUAAAAAUGCUUAGAUAUAUGUUGCCUCUAAAUAAUGAGUUACCCUUGUCUAUGUAUGAGACAAAAAUGGCAUUGAAUACAUUAGGAAUGGAAUAAGAAAAAAUACACGCAUGCCCCAUGAUUGUAUACUUUACAGGAAUAAGUUGAAAGAUGCAUUUCAUGUCCUAUCUAUGGAACUUCAAGGUGAAAGGUAGAUAAUAUAGGAACUAAAAAAAUGACAGGAACUCCUGGGAAAGUAAUGUGGUAUUUUCCUCCAAUUCCAAGAUUUAGAAGAAGGUUUCAAUCAUAAAAAAUCGUAAAAGACCUCAUAUGGCAUACCUAAGGAAGAGAUUUAGAUGACAAAAUGUGUUAUCCAGCUGACUCUCUAUCAUAGCUAAUUGAUCAUAAAUGGCCCAACUUUGUUUCAAAACCUAGAAACUUGAGACUUCCCAUUUUAGCAGAUGGUAUAAAAUCCUCACAAUUCAUUGAUUAGCAAAUAUAGUUGUUUGUCCUAAAGAGCUCGAAGCAGCAACUAUGGACAAUGUUUUUUUUAUCAUAAAGAGUAAGUUAUGGGCAACACUAUGGCUGUAAAUAGAGGUAAAACCUUUAACUUGUUUUUAGUUUGAUUUUUCUUUUCUUUCAUAAUGGAAAUAGAAAAUCAUCUAAACAAAUAGGACCUUAAUAAUUUUUUUUUUCUACAAUUUAUUUUUGAAUAAAAUAAUUUAAAAGAUUCCAUUCUUAUAUUUGUUAGACUUUUUUUUAAUGAAGAAAAAAAUAGUCUCCCUUUUAGCAUAUAUAUUAUAUAUGAUUAACAAUGGGUAUAAUAAAAUUUAUUUAAUAAAUAAUUGAUGUGACAUUCUAAAUUGAAAGUCAUAAAUUAGCUCAUUAGUUUGAUGUUGGCCCUAAAACUACAAGACUUGAUUACAUACUUAGAUUUUAUUCUUGAAAUUUAAGAGAUAAUUGAUGUGACAUCUUGAAUUGAAAGUCAUAAAUUAGCUUAUUAGUUUUAUGUUGGCACUAAAACUACAAAACCCAAUUACAUAAAUUUUGUUCUUGAGAAAUGUCAUUAUGGUUCAUAGUAAGGCUUAGUUUGGUGUGUUAGACCAUGCAUGCAUGAUAUCUCUUCACAUUCUCUUGUUUUUUGACAAACAUGCUACCAUACUUAAGGUGUUUGUCAAGGCUCAUCUUGGACUACUCAAAACUUUGGGGUCCUUUCUUUGAGUUCACAAGCUUCUUUCCCCUAGUGUCAACCCCAACUCCCAAAAUCCACUCCUUAGUAGUGCACUGACGAAAUCUACAAAUGCACUAUAAAGUGAGAAUGGCAUCAUGAAAAUGUAUUAAUGCAUCGUAGAUGUGGGAACUUAAAAAUAUAUAUAUAUAUAUAUAUAUAUAUCUAGAGUUUAGACUUGUUUCUAUUAAUUAGAAAUUACUAAGCAAUGAAUCUUGCUAGUGUGGAAAGUACCAAUAGAUUGACCAAGGAAGGUAUAUGUAAAAAAGAUUGACAUUGUCAAUUGGAAAAAUUCCUUUACAAACGUCAACCCUAUCUUCCUAACCAUCAUGGAUGUUGAGAAGUAGAUAUCGAUGACUAUGAUGAGGAUCACAAAGGAUUAUCAUACCAAGGAGUUAGACAUUUGUUGGGUUAUCAACAAUUUUAAUGAGGGUGGUAUUAACUAUUUGGUUGUUGAUAGUGUAUUGCGUAGUUCCACCAAGCCAAUCUGCUCCUGCAUUGAGAUCAAUCUCGAUGAAAAGGUAGCAUAUAUUUUUCAUUUCCUAAUUCUAUCAAUUGCUUCAUGGUGCCUUUGUCUAAUAAGCUUAACAGGUUCUUCUACAUUUUCACCAUUUAAUUCUCUAACGUUCAUCAUGAUAGGGUUGAAAUUUCAUCAUCAAAUCAAAACAUAUCCUCCUAUAAGAGGCCUUUGAAUUCUGAAAUAAUCAAUUCACUUUAUUCUCAUAUUGGCAAAGACAAGCUUACACUAUUGGAAAGACUACCCCUAACCUUUGCCCUCCCAAAUAGCAAAGAUGAGAGAGAACCUUUCACAAAAUCACAAGAAUUAUUCAAGUUUGGAAUUCAUAGGCAUUGUUAUUGAAUUUCAUUUGUAUAAAAUUGGUGUGUUGUGUUUAUUUUGUUGGUAUUAAAAUUGAAUUUUUUUUAAUUGCAAAUUGAUGAUUUUUUUUCUCUCUCACAUUUAUACCCAUUAGAGUUUCUUAUUAGGGUUUGUGUUUGAAAUUUGGAGAAAGUAUGGUGCAAUUGUUCAUCGGUGUGGUGUACCAUUUUGUUUGUUGUAUCUAAUAUUUGGGUAUUUGAUUUAAUUUUAUUGUUGUUGAAAUUGAAAGUUGAAAUCCAAGUUAAUUGUUUAACUAGCUAUUUGUAGUUGACUUGUUUUGCACCAAUCUUGAUUACCCAUUUCAUGGGAAUAAUCGAUUCCAAUUUUCCUUCAUGGUUACUAAAAAUAUAUUGUAGGUGAAGGACUAUUAUGGAGUAUAUUAAUUCACAAGAAAAAUGUUCCUUUAGUUAGUAAAAACUUCAUUCAUGUGGUCAUUUAUGAGCAUCAUAAUAAUCCAUAUUAAAAAUAUUUAAAAACAUUAAUGCACUAAAACAUUGAUUUCAUCAACAAAAAUACACUCAUUCUUUUGACUUAUAGCAUUCAAAGAUGUUUAAAAAUAUAUAUGUACAAUAAAACAUCAUCGAAUUUAUUAACAAUUAAACUUUUAACCCCAAAACAAUCCGUUACUUUAGUAGAUAAGACACUAUUGGAAUAACAUUAUUUUUAGCUCAAGUUAGAAGUUAAAAUGAUAAGGUUAAAAGAACAAAACCAACAAAAAAAAAAAGUUAUUUUUUGUCAAACUUGACACUAGUACAAUUUAAAUAAUGUAGCUCAAUGCCCUAUUGAAUUGAGUCAUAUAACUAGACUCCCUAAUUAUAUAUUAUGAUACACACACAACCUUUGGUCUAGUAUACAUGAUUAAAUUAAAUGCCAACCUAGUUUGCAAAGCUAAACUGGAAUCCCAAAUCUAGUUCAUUAUAAAUACUCUUCAACCAACUUGCUACAACAUUCAAAUAAGACAAUGACAAUGAUAGAAAACCAAAAAAAUACCUAAUAUAUCAUUGAAAACUCCUUCCUAAAGGAGGUAAAAAAAAUCAUGAAGUAACUUUCUUCUAUUAAUAAAAAUGGGAAUACAAUGAUCUAUAUAGUGUUUUAACUCGAAACUGAUGGUAUUACAAAUAUUAAAGAAGAAAUUUAAAACACACACACACACACACACAACAAGCAUGUUGUCAAGCUUAUAAGAGUUGGAGAAAUUUCUCCAUAUAAAUCUUCAAAACAUGAUGGAGAGUAACCUUGACAUUUAAGUCAAUAAUAUACAAGGAAAGACAACCCAAAAAGAUACAACUUUGAGAACAAACUCUCCUUUUUGCUUUUUUACAUAACCUUUUUUUUUUUUUUUUCCUUUUUGAAAACUUCUCUCCUUUCCUCUAAUUGUUACACCAUACAACAAUCCUAAAAAAACAGAGUUUAAAGGCUUGUUUGAUAACUGUUUUUAAAAAUAAUUUUGAAAAAUAGUUUUUGAAAAUUAUUCUCUAAUGUUUAAUUUGUAGAACAAAAGUUUGUUUGGAAACCCAAAAUAUUUUUAACAUGUUUUUAAUGUUGUUAAAUAUGUUUUAAAAAUAAUUUUUAUGUUUAGUAUUUUAUUUUUAAUCAUUUUAUAUGUUUAUAUAAUUAUUUUUUAAGGCAAACCUUAAAAAAUAAGUGAAAAUAACAUAAAACACUUAAAAGAUAUUAUCUGAAAACACCUUAUUUUAUUGUAACAGAAAAUAAAAAGCGGUUUUUGGUUGUCAAACAUGUUUUCUUAAUUUUUUAUUUUGAAGAAUAGAAAUUUGUUCUUGAAAAUAUCUAGUUAUCACAUUAGUUAUUGCCCAUUUUAUGAUUUUAAUUAUUGCUUAAAAACUAGUUUUUCAGCUAAAAAAGAAGGUCCACUACUUAUGGGUCAAACCUUCAACUUUCAAACCCGAACACAAAGUUAUAGUCAAGACUAAUAUUCACAUAUUAGUAUUAAUAUAGUUCAUUAAAUAUGAAUUUCUAUUGAAGCCAAAAUCGAGUUUUUAGGGGAAGUAACAUUCACUUUCAAUUAAGCAAUUUUUAACUCAUAAGUUAGUACUUGUAACAAAAUUUCUUAAUAGAGACUUUAAUUGAGUUUUAAGAAGAAUUUUUUGUUUGUUAAAAACCAAUUCAAACAAAAUCUAAAACUAAUAUUAUUAUCUAAAAGACAUAAUGAACAACAUAAACCAUAAACCAAAGUGGUAGUGACAACCAAUAUGUAGCGUCAAUGAAUAAUUGAAAAUAACCUCAUUUUCUAAUGACCUCGAACCUAGAAGCUCUAAAAUUCUUGCCUAAUUCCUUGUGAUGACUUUGGUUCAACCUUAAUGGCGAGGGCAAAAUUCUAAAUAAUUUUUGUCACAACUCAUAAAUUUAGAAGAAAAAAAUGAGAAUAAAUGGAAUCCCUAAUGAGAAAUUGUUAUUUUUCCCCUUUAUGACAAAAAUAGUAACCUACUAGUAUUAUUAAAUAACAUGGAAAUUAUUAUUUCAACUUUAAUACCAUGUAUGACAUAACUUUAACAACCUUAAUUUAUAAGAUUAUUUAAUUUAAAAGGAUAAAACAAUUACAUAUUCAUAAGAAUCGCUUCUAUUUUUUAAAAACAAUAAAUUCCAUUUUUUGGACAAAAAUACCCUCCAUUGUUUUUAUCAACAUUUCACAAUCAAACACUUAUUGGAAAAAAAAAAGUAUAAGGGUAGCUAUAUUAAAAUGAGGUUAUAAUUAUAAUACUCAAUAAGUGGAGAUUUUUUUUCCAAAUAUUGGGAUCAUCUUCUCCAUUUGACACAAAUAUUUAUAAUUUAUAUUAUAAUUACUCUUAUAGUAAGAGAGAAAGAGUAAUUUCACAUGAAAUGGACCCAUAAACAUAGAUUUAUUAUGAGGCAUGAUACUAUAAUAAUAAUAGGAAAUAAGACGAGACGUGAUACCAUAAUAAUAGAAAAUAAGAUAAGUAAUUCAAUACUUAAUGAAGGUCUGAAAUAAUUAUGUUUCUCAUUAAAUGAUAUUAAAGACGAAAAAAAACUUAUUAAUUUUUAUUUUAAGUAUUAAGAUUAUUUAAUAAAAUUAACUUAAAAUUUAUUUUAAAUUAUCAAAUUGAUAUAUUUAUUUUCAUAGAUUAUAACUAAGGUAAAUGAAAUCAAGUAAUAAUGGAUGUCAUGUAGUGAAAGAGAUCCUAGAGGCAACGGGACAAAUUGUGGUAAAAAAUGUCAAAUAAAAAUACGAACUUAAGAACAAAUUAAUUGUUUGUACUUAUUACUUAAAGUUGUUAUUUAUUUUAUAUUAUUAAAUUAUUUUACUAAAUAUGCUUAAUUUAUUUAAUGACUUAAAUUAAUUUAUUAGUCACUUUAGGCUAUUAAAUCGGGUUUACCAAUCAUAUCGAAUACAUUUGGCUAGUAGGCCAAGACUCAAGAAUAUUGCUAUCAUAUGUUUUAUGUAUUAAGGUGCCAAGAAUAAUUCACCACAAAAUAUAUGAUGAGUUGAUAAGUAUAGGAUACAAUCUAAAAUAUGCACUUGAUUUCAUCAUCUAAAUAAAUGCUCUCGGCAAAUGGAUCAUCCUAGCUGAUACCAGAGCACAAGCCGCCAUGGACAGGAGGCAACGGAGAAACCCUUCUGCUUCUUCUUCUGCCUUUUCAUCUCCAGCUUCAUCCUCAUCGCGUUUCCGCUCAGAGAAAUUCUCCUCGAAUCCCCCAAAAACUAGUAACUCCCUGGAGGAUGCUCACCAAUUGAAAAGCAAAUGUGGGAAGCCACAAAGACCAAAGCAAGAGGAGGAAGGAGAGCAAGAUCCGAACAAUCUUCUCUCCUUAGUUGGAACUUGCCCAUUCAUGUGCCCUGGUAAAAAUGCGUGCUUAUUUUUCCAUUUUUUUAAAAUUCUAUUUUCCUGUUAUUCUGUGUUUGGUUUCCGAGAAAUUGGAGGAAAACAGUAGAAAAGAGAAGUGAAUCUGGAGUUUCUGUGUCAUUUUUGUGGCUUUUACAUAAAUUUUACAAAUAAAAUUGAUAUUUCUCCCCCUUUAUUAGAUACCAAUCUGCAGAAGAUGUAGGAAUCCCAAAAAAAAAUUCGCUUUUGCCUUUACUUCCCCCAAAUCUUUCAUAAUGGAAAAUGGACUUACCACCUCUUUUAUCACUUUUCCUUUACCAUGUCAGGUUUACAUGUAAUCAAACACUGUAUUUGGAGUAGGGCACUUAUUCUAAUGUCAAAUGGUGUUGAAAACUUGAAUUACUGGAUCUUAAGACUCCAGAAGAAAUUUGAUUGUUUAUGAUUAUUGCUCCAUGAGAAGGGAAAGGGAUUUCUUUUGUUUUUGCUCACAUAUAUGGCCAAAUUGAUUUAUCUCCUUCUCAUACGAACAAAAUAAGGACAUUUCUUGUCUUGCUGCCUUUUAUGCCACCGGUUCCACAUGCUGAUGUGACAACCCUUUUGCUAUUCUGUACAAAUGGUAGGAAAAUUCUGGUAAGACUGGUGGCCAGCCUAUCAUGUUCAGGGAAUAAAUUCAUUGUAUAUCUGGAAUUCACUCUAUAUCAGCAUAGGGUGUUGAUACUGAUUAUAAAUGACAAAUUCAAUUUAUUAUCCUUACAUUAGGGAGUGCUAAAAGGAUGCAAAUUGUUCAUGUUAUACCCAAAGACAUACAAGUGAUGCUAGAGAUUUUCACAAUGUGGAUAAUCAUAGAGUAGAGAUGAACACUAUGGAGUCUUUUGGCAUGUGUUCAUUCCAUGUACGGGAACAUGCAUUGGAAGAUUAUGUUUCCUCCUCCCUUCCCCUCCCCAAAGUUAAUACUAUGUUGUCAUGGCAAGAACUUUGGUGACAUGCUUCUGAGUGGAAUAGCCUCCUAGAAGUCCAUUUAUGUGGCAGUUGGCAAGUUCUUCCGGUCAAUGAGAACUUUGUGACUGUCUGAUUGUUGUACUAAUCAUCAUCAGAUUUUUUUUUAAGUUCAAGUUGUAAAUAGCCUUUCACAGUUGAAGGUAGCGAUGAAGAGGCCUGUUGACAUAAUUAUUUCUUCUGCUUGAAUGGAUUAAAAUCAGAUACCACACCUUCAGCCUAGAAAACUAUGGACUUUCCUAUGUACCUGCAAUUGGCUGAAUACUGGUGUGGCACUGACUAAAGGCUCUCUGAUGCUGUUAUUAAUUUCCUGAGCAAAUUAGAGAAAACAGAGAGGUCAUAAUGUGAAUCAGUUACCUCUUGAGUAGGGAUGAAGGCUUUUUAUAACUUUUUACUUUCUGGUUAGGCCUUGGAAGCACUUCUGUGAACCAUGAUUUUGUACUGUAAAAUUAGAUGGGAUGGAUAGGUCACCUUAACUCUACUUUUGGAAGUGAUUGGGGAGCGCAUGACUGUAUGAAUAUUGAUGUGUUCUCCCCAUACAGAGCCCAACUUCUUUUUGAACUAGGAAGCAUGAAGGGUGGGUGGAUGUGGGCUGAGGAAGGAAGAUUUGACUUGUGUGCCGCAGGCCUGCGGUACCAAUUUGUUCCAGAACUUGAUAAGGCCCAUAAACUGGUAGGCAAGUUUCAUUAUUUGGUCACCACUGAAUUUUGGCAGUAUGGCCACAAGGAAGGUAGGAAGGAGAGGGAGAAGAGAAAACCCCAAUUGCCAAUUGCAAGCUUCCGGUUGGCACAGUGCUCAUUGCUGACAUUUUCAUUUGAUUUUGACCUUGCAACAGAUACAGCUUAACAUGAUGGACCAGUUUUUCACAAUCUUGUGAUUCAUUACCCAACUUCUAGUAACAGUUUCUCAGCAGAUGACUCACCUAUGACAGGCUGAUGAUGUCUGCACACAACUUGAAAGGUAUUCAUGCCAAGGUGUGAAAGGUAAUAUUGUGACACCAUUUUGCCUAUUCCAGAAAAUGUAACAAAUGUAUGGCUGGUUCUUGACCUAAAAAUGCUGGCAUUGGUCACCAAGUGCUAGGGUGAUUCUUGACAAAAAAUGUUCGUAUUGUUCAGAACAAUGAUUUACAACUUCAGAUUGGCCAUCCAGUUAACGAUGAUAAUCACUUGUUUUACAAAGUUCAGUGUCAUAAAAGCAAAAUAAUUUUGUCAACAAAUAUGCGGAUAACUUUAUCAUAAUUACUACUUAUGGAAGUUAAGGAUAAGUUGGGUAAUGUGAGAAAGUUUUGGUCAGAGGAUAUGAGGAUAAAUUUGUUGCAAUUGCUAAGCUUCACCUCCUAGGACUACUAGGAGAAACGUAUGAGCAAUAGAACAAAUUUACAGUCCAUCCCCAUUAGCUGCAUGGAGAGGUUGGGCUUAUUGCUGCUAUGGUGGAGGUCACCUUCUUGUAGACUUUGAAAUCUGCGAAUGAAGAGGCAGAUUUCUUAGAGGAAUUGGUAGGACUCCAAGCCCCCCAAAUGACAGGGGGGUGGGGAGGAUGGGGGUGGUGGGGGGCCAUUUCUAAUUUCAUGUCUUCUCAAUGUGGAUUUGAGGUUUAACGAGAUUUUUGGGAAAUCAUUAAGGUUAAAAGUAAUUGAAAGAGUGUGUCUGUGGAGAGCAAGAGGGGGAAAUGUUUGGUUCCCAACUGGGGUUGCUUCAUCUGACCGUUAAUCUCACAGCAAACACCGACGGAGCGUUGUUGUUGGAGGCUUCCAGGUUCUCUGAUCAAUUCUCUUGUUCUUUGUUUUCUUUGGGGAAGCGGGAAACCUCUCUUUCUUCUAUUCCUUCUGGGCGGGAUGGGGAAGGUGUUGCCAUUGCCAGGGUUUCCGAUCAGGGCAGUGGUUUAGAAGCCGUAGGGGGAGCUGUUAUGGGCCCGUUAAGGAUGAUAUUGGCGGAUGGGAGGGAGGCCGAGGUCUCAAAUUUGGCGGGUAGGGAGUUUGGGACUUUCGAGGAGGCGUCAGAGGGGGUUUCGAAAAGGGUCUCCCAAGAGGAUGAAGAAGAGAGGGACAAAGAGGGGGAACUGUGUUGGCAUUCUAGUAGCUUGGCUAAGUUCAGCCGCUAUCUUGGAAUGCCGAUGGAGGGCUUCGAAGGGGAAAUUUUGUUUUUGCUUAAAAGAAUGAAAGAGAAGAAACUUCAAAAAGGAAAGUUGAAUGGCAGAAAAAGGAAAAAAUUGGAGUCAUCAAAAUUCGAAAUAGAAUUGAGAAAGUUGGAAUGGACAGUGAAUUAUCUUGGAGGAGGAGGAGGAGAGGGGGGGGAAGUACGAGCAGGUCUAAAUGAAGCUCCGACUGCUCACUUGGAAUGUAAGAGUGACCAAUAAUUGUGAUAAGAGGAAGGUGAUCAAAGCGUUGAUAAAGAAGAAUAGGGUGGAUCUGGUUUGCCUAUAGGAAACCAAGAUUUAGGAAAUGUCAAUGGGCAUUAUCCGUAGCUAAGGAGUGGGAAGAUUCCUUGAAUGGGGAGCUGUAGAUUCAAGGGCACAGCUGGAGGUAUAGUGGUGUUUUGGGAUAACAGGGUGUUGGAUUUGGUUGACCUUCAAAAAGGAUUGUUCUCUAUUUCUUGCACUUUUAAGAGUUGCGAGGACGGUUUCAUAUGGACGUUUACAAGGGUUUAUGGCCCAACAUUGAGGAGGAAUAGGGAGAGUUUUUGGGAGGAGUUGGGGGCCAUUAAGGGGCUUUGGAAUGGGCCGUGGUGUGUUGUAGGGGAUUUUAAUGCCAUUCUAAGUCCGGAAGAGCGCAACAGAGGAGGGAGCUUGAAUUCAAACAUGAGAAGGUUCUCAGAAGUUAUAGAAGAUCCAGAGUUAAAGGAUCUGCCUAUGGUUGGGGGUCCUUUUACUUGGAUUGGAGGGGUGAAUAACCAGUCUUUUUCAAGGCUGGAUCGUUUUUUGGUUAAUGAGGGGUGGGACAGUCAUUUUGGUGAUGCGAGGCAGUUUGUUCUACCAAGACCUGUGUCCGAUCACUUUCCGGUUCUUCUGGACGGAGGGGGCCUGAGAAGAGGCCCUUCCCCAUUUAGAUUUGAGAAUAUGUGGCUGAAACUGGAAGGUGUUAAGGACCUUUUGAAGCAUUGGUGGGAGGAAGGUAGCUUCAGUGGAUCCCCAAGUUUUAUCUUGGCCGAAAAACUAAAAUUUAUGAAGGCUAAGCUGAAGAAGUGGAACAGAAACACAUUUGGUAGGGUUGAAUAUAGAAAGAAUUUGGCUUUGGAGCAGGUGGAGUUUUGGGAUACCAAGGAGAAAAUUAGCAGACUGUUGUUGGAAGAGCUGGAAGCUAGAAAAGAAGCGAGGGAAGAUUAUAAAAAAUGGGUCUUACUUGAAGAAAUCACGUGGAGGCAAAAAUCUAGGGAAGUGUGGCUGAAAGAAGGGGAUAGAAAUACCGGUUUUUUCCACAAGAUGGCCAAUGCUCACAGGAGGAGGAAUAAUGUGGACAGAAUUAAGAUUAAUGGAGCCUAGCUUACAUAGGAGAAUGGAAUUAGGGAAGGGAUUGCCAAUGCUUUUAGGUUGUUGUUGUCCAAUCCGGGGGAAUGGCGCCCUUCUAUUUUCGAGCUGCAGUUUGAGACUUUGGAGCCUUUGGACGCUAGUGCCUUGGAGAUUCAUUUUUCGGAAGAGGAGGUCUUCGAUGCACUAUUGGGCUGUAAUGGGGAUAAAGCCCCGGGGCCAGAUGGAUUCUCUAUGACCUUUUGGCAAUUUGCUUGGGAUUUCGUGAAGGCUGAUGUGAUGUGUUUCUUCAAGGAGUUCAAUGAAAAUGGCAAAUUUGUUAAAAGCCUAAAUGCAACUUUUAUGGUCCUAAUCCCAAAAAAAGCAGGGGUUGAAGCCUUAGGGGAUUUUAGGCCUAUAAGCUUGGUGGGAAGCUUGUACAAGUGGCUGGCCAAGGUCUUAGCUAAUAGGCUAAAAAAGGUGGUUGGAAAGGUGGUCUCCAAGGCUCAAGGGGCGUUUGUGGAAGGUAGACAAAUCCUAGAUGCAGUGUUGAUAGCUAAUGAAGCCAUUGAUUUGGUUCUCAAGAAUAAUGAGAAUGGCAUUCUGUGCAAACUGGAUAUAGAGAAGGCGUAUGAUAACAUGGACUGGACUUUUAUUCUCACAGUUAUGCAGAAAAUGGGUUUUGGGGAAAAAUGGAUCAGGUGGAUUAAGUGGUGUAUAUCCACUGCAGGUUUCUCCGUGUUGGUCAAUGAAACCCCUACGGGUUUCUUCCAAAGCUCCAAGGGUUUGAGACAGGGUGAUCCCCUUUCCCCUUAUCUCUUUGUGAUAGUUAUGGAGGUCUUUAGUGCUUUUCUUAAAAGGGCUGUAGAGGGAGGUUUCUUAUCGGGUUGUAGGGUGAAGGGUAGGAGUGAAGAAGGGGUCCUAAUUUCCCACUUGUUGUUUGCUGAUGAUACACUGGUGUUCUGUAAACCUUCACAAGAUCAAUUGACUUAUCUCAGUUGGUUACUUAUGUGGUUUGAGGCCGUUUCGGGAUUGAGAAUAAAUUUGAAAAAAAGUGAACUCAUUCUAGUAGGGAGGGUAGAGAAUAUGGAUGAUCUUGCUUGGGAAUUUGGUUGUAGACUGGGUAGCCUUCCAACCACCUAUUUGGGGAUGCCCUUGGGUGCUCUUUUUAAGUCAGUUACAGUUUGGGAUGGUGUGGAAGAGCGCUUCUGAAGAAGGUUAGCCAUGUGGAAGAGACAAUAUUUAUCCAAGGGAGGAGGGCGACUCUUAUUCGAAGCAUGUUAUCGAAUUUACCCAUCUAUCUCAUGUCAUUGUUGUGCUUACCAAGCUCAAUUAGACGGAGAUUAGAGAAAAUCCAAAGGGACUUCCUUUGGGGUGCAAUUUGGAGCGAAAGCCUCAUUUAGUAAGAUGGGAGUUGGUGUGUUUAAGUAAGAAGAAAGGAGGUUUGGGGGUCAAAUGCCUUUCCAUUCUCAACAAGGCUCUUCUUGCUAAAUGGAAUUGGCGUUUUGCAAAUGAGAGAGAAGCUUUGUGGAAUCAAGUGAUUAGGGGGAAGUAUGGAGAAGAUAGAGGGGGUUGGUGCUCUCGGGAAGUGAGAGAGGCUCAUGGUAUGGGGUUGUGGAAAGGAAUAAGGAUGGAUUGAGAGUUGGUGAGCGAUAGGAUGGUUUUCAUUGUUAGUAAUGGGAGGAGGGUGAGAUUUUGAAGGGAUAGAUGGUGCGGGGAUUCUCCUUUGUGUAUGUCUUUUUCUUCUCUUUUUGAUUUGACUGUUGAAAAGAAAGCGUGGGUGGCAGAUUUUGGGACCCUUUGGCUAAGGGGGGUUUGGGGGGGGGGGGGGGGGUGGGAACCCCGUUUUUUAAAACUUUUCAAGAUUUGGGGGGAGAGGGAGGGGAAAAAUUUUUUGCGAAGGUUUCUGGUUAAAAAAUUUUUUGGGNNNNNNNNNNNNNNNNNNNNNNNNNNNNNNNNNNNNNNNNNNNNNNNNNNNNNNNNNNNNNNNNNNNNNNNNNNNNNNNNNNNNNNNNNNNNNNNNNNNNAAAAAAAGGGUGGGGGGGCAAUUUUUGGGCCCUUUUGGUUAAGGGGGUUUGGGGGGGGGGGGGGGGGUUGGAACCCCUGUUUUUAAGAGCUUUCAAUGAUUGGGAGGUAGAGGAGGCGGAAAGAUUUUUGCAGAGGCUUCAUGGUAAGAGAGUUAUUGAGGAUGUGGAGGAUAUGGUGUCUUGGACUGAAACUAAGAGUGGUAAAUUCUCGGUCAAGUCUCUUUAUGUUGCCCUUGAAGCGGGUUGUUCAUCUCUGUUUCCUUUAAGCUAUAUUUGGAAUGUGAAUGUGCAGCCCAAGAUUAGUUUCUUUACAUGGGAGGCUACGUGGGGCAAAGCCUUAACCUUGGAUAUGGUCCAGAAAAGAGGACGGGCAUUGGCAAAUAGAUGCUUUAUGUGUCUUGAGAAAGAGGAGACCAUAAACCAUCUGCUCCUUCAUUGUUCAAGAACAAGGGUGUUAUGGGAUCUACUUUUUACUUUAUUUGGGGUGUCUUGGGUAUUGCCUUCUUCAGUUAGAGAGACCCUUCUAAGCUGGAAUGGUUUUUUCGUGGGCAAAAAAUGCAAAAAGGCGUGGAGAGUUGCUCCUCUUUACAUUUUCUGGACGGUUUGGAAGGCGAGGAAUAGAUUGGCUUUCAAGGAUGAUAUGUUGUCAAUUUAGCAACUGAAACACUCUUUUAUCCUUUCUUUUUGGUCCGAGAUUAAGUUGUUUAUAGAUGAUUGCCCUCUAACUAUAGCUAAUUUUAUUGAUUGGUUGGGCUCUAAGUAGGAUUGGGUUGUUGGGCUAUCUUUGUUUUUUAGCCUUGUUGGAGGCGGGUGUAUAGGUAUUGUAUACCUUGAGUCACUUUUUUAGCGUUUCUUUUAUAUAUGAAAUCUUAUUUACUUAUCAAAAAAAAAAAAAAUGUAAUCGAAGACUUUCACAUUAAUGAGGUAAUGAAUAACCACUGAUACUUCUUCACCCCAAAGUUCCUUCACAAAAAUUUGGUAAGUGAAGAACCAUUUCUGAGUUGUGAAGCACCAAUUCCACCUUCAUUAUCUUGAUCUUUAGAAAGAGGGAUCCAACUUGAUUUGGGAUUUUAUACCUGUCAACCCAGUCACUAAUUUUUAGGAGAAUACUUCCAAUUUACCCUUGGGUUGCUUUAGAAAGUUUCUUAAUAGUGCCAUCUCUCUAGCUUAAGGGGCUUUUGUUAAUGGAAGGCAAAUACUAGAUGUGGUUAUCAUUAGUAAUGAAAUCCUAGACAAAUACUAGAUGUGGUUGUCAUUAGUAAUGAAAUCCUAGAUGAAAAAUUCUGUUCUAAGGACGAAGGGAUGGUUUUUAAAAUAGGUUUUGAGGAAGUUUAUGAUCACAUAGAUUGGGGUUUCAUGUAUGAUACAUACUUUGAAUAGGGAAGGCCUUGAACCUGGAUGGCACAAAGGGACUGGAUAUUUUGAGGUUGUUUUUCAAACUGCAGGCUCUUUAAUGGUGUUAUUGAAGCUGAGUGUUUAGCACUCGAGGAAGAUUCGGAUAUGGUUGUUUGCCUGGAUGUAAUGAACCUCCAUAUUGAAGGGGAUUCCUUUGUUAUUGUCUCAAAACCUUCUUUGAAGGCAAAGGUCCUUAGUGGAUUGCUCAUCAGAUGGGGUGGCUUCAUAAUCAUGCUAGAGACAUUGCUUGUUCUUCUCUAUUGAGGCCCAGAUCAGCUAGCCAGGUGCAUGGCUAUAUUUUUCUUAUAGGGAUGCUAAUAUCUGAAAAUUUUUAUUGAGAACACUUACUGCUCUUUGAUUGGUUUGAGGCAUGGAGUGGCUUUUCUGUUCUCUUCUUGCCAUACAUGCAUAUCAUCCCUCUUUUUUAUCUUGUUUAACUCAAUAAAUUCUCAUUUGUUAUAAGGAAAAAAAGAGAUAUUAUGUUACAUGAUGGAAGGACUUUAUUCUGUUAUGGAAUAGGCAAAACCUAGAUCUAUUGGCUAGAGCUAUACAGUAGGUUGUUGGGCUGUUCAGCAUUGUCUUUUUUUUGGAUAGGUUUGGCCAAUGCCCCUUGAUGUUACUUUUUGGUAAUGUAAUUUUCUUUGAUUUUUCUUGAAAAUUCCUCAUUUUUCAAGCUUGCUUGUAUAUCUUUCCUUCUUCCAUUAAUGAUUGUUUGAUUCCUUACUAAAAUAAAUAACAAAUUAUGAUGCAAAAGGAUUACGUUUAUGGAAAAUUUUGAGAUUUUCACCAUAUUAGAGUCUCUGAAGUUGGUACUUGUCUUGACACAGAUAAUAGGAAUCAUUUUCCCCCCAAACUACAUAAGACAUGUCUGCUACUUGGUAAUGUUCCAUUGGCAGUUAUAAACUCUCCUGUCAAAAGUGAAUCUGUUGUAGCAUUCCAAAUGGUGUAGUGUCGUACAUAGAUUGGUAAUUGAGGACUUUAUUAUGGAUUUUGUCCUGUUGUGGUUGUGCCAACAAGUUCUAUCCUGUUCUUUGUCUUGCUGAUUUGGGUGGUUGUGCAUCAUGUUCCUACAGCUGUAUAAUUAUGCUUCAGGAGCAUAGUUAUUCUGGUUUUACCAUCCAGAUGAUGGUAUUAAAGUAUUUGUAUUCUAGAUUGCGCAACUCCUUAUAUGGGAUAUUUUUGCACCAAAUGCUUAGUGAUCAAGAGAACUCUCAUAUUAAACACAGUCAUCUUCUAUUAAACUAAAUUCCUUAAGUAUGCAGUCUCACAACUACAUCAUACCAUUCUUUUCCUUUUUUAUUCCUUUCUUGCUAUUACAGGUUGGUUGCCACUAAUAUAGUAGAAAGCAAAUUACACGACCCUGCUUCCAUAAGACCUUUCUUAUUCCAUAGGUUGAAAUAGAAAAAACACUCGAUGGGACUAAUGUUUCUCUUUGCAACCAAGCAAAUUAAAAUGUUUUGAAACCCAUGCUGCCAUGAUCUUAGCUAAUUUGCAUUUUAUAUCUCUACCCCUUUCUAUUUACCAUAAUGAUGCAUGCAUCUAGUCAAAUUGUGUAUUUCUUAUGCUUAUAUUUAUUUCCUGAUGAGUUUAUUCUGACUCUUUGAUCAGGAUUUCUGCAAUCACAUUGCUUGCUAUUGAAUUUUCAAUGGCUUAAUAUGAAUUAUUAAUAAAGAUGUUGUUUAAUUAUUUCAGCAGCUUAUACUUGGUAAUUUCUUUUAACAACUCUUAUCUCUGAUGUUCAUUUGUAAUAUAUAGCUGGAGAAAGGGCCCAACGUGAACGCCUUCGGGACUUGGCUGUGUUUGAGAGGUUACAUGGAAAUCCUGGGAAAACAUCUCCAAGCCUUGCUGUCAAAAAGGUAAACCCUACAUCUCAUUCCUCUAUACCGCAUCUUAGCUUCUCAUCUUGCAUCGGACAAUGAUACUCUUAUUGAAUCAUCUUUACCAUAUCAGCCAUCAACAUGUGCACUUAUUGAGCGCUAAUUCAGGCACUGAUACUUGUGCUUUUGUUUUGUUUUGUUUUAUCUUGUCUUGUUUUGUUUUGGAGGUGAUUGUGUUGGAUGACCUAUAUCUGUGUUAGACACCAAAGCCUAUCUUAAUGCUACUGUAAAGUAAGACUAUGCUAAUAAGCUAUUGAUCUGUUACAGGGUUUAUGCCAAACUGAUUUUUUAGUUUCUCUAGUAGAAAACUUGUUUUUUCCCCUGUUAUAUCGGUGCUAUUGUUGGAUUUGUGUUUGUUGUUGAUCAAGCAUUUGCUGAAACCUUUUUUUUUUUCCUUUGCUUCUUGAUGUGCAAAGCAUUAUUGUUUGAAUUUUAAUGAUCCCAUUUGAUUCACUAUUCAAUAUUUUUAUUUGAUAUUACAUCUAUCUCAUUUGUUUUCUUUUCUUAGUUUGUUUGUUUGUUUUUUUUUUUUUUUUUUUUUUGAAUUUGUGACAUUUGAAUUUGAUGGAGCCACCAUUAAUUUAUUUUUCCUUAUUAUUGUGGGGUGUGCUUUAUUUUGUUCAAUUGUUGUUGCACUAUUAUUGUCAUGUAACUUUUCUUUUUUGUUUUGUUUCUAUUGUUCCUAUGAGCAUUAAAUGCUUCUAAAAUGUAUGGAACAGGCUAAACCUUUCUAUAGUUUUUUUAAAAAAAAAACUCAUUUAUUAUCUAUUUUCUUGUGCUCAAAAAAUUAUAUUUUUUUAGUAAAAUUGAAAAUUUAGGGAGCGCUUAGGCCUCAGCGGCUCAACCCCUUGAGGGUUUAGGCCUGUCAUAGCAAGAUGUAAACCCCCUUGCCUCUUAUGCUUUUACCUUAUGAAACUAUACCAAGAAACAAACACCACAACUCCCUGCUGCCAUCAAAGGAUACUUCAAAGUUUGCUUCAAAUCAAUCUUAAGGCCAAUUAUCAUAGGCUUGUCAUCAUGUCACUAAAAUUGGUAUUGUAACCAAAGUCCUAUUGCGAAAUCUUCAAGUUGCAGCUCCUCCUUUUCUGUUGGCUCUUGUAUUGUUAGGUGGCCGCAACCUGUUGCUUUUCUUAUGCUUUAUGAACUACUCCAGUUAAAAUAAUGCUUCAAGUAGAUGCUUUCUGGAUCUUGAUUCUAGCAAGAGGCUUAUAUUGCAAAUUUUUUUGUGGAGUCCUAGAUAGGUUAACUAGGAAGACAAUAGCUUGCUUAAGAGGAUUGCCACCUCUCCUUUUGGGUUUGUAAAAAUUUUGGUUCUCCCUUGACCUUGGGAGUCCUAUGGUUUCAAUUUUGGAUGUGCUCUAGGUUGUAGCCUGUGUUAUGCUUUCUAAAUGGUAAUCUUCUUCUUGUUUUAGCUGGGAUGCUUUUGUUUAUUUUGCUCGUUUGUUUUCUUUGUUUCUUUAUUGUGGCUGUAGGAUCACCAAUCAACUUUUUAUUCUCUGCAAAAACUGUUUAUGUUUCAUAACGAAAAAGGAAAAAACAAAGGCAAGUUAGCCUAGAAUAGGUUUUAUCUUGUUUCUUCUUUUACCAUUAGUGUGGAUUCAAACUCAGGAAGAGGCCUUCAAACAAGUGGCAUUUGUGUUUUUUAAACAUAUAUCUUUAUUCAAUCAUUGUUAAGUGUUUGUUGUCUUGUCUGUUCUUUUGGUUGUUUUUGUCUUUGUCAAAGUGUAUAAUUAUAAUAUCCCACAUUGUAUAGAGGAAAAAGUUUCUAACGCUAUAUAUGUAUGAACUUUUUUUAAUCUUGUUGAUUCGUUUUUAAGCCGCGAGGGUCGUUUAGGCUCAAAGCAAAUAAUAUCCACACAACUGGGAGUAGGUUGUUACAAAUGGUAUCAAAGUCAAUCCUCGACCUUGGUAGGAGAGUUUGCUUGGCCUAAAAUGGGUGUCCGUUUAUUUGACCUUACAAUCCUAUGGGACACAAUAAGGACGUUGUGUCUGCAUGAGAGGGUGAUUGUAAUAUCCUACAUUACAUAGGGGAAAAAGUUCCUAACGUUAUAUAUCAUAGUUUUAAAAGGCUCAAGGCGCACCAAGGCGCAAAGUAGUCCUGGAGCCUGAGGCGCAAGGCGCAUCUAAGGCGCGGGCUUUAGUGAAGUGAGGCGCACCCUAAUUUACAUAUAUAUUUUUAUAUAAUAUAAUCAAAUUUAACAAUCAUUUAUUUGUCCUAAACACAUAAAUCAUCAAAUAUCAUCCAAAACUUCAAUUUAAUAAACAAAAAACAUAAAAAUAAAGAACUCCAAGCAUAAAAACAAAUCCAAAUCCAUAUUGCUAAUUGCCUAAUACAUAUCCAAAUCCAAAGUUUCCAAACCUAAAGGUCCAAAACAUGAAAUUUGUCCACAAUUCAAAAACAUCAUUAAAAAACACUUAAAUCACAAAUUUGUCCACAACAAGCAAUCAUCACUCCUCCUCUAAAUCAACAAAAUCAUCAUCAUCAUCAUUUCCAUCACCACAUUUGUAGCCUUCCCCAUCUUCUUCAUCUGCUGAAUUAACCAUGUCUCCAUCUUCAUCUUCAUCUAUUAGUGAAUAAGAAGGCAAAGUUCUAGAACUUGAAGCUAUCCCCCUUGUUGGUGGUAUUAUGCUUGAGCUUGCUCUAGCUCUAGCUCUAGUAUCAAACCUGGCCUCCUCAUCUCCAGCAGCUCUAGCAACAUCACCCCAUGUCAAAUUGUCAUCAUCAAAUACAAAAUCAUCUUGUGCACCUCCAUGAGAAUCCUCAUCUUCCAUUCUCCCUAUCAACCAUUCAUUGCUAUCAUCUAUAUCUUUCAAGGAAAUUGGGUCAAUGGUGUUACGUUCAUUGUAUCUUCUCUUCAAGGCUCGAUUAUACUUGAUGUACACCAAAUCAUUCAAGCGUUGAUGAUCUAACCUAUUUCUCCUCUUGCUAUGAAUCUGCAAAAAUUCAUAAGCUCAUAAAUAUAUUUUAAAAUUUUAACUUUUAAGUUACAUUCAAGACUCUAUUAGACUAUUACUUGUAAUUAUUUUGGAUUUGGUCACUCACAUUCUCAAAGAUGCUCCAAUUCCGUUCACAACCCGAUGCACUGCAUGUUAAGUUGAGGACUUUCAUUGCAAACUUUUGCAAAUUUGGAGCUGAAGCUCCAUAUGCAGCCCACCAUUCAGCUGUAGUAUAGAUAUUAACAAUUUAGUGAAACAAUUCACCUAUUUUAGCAAAAAUACAAUCUAAUCAUUUAAAUAAACAAAACUAAAUAACUAACCUGGUGCUCUAGUCUUUCUUGUCCUAACAGCUAACUCAUUCCCGAAUAGUCCUUGGGCAUUUGUGAACAAACUCACUUCGGCCACAACUUUUUCUUGCUUAGCAGGGUCUCUUGUUAGCCUUAAGAUGCAUUUAUACAAAUCACUCAUAAUCUCGGCAUCAUGCUCUAUUUCUGGCUUAUCAUAGAAGAAUUCCGGGUUCAAAAAGUACCCUGCUGCAUGCAAAGGCCGAUGAAGCUGAAUCUCCCACCUCUUAUCAAUGAUGUUGAAGAUUUCUUUGUACUUCUCUUCAUUUCCAUUAAAACUUCUCACAAUUGCAUCCUUAGCUCUAUUCAUGGCCUCAUAGAUGUAUCCCAUAGGAGCUUUUUUUUCACCAUCAACCAAACGAAGCACACGAACUAGGGGACCCGAAACCUUUAAGCAAAACACAAUAGUGUUCCAAAAUGAAGGCAUUAGAACUAUGUUGGCUAUAGUUUUCCCCUUCUACUCUUUUGCCCAUUUACUAUCUAACCAAUCUGAGCUUGUAAACAUCUUCCUCAAAUUGUUUUUUUGUUCAUGCAAUCGCGAUAAUGUGAUGAAAGCAGUUGCAAACCGAGUCUUAGCAGGCCUAAGCAAUUCCCUUUGUCCAGUAAACCGCCUCAUCAUGUUGAGUAGCCCUGAGCGAUUAUAAAUAUACCGAUUUAGUGAUAUAGCCCUCUCCAAUGUCCUCUUGAUGUUUGGUAGCUUUCCAAUAUCUUCCAACAUCAAGUCAAGGCAAUGUGCAGCACAUGGUGUCCACUACAAAUGUGGACGCUUUAAUUCUAACAACCUCCCUAUAUGAAAUUGUAGAUAAUAAAUUUACAUAAGUUCUCAAGAUAAAUAAUUCAAAUUUUAAAAGUAAAUAAAAAUUCAAGAAAUAGUAUUUAUUACUUGCUAUCACAUAACUUGAGUGAUUAUCUGUUAUAACUUGAAUAACAUUCUCUUCACCAACUUGCUCUACCCAUUUGUCAAGUAAUUCAAACAUCUUUUCUCCCGUCUUAAUCAUUGAAGAAGCAUCAAUGGAUUGCAUGAACAUGGUUCCCUUUGAACAAUUAACCAAAAAGUUCACCAAAGUUCUCUCUUUCCUAUCGGUCCAUCCAUCCGACAUAAUUGAACAUCCAUUUUUCCCCCAUUCCACCAUAUGAUCUUUCAUCAAAUCUUUUGUGAGAGCCAAUUCUUUCUUAAGGUUAGUAACUCUUACCUCAUGAAAAGUUGGUCCCUUCAUACCCACACCAUAUUGGCCAAUAGUCUCAAUCAUUGGUUGGAAACUCGGAUAUGUGACUGCAUUAAAUGGAAUAGCAGCCUCAUACAUCCAUCUUGUGAUAAGCGUGCAAGCUCUUUCUCUUGCUUCCUUUUUGUAGGCAUCAUUGAUGGUAGUUUGAUUCAUCUUUCCACUCCUUUGAUUUUGAACAACCAUCUCUGCAUUAGGAGUGAAAAAAUGAUCCAUAGGACCUUUUUGUCUUGGUUUUUUUGAAGAAAACGUCCUACCACUACUUCCUCCUCGGUUACUACCUCCACUAGAAAUGUUGGUGACAUUCGUUCUACUAUUAAUCUCCUCACCAAUAUCUUCAUCUUCCAAACCAAACAAAUCUUCAUUAACAUAUUCGCUCCCCAUAUUCAUUUGCUCUUUUUGAUUUUUCUUGGAACUCAUAUACUCUUCCAUUUCUUCUCUAACAUGUUCCGGACAUUUUCUAAACUUUUUAGCAUUUCUAUAUCCACCAACAAGAUGUUGUUUGUGUCUAUAGAUGCCUCCUUUGGUUACUUUCUCACAAAAAAUGCAUAUGAUGGUGUUCAAAUCUUUUUCAUUAACCAAACGACCAUAUUUCCACCCCGGAUCUCUUCUUCCACUUGCACUAGAGUCCACUUGAGUUUCACUCUCAUUAUCCAUCUUGCAAACAAAUUAUCUAUACUCCACAAUAAAAUAAUUAUAAUUAAAUUAAGAAAAAAAAUUGAAAAAAAAAUGCAUAUCACAUUAUCAAAUAUCACAUUAACAACAAAUAUGCAUGAGUGCUUUUUAUUUAUUUAUUUUUAUUUUGUAAAAUUUUCAUGUCAAAAACUCAAAAUAUAAUAUUUAUUUUUAAAAAAAAAAAAUUACCAAUGAGAGUUAUGAGGUAAGAAUGGAAAAAAAUGCAGAAAAGUGAAGAAAAAAGAAAAAUACCGAGGUUCGGAAGGUACGUGACUAUUUCCCCUAUUUUUCUUCUUCUUUUUCUUCUUCUUCUUCACUUCUCCAGCACAGAAGAGGCUAAGGCAAAAAAUGGCAGUGGUCUCGGGUUGAGAAAGACCAGAAAAGGGGGCUGGAUGGAAGGAACAAGUCAAAACGGCGUCGUUUUGGUCCCUGUUCACUUAAAUGAACAGGCUCCAAAACGACGUCGUUUUGGGCCCAAAAAAAAAAAAAAAAAAAAAGCUAGGGCUGCGGGGCGUCUCUGCAACCCGACUGGAGGAGGAAGAAGAAGAAGAAGAAGAACAAGGAGAAGGAGAAGGAGGAGUGCGUACCUGGUCGGACCGUCGGAGGCGACUCGGGCGAUCGCCUCGCGCCUUGCUGGAGGCGAGCGCCUUGCGCGCCUAAGCGGCGCCUUCGUGAAGGGGCGUCGCCUCUCUUCAGGCGAGGCGCCGAGGGUGGCGUCGGGCCGCCCCGAGCCUAGGCGCGCCUUUCAGAACUAUGUUAUAUAUAUAUAUAUAUAUAUAUAUAUAUAUAUAUAUAUAUAUAUAUAUAUAUAUAUAUACUCCUCUUAACCUUGUACACGUAUUUUAAAGUCAUGAAGACCACUUGAGCAUAGGAUGGAUAAUAUCUAUACGGUUGGAUGCAGGUUGUUACAAUAAUUACUUUUGAUUUUCCUUUCAUAUGUUUAAUUGCAUAACAUUAUUAUAGCAAAAUAUUAAUCUAUCAUAAUGCAACGUCUUGUAAAGCUUAUGUUGGGUGUCAUGAUUUGAUCUCUUGUCAUUUUUAUUAUUCUGAUUCAACAUCAUCUUAGCUUAUAAUCAUUUAUACACUUGAUGCAUGAGAAAUGAAGAUGCUAUAAAUUGUAGGAUCUUUUUCUCCAAUUUGUUCCUUGAUAUUUUAUAAUGCCAUGAAAUGUCUAUAUUUUGAUGCAGAAAGCCGUUCACACUCCAUCUCUCUCACUAGUUUUGCAGAACCAUUGCCACUAAGCACAUGCAGGCGUCAGAUGUGCGGCCACUUCCAGUGUUGGAAGAGACUUUGAACUACCUAUUAAACCUGUUGGAUGCCACAGAACAUCCUUUUGAAGUGGUUCAUGAUUUCGUCUUUGAUAGGACAAGAUCAAUAAGACAAGAUCUUAGCAUGCAGAAUAUCAUUAAUGAUCAAACAAUUCAUAUGUUUGAAGAAAUGGUAUGAAUUUCUUGAAACAUAAUCUCAAUUACCUUUUUUUCUGAGCAUUCAUCUCCUCAACAUACAAUAAGUUAGCCAACCCAUUGCUAAACACUCUCCUAGUUGGAGAAAAUAAUCAAAGUAUACAAGAGAUAAAAUGUUGAAUAAUUGAGUCAUUAUCCUCUCUUUUUGCUUUAUUGAAUAAGAUAAUUUAUUCGAUGGAGUCCAAAUGAGGUGAAACUGUGAUCACACAACUUGAAGCCUACUUUACAAUGGAUAAAUGAAUGGUCUGAUUUUGAAUCUUUCUUGGCACAUUAGUUAUUAUCCAAUCCAUUCUAAUUAAAUUAUCCACUAUUAAGUGUCUAUUUCCAGUCACCCUCUAAGUUAUGAAAGACCCAUAGAACCAAAGCAACUCACACCACCUGUGAUAGGAAUUGGUGCUCUCUUCCAUAAUGUCAAGUUUUCCAGUACACUUGCUGACUUUGUAGAAUAUGCCUACAAAAAGGGCUGCCACCUCCUAAUUCCCAAUCAUAGAAGUUUCUUAACCAUAUUUCAAAAGUUGUAUUUCCUGUUCCCUCUCUUAAAGUUUUUUAAACCUAUAUAUCUUUAUCCUAGUAAUUCGGAAAAAUGAGGAAAUUAUUUAACAAGAACUCCAUCAAUUUGUUCCUCAAAAUUUUAUAUAGUUUCUCUCUCUCACUUUUGAUUCAAAUUCUUGAAGCAAAGGAACAAAUUCAUGGCCAGUAACAUUUUUAGCCAAGCAAUAGAAUGCACGACAAGCAUGUAUAUGAAUGAAUUGUGUUUUUUAAUGAUAAUAGAUCAGAUAUUUUAAUCUCAUCCUAAAACCUUUGAGUUAACUAAAAGCCGCAUCUUAUGUUCUGACUUGUGGUUUGUUUCAUAAUAUAGGUGAAAUUUCAUAUUAUAUCCCACCACAAGCUUCACAGUUGUAGCAGCAAGCCAAGUUUUUCUUCAGUUCAUUACCUCAAUAUGGAGCAGCUGAAAAAGUGUCUAAUAUCUCUAUAUGCUCUAUACAAAGAAAAUCGAAAUUCAAAUUCUAUUUACAAGAAUGAACCUGAGUUCUACUCAUUUCACGUUCUUCUUCAUCUUGGCUCUAACAACCAACCAUUGGUGGAUACUUGCUUCCGUUGUUUGUUUGAGUUCAUCUUUUUCAGUAUCUCUUGCUGCCUUGUACUGGUUUCUGAAUAUGUUACUAUUUCUGUUUUGAAGGGAGAGUCACUCUCUUUGUGGUUGGGUCGUGUACCUUCUCUCAUUUUAAAGUCAAAGGAAAUGUGUUUUGCUCGGAGACUUUUAAGGUGACCGUAAAGCUAUUAUAGAUUCGACUUGCAUUUAAAUUGUUUAUAUUCAUUUUACAUUUAACUCAAUGUAGAGUGGUUCUGUUUUCCAAUCGAUUUUUUUCUCUUCUUUUAGUACCCAAUGUUAAAAAUUUUGUUUUCAUGAACUGAAAGAUCUGUCUUUUCUUGUAACAGAUUAUUUCGGAUGGGCAAUUAUAAGCGUUUCCUUUGUACUACAGCAACUGAGGCAUCUUAUUUACAGUACUACAUAAUUGAACCUUACAUCAAUGAGGUUGCUUAAAUAUGUUGAUUUUGCUAGAUUUUUCAGUUUGAAAAAUAUAUGCUUCUUUGUUCAUUUAUUGUUUUCCAAUUUCAUUUAUGAGAAUAUAUCUAAAAUCUAGACUCGAGUACUUGUGCUUUUGGGUUUUAUUUUUCUUUCAUUUUUGUUAGUAGUUGUACUUCAUUAUUCUUAAAUUUCUCACAGUUGUUUCUUUAUGUGGUUUAUUGCUCCUCACUUUCUUCAUUCAUCUGAAGUGUUCAAAUUCAAUUUGCUUGUUUCAUAAACCAGGUCUUAUUUAGAAGUUCUUCUCAAUUGCCUUUUUUAGUGCUUUUAAAGGACAUGCCUGAUUUAUAUAUAUUUUUGUUGGUUUUCUUUUGACCGUAAAAGGUUCGAGCAUUGGCAUUGUCAUGUGUAAAUUAUUGUGGCUACAAACUUCAUCCGUAUCCAAUUGCACACUUGUCCAAACUCUUGAUGAUGAAGGUAUGAUUGCAUUUACUAGCAUUAAAUUGCUAAAAUUUGUCAUCCAAAGUUCCAAUAUCUUUUGAACCUUGAAGGCUUCAUUUGCAUUUUUGUAGGAAUUAGAUGUGGAAUCAUUUUGCAAUGCUUGUGGUCUUGAGACCAGCACUGAUGAACGGGGAAAUAAGUUCUUAUCAACCAAGCAAACAAACUUCCAUUAUCCCAAGGAAGUCUUUCCAAGCUAUUGCCUUCUGGGUUUGGAACACUUUUAGAGGUAACAAUCAAUUGGAACUAGUUACUCUUUCAAACUUCUUAUUGUACAAAUAUAACCUGCAUGUGCAACCAUUUCUGAUCCCAUAAUUUCAAGAAUUUAUGACACCUUCUAGUGGUUAGUUUUUCUGGGAAUAGAGUAAAGCAAUCUAUUCACUCCCAGAAACUAUCGUCAAAGGAACAGUAGAUAACCCCGCAAGACCAAAUUUAUGUGUGUGCAUGGAGAUGCAUGUUUUCUGCAUCCCAAUCAUGCAGUGUUGUGCCAAAUGGAAUAAUAGCAGCUGAUGAUAAGUGGUAUUUCUAAAAUCUUCUAAGAGUAUUCCAUCUAUUGUAAUAUUGUUUUCUCAAAAUUGUCUUUGAGUCUUAUAUGUAAAUAUUAGACUUGACCUCUUGUAAGCUAUCAACUGAUGUUGUAACUUAACUUGAAAGGGAAAUUCUAUAAAUUUAGCCUUGGUUUGGCUGUUGGAAAGCAAAGAAAAAUUAGGUUAAUAGUGAGUUGAUUUCUUCCCUUCCCAUGGAUGUAAGCACAUUCUUGAAUCAUGUUAAUUACUUUUUGGUUUAUUUUGUUGUUUUGUUGUUUUGUUGUUUAUUGUUCAAUUGUCUCCGCAUAACAAGUGGUAUCAGAGUUGUUUCCAACACAACAGAUGAUUCCUGUGCUAACACAAAGUUUGAGGCUAAACGUAAGAUGGUAAAAGUUUCUAGAAUAUUUCCCUAUGACAACUGCCAAUAAAGGAUGUACUUAACAGAAAGUUCAUAAGGUGUUACAUGGCAAGUUGAACAAAACCAAUAGCUAGAGAUAUCUGAAAUAUUUGGGGCCACUGAUCCAACAAUAGCAGAGAAUAACACAAGAAGAGACCCUCUAAUCACCAUUUUUUCUUUGAUUCUUCUCUACAAAGCAUCAUCUUCUUUAUACAAAAAGACAACCCAUUGCUGAGCCCACAUUAUUCUCUACAUAUCCCAAAAAAGCCCUCUAAAUUUUAGGGCAUGGUGCUCUUUUUAGGGGUAUUUUGGUACUAAAUUUGUGGUAGUCUCUCAAAUACCUAAACUACCCUCCAGAUUUUAAGGCAUGGCCCACUCUUUGAGGUGGUAUUUUGGGUACUAAUUUUUGUUAGGAGAGGUUUUGGUGUGGAAACUGGAGGGCUUUACACACGUUGCAUGUAUUUUCUUUUGCAUGCAUUACACAUAGAUUGGAGUUUAUGCAGUUACUCACUUUUUGUUCGUCCAACAAUACUAUAGUGCCACGUCACCAUAUGAUGGGCUCUUUAGUCUUUUCAAACCCAAAAAAAAACACUAAAAAAAAAAAAAACUAAUACUAAAAGGAUUGCUAACUAGCUAUGUGAAGAUGAACCUCUAUAGCUAGCUUCUUAGAGGGACCAUAAUCGCUUAGGCCAGGGAAGUUUGAGGUGAUAAUAUGUCUGUGAUGCCCUUAGAUGUUUUAGGCACAUGUGCGUUACAUUAAUGUAUUCAAUGAGUCUAUAACCUUGAUUGACAGGUCCGAGUAAUCUUUGAAAUUUCAUUGUGGUGGGAAGGUUCCAUGUGAACAACACUUGCACAUGGGUUAGUUAAUCUUAAGAGACGGGGGAAGCUCAUCUAACAGCACACAAUGUGCGAGCUUUGAAAGGCAAUCGGGUUAACAUUUCUGAAUUGGGACAUGACAGCGGACAACAACAUUAGGUAGUCCAAAGAUGUCGUCAUAUUAAUUGUUAUCAAUAUUUUUAUUUAUUCAAUAGAGAUUGAGGAUUAAAAAAAUACCACAAAAAUUAGAAAAAACAAAAUUAAUUACAUGGCUUACAUUUCAAAUAUUUAAUAAAAUAUUGUAUGAAAGUUGAAUAUCAUACACUAUUAAAUGGUUGGAUUCUCUUCUUUAAUUUUUUUAAUUGUCUCAUCCUAUUAAAUUACUCAUCUAAUAUUAAUUUAUUUUAAAGGUGAAAUUAAUUAUAUUGUAAAAAACUUUUAACUGACCAGAGUUUGUGCACAACAUCUAAUAUAUACUUAAAUAUAAUCCUCCAACUAAGAAAUGAAAUCAAAACUUAAAAAUCAUUUAUAUAUAUAGAUAUAUGUUAUCAAGUUUAGGUAGUGAAGCAAUUAAUGUGGAUAUAAAAUUAAUGCCAAAACUUUUGAUUGUUCCUUCACAUUCUCCACAACCAAACAAAGGAUAUAAGAAAAAUAAAGAAAGAAAUUUAGGGUAGUUUGAUUUUUGUUCUCAUCUUGUUGUGAAGUUAAUAGAGGAAUGCUUGGGUUGGUGCUCAAUAGUUAAGUGACAGCAGGGUAUAAUGAUUCUUCCAAUCGUGUAAAUAUUAUUUGUUUUAAUUUCAAUGGAUCAUCGUCACUUUAAAUUGCAUCCACAUGGUUAAGAGCAACUCAUAUGUAUAUAAUAUCAUGAAUUUCUUCUUAUUCGAUACGGAAUAUCAAAUUAGGUAUCUUUCAAUUUUAGGUAUUGUGUAAGUGUUUCAACUCAAAUGACUUGGCUUAAUGUAUACUCAAAGCCUUGACAAAGGAGCGUAUAUGUAAUAAAGUGAAAAUUAAACCUUGUCGCCCUUCUAUCUCUAGUACUCCAUUAUCCCUUAAACAUGUGCAAAAAAAGAUAUACACCUUUGAUACAUUAAUUAAAAUAAACGAUAGAAAAAGAGAUUUUAUAUAUCCAUGUACAUAAUUUGAUUAGAUUUGUUAUAUAUGAGAGAGAGAGAAAAAAAAAAAAACUGUUUAGAUUAAGGAUCUCAUUAAUUAAUACCUAGAAAAUAUAAAAGAAUAAAAAAAGAUUAGAAGGUGUGAAUCAGAAGAUAAGACUACAUUUUUUAAUUAGAUUCAUCGAAAGAUGGCAUAUUGUAUGAACAUUUUUACUCUACAUAUAAAAACUUAUAUUAUGGUUGAGAUGUAUUAAUUUGUCAUAUUUUUGGACAUUUAAAGUAAUGAGUAAUUACACUAAAUUAAAUUAUUGACCUUAUUAAUCAAUACCUCAAAAGUAUAAAAUAGUAAUAAAUGAAUAAGACAAACUUCAUCGAAAUAUUUUUAUGGGCACAUUACGUAAAUAUUCUUAUUUAAUAAAAGUUUAUAUGUCAUUAAAUGAAUAGAGAAUUUUAACAUUAAUUGCAGUGCUAAGUAGAGGAGAUCUCAUAUUUAAGCUGUUGAUUAAGGCUUAUUACUUAAUAAUUUAAGUUGACUUUAAGUUAGAUUAUAUUUAAGUUAUUUACGUAAAAUUUAUUAUUUAUUAUUUAAUAUUUACUUUAAGUAUUAAAGUUAUUUGAUAAAGUUAAUUUAAAAAUCAUUUUAAAUUAUCAAAUUGUCAUAUUUACCUUCAUUAAUUUGAUAACUAGAUGCAGAUAAAUGAAACAAAAAAAAAAUUGAGAUUAAGAAUAAGUUAAUUAAUUUGAUUUAACACUUAAAAGUAACUUUAAGAUAUAAUAUUAAGUUAUUUUAUCAAAUAUAUUUAAUCUAUUUAAUAAUUAAAUUAAGUUAUUAAGUUAAUGAAUGAUUACCAAACACCUUAUAAGACCCAAAAAAUCGAAUGAGUUUUAAUAGUUUCCAGGAUGGGCAUGACUAGGUGGUGGUUCAAUGCUGAUUAAUCAUAAUUCAAUCAAGGCAAAAUAUGUAACAAAUACAUGUCAAACUGCACCAUCCAAAUGGGCGCCAAGAACGUUACAUUUGACAAAUGCCAUUAAACCUCGACAGCUACCAAUUACUUGAAGCUCAUUAACUUCAUCUUAAUUUGAUCCAAAUUGCAGAAACAUGUGAAACUCCAUGAAUCUAUGGUGCUAUGGUGGCCUACAUUCAUAUAACUGGGGACACUUUGGUUUACACUACAAUGACCCCAAACAGGGUUUGUAGAGACUUUAUCAAGAUCACUAGCUUCAAAAGACUAAGGAAAGAAAGAUGUUCUCAAAACUUGGAGUCAAAUUGCAGAUAAAGACCUAAAACUCCCACUUAACGUGUUUGAGGAAUUGUUGUUUCAUGGGGAUAAGCUGUUUGGUUUGUACAUGUCUCCUUGGUGAUACUUAGAGUUCGGCGAAGUAUACGUAUCCUUUGUGAUCUGGUUUGUAUAUGGGCAGAUGAAUGUUGAUGCCAGGUUCAUAUAUGUUUCUGAUAUAUAUCACCCUGGAAGGAUCUAGAUCAAGGGGAUGAGUUUCAAAAGCUUGAGUAGGUUUAAGAUGUUCCGAGAAUUGGUGAGCAUGAUAUAUAUCAAUAUGAUAUUGCAGAAGACAACAGAGCUUCUGAAAUUAAUAUGUCAGGUUCAAUAGUGGGAAAUCUUAUCAGCUGUCACUUACUGUAAUCGUAUGCUCUCAAUAUUCAUUUGUUGAAGAAGAAAAAAAAAAUUGCUUUCACACUAUUCAAUUACAAGAGAAUGUUCAAUUAUAGAAGAAAAUAAUAUUCGCUAGUCUCUUUCAACUUAAUCAACAUGCAGAGAAAAGCAGUGAAUAAUAACUUACAUACAUUGUCUCUCUACCCCUACUUGUUACUCAUCAGCCAAGCUUAUGGUAAUAUAAGCUUGGGUUCAUCUCUCUAUGCCACUGAUGAAAACUCCACAUGGGCUUUGCCUUUCUGGUGAUUUUGCAUUUGGAUUCCGACCCUCUCCAAGUGAAGAGGACCUAUUCCUUCUUGCUAUCUGGACUGCAAAUGGAAGUUAACUGGUGCCAAGAGGAUCAAAAGUUUGGGCUUACCACCAAUGGACAGCUUGUUCUCUAGAGGCUAAGAUAUAUGGAAGACAAAGACUGGUAAUGUGAGCAGCGAACCAGUGCAUGGUGCCAUGCUUGGAGAUGGAAAUUGUAUACCAGUAUAUGGGAGAGCUUCAAGCACCCAACUAAUACCAUAUUGCCAAUCCAGGGAUUGGUGUUGGAGCCUACUGUGCAGUUGCUAUUUUUGAGGACCUGAGGUUUGCAAAUGGAACUGGAAGCUGUUGGAGGAAAAGACUACCUCUUUCAAAUGGGAGGUUGGAUCAAACUGCUGUUUCCAGAAGUGCUCUAAUCAAGAUAUUGAAGUCCAGUGAACUAACUUCAGGCAGAUGCAAGCAAAAUAAAGCAAUUCUAAUACUCUCAGUCCUCUUAGGCCCCUCUGCGUUCUUCUUCUUCGUUUCUCUAGCUGCAAUUUCACUAGUUUUCUACUGCUUGAACCUCAAAAAUCUGCAGCUUUAUCACAGAAUCCUGAGUACAAGCGAUGGUAGAAGCCUUUGGCACUGUCUAUAAAGGGAUAUUACCAUCAGGUUCUGGAAAUUCUGUUGCUGAAAAGUUGGAGAAGGUGGUGGGAGAAGAUGAGAAAGAAUUCAAAGCAGAAGUGAAUGUGAUGGGCCAAACUCACCAUAAGAAUCAAGGACACUUGCUGCGUUACUGUUGUGAGGGUGAACACUGACUACUGGUGUUUUUUUUUUAUGCACAAUGGCUCUUUAUCAAGCUUCCUUUCUGGAGGCGCCCGAAAGCCCUCAGAACACAACUCUUGGAUGAUUCUUUUACAGCCAAAGUUGCAAACUUGGACUGGGAAAGCUUCUGAUAAGCAACCAGACUAGAACACUCACAGGCAUCAGAGGGACUAUGGGGUAUAUUCAGACAACUCGGGCAGCCUAUGUCUCUUAUAAUAACACGUUAUGAAGCAUCAGCUCAAUGCUGGGGUUCAAUCUGCAAAGCAAGGGAUUCAUCAAUGUUUCCUUCAAACUAAAUAAUAAGGAACAGAAAUGGAUCAUUCUGCAUUUUCAGUGGUGUUUGUUAUAGCAUUUAUACAAGAACUCUAGGGGUUUCUAUGUAUAACUUCAUUCCCAUUUUGUAUAAUCCAAAUCUCUUCAAUCGAUUAAAUGUAUAAAUGAAUCCUAUUCAUUGUUUGGAGUAACAACAAAAUUCUGGAAGACUGGGAAAGUUUCAACACUGGAGAGAAAACAAAAUGACAAGACCAUAAAUUCUGGAAGAGGGCUUUGCUUUCUAACCAUUACCAUAAUUUUAGAGCUCAACCCGGAUGAGUAAAUUAUAUUUCAGAAUGUUCAGGAGAUAAUUCUAAAGUGAUGAACCUUCUACUCACAGUUUCUUGUUCUUCUUGAACAGAGCAAUGAACAUCAAUAGUUCAGCACCCAGGAAUCUCCCCUCUCCAAUUCCUCCACUGGGAAAAGUCACCUUUCCAGUUAAGAAAAUCUUCAGGAUUAAUUUGAGCAAAACAUCAGAGUAUACAUCAAGAAAGCCUUGAUCAAAAUCAAAAUACAUCAAGAGCUGCCAUUUUCUUCUAUUUCCUCUUCCUUGAAUGGAAUGCCUUUUGGACUGAGGUGAUCAAUGGUAACAGUCUAACACACUCCUUAAGCUUUGAUUGAGGUCAACGGGGAUUGGCACAUUUAAUGACUUUGAAAUCAUAGCUGUGUGAAGGGAGGCAAACAUGAAUCUCAGGAUAAUCAACAAGUCAACAACUAUCAAUCAGUAAGGAAAAGGAAAAGGAAAUACCUUUGGAUAUUUACAAAUAAAAAAUUUGAGAGAGUCCAGCUGCUCUGUACAGAAAGGCUUGAGCUUAUUCCAUGGCCAGGCUUUAGAUGGUUCUGAAUUACGGAUGAGAGGAUUGAGUUUUCUUUCAUUCUGCAAUAAGAUUAAAAACAUCAAUGAAACACUAAAAGUUUAUAUAUAGAAGCCCUUUAAAGAUGAGAAUUGGUAAGAGAGCUCACCCAUGGUCUAGUAAAACAACAUCUGUUAGAUAAGUAACCACCAUUCGAUUGUCCAGCUAAUGCAUUUAGACAGUCCAAAAUAGCUAAAGACAGUCCAAAAACUCAUUUGACUAAUAAUUUUCUAAAAGCAGUAACAUAAAACCUGGAUGAAGAAUCCACCCCUCUACCUGACACCACUUCAAUACCAAAUAAAAUGUUACGAUGACCAUUUAUAGUCUUAAGAGACAGUGGGUGUUGUUUGGGCUCAAGACCAUCAAAAUUGGCACAGAAACAAGUACAACAACUAUCUAAUAAAGAGAUUUAUGCAUGUAACAAAUGCAAAUGAAAUAUGAUACAAGAAGUUCAUAGAUUAAACAAAAAUAGAUGGCAAAAUAGAAGGAUAAGGUCACAGACAGGACAAUAUUAAAAGAAAUUAUUAUUUUUCCGACCUGAAAAUCGAGGCAUUUAGAACAGUACAAGUUUGUAAGUAGUCCAUGGAAACCAGGGAACUUAUGCAGAUGUUGUAUUCUAUUGCAUAAGGCAAACACUCAAUACUUACAAGCAUAAUCAUGCCCAGAAAGCCAUGAAUCCCUUUUUGUUUUGCUUUUUUACCUAUUCUCAUCUCUUAUUGCCAGAAGUGCCCAGGAUGAUACAACCUCACCAAAUAAGUUAGAAACCAGCCCAUUCAGCAGGUUGAGUAGCCAGCUUGCCCUCAAUCUUCUUUGAGUCAACAAACAGUUGGGCAUUAUUGCCUCCAAUGGAGGGUCUGGAAAUAUUAGAGCCGGCAGCAGGGGUGGCUGUAAAACUCUCUGUUCCAAAACCCCAAGUUUCAGGGCCAGAAGUUCCUUCUUUGGCUGGUUUGUUGUGAUGGCCAUUUCGGGUCCUACCAGACUUGCUAUUGUUGUCUGGGCACCUGCCUCAGAGAAAGCCUGCCAAAGAUUAGAGUCUGGGCCAGGGGAAACGGAUUUUCUUUGCUGGAGUUCCCAGUCUGUUGCUUCAAUCUUUUCUCUGUGCUGUUACGAGAAGAAAACCUAUCAGACACAUGAAUGGGUACAAAAAGGUAAACUUCAGGUUUUGGUUGUAUUGAAAAGCACAGGAAACUUCACAAGAGGCAAAUUAUACCCCAGACUUAUUGAAGAAAAAUGAAGUACAAUUGACUUACCCAAAUGUCUACUUCCUCAUUUAUAGAUUUCCUCCUAAACAAAUCCCCACAUCUAGGACAGGAAAAGGAAGAAGCUGGGAGUCAACAUUUUUUCAACCAAAUGUCAGCACUAACUUAUCAAAAAACAUAGUUUUCCAUUCAACCUCGGGAGCUGUACUUUCUGAUAUUGUCUUCUUAAAGUGCUUAUGAUUGGUGGAGGUGCUUCCAAAAUCACACAACUUCCAUGAUGCAUUAGGGCCCAAUAGAAGAUUCUCAGCAUUUAUAUAAGAACUUCAGGGCUUAUACGUAUGAUCAUGUUACAGUAUAAAUCAUAGUGAACUGGUGGAAUUUGAUUAUUAGCCAACCUCAUCAAAAACUGUUUCACAGUUGAGGGGAUUGUUAACCUUGCCAUGGGCCAAGCAGCAAUUUCUGGAGAAGCUGGGUGACAAAGAGUACCAUCAUUUGGACUAGUUUCAAUGGAAAUUCCUCUGUUUUUAUACAUGAUAUCUUCAGCUUCAGCUUUUCCUUUUGCUUUUGACAUGGCUGAAACUGAUCCUGAAAUAAAAAAUCCCACGCAAGUAGAUAUUUAACAGAAGAGGAUCCGAAUCUCUUCAAUUGAUUAAUGUAUAAAUGAAAUAAUCAAAAUUUUUAGAUAAUUAUAGGGAGAUGAACCUUGUACCUCUGAGUUUCUUAGUCUUCUUGAACAGAGCAAUGAGCAUCAAGUGUUGAGCACCCAGGAAUCUCCCUUCCUAUACAGGGAAAAUCUGAACAAUCUAUCUUUCUUCAUAUUCCACUUCCUUGCAAAAGUCAAAACAUGAAGAAAAUAUCAUCAAAAUUGAGACAAAAAUAAGUGCAUCAACUGUCUCAAGAAGAGAUUUAUGCCUAUUGCUUACCUUUUGCAGAAGUCCACUUGGUUAGAGCACAUUUUACAUGGACGCCCAAUCACUGCAAGCUGCUGAACCAAAGGAGAGUUCAAACAUCUAAAAAAUUUGACUAACUCAAGUAUCAUAAAAUACUUCACAUGAAUUCUAAAUGAUCUCAUAUCUAAAAAACAUUGGCAUAAAAUUAUUGUUGUUUACCUUACAUAUUUCUUCCAUGGUCAUAAUCGAAACUUUGUUUAUCAUAACAAAUCUUCUAUGCUCAUCCUGAUUACUAACAAUGAAAAUUGAAAUGAAAAGAAAAAAAAAACACAAAAAAUGAUGAUUAGUUUGGUUUGAUAAAUUUAGCACACACAAUUCCCUUUUUCUUGCCCGAAAAAGGAAAGAGUAAAAAAAAAAAAAAAAAAUUAAUAAUUUUUCAAAACUAGCAAUUAUAAAUCUAGUUUGGUUCUCAUAAAAUUUAUGGGAAAGCAGGGAAAAAAAAGUGUAAACUUUUUCUCUUGUUUGAUUGUUUAUGGGAAAAUUGAGGGAAAAACAAAUAUUUAUGAGGAAUCUAUUUAACACUUUUGAGGAACCAAAAAUGUUUUAGAUGUUGUCAAAUCGAUAAUUUAAAUGUAUUUAAUUCCAAUUAAAUGAGUUUAAUCAAACACAUGAAAUCGUGAAUAAAAUUAUUUAAAAGCAUUGAAAUUCAAGUCAUUAAAGUUGUCCAUAAAAUUUGGUAUAUUGAAGCAAGAAAAAAACAAAGCAAUUUGAAUGACUUGCUAAUAAAGCAGCUAACUAGAAUAUGCCCUAGAGUUGUUCUGUGCCUUGUAUAUAAGAAAUAAACAAAGAACACAAUAAAAAUAAAAAUAAAAACCAGAAAAUAAAAUACAAACAAACGAAAUAUCCAUGGUUCUUCGUUAUUUUUUUCUUAAUUUUUCAAUGGUUAUUUUUGCAAACCACCAAAUCAAAACAGAGCAUGAAAAUGUGUUCAAUAUUUAUUUCAGGCUUGAAGCUUCAAGAAAAAGAAAAUCUUAAAUCAAAUAAACAAGACUAGCGAAUGAAUUGGAACUUGAAAGAAAAGUUCAUGCGCAAAAGAAUUACCUGACUCUAUAUUGGCGGAGUGGCACUUUGAUUAAUAUAGCACACCAUUGAUCACUAUUUUUGGAACGUGAGCUAUAUAACGCCAUUCUUCCCCUUUCUCAAAUUGACACCGUUUUUCCAGUAAAGGACACCCAUCGAUGACCAGAAAAGAGAGAGAGUCUGGAAGUCUUUCUUUUGUCAAGUAUUUGAGCUUACGACAGUUCAUGAUCACCAAUGUUUUAAGAGAGGUGAGGUGUUGAAGACCCACUUUUGUCAAGGAUUGGAGCAUUCGGCAGUAUACGAUCUCCAAAUUUUCAAGAGAGGUGAGGUGUUGAAGACCCCCUUCUGUCAAGGAUUGGAGCAUUGGGCAGUGUUUGAUCUCCAAAUUUUCAAGAGAGGUGAGGUGUUGAAGAACCGAUCCUAUCAAGGAUUGGAGCCUUGGGCAGUAUAGGAUCCUCAAUAUUUGAAGAGAGGUGAGGUGUUGAAGAUCCGUUUCUGUCAAUGAUUGGAGCCUCAAGCAUCCAUAAAUUCCUAAUUCUUUUAGAGAGAUAAGGUGUUGAAGAACCGAUCCUGUCGGGAACUGGAGCUCUGGGCAGUUUCUGAUCUCUAAUUUUAGAAGAGAGGUGAGUUGUUGAAGACCCCUGCUGUCAAGAGACUUGAGAUCGGGAAAUGAUUCAAUUUGAAGAGAAGUCAGAGAAGAGGGCAGCAAACACUCCUUGGGAAAUAAUUCAAUGUCUUCACAUCCACCUUGGAUUCUUAAACGAGUAAGAGAGGUCAGCCUUUGCAAACCCCACUCCACCUGGGGCGUGAGUUGGUUGCACUUCUUAAUUUCAAGUAUACGUAGGUUGGAAGGCAAACCCUCUCUCUGAAACAACAAUUCUGGACAAUCACAUAAAUACAACUCCUGUACAGAUGACUGUGUGUGUGCCAACGACCUAAGGUUGAAGCACCUAUCAAUCAAACAAGACUCUAAGUUGAGAGCGUGCAAUUCGAUAGAUUCAAGAUCAGAGCAACCAAUUAGACGCAGGGAACAUAAAGAUGUGGGAUCACCCUCUGAAACCAAAAUGGAGAGCUUCUCAAGCCCCUUAAGACCAUCGAUUGUGAAAUCAGUCAACUUGGGGAAGAUGCCUAAUGAGAAGGAUAACGUGAGAGAAUCAUCGAUAACACCACCUUUGAUUUCUAGACUUUCAAGGACUGGGAGAUGGCAUCUGAACAACUCAGGUACGAGAAUCUCUAAUUUCGAGCACUCAGAGAUGAAUAGUGAUUUCAGUGUAGUGGGUAAACCAACUUUGUGCAGGGAUCUAGAAAAACUGCAAUCAUAGAUUUUCAGAUCAUGUAUGUUGGUUUGCGAGAUUUCCUCCUCUAGCAGAGACUCCGCAUUAUCACAUUCUCUAAUUGAGAGCUGGUGUGGUGCCAUUGGAAGUUGACUCCACUGAGACACAUCUAAAAUUUCAAUUUCUGAAGUUUGAAGAGCUGUGAAGUCACAACCUGCCAUUUGCAACUGCAGUUUACCGAAAUCCACCAUCCUCAACUGACGAAUUACAGGAACUGUGAGUGAAGCCAUAAGCAGUUGCGGACAUUCAUGAAUUUGAAGUUCCACCAAUGAAAGAAGCUGUUCUGGUAAUUUCCCAGUGAGUUUGGGACACCUUCGUAUAAAAAGCUUUUGGAGACGAGGGAAUUCUCCACAACAUAACCAUUUCUCCCAGUUCUGCAUAUCCUCAAAUGAUAGUGUUUCUAGGAAUUGAAAGGAAGCAUUCCCAUAGAACUCAUCACCCACACACUCUACUCCAUUCAUCCUUGAGAUUUGCAGAUAUUUAAGCUGGGUUAGCUGUCCAAGUGGUGGCAAUGUUGAGCAAUUGCCACAACCCCGAAGCUCAAGGGACACGAGAUUCAACACUGAAGGAUCUCCAAGCCAAUUUGGAAAUCCUUCACCAGGAUAGUUUGUGAUGGAGAGUUGUUUUAAAUUUGGGUGAGGUUGUAACUUGUUGAGUAUAUCAUGCGUUGUUGCACCACUUUGUGUAACACCAUUGGUACACUCGUCACCCCAAUCAAAGAUUAACUCAUCAAGAUAACUUUUAUCCUUCAUAUUAGCCCUUGAUGCAUCGUUAACACUCACUACAUUCUCCAUGUUUGAAAUAUAAAGUUUUCCUCGAAUCUCUGACAGCUCUCCCAAUUCUCCAAUUCUUAAUCCAUUGUUUUGGCCCACAAUAAAUUGAGUCAACCUUUGUAAACUUUUUAAUUGACCAAUUCCAUGACUUGACAUUUCUCUCAAUGAACCACAUCCAUGAAUAUCAAGAUAGCGCAAAUUAAUCAAUUUUCCCAUCUUUGAAGGCAAUUCAUUAAGUCUUGAACAUUUUAUUAGCAUCAUCGUUUGUAAAUUGUAUAAACAACAUACUGAUUCAGGUAAUUUUUUAAUCCUUGUAAAAGACAAAUCCAAGUGACGCAAAUGUUUCAAAUUGCCUAUUGAUAUAGGCAAAUCAGUUAUGUCAUAUGCACAUAAUGAUAACACGCGUAGACACCACAUUUUUGGUAAUAUAUCUUGCAAAACUCUUUUACUCAAAGUAUACCUAGGAUAGUCUUCCAUUGGCUUCACUCCUAAGAAUGUUCGAAGAGAUUUAGCUUUAGUCAUAGCCUCAAAAUUCUUAAAUGCUACCAAAUCGUUAUAAUCAUCACUAUUAAAGUACAAAAAGUGGUGAGCCUUCUCAGAUACUUUUGGUAAUUUAUCAUCAUCUUCCACUCGAGCACAAAAAUCUCCAGACACAUGUUGAGCCAAUUCAUGUAUUAGAUCAUGCAUUACAAAGCAUGAUCCUUUUCUUCCAAUAGAUUUUUGAAAGAAAGACUUGGCAAGAAGCUCAUCAAAAUAUGACUCACCGAUCUCUUCCAUUCUCCUUCCUUCGUUUUGUUGUGGAUGUAAAAGACCUUCUGCCAUCCAUAAUAAAAUCAGCUUCUCUUUGUAGAAUUGGUGGUCCUGGGGAAAAAUAGAACAAUAAGCAAAACAAUGCUUCAGAGGUAAAGAAAGAUGAUGGUAGCUUAAUAUCAAAGAUGGAAGAAUUUCGGAGCCACUCUGCGGAUGCCAUAUUUCACUUUUCAACACAUCGUCCCAUUCCCUUUUUUCGACCUUAGAAUACAAGAGACAGCCGAGUGCUUUCACAGCCAAAGGCAAUCCUUGGCACUUGUCCACAAUCUGUCUGCCUAUGCGUUCAAGCUCAAGGAAUGCGUUGGAGUCUCGAUCUUGAAAUGCAUGCUUUUUAAACAGGGACCAACUAUCUUCAGAGCUUAAUUUCCCAAGAUGAUGAGUAGGGACUGCUCGCAUGGUUGUUGCAACAGAUUGAUCACGACUGGUCACGACAAUCUUGCUUCCCUCUGCUGCAGCGAGGAGUGGAGUUCGUAGAAUAUUCCAACCUUCACGAUCACUAAGCUCCAUAUAACCUUCAUCACGAGGCUUCAAAUUCCAGACGUCAUCAAGAACAAGCAGAAAUUUCUUGUUACUAAGUUGCUCUUUGAGUUGAAGCUGAAGCAAAUUUAGGUUGUCAGCAGAAGUAGGUGGAGAACGAAUUUCCUCAAGAAUUGUUUUGGUGAGUUUGAUAAGGAGAAACUCAGUGGAAACACAGACCCAUGCUUGCAAGUCGAAGUGUUUCUUCACUUCCUCAUCGUUAUAGAGAAGCCGAGCAAGCGUGGUCUUGCCGCUGCCGCCCAUGCCCACCAUGGACAUCACCCCCAUUUUGUCGCCUGUUGUAUUGUCAGAAAGCAACCACUCCACCAUCUCCUUCUGAAUUUCAUCCCUGCCGACAACAAUGGAGUCAUCCUCCAAAGAAGUGGAUAUUGGUGAUCUUGGUCUUGGUGACCGUUUCUCGCCCCCACCUUCUGCCAGCCCCAACCCAACUUUUUCUAGUGCGAUUUUUUCCAGUAGAUCAAUCAUGCCCCUGACCCUGGACUCCAUGCUUUUGAUAGCAAAUGGAGUCUUCACAGAAGCAGAGAACUUGUUCCAUUUCCACGCCUUAAGAGUUCCGCCGGUUUGGGAGUCAGCAGCUUCCAUCUUGCAACGCAAAGCGUCGGUAGCGAUCUCGUCCAACAGGUCUUCCGCAUCAUACACAGCACCCGUGACAUGGACGAGCCACUCUUUGACAUUUGGGUUUGAAAAUUGCUUCACCUCCGCAUCAUCGAGCACAUUGAGAACAACCACGAGUUUCCUCUUCAACUCGUUGAGGAGUUCAUCGCUAAGGUUCCGUCGCCGAAUGAAGUUUAUGAGCUCUGGAGAAGCCAACCUUUCGAAUAGAACUUGAAGCGAAGCUGAGAGGAGGGCGUCCGCCAUAUCUGUGUCGACUGUUGCUUUGCAAUAGGAAUUUAGAGGAUUGGUUUCUGUUACCGCGAUACCACCAAACUGCAAAAGACUGGGUUUGGAUCACCACACUGCAGAAUGCUUGAAGGAAUCAUUGUUGGUGGUGGACCUAGCUGCCAGAUAUUGGUGGUGGACCCAGCUUCACUGCAGAAUGCUUGAAUACACUGCAGAAUGCUUGAAGGAAUCAUUGUUGGUGGUGGACCUAGCUGCCAGAUAUUGGUGGUGGACCCAGCUUCACUGCAGAAUGCUUGAAUACACUGCAGAAUGCUUGAAGGAAUCAUUAUUGGUGGUGGAUCCAGCUACACUGCGGAAUGCUUGAAGGAUACAUUAUUGGUGGUGGACCCAGCUGCCAAUAUUUGUCAAACACCAUAAUUGAGUGGUGAGAAAAAGAACAGGAAAAGCAAGUGGGAGGUAGAUGCGCUUUCCCCGAGGCGAACGCAAGUGGAAGCUGGAUGGCGCAUGCCCUACAACAACAACAUUCGGUAUUUUUCUUUUUCAUCGACGCAUUUCUUCUUUCUUUCUUCUAGUAUUAUUAUUAGUAGACAUAUGCACACGAAUAUUUGUUUAUAACAUUAUCAUUCAUAAUAUUAUAAAAUUUAUUAUUAAUAAUAUUUAUACUAAUAUUAUUUUUUAAUAAUUAUAUUAGUAUCAUGAUUUUAUAAUUAGUCUCCUUACUUUUAUUGUUUAUAAUAAUAAUAAUAAUUAUUAUUAUUAUUAUAUUAUAUUACGUAUUUUCACAUAAACAAUGAUAUAUGCACAAGACAUUAAAAUUUUGAAUAUUAUGGUUAUUAUUAUUUAAUAAUAAUAUUAUUAUUUGAUUCAAAAAAAGUUUAUAAUAUAAUAAUAACAAAAAUAAAUUUUUUUAAUAAAAUAAAUUAUAAAAAUAUAAUAAUUUUAUUAUUUAUAAAAUAUAUUUAUUUUAAUGUAAUUAAAAAAAUUAAAAUAAUUUUAAAAAAUUUAAAAAUUUUCAAAAAAAGUUAAAUGGAAUGGGAUUAGGAUGGGAUCGAUCCAUCCCAAUGUCAUCCCGUUGUCAUCCUAACUCACCUAAUGAUAAUUAAGGCCAUUUUUUAUCAUUGUUUUUUUAAAAUGGUCUUUUAUCCUUAAUAUAUAUAUAUAUAAUAAUUAGAAAAUAAAACAUAAUUUUUGUUUUUAAAAAUAAAAAAUAAGGCAUUUUUAGAUCAUACCCUUUUAGUUACUUUUACUUGUUUUUAAAAAAUUAUUUUAAAAAGUAAUUAUAUAAAUAUAAAAUAAUAAAAUAAUUUAAAUAAAAAUUAUUUUUAAAAUAUAGAAAAUUAGUUAAGAACACUUUAUCUUCUCAAGCUCUUGUUUUAUAAAAUAUCAUAAAAUAAUUUUCAAAAACUUUUUUUUUUUCACUAUUUUGACAACCUCAACUGGAAUAAUACACAACAAAAAUAAAUAAAUAAAAAUAAAAAGGUCCAAAGAAAGACAAACGUGUCCAGUAAUGCACUUAAAUUCAAUGAACCUAAAAGCCAAAUGUGCAGUGUUGACUUUUCAACCGAGAGUUCACACAUGCCCAUUUUUUAAAGCACUAUUAAUAUAAAAUAUAUAUUUAAAUAAAAAUUAGACUUUUAAAAAAAUUAAAAUAUAUUUUUAAAAUGUUAAAAAAAUAUUUACAAUAUUUCCUUAAAAAAAACAUCUUCCAAAAACAUUUCUUUAAAAAAUACUUCCACCGAUAACAAUUCAGACACACUUGUGAUUUAAUAGUUAAAUAUUCUUUCCAACAGGAAUUCAACUAUCGGUUUGUAUUACCACGAUACCAUCAAACUGCGAAAGACUAAUUUUGGAUUACCAAAAUGCAGAAGAGCUGAAGGAAUCAUUGAUGGUGGACGACCCAGAUGUCCACAUUAUUUGUCAGACACCAUAUUUGAGUGAUGAGGAAAUGAAAGAAAAGCAAAUAAAAAACAAAAAAGGUGAUGCCAAACAUGGUCUUAUAAGGUGGGAGGAGCGAAAGCAACAAAGGAAACUAGCAGGAUUUUUCAUUGCUAUUCCAUACCUCAAAGGACAAAUUUUGAAUUACCAAAAUACAAAAGACUUGAAGGAAUCAUUGAUGGUGGUGGACCCAGAUGUCCACAUUAUUUGCCAAACACCAUAAUGAGUGAUGAGAAAACAAAAGAAAAAGCAAAAAAGGUGAUGACAAACACGGUCUUGUAAGGUGGGUGGAGCAAAAGCAACAAAACAAACUAGUAGGAUUUUUCAUUGCUAUUCCAUAUCUCAAAGGACUAAUUUUGAAUUACCAAAAUAUAGAAGACAUAAAGGAAUCAUUGAUGGUGGUGGACCAAGAUGUUCACAUUUGCCAAACACCAUAAUUGAGUGAUGAGAAAAUGAAAAAAGAAAAGAAAAUGCCAAACAUGGUCUUGUAAGGUGGGUGGAGUGAAAGCAACAAAGUAAACUAGCAAGACUUUUCGUUGCUAUUCCAUACCUCAAAGGAUUGAUUUUGAAUUAUCAAAAUACAGAAUACUUGAAGGAAUCAUUGAUGGUGGUGGACCCCGAUGUCCACAUUAUUUGCCAAACACCAUAAUUGAGUGAUGAGAAAAUGAAAAAAAAAAAAAGUUAAGAAAAAACAAAGAAGUGAUGCCAAACAUGGUGUUGUGAGGUGGGUGGAGCAAAAACAACAAAACAAACUAGUAGGAUUUUUUGUUGUUAUUCCAUAUUGAGAAAAUAAAGGGCUACUCUAAAUAGAUAAAAACACCCAAGAAAGGAGGUGAAUAGAAGUUAAAAAAUUUCUUUUUAAACACAAUAAAAUUAAACACAAGAAGUACAAAUAUAAAGAAGUAAGGUUAUAGAAAGUAAACUCAAAUUUAUAGUGGUUCGACACUUCCUUACUUACAUCCACUCUCCUCAAGCUUCUAAUCGAGUGAGGGUUCCACUUAUACUUGAAGUUUCAACCAAACUUCUUAUCACUUUUUACACUUGGAUUCCAAUUCCAAUGAAGUCUUACACAAUCUCUUCAAGUCUUUACUCACUUGAAGGUUUUAACACUCAAUUAACAAGUUUGAAUCUCUCAACCUAGCUCAACAAUGACUCAAAUACAACUCAAGGCUAGGAUGAAUCACUAAGGUGCACUAAAGAAUAUGCAAAUGAAAAUUUAAUGCACUAAGAAAAUAAUGAGAGCUUUUAUGGCAAUAAUAAGUAGGUAAACAAAUAAAUGCAAGUGUUCUCUUACUCAUAAAUGAAGUAGAGCUCUCAAUUUAUAGGUUUCUAACCUCAGGAACUAAAAAGCCAAAAAACAGUCUCGACUGGUCGAGCUGGGGGUUGACUGGUUCACUAGUCGUUGAAACAUUAAAUGCUUGGCAUGUGACCGUUACCCUCGACCAAACCUUAAUCGAGAAGACAAAUCCAUCAACCAGGAAAGAAAGACUACUAGAAGAUAGAGAAUGUUUUUUACAUCUCUUAACUGGACCUCGACAUAGAAGGAGUAAUCGGUAGACCGGUACCCUAGCUGAUUGAGCCGGUUGGCCAGUGUCUCGACUAGUUCACCAUUUUUAGUCCGAAAACCUAUCUUUUUUUGGUCUUUUUGCUUCUAGCACUUAGGCAAGGACUUUAGAUAAAAUAAUAUGUCAAUUUUGAAAUGUUUUGCCUAAGGUUCAUUUGAUAGAACUCGGAUUUUGAUGGAAAUGUAACUUUAAUGCAUAAACCGAGUUUUAAAGAUGUAUGAAAUGAUAUGAAUAUCUUAAGUACAUUCAUGCAUUCAUCUUACGUAUGUUUCCUAUGAUUAAAAGGUCUUUCAUAAGUCUUGAUCUUGCAUUCAUUAGGUCCUUUAAUGAAUUUCCAAAUUAACACCUGAAAUUCUUUAUAAUUCAAAUCAAUUAGUAACUUAACCAUGAUUUUUUAUCAUCAAAACAUAAUUAGGAAAAUCAUUAGGCUAACACAUACCUUAAAGGACUAAUUUUGAAUUACCAAAAUAUAGAAGACUUGAAGGAAUCAUUAAUGGUGGUGGACCAAGAUGUCUACAUUAUUUGCCAGACACCAUACUUGAGUGAUGUGAAAACGAAAGAAAAGCAAAGGAAAAACAAAAAAAGGUGAUGACAAACAUGGUCUUGUGAGGUGGGUGGAGCGAAAGCAACAAAACAAACUAGCAGGAUUUUUUGUUACUAUUCCAUACCUCAAAUGAUUGAUUUUGAAUUACCAAAAUACAGAAGACCUGAAGGAAUCAUUAACGGUGGAUGACCCAGAUGUCCACAUUAUUUGUCAAACACCAUAAUUGAGUGAUGAGAAAAUGAAAGAAAAACAAAGCAAAGGAAAAAAAACGUGAUGUCAAACAUGGUCUUGUAAGGUGGAUGGAGUGAAAGCAACAAAGCAAACUAACAAAAUUUUUUGUUGCUAUUUCAUACCUCAAAUGACUGAUUUUGAAUUACCAAAAUACAAAAGACCUGAAGGAAUCAUUGAUGGUGGACAACCCAGAUGUCCACAUUAUUUGCCAGACACCAUAAUUGAGUGAUGAGAAAACAAAAGAAAAGCAAAGGAAAAGCAAAAAAGGUGAUGUCAAACAUUAUCUUAUAAGGUGGAUGGAGCGAAAGCAACAAAGAAAACUAGUAGGAUUUUUCAUUGCUAUUCCAUACCUCUAAAUCACCAUAAUAAUAAUAAUAAUAAUAAUAAUAAUAAUAAUAAUAAUAACAAUAACACCAAAUUUUAAGGUUAUUUUUUGUUAUAAAAAAAUACUAGGAAAAUAAAAAAAAAUUAAGGAAAAUGAUUUUUUUCAUAUUUGAUUUCACUAUAGAAAAUAUAAAAGAAAAUCAAAUAUAAUUAAAAUUAAUUUGAAAUUUAUAUAUUUUAAAAGUAUUUAAUCUUUUUAUAAUUUAGAAAAAUAAGUAAAACGAGUUUGAAGAAAUGUAUAAAAAUAAUUUAUUAAAUUUAAAUUUAUUUCUUAUUUUCCUUCAUUUUUUCUUUUCUUCUACUUUUUCUCUCUAUUUUCUUUCCUUCUCAUUUUCCCUCAAAUUUUCCAAGAGCCAAACAUAGCUUAAAGGUUUAGAAUCUUAUGCACAAGACUUUCAAUUUUUUUUACAAUAUUAUUUUAUUAGUUAAGAAUUAAAAUUUAAUGUACCAUAUCUAACACUAACAAAAAAAUUUAUAACAACCGGUCUUAUCUUUUAAGAAUGUAUUGUUUAAAUGAGAUUAAAAAUUAAAAAUAAAUUUUAAUUCAUUUAACAACUAAAUUAAAAUGAAAUUUAUAUAUAUCAUAAAUUUAUACAAUUUUGAAUCAUUUUAUAUGGAGGAUUGAGAAUGGAGAGAUUGAAGAAUUGUUUGGUGACGAGGAGAUUGAUUGAAGAUUUUAUAGUCUUAAGGUUCUAUGGGAUGAAUUUUUUUGUAAAGAGUUUAAAUUUUUGUAAAAAAUAAAAUUAGUUUUAUGUUAUCUUAUUUCAUGGAAAUAUAAAGUUUUAAUUCAAAGAUUAUGUUUCAAAAAUAUUAUUUUUAAAAUAUAUUUAGUAAAGAUUUAUAAAAAUUUAAAAUAAAAUUUAAUUAAUCUAUAAACUAAAUUAAAAUAAUAUUUAUAUAUUAUUUUUAUAGAUUUACAUGUAUAAAAUCUUUAAAAUGCCUCAACUUAAAAUAUCCUUACAAAAUUUCAUUAAUCUACUAGCAAUCCGCCUAUUGUCUCUAUAUAGAGUCUAUUUGCAUUAGGAUGAAUACCAUCAGAAUAAUAAUUACGUUCCACAUAUGACAUAUCUUAGCUUCCACUUGGAGGUUAAAAAUCAUUAUGAAGAUUUGGACAAUAAUUCAAGUAGGCAUCUUUGAAAUUUGACUUCCAAAUCCCUUUGUCAAUAUACACCACCCUAUGACAAUUAAAUAAAUUAGAAGGAAAAAAAAUGUUGAAGGAAUGACAUAAGAAUAAUUUAUGUAUGACUAGAUUUAAAGUUUAAUUAUAUGAGGAAUCCUUCAUUAUGAAAAUAUAAGGAACAAUUAUAUUUAAGGAGUGGAUGGGGUUGAUAAUGACUAAAGGGUACAAAUUUUGCAUAAUUGAACUAAAAAGGUAGAAAAAGUUUGUAGAUUGUUGUGGAAGAUAUAAACCCAUUUUGUGAGUCAAAAAUGCUCAAAAUACCCUUAAGAGUGUUUUAAAAAAAAGGACAAUUAAGUACUCAUGAUAAUUAAUAUAUUAAGAUUUCAAGAAAAAUUAAUAAUAAAUAAAAUCUUUUUCUAAAUCUAUUUAACAGUCAUAUAGUUUUUAUUUUGUUUUAUUUUUUCAAGUUGCAGCUAUUAUCUUAAUUUAUUUUUCAUUUUAAGGUUCAAUUAUUAUUAUUCUUUAUUUUGAUUAAUUAAAUGAAACUGUAUAAGACAUGUUUAUAUUAAUUAACUAAAAAGGAUAGAUUUUUUAGCAAUAGGAUUAAAAUAAAUAAAAACAAGGAAUUUGAUUUUCUUUAUGAAAUAGAUUGGGAAAAGUAUAUUUCGAUACAUUCGUAUGAAAAAAAAAAAUCAUAAAAUAGGAACUCAAGUUUAUAAAAUACAAAUUUUAAACAUCCAUCUAAAAAUAAUUAUCAUUUCAUGCAUUUUUUUUGGGUCAAAUAUAUUAUAUUUGACAAUUUAGGUAUUAUCUUUUAAUAAUAUAGGUACUACCUUCACCUGCAUAAAACUUGAAUUAUUUUUAGAUAGUUUAUAUUAUAUAAUUAGUUAAUCCUUUGAUAUAAAUAUUAAAUAAUUAAAAAAUAUAUCUUUUUUUUAAGAAUUUUAAUUAUAUUUGGCUUUCUUUUGUAUUUUCUAUUGUGUAAACCACAUAUAAGAAAAUCAUUUUCUUUUACAUUUUUUUUCUUUCCUUGAUAAUUUUCGAGAACCAAACAUGACUUGGAGGUUUGGAUAAUAGGGUAUAGAUGCCAGAAAUACUGGAAUGGGUUCAGGUUUUCCAUGCUAAAGGUCUUUAUUAUUAUUUGGUAGCACUUUUCCAAAAUUGUUCCAUUCCCAAAACCACUUAAUUUGCUUAAAUAUUUUUACCUCACGAUAUCAUAACAUUAUAAUGGAAUAGAUUUUGUUGGUGUUCAAAUCAUGUCAACUCAAUUUCCAAACCAUUCGGAUUGUCAUUUGGUGAAAAAUAGAAAGAAAUUUUACUUUAUUGAAAAGCAUUUCAUUUUGAUUUGAAUAUGCUGCAAUGAAAUAGUUACUAAACCAUGGGGUAGCAGAAGAAGUAAUCGAGAAAAUGAAGAAGGAUGUUCAAGAUUCUUUAUGCUGCCAUUGGAGGAGAAGAAUGCUUACACACAGCUACCAAAUAGCAUUGAAGGUUAUCACAAAGAAUUACUCAUUUUAUCAAUUUUUUAGAGUUUUCUUUUCAAUAUUUUUAUGAGUUUUGAUAAUUUUCAACAUUUUAAUCCUUACUUGAUGGCACUUUGCUCGAGUUUCCACCUUGUAUAUCAGGGCAAUCUUAGAUGAGUAUUGAUCAGAGCUCCAAAAGGUUUCAAUUUGCCUAUUAAAGUUGAUGGCCAAGAACCUUAAGAUCAAUCCUAACCAGCUCACAAAUAUAUUUGAGAAUGGAAGACAACAUGUGAGGAUGAAUUAUUUCCCCCUUGUGUGCAUGCAAGAAAGGUUGUGGGCAUUUAUAAACCUAUGAGCAAUGAGGAGUUUUCAAGACUUCGCCUGAGUAGAGGAAACUUAAUGGUAAGAGUACAAUAAGUCAUAUGAAAUUGGAGAAUUGAAAGAGCAUAAGAACCAUGUUUUAUUAGAAGACCUGUGAAAGUUUAAUCAGUCAUGGAACUACUAAGAGGGGAUGAAUUAACAGUUUUCUUAAAUUUUGUUCAAAGUUUAUGAAUUUUAUUUUUUAUAAUUUUUUUUACUUAGAUUGAAACUUAUUAAUCAAGGUAAGAUUUCAGUCACAUCGAGAAACAAACAUUUUAUGUGAAAAGCAACUGAUAAAAUCUUGAGUUUACAGAUGUAAAAACCAUAAGGCCAAAGACUGUAGAACUCCAACCCCAUUGAAUCAAGAAUAGAAACACAAAUUUAUCUACUAACCUACACUAAUCUCUUAUCUACAAUGCAACACCGUUAUAGUCUUAAGUGACUUGAAAGGAUGUGAAUCUUUCUCACAAACUUCAUAAUGAAAUUCAAAUUAGCUUUGAGAGUUUAAGAGUAAUAAUGCAUAGCUUUUGUGUGCGAGUUUUUAAGUGCUCCCCCAAAAGACAUAUUUAUACCCAAGUGAACUUAAGACUCAAUUUAAAGCAUGUAUUUUACUAUAAAAAAAAAUUAAAUACAAAUUUAAGAAACUUCAAGAAUUUUGGAAAGAUAAUUUUAAAAAAAAAUUCAAAGAGAGUCAGAAAAUGUUUCCUUUUUAAAUUCUCAAUUUAAUUUAUUUUCAAAUUUCUUAAGAGUUUAAGAAAUAUUUUCUUUUUAAAUUCUCAAUUUAAAACUCUCUUUUAAAUUAAUUUUCAAAUUUCUUAAGAGUUUAAGAAAUAUUUUCUUUUUAAAUUCUCAAUUUAAAACUCUCUUUUAAAUUAAUUUUCAUGUAAGUCUACUCUAUACAUUUUACAUCGUUAUUCUCAAUUAACUCAAAUGUAACAUCCCCGAUUGAUUUUGCACCAACCUUAAGUCUUCAAAGACAAUGAUUGAGGCAUUUCUUCUCCUAUUUUCUCCGAUGUAGAAAAAAAAAAAAAAAAACUAGAAUAAGGUUAAGGCAUUUCUUCUCCUAUUUUCUCCGAUGAAAAAAAAAAAAAAAAAAAACUAGAAUAAGGUCAAAGCUGGUUUAUAGCAAAAAGUCUUAAUUUGAGUUAGCCUUUUUUUUUUUUCAAAUGAUAUGCAGGUCCAUCAAACCUUCAACUCAAAUUUUUUAUUCAAAGAUCACAUGUGGAUAUGUGAACAAGUAAAAGUUGAGUUUUACCUAACAUAUCAUUUUGAAAAUUAGGAAAUUUAAAAGGUCUUAGAUUGUUGAACUCACCACCCUAUCUAUUCUACAAAACAAGUAGAUUAGCAAAGAAAGAAAUUGUACCCACGAGUAUAGAGUUUUGGGUUAAAACGACCCUUUUGAUGGGAAAAAUAUUAAAUUUAACCACUUUGUCAAACUUAUGUGUAAAAUGGUUCUUUUAUUACCACGUAGGAGUCAUAUCACUAAAAUAUAUACAUAUUUUUAAUUUAAGUUGAAGCCUCAAUUACCAAUUAAGGCUUCAAUUGUCAAUUACGAUUUUAUUUUUUAACCCGAAACCUUACUUGUCAAUUGAGGUUUUAACUAAAAAAUGAAACCUCAAUCACCGACUGAAACUUAAUUUUUUAAUUGAAGCCUCAAUUGAUAAUUGCGAUUUUAUUUUUGAACUGAAAUCUCAAUUGUCAGUUGAGACUUUAUUUUUGUGGAAGGAUUACGUGACACUCACGUGACUAGAAAAAAGCCAUAUUGAAUAUUAGUUUCAAAAGUGGCUUAAAAGAUAUAUAUUUAUGAUCAAAGAUGCCAUUUUGACCCAAAAUCCCAUGGGUGCAUGAGACUCUAGUUAAUCAUAGAUUUCAUAAAUAAAAAUAAGAGUUAGGAUGAUUCAACCCCAAAGCAUCAAGAAUUCUUUAACAUAAUGUUAGAACAUUUUCCAAUUUAAAUUCGAGAGUUAACUUUAUUUGAAUAUGCUUUUGAUUUUUUUUUCUUUUUUUAAAAUAAGCUUCAGUGUUUUUUUCAUAAAAAAAAAAAUAAAAAUAGGAGCUUCUAUAUAGAAAGAAAAAUUUUAUCCAACAAAUAUAAGGCUCACCUUAUAUCCUUAUAAAAAAUUUAAAAUUCAAAAUUUUUUAAUACCUCAAAAUUUUUAAUCAAUAUUUAAAAAUCAUUAUAUUUUCAAUAUGAUCCUUUAAAAGUUUAAAUUACCUAUAUUUUUUAUUUUCAAAAAUACAAAAAAAAGAAUGAUUUUUUUUUUUUGUUUUUUAAUUAUUAAGAUGAAUGAAAUAAUCGCAAAUUUGCAAAAAUAACUUCUUCCAUGUUUGAAUUUGAAAAAUAACUCAUUUCCAAUAUAAAUACUCUUCAAUAUUUGGAUUAUUUUAAUAUAAAUUUUAGAAGAAAGUGUUACUUUGACGGGAAAACAUGAAAGACAUUUUUAUUAAAAUUUGAUCUUUUUUUAAGGCUAAAAUAUAUGUAGGUUUAUAUUUACAAUUUGAGACCAUUUCGUCCUCUUAAUCAAAUAACUUAAAAAAGAAAAGAGUUAAUUCCACAAGUGGGUUUAAAAUACUCACAAAAUUGCAAAAUAUAUCUAUAUAUAUAUAUAUAUAUAUAUAUAUAUUACCCUUACUUAAUCAAUUCGUGUGUUGAGCACAUGACACUUCCGUUCAUUAAAGCUAACACCGUUAAAUAACAAAUGUACAUUGUAGCUAUUUAAGAAGUAUGAAGGGCACAUUGCUUAAUUUUAGUACAUGGUGAGAAACUUGUUGAACAAGUUAUGUGUAAAGUUUUAUGGUUCAUGUAUGAUAGGAAAUAUAGAUCUACUACAACACUGGAUUUGCAAUUUGGGUUAAUAUUUAAAGAAAAGACAAUAAGACAAAAAGAAUUAAACUUUUGGUGGAAAACAAUAAAGAAAGGACUACAUGGAAAAAGGGAAGAGAUCAUUAUAAAGGAAGAUUAUUGAAUAGAAAUAAUUCCAAGAACAUAAGGCAAGACAUAGAGUAUCACUACUACUAUCACAAAAAGGGCUAUAUCAUAAAAUUUAUGAAAUUUUGAAAAAGACCUAAAAAAUGAAGACAAAAAAAAAAAAAAAAAUCAAAGAAGCCUACAAGUGUAACUAGUGUUCUUAAAGUUAAGAAAUGAAGGUAAUAAAUCAAAAGCAGAUUUGUUAAUAGUUUUUAAAAUGCUUGAAUUACAAAUUGUCUACUUGUACCAUACGAGCCCUUGUAAAAACUGGUUUGACAUGUAAAUUGUUUGUAAAAUCAUUUUAAUGGGCAAUGAUGCACCAAGUUGCUCUAUGAGAAGCGUAGGGGUUUGCGAAACCAUCGCUUGUCGUGGCAUACAUCGUUGGGGAAUGACGGAUGAGGGCAUCCAUGGGAAGCCAAUGUCUACCCUCACUCCACACCCCUCUAGUACAAGGCUCUGGGAGGGAGAGAGGCAACAAGUGUGUGACACUAAGGUAAAUAUGCCCAACCUUAUGGCUUUGGGAGCAACGUGCGUUUAAAGACUUGAUAAUUCACAAAAUUCUACAAUUCAUACCAAGUAUUGCAUUUAACGACGUUCUUUAUCAAUGAGAGAGCCUAGAUAUCCAUUGUCAAGAAUUAUUUAUGUAUGAAAACAACAACACCUAACCGACAUGCCCAAGAUCAAGGCAACUAGAAGCUCAAGUUACUUAGUGCGUUUUGUGCCGAAGUUUGUUGUUUACUCAAGAGGGCUUUGUGAAUAUUUGUAAUAAAGGGAUAAUACAGAGUGAGCCGUAAUUUAGCAUCUUACACGCUCAGUUUCUUCCAUUGGUGGCAUAUAUUAUUUUGUUUGUCAUUGAUGAUUAUUUAAUAAAACUAUGAGAGUAUUUCAUGAAAUAUAAAUAAGAGGUUUUUGGGAUAUUUAAUCGAUGGUAAACAAAAGAUGAAAACUAAGUAGGGAGGAAGAUAAAAUAUUUUAGAUUUGAUAGUGGACUUGAGCAUUAGAACAAAAAGUUCACAAAGUAUUGUGAGAAUUCUUAUAGUACUUAACAUUUCACAUGUAUAGAAAUUACAAAGCAAAAUGGAGUGGUUGAAAAAUGAAUAGAACACCAUUGGAAUGACUAGGUGGCUAAGAUUAACCAUUCGGUUACUUAAGAAUUUAAGGGUUAAAGCUAUCAACAUAACUUAUCAUGUAAUUACUUAGUUGUCAAGUUUUACAAUUAUUUUCAAUAUUCCAAAAGAAGUGUCAAGUAAAUCAAUUGACUUUUCAUCUAUUGAAAUAUUUGAUUGUUGCACUUAUCUUCAUAUAUAGGUGAAAAAAAAAUUCAAUCCAAAAUAAAAAAAAGGUAUAUAUUCCUUGGGUUUGAAAAAAGGAUUAAUUAAAGACUGUAGAUUUGGGGAUCCAACAAUUAAAGGAAAAAAAAAAGUGGUGAGUAGAGAUGUAUUCGAUGAAAAACAUAUGUUAAAGAAAGAUCAAGGACAAAUGAAAUUGUUAUUGAAAAAAAAUUCAACUACAUGACCAAUCAUCGAGAUGAAAUUUGAGGAAAAUGUCGUUAAAUACGGAAAUGAAAUCCCUCCUAAUCGAUGUCCCUAUUGGAACUUUAUAUGGGCAUCUUUCUCUAUUGCUCUAAAGAAUCAUCGGAUUGGGUAAGGACAUCAAUUUGAAGAUUUUUAUUUUUUUUCAUUAUUUAUUGGAAUAGGAGAUCUUUAAAUUUUUUUGGGGCACAAUUAGGAGGGAUGAUAGUUAUCAAUGUCUUGGUGCUAUGUCAAAUGAGAAUCCAAUGCACAUGUUGACUAAAGUUGUUCUUAAGGAUAAGUUCAAGCAUUAGUUGAAUGUCAUUAAUUUUUCAUUUUGUAGAACAUGGAAGGUCAAUUUUAUUGAAGAGCUAGGUUAGUCAACUUCUAUUAGGACUUCUAUUGAUUCUUGAUUUGACUAGAGGGGCUCCUAGCAGUAAACUUGUAUGGAGGGGCCCUAUGGAGACGCAAGAGAUGCAAGAGCUGCCAAUCGGAUCGACCAAUAAAUGAUAGGCCCAUACAGAAAUGUCCCUAAAAUAGGGGAUUGGUUGAUUGGAAAGCUUAGGCAGAGUAUAAAGGAGAACAAUUUAGCAUUUUGGGAAAAGCACAUAUGAAGAUGUUUACAAGUUUGGAAAAUUGAGUUAAAGAAGAGAUGGUCUAAAAAUGUUUCAAAUUUCAAUUUUAUGUUUUUCUAAGUUUGAUAUAUCCUGUUUGGAUAUUUGGGAAGUCUUCUCUUGUUACAUAAGAUAGUCCUAUGAUGAGAUUUGUUAUGAAAAUAGGUUCUUCAUCGUGUGAAAUAUUCCUAUGAAAUUAAGAAGGAAUAUAGGAAGAGUUUUGAUUGAAAUUAUGAAUCUUUUUUUAUGUAAUUAGAACUAAAAUAUGAGAGUUUUAAAAUUGUAAUUACACCUUUGAAUAUAAAUAAUUGAUAAUAGUGAAUUAAUUUACCUUCUCCCUCUAGAUGUAGGUAAAUGCUAAAUUAUGUUAAAUCUUGUAUUCUCAUAUGAUUUUUUUUUUCAUUUAUUUUUCAUUUUCUUGCCCAUUUCUAACUUGCUAGUUGCUACUACAUAAUAACAGGUGGUAUCAGGCUUUUUGUGUUUGCACAACAAAUGGUCUCAGUUUUUCUAGCACCACAAAAAUGAUAUUUUACUUAAUUGCUCCUCAGUGGAAAAGUUGGAAAGAAAAAUUAAAUCAUCGACUAUACAUUUUUUUUUUUUCAAAACUUUUCUUGUCUUUGGCAAGAAAAUUAGUAUAUGAAGUAUAAAAGAAUUAGAAAAUAUUCAAAUUUUAAAUGAUUUUUAUUAUACUUUGUCCACUUCCUAUUUCAUAUAUCAAAUUACAAUAGAAUUUAAAAUUCUUUUAUAUGUUUUUUCUCCCUUUGCUACCACAUAAAUGCAAAGACAUUAUGUGAGUUAAAUACCUUAAAAGAAAAAGAAAUUAAAAUGUGAUAGAAAACAAAAGUAACCUCUUUAAAUUCAAGGAAACAAAACACUAAACUUUUUCAUGUAUCUUAUUCCAUUUAUAAAUGCAACAUGACAAAAAUAGACAAAAAUAUAAAUGGGAGCCCUUCAGGUCCUUUAUUUUAUAUUUUAUUAACUUCAACCAAUUCUAUUUCUAUAGCACAACCGAUGUUAUAAAGUUCAAUGAGUAUAUAAUAUAUAAAGAUACUAAUCAAUACGAAUUAUUCUUUCCUUCAAAUGGCUACUUGUAUUAAAAAUUAAAUGUAAUUCCUCCUAAACAAUAAAAUAUGUUGACACGAUUUCAAUGAAUAUACAGUACAUAAAGAUAUGACCAAUUAGUACGAAUUAUUCUUUCUUUUAAAUAGCUACUUGUACUAAAAUAUAAGUAAACGUAAUUCCUCCUAGAUAAUAAAAUAUGUUGACACGAGGAGGAAUAUAUUUACUAAUUAUAUCAUUUGCAAUAGCCUCAAUCUAGCGACGUUCUUCGAACCAACCAUAGACUUUAUUGAGAUAGGUUAACCAAGGGAGCUCCCACUCUCAUAACUCGUAUAUGAAAAUUUCAUCUUGUACAACUCAAAUAGAAACCCAUAAAUACUGGUUGAAACCAAAAUGUAAUAAAAAAUAAAAAAAAACAUAUUUCAAUGGAUCCAAUUAGUAUUUUUCCGAUCUCACAAACAAAUUUUUCUUCAUUUUGUUUUUUUUUCAUUAAUCUUUGUAAGUAAAUUAUAUUUUAAUUUAACAAAGCACUAAACUUUAAUUUUCAUGCAGGAUCAACUAGCUUUUCAUAAUAAAAUUUAUCAAUAUAGCUGAGCAGAGAUUUGAUGUAAUAAUACCAUACAAAAUUCAAGUAAAAUUAAAUUAAUCAAAUAGGACACUAUGGUUAUAUUUGGAUACAUAUUCUAUUUUUUAUUUUUAAAAUUAAAAUUUUGAUAUAAAAUAUGACAACCCUUUGUAUAAAAAAUAAAAAUUUAUCCUAUAAUCUUAAAACUACUUUUCAAUAUUUAAAAAAAAGAAAAAAAGAGGACGUGUCCUAAAAUUUUAAACAAAUUUAAAAAUAUUUUUAAAUACCCAAGAUAUCCACUUUUUUCUUUUUUUAAUAAAAAUUCCUAUAUUUUAAUAAAACUCUAUUUUAAAAAAUGAAAAAUAAAAAAUGUAUCCAAACAUAAGCUAAAUUGUUAGAUUUUAUUGUGAGAUUUCUUAGAUUCUACAAUUCAUAGUGAAAUGAAGAUGAGAGAUAACCGACUGAACUAUGAAAAAAAAAAAAUUAACAUUGAUGAGAUUCAAAAAUGCUAGUUAAUGAAAGAGUUUCUCCGCCAGGAUGACUAAGAAAAAUGCUGAAAUAUGUGUCAUGCCCAAAGCAAUGUUACAAUGAAGAAUAGAAUGAGAGCUAACCCGAAACAAAAUCCGACAAUCGCCAUGAAAGCCUGGAUGCAGAGGAAAUGUAACUAGAGACAUGUAAGGAAUCAUUAAGCAAGUGAGAACAAUAUCAAAAUCUCAUGUACGACUUACCUUUCCCUGAGAUUCAAACUUGAAUUUUACUGUAAACCAUGACAAUCCUCUAUCUACAAUAGGAGCAAGUGCAAGGGCCCUGCAUGAGAAGCACCUCUACAAAAAUCACAGAAAACCCAAAGGAAAAAAAAAAAGAUUAAAUAAAUAGAAACUAGUCUACCAGAAACCAGGAGGCUGCAACAAAUAAUCUCCAAAUGUCAGAUUUAAUAUUUAUUUACGAAUGCCGCUAAAAGGCCUUUUCAUCAGAGAAAUCUAAAAUAAAAAAGUAUAAGGAGCCAUUUGGAUUACAGAGGUCAAAGAUUGGGUUGGAUAGGAGCAAGUUUAACCUCUCAGUAAAAAUGAAAAUGCAAGGCCCAUCAUCAACGCUAGGUUCAAAAAUUGACACCAUUUCUUGAAGACUUUCUUUUUUCAUUCUUCAAUUGUCAUUUUGAUUCAAAGAAGCGGCAGCAUGAUAGACUAAACAAUCAUCAUAAACCCAGUUGCAAGUUAUAAGGAUAAGAAAGAAAAUGAACAAAAAACAUAUAUGAGAGAACUGAUAGGCCAAAAAAAUCAUUGUUGAAGGAAUCGAGCAUAAAUCUCUGAACAAAAUUUAGCUGAAAUUCACUGAUUUUGGGUUAUUUUGUGAUAAGAGCAUUGCAAUAUCCCAAUAAACUGUUACGCUAACUAAAGAUUUAAAACAGAAUUUAGCUGCUUACCCUCCAGCUCUGACAAGUUUAGUGACCUGGCUGCCUGCCCACACCAUAGCCAUGAUUUUGACAAAUCUGCCAAUUGGAUUCCAUAUGUCAAGAUAUUUUGAAAAACUUGUGCAAAAAGAAACUUUUUGGAAUAAGUUUUUACCUUUCAACUGCCGCCAAAUAACCCAUCCUUCCUGGUGCUGGAGCAAUAUAAAACCUAGAAGCAGCAUAGUGAAUUCAGAGUUAUACUGGUUAUUUGAAAUCUACUCUGAACACCUAUGAUAGAGACUGCAGGAUGUGGUAAAACACUAAGGCAUAUUUCAAACUACAUUAUAAGGUAUUUGAUUAGAAAAUUAAAUAAAUAAAUAAAUAAAAUAACAUAACAUAAAAUACAAAAAAGAAAAAAAAAAUUAACAAACUGAAUUUGUCCAUAUGCAACAAUAUGCAAUUGUUAGCCAUGAAUCCCAGUUAUGUCGGUUUCCAGUAUUAAUAAUUAAGCAUGAUGUUUAUGAACUAGACCAGCAUUCUAAUAACUCUAGAUUGAAGGGCAUGGAUGUCACAUUUGUAUUCCAUCAUGUGCAACUAACAUCACAUUGAAAUAAUAUCCACUAAAGCAAGUUAAGACCCAGUAUAUCAGAUUAAAAUUUUCUACCAUGAAUAUAAGCUUGAUAAAAAUGAAGAUGGAAAUGCAAUACUUCUUUAUAUGACAUAAUGAAGGGAACCAAAUACAAGGACUCCCCAUUCCAGAUGCAGAAAGCCAAGUUACAACCUUUGCCAAAUAAAGAGAUCCACCAUAAAUUCAUUUUUAGACAUGCUAUAGUUGAAUAUGCCAUCAAUAAGUGAUCAAAAGCCAAUUCAGAUGGGAAUAACAGCCACAAUGUUGGGAAGGUCAAUAACAAAAGCAUUGACUUGAAUGUUGGCAGUGUCAUUUACACUGGCCAUAAGAACCAGAGGUAAUGCAUACAGUUGGUAAGGUAGUGAGAAGGGGAUGAGAAAUUGAAAAUUCUUGAAUUUAAUUGUUUCAUGCAAUUCCGUUUUCCAAUACUCUAUACGAUAAUAUACAUUGUACAGCACAAGAAUAGGGUUGUUUUAAAAUUUUGAACAAAUAAAAAUUUCAUAUCAAUAUCUAAUAUUUAAUAAAAAAGAAUGAAACAAGAGUAAGUACAUUCUCUUCUCCUUAACAUGGUAUUAAAGCAGUCUCCAAAUUCUUAACUCCUAGUUGCAAACUUGAUUUGCACUGGAAGUUGCAGUUUGCUCAUUUUGUUAUUCAAGUAAGUUACUUCAAUCUAUCAUAGUUUAAAUGACUUGGGAUGGUAGUUGUCAUGGGCACGAAUUUUCCCACAAAUUUUUCGCAUUCACGCAGCGCUUAGAAGCCCUCUAAGCCAACAUACUCAAACCCACAUGAGAUUGCAAUCAAGAAAAAACUCACAAAGACACACAAGGCUAUGGAGCUCAAUCCCUAACUUGUAUUUUAUUUCUUCUCUAAAUAACAAUACAAGACAUAGCUUAACAAGACUUCCACAAUCUCUUUGGUGAGUUCAUGCUCUCUCUCAAGCUAUGUUUUAAGAAAGUUCCCCCUCUCAAUAUACCUCUGUAUAUUCUCUAUGAUCUCCAGAUUGCACGAUAAUUCAAAGGGCACUCCAGUCCUCCUUUUAUAGGUGUGACACCAACCACUCCCUAUUUGAUAAGGAGCAAGGAAUCCUAGUUCUACUCAAACUACAAUUAAAAUAAGAAUCUAAACUCUUAUUCAAACUCAAAUUACAAUAACAAUUUGAAUUCAACUCUGAACUUUCAAAUGUCUUCGGCCCAUUCCUCAUUCAUUUGAAACUCCUUGUAUCAGGCCACAUAUCAGCCCUUCAAUUCCCUGGUUUGUGGUGCAAUACAUCUUCCUUAAGCUUGUCCCAAUGCCAAGACAUCUUUGUUGUGUUCUGCCUGAAGUCUACCCACUCUUGUGCCUUGAGUCAGUCCAUUCAUGCAUUUGAAUCAGCUGAUGCAUCUGAUCAGCUUGCUAUAGCGUCUCUAGGCAGCCUACUACAUGUGUCUCUAUGCAACUAGUGUGCAUGCCAAGCCCUCUCUUAGCCUACAGAUCUAGCAAUUUUCCUUGGUGCCAAUCUUUCCUUUGGCUGUAACCCCUUGUUGUUCCUUGAGCGUGUCAGUCAUGCUCAUAUGUGUUCCCGCAUCUGGAUCACAUCCAUGCUGAGGCAACCUGCCCAAGUUUGCUCUGCCUAGCUGUUGUUAUGGCAUCAUGCCAUGCCCAAGCCCUCUUCUUGGUGCAGCAACGAGUCAUGGCAUUGCACCCAUGACUCCUCAUCUCUAUGCACAAGGCAUUGUGCCUUUGUGCUAAGCAUUAGGCAUCACAUCUGAGUCGGCUUCCCUUAUCUCUAUGCACAAGGCAUUGUGCCCUUGUGCCAAGCCACCUCAUUGCACAAGGCAUUUCCCCCUCAUGCUACCAUCGGGAAGGGAAGACUGCAUAGCACCCCAUGUCGUUGCAACCUUGAGUUGCACACCAUCACAUGUCAUGGAGCCCAUAUAUGGUUGCUAGCAAGGCUUGCCCAUGUGCCUUGCUCAUGUUUGAGGACUUGCACCAAAGCCCCUAAGUGUGGCCAUGCCCAUGCCACCUCGUCUCCCUUGAGUCACCCCCACCCUCACCCCCCUUAAAAGAGCAUUUUAAGCCCUUUUAAUUAAUUCAAGAAAAUCUAGAAAAUUCCGCUUCCACUUGGAGUCUCCCUUUUGAAGGUUCCUAUAAAUCUUUUAUCUCUAAGCAAAUUAACCAAGUCACUUAAUUGUUUUGCAACAUUCCUUCCCUUCCCUUAGUGUAUUUCAAGAUCUCUUAAUGAACAAGACAAUUGGUGGAGGGCAUGAAGUAAAUGGAAUUUAUCACCAUAUUGGCCCACCUCUUACUCCAAUUGCUCUACGUACUUCCAUUUCUUCUAUGUAGUGGCACACCUUUCACUUCGCAUCUUUAGCAUAUGGGACUUCUAGUUAUAUUGGACUCCAAGUUAAAGCACCAAGUUUGUGAGUCAAGCAAAUAGCAUCACCAUAGUGUUGUUCUAGUCCUUUUUGUUCUAUAAUCAAUAAGAGGAGUACUAGUCCUUUUCAUCUUGUUCAUUUAGACAUUUACAGUUUAUGUAGUGUUGUUCCUAAUGUUGAACUAAACUUUUUUAUUGCUAUUUUAUUAAUUAGAUCAAUGAAAAUGGUAUGAGCAUAAAGAGGCUGAAUAAUAGGUACUAAUCUCUUAAAAAAACCUAUCUUGUAGAAACAUCAUCAGGUGACUAUGCACAAGUAAAUGGUCUGAAAAGGCGUGAGAAAAACAUUCAUUUUUGUGCAACAACCAAGUAUUUGCAUCUUAAUCAACCAAAGAAUAAAUGGCUGAAGACAAUAAAUGACUGAACAAAAAGAAAAUCAUAAGUUUUAGGCCAGACACUUUUUUCAUCAAUUAUAUACAACAACAAUAAAUCAAAUAGUCCAAAAUUUCAAAAGAAUAAUGCUCAGCAGCUAUGCAUACUCACAAGUCACAAAUACCUCAUCCUUGACUAAUUUACAUGAAUGAAUUAUUUACUUACCAUACCAAGAGAAACGUUGUAAGAUAGUAUGCAGUAUUCAGGAGUCCAUAGGAUAAUAUUCCAGAAAUUCCAUAUCUCUUCAGUUUCUUUAGAAGACUGAAAGGUUAAGCAAGAAUGAGCUCUCAAUGUAAGUAGACAUGCAUUUCAGCGUACAAAGGGCAAAAGGAUUGAGGUAUCACUUCUUACAGAUUGUUUGCAUGAAAUUCAGUAGUAGAAGAGAAAUUAAAAUGAUUGGGACAAGAUCACUCAUCCAAACAAUAGUUUAUUUACAUAGAAAAGGUCUAAAGCAUAAUCAUGCAGUAGACAAAAUGAAUCUUUUGUGUCAUGUUCCAAUAAUGUUAACAAACUACAUUAAAUUUGUAAGGUUACAUAGAAAAAGAAAGAAAAGACAUUGUUACAAUAGUUUGGUUGUUACACUGCUAGCACCCAGACUACGACCAAAUCCUUGCAUUGAAAUUGAAUUUCAAACUCCCAAUGUGAAAAAGGAAGAUACAAAAAAGAAAAGAAAAACAGGAGGAAAAAAAAAAAAAGAGGGAAAGAAAAGAAACAUGGGAUUUCCAUGUAUAAUACAUACAUAUUAUAUCUAUAGAUAAAUGCAUGCAUGUGCAUAUGUCAUAGAGGCUGGUCAAACACAUUUCAAGAAGUUUGACAACUUGCUUUGGAAUGACAAACACGUGGAUCAAUAAAUGGCUUGUCUCCAUUAUUGAGAAAUUGCAGGUAAAUUUCAUCCACUACAGGCAUGGGGUGGCUGGACAAAGUUAUGCCAUUUGGUGGGAUGUAGUGGACUUAAGACAGAAAAUUCUCAAUCAUUCUUCUGUCCCUUGUGCAGUGUUGAAGCUGACAAUAUUAUUGAGCAUACAAGGAAUGUGAUGUAAAACAUCAUUGAGGAGCCAUGAGCUGCGAAUGCAGGGAGAAAUUAAGUUACAAUUAAGUUUUGGUGAGGGAUUUUCAGAUGCAGAUCAUAUGGCAAAUUAACUUCAGAGAAUUGCAUGUUUUUAUUCAUUUCCAUACACAUUGAAUAAUCAUAUUUAAAAUCCCUCAUUCACUUGUUUCGCUUCCAUUAGUGCUCCUUCCACAUGUGUAUUAGCAGCACAGACCUCAUGAUAGUUUUGUAAAGGUAAGACAAUAAAAUUGAAAAAUACAGCUAAAGCCUAAAAUAUUGGCUCAUAAAAAGAGAAACCAUCCAAGUUCUAUCUUAAAUGACUCUACAAGUUCUAAACAGGGAGACAAGGACUUCAACCUGGUCCAUCAAUGCAUAUAAAUGGGUAAACAUUCCAACAACCAUUACGUUAGAAGUACACUAAAAGAAAAUUAUUAAACAAUGUUGUUUCCAAAAAAAUUCCAUGUUAAAGAAUAGAAGAACAUACCGCUAUAAAUGAAAUUCAUUCAAAACAGUUCAAACAGUAAAGUUAAGAAUUGUGACUGCAUAUUUUUUUUUAAAAAGAAACAAGAAUUGUGACUGCAUAUCACCACACUUGUUUUAUUUAUAAUCCACACAAUGUAUUCUUCCCUAGCAUGUUAUCCCAUUAAGUAACCUCCAGAUAAAAUUCCCUUUCUGACUCUGUCAAUCAGUCAAAAAAUUUGAUGUAAAAUGUAAAAUACAUGGGUACACAAAAACAACUAUAUAAACUGCCAUCCCAUUAUUAAUAAAUCAGUAGGUCUAUAACAUAGACUAAUAGCAUUGUAAGGCAAGUAGGAAGUACUCUUUUGAUGUGUGCAGUUCUCCUUCACCAUUUUCGCCCUUUGCACUUGAGUCUAUAAAAAUAUGUAUAAGUAGAUUUUUAGAAAUAUCAAGUUUAUCAAAUGUAAAAUAUGGUAUCACAGAAAGCUACACCAUUUUUCUAGUUAUCAUUUGAAAGAUAUUGAUACCUUCAUGGUUGGCAGAGUAGUCAUGACCAUUUGACAUGCCAGAAGCCUAACCUACAACAAAGGCAAUGUUGAAAAAGCAAUAUUCAAAAUUCAAUGAAAAAAACAGAAGACAAACAAAUGAACAAAUAGCAAAUCAUCACACUCAAUUGUUUUCCAAAAAUGAAAAACCAAAUGAAAGGAACAAGGAAUAUAUUGAGAAAAAAACCUAUGAUCAAUGGAUAUGCAGUUGCAUUCUAGCACAUAUAGAGGAUCAAACAAGUAACUAAUCUAGACAUAGCUGCAACAAAUUUGUGUAUCUCUGAAUGCGUGUCUGCUUUUUGUGGGGGGAUAUUUAUUAUGACAUGUUCUUAGUGCAGACAAACCAUCUGCAUUUACUUGAGGAUUAGGUGAACAUACUUUCCAUUUAAAAUGAGGCCUUGAACAUCAAGCCUCGGUGAGUUUUCAAAUAAGGAAAAUGUAAUAGCUUUACAAUGAGUCCCAUAGCAAGAAGGCAUAUAAUUCCAUUCAUCAGCAUACCAGAAUAUAGAAUAGUGUGGACAUGUGGACACAUGCCAGAAUUAGCAUUGGACACACUAACAUGCCAGUCAUGCAUAGAAAGAAUUUCCAAAGAUAUUAAAGUAAAACACUGGUAGUAAGCAAAUUAGACCCUGAAAAACAUGCAAGUAUAGGCCAAGAUCAAAUCUUAAUUUUAAUUUCCAGAAAAAUAAAUAAAUUAUAUCAACCAAUAGAAAUGGUAUCACCAGCAAUUAACACCAAAGCACACCAACAUAUCGGAAUGCAUAACACGUGUACCCAUCUCCAAUCAGCAUUACACCUGUACAAGUUAGCCUGUAGCAGGUCAUAAUAGGUUCAGACUAUAAAACCUUCCAAAUCUUCCUUUGCAGGGCUUAGAAACCAUUUUCUAAGUAAUUUGCAGUUUUAAAAGCCUGUGACAAAAUUUUGGAUGAAGAGCUUGAACUAUAUACUCACAAACCCACUCCAAAAUUUCCUUAAGGUAAUACACAUUUUUUGAAGUCCUUUCCAAUGUCUUCUCUUAUUUGAGUUAGAAAAGCCAAUGUUUUUAUGAAUUGACUACUACGGCUGUUGAGGUUUGAGGUGUAUAACUAAUUUCUUAAUAUAUCAUAAUUUACAUCAGUCAUUAGAAAUUAAGGUUCCAUCCUUUUACACUAAGAAAAUCCUGAGAGCAAUUAAAAAAUACCUUCUUUUAUAUUAUUAAAUUUAAGUUUCCUUUAGGUCUUUGAGUCUAAUAGAAAUUAGUGUAAAAGGAAUUUUAAUUUUCUUACACUAAGAAAAUAAAAAUAAUAGGCAAAAUAAUUUUCACAUUUUGGAACUUUAUAGGUAAUGCUUAUUAAAAUAAAGCAACAAAGUUUGUCAUUUGCCAUUGAAUGAACCAAUUGUGGAAAACUAUGCAAAAAAUUUUAUUAGUAUGGAAUUUUUUUUUUUCUGCCAAUAUAUAGAAUUCAAUUUCAAACCUGCCCCUCCCAACCCACCACUUGCUGCUUGAGGCAAGCUUAGAGGCAGAAAAAUAUUUGCAAUUCUACGUAUGGAUAAAAAUUAUUUCUUAGAUUUUAUGCCAAUUCCAUAUUUAUAGGUAUCAAUUUAUUAUUCUACUGUUGUCAGAAGCUUCAAUUUUGGGCGUCCUCAUGGCUAUGCCACCCUUAAAUGAGAACAACUUUGGUCUUCUGUUUUUCUUUUUGAGCUCUUCAAAUUUUUGCAAGUUACUUCUAUCCAGGUUCUAGGAAACACCCAUUUUUUUAAAUCUCCAAUAAUUUAGGGUUCUGUGGCUGAGGGAAUAGACUUAUUUUUGGUUGAAGCACACAAAAUUCUUGGCUAUUUUUUUUUUUUUUUUGGCAUCAGGUCCUUUUAGGUUGAUUUUUCUACUUAUUUUUCACCCACCAAUUAACAUUGCCCUAACUCUAUUAUCUACCCGAGCAAAUGUUUAUGAACUAGCAAAUCAUACUAAAAUUUCUUACUAGUUGACAUGUGCAUCAUCUCAGCAUGUCAUUCCAACACCAAACUACAACCAUAAUCUCACUAACAUCCUAACUGCCUCAAUGAGUAUGGAUUACAGAAAUACAAUUAAAAUAUACUUCCCUAUUUAAUUUCAUAAUUUUUAUAAUAAUAUUUCGGCAAUAUUUCCACAUAGUAGCUUAUGUGGGAACCCUAGGAAUGCUGGGAUUGAAACCCUGGAUUGAAACAAGAGGAUUGUGAGAGAGAAUUGGAAAUUGAAGAAACAAACACAAAAAAUAAAUCCAAGAAAUAAAAAAGAAGCGUAAAAAUGAAAUAGAGAAGAGUGUGUAUGACGCACCUGAUGAUGUGAAAGCAGCUUCAGCUGGUGAAGGCAAACUUUCGACGGGAGAGACAUGAGCAUACCGGCCUCCGACAACAAUCCCUCCAAAAUAUUCUUUCUAUACCAUUUAUUAUUAUUAUUAUUAUUUUCAGGUUAUUUGAAGUGUAAUGUCUAGCUAUACCAUUUAUUAUUGUUAUUAUUUUCAGGUUAUUGAAGUGUAAUGUCCACCAUGAAGCCCUUAGAACUCUCCAUGGACCCUAAAUCUCGGGAUGCUAAUCACCCUAUAAUAACCAGCAUAGAGUAUAUUCAAAGUAUCAUUAAUGACAAAUUUUGAACUUAGGACCAUAUGUCAUUUACAGAGACCACACUUCUUAAUGUUCAUCCUUAGCGACAUACUCAUAUAUACCAAAUUACCCGAUAAUAUGCUUUUCCUAUUUUCUCAUUUUUAGAAAAAAAAAAAAAAAGAAUAACUUCUAUUUUUAAAAAUUUAAUUUUUUUUUAUAAGUAAAUUUUUGUUCUCAUUAGGACAUGUGGAACCUCCCACAAGUCCUCUUGAAUCCUUUACCACUUGAGUCAUGCCUUAAUGGCUUGUUUUUUUAAAAAAUAAUAACAACUUUUAUAUAAAAAAAUACUUAUAAAAAAUAUAUACAUGUCAUUAAAAGUCUAAAAAAAUAUAACUUUGUUAAUAAUUUUUAAAAUAAUUUAAUGUGUUAAUUGUUCUUAAAAACUAUAAAUAACCUAGAAAAGAAUAGUAUGUUUGACCAAAUUGUUAUAUGGUUUUAAAUAGUCACCUUAACAAUGUUACAAGUGAGUUGAUUAAUUUAUGGUAGAGAAGAAUUACAAUAGAAUUCAAUUAGUUAUCGCAUUUGAAGUCUUUGAUUAUUUGUUGAAUAAUAUUUGCAGCCAAUUAGAUAGGGUUGGCUAACCCAAGCCAAACCUACUUACUAAUAUGUCCAACCUAUGCUAAACUCGAUUCAAAGUUAGGUUGGUAGUUACUAAACUCAUUGACAACUAAAGUUUCUAUGGAUUCCCACGAGUUUUCAUGGAUUAUCAAAUAAACCACAUAUAAUGGAAUCUCCUAAUAUAUAAAAGACAUAUUUCAAAAUUAUAAAUUAAACCAUAUUAUAAAAUAAAAUUUUAACAAAGUCAUAAAUUAUAUUCCUAGUGACUAAUUUUAAUGGUAAGAUGAAACACAAGUGUGAAUAUUUAAAAAUAUUUUAAUAAUUAAACAAAAAUGAUAAACUUAUAGUGUAAUGUAAUAAAACUAGCAAAAGUUAUAGUUCUUUCAUUAUCCCUUUUAUAAAUUUCAUAUUUUAAAUAAACUAAUAAAUAAUAUAAUAGUAAUGAAUUUGCUUAGUCUUCAUCAUGUAGAACCAAUUUGAAGAAAUUUUUUUUAAUAGGACUGAUUAAUGACUUAAUUAAGGGUAGGUUACAGCUAAAAUAUUUAGUAGGACUGAUUAGUGACUUAAUUAAGGGUAAACUACAGCUAAAAUUUUCCUAGUAGUCUUCCACUAUGACAAAUUGUGGGAACUAGUAGUGGCCUGUCCAACCUAUAGAGGAAACAAAUAGGUGAGUGAGUUAUUGAAUAUGUGGCUGAGAGUGACCAACCAUUGAGGCUCACAUGAAGUUGUAGUGGCUGAGAGGAAGGGAUAAGAGACCAAAAACAUGCUCAGGGAGAUUCUUGUUAGGAUCAAAUUGGGGGCAUAGAUAUAUCUCUUUGGUAAGAGUUCCCAUAAUUUAGGUAUUAAUGAAAUAGGUAUAAAAGAAUUAUAUAUCUUGAUAUGAUCAUGUUGUUAAUGAUGAUCUAAUGAGUUGAAAUAUUAUGUUUUCAACUGUGUAUAUCUAAUAAAUACAUCAAGUGCUUAAACUUUAAUAUAGAAAUGGUCCACAAUGGCUUGUAUGACUCAUCGUCUUAUAAACAUAUUAUUUAGAUUAGGCUAAAGUGGUCAAAGUAAGAAGAAAAAUUGAUACUUGAUUUGAAGUAUAAAGAAUUCUUCUUAGACUUUGUGUGUAGUGUUGUUAGCUUAUUGUUGUGUUAAAGUCUAUUUUGAUGUAUUUUGGAAAGAAUGACCAACUAGAACCACAAUAAGAUGUUGCAAAACUUAUUUAAACAAGGGCUUGUGAGCAAGAUUUUUUUUUUUUCCUUUUCAUGUACAAAUAGUAUGAUGAAUGAAAAUUUGAUUCUCGAUUGUAAUUAGUAUUUUCUUUAAGUUUUAAAUCAUGCAAUGAAUACUUAAAAUUAGCUUACGAUGUCAAAGAAUGUAAGUAAACAAGGUUUUACAUGUUGGAUAUAUAAUAAAUUCAAAACCUUUACCUUCCACAUUGAAUGAUUACAUUUUUUCUUUAAGUGCCCUUUAAUCAUUCUCAUUUUGUUUAAUCAUUUUCUCUAAUGUCUUGAGCAUAGUAGAUUUCUAUAAAUUUACAUGAGCAUUCCUUAACUCUUCUUGAGUGAUCCUAAACUUAGCAUUGAAACAAUCAUAAUUUAGGCGAAGAUGCUUACACGUCUUCAUAAUCAUCCUUGGUUGCUAGCCAUUUUUCCUUAAUUACUUUAGGAUGUUUAGUGAAGAUGAUUACAAAUAUUAACUAGUUCACUCACACAUUUUUGUAUGAGUGUAGAACAAUUUUGCAUUCUUUCCACAUCACUUAUGCAUCUUCGUUCCAAGAAAGAAGAUAUAGAACUCUUAUCUUUUGCCUACGCCACUUGGUUCUCCAGCCCAUUAUGCUUAUGCAUCCUUUUUAUAUCACAUAUGCGACUUGCUUCUCAUUAAGAUAUUUCACUUACAUGUUCUUGUAUAUGCAUAAUUUAGGGAAAAAUAUUUUAAAAUAGCAAAAUAGAUUUUAAUACAUAUAUUUGGAACAAUUAAACUCAAACUAUGCAAGUGACCUUGUCUACUAUGUAGGUGACUUUGUUUACUACAUAGGCAAAGUAUAUGACAGUGAUAGUCAAGGAAGCUAUGUGGUUGCAUGGUUUAGUGGAGAAUUUAAGAGUAAAGCAAGAUCACAUUGUGAUUUAUUAUGAUAAUGGGAGUGCCCUAAAUUUAUUUAAGAAUAAAAUUCAUCACUCAUUGGUAAGGCAUAUUGAUGUCUAAUUUCAUUUUAUUUAAGAGAUUCUAGAAGAAAGUCAUAUCUUAUUUUAGAAAGAUUACUAAUGUUAAUGAGGUAGGUCAUAUUUAAAUGUGAUCCAUGUUGAAAGGAUCAAUGUACCUUUAGGUGUGUAGUAGCAAAAAAAUUCUAUUUGGACCUAUGUUUUUCUCUUGGAACCUCAAUUCUUUAUUUUUUUUAAAGAAAAAGUGGACAUAUCAAAUUAAGCAACAUCAGUCUUUUAUUUUUUUCAUUCUUGCUUGGUUUUUGUCUUGAAUUUAGAGUGGAGAAGAUGUAAUAAAUGAGUAAGGAAAGAGGUAGAAAAUAAAGAUAACAUUAGAACUAGGGAUUGUAAAAGAGGAAGAAGAUGAGGACAUUUUUGGCAAUGUUGCAUGUCAAUUUUCUAUUUAAUGAUUCCCCUAUAAUAGUUUUCAUAUUCAUUAACUCUCUCUAAACUAAGCAACAUAUUUCUUAAAUAUUUUAAAUUCUUAUUUAUUCUUAAACUCUUUCAUUCUCAACCGGCCUUUUCACCAUUCUCACAAACCUAAAAUUUGCUCUCAAUUUAUUUCAAUAAUGUUGACAUAAAAGUAAAUAGGUAAGUCAACAUUCAACUUUUUUUUUUUUUUACAAACCAAAAUCUAAUAUUUUUGUUUAGAAACAAAAAUUGAACAAAAAUGUAUAAACUAAGAGAAAGAAAAAGUAAAAACUAGAGACUUGUAAUUGUAUAAAUGUCAAGAUUUCAAGUUAGUAAUUUAUGUCAAUAUUUGUUUUUUUAUUUUUUUUCUUGAUUUUUAUAUACCAUUUUAAUUAAUAUUUUCAAUUUUGUGAUUGAAGUCUCAAGAAUUUAUGUUAUGCUUAUUUUAUUGUUUCCAUGUCAAAAACCAAUGUGAAAUUAGUAUGACAUGUACACUUAUUAUUUUGAAGCAUAGUGUUGAUAUCUUAUUUUGUAAAACCCAUGACGAUCAAUCAUUGUCUCUCAUGUGUCUCAUUUAUGACAUGUGAGUUUGACUAAUUAUAUAGCAUCAUGCCUCAAAGAUUAGUGUUACAUAUCCAAGACAUCUCUCUAAUAAACUUGACAUUCAUUACACUUUUCUUACCCUUAAUCUUUCAUACAUGGAUAGGUCCAUGUUCUACCUUCAUAUCUCCUAUGCCAUAGUGCUACAUUGUUUGAAAAUGAAUUUUUAUCUUCAAUAAGAUCCUAAGUCACAUGGAUGACUAUGAAGCAUGGAUGUCGCCCAUAGUGAAUGUCGAGGAGAGGGGUAGGGGUGUUUCUUACUCUAUUCUUCCUAAAGAUGGUAUCGCGUGCUUCUGAUAAUUGUUUCAUUUUUAAUCUAGAAAAUGCAUGCUUCCUAAAAACUAAUAGUUGUUAUUGGUUUAUGAUCUUUUAUACCCUCUUCUAAUAUGUCAACCUUAAAAUAAUGCCUUGAUGUUAAUAAAUCUACCUAGUUCAUGAGCAAAGCUUAAGGUUAUGAAAUGGACUUUGUGUCAUUAGUUGUAAAUCUAGUUUCCCUACCCAUUAGCAUUUCAAGAUUAGUUUGAGGGUCUUGGUUUAGUAGUUAGAUCUUAUACUUACCAAGGUCGGAUCAACACGCAUUGAUCUCAUUUUAGCUUAAAUGAGAGAGAUGACAAUUGUGUCUUCAUUAUAGGUGUCAUAUGAAGAAGUUUGUAUAUCCUUAUAGAAUAAUUAAUAUUCAAAAUACUAUUUCAGAGCAUUAUAAAAAAACUUCAUUUCUAGCCAAAUGAAAAAGAGUGAUAUUCUUGGUCUCUUUGAUCCUACUACCACCAUUUCCACCCAAUCAUCUACUCUCACUUUGCUUUGCUCUCAUUUUAAACUCUUGGCACAUUUAAAACUUUCAAGUUUUAGUUGUAAGCUUAUAGAUACUAUUUUAGAAAAAAAAUAAAAUUGCAAGUGAGAUCUAAUAUUUUGUUUUGAGAAAAGUAUUGAAAAAGCCCAAGGCUUAGAAACUUUGAUUUACCUAUGUCUAAUUAUGAACUUUCGAAUGAAGAUAACAAUGUUAUAUAAUUUAAUAGUUGAAGAGAGUUAGAAGGUUUUUUCUAAUUUUGGAGCAUGAUGUACAUUAUGAGCCUAAGUCAUGACAACUUAAGUCGCUAGGAAGAUCAGUUGCUUAACAUGCCAAUAGGGUCUUGUUUAGUGGGGGUUUGUGUGUUUGAAUCUCACCUCAUUAUUUCCAUGAUUUAUUGAGCCUCAAUGUAAGUCUAAUAUGAGGUUAGUUGUAUAGGAAAAUUUUUCUCUCCAUGUGUGGUAUGGGGUUGUAGUGAGAGAGAGUGUUAAAGAAUGGGAUUAAAUCUUAAUAGUUUAAGCUUUUAGAAAAAUCAAAAGUUCAACUUGGCAUUAGAGUCUUAUUUAUUCAAAGGUUAUUAGUUUGGACCUCAAGACAUAUUAUUUCCCUAAUUUAUUGAGCAAAAAGAAGGCUAGAUAUGAGGUUGCUGAUGAGAAGUUAAUGGAGGGUCCUGAGUCCAAGUUCUCCCCUCAUUAUUUAUCUAUCUAAUUAUUUAUGACCAUAAAGUGCUUCUCAUGGUAGGUAUGGGCUCACAUAUGGGGGGAGGAGGGGUGUUGGAGCAUUAUAUAUGUUAUGUGCCCAAAUUCUAACAACUUAGUUAAGCUUUUAGGAAAAUUUAUUAUCUAAAAUUAAUAUUGUUUUGUAAUCAAAGUAAAAUCAACCUUAGUUAUUCAACAUAAUAAAAAACAUUAGUUUCCUGAUUGAAAAUGGUAAGGACUAAGUAAACUGAUAUAAAAUAGAAUGUUAUUAUAGUUUAUGGGGUGAAGUAUUAGCACUAUAAAGUUAAGUAACUAAUUUGCUAAAAUUACUAGCUAAAACUUGAAAAGUCUUAUCAAAGUGAAAAAGAAAAUAAAAUUAAACUCUUUAUUUUACAUAAUAGCAUAUCUAUAUCCCCUUAAAUUAUGAAAUUCAUGUUGUUUUUUCAAAAAAAAAAAAGAAAGAAAGAAAGAAAGAAAAAAAAAAAACCUAGAAAUGCCUACUAAAAAAAAGUCGAUUGAUACACUCCCUAACCAUAAAAUUGAGUUGUAAAUAUAAAUUAUAGUUCAUCCAAGUCUUUAUACGACUUUAAGAAAUCAAUAGCUAGUUUCAUUUACACCAUUGGUUCGUUUUUUUUUUUUUAUUCCAUUGAAAAGAAAGCAAUAAAAAUGAAUUGAGACAAAAAUGAGAAUACAAUCCAUAAAAUAUCAAUAGAUUUGUAAACUCAUUAUAAAGUUCAUAAAUCUUUAGAUAAAAAAAGCAAUAUAAAGAGGUAAAAAAUUAGGAACUAUCAAGUUGAAAAAUAGAGUGUAUGGUAAAAAAUAAAAAAUAAAAAGAUAAAACAAACAACAUUUUAAAGUAAGGGUACAAUAGUUAUUAAAAUGAAUCACAAUAAAAGUUUUCUAAAAAUUGAAAAAAAAGAGGAAAAGUUUUUGGUAUGCUUUUAUGGUUUAGGGGGUAAAGGUUCAUAAUACUCGUCAUUUUAUCAUCUUUAUAGGAAAAAAAAUUUAGACUCAACUUUAUCACAACUCAUAUGAGUUAAAAAUUUCUUGAAUGUAUUUUCUCUCAAGUUUCUAAUGGAUACCCCUUUAUCAAAGGUGUGGACAUUGAGCUAAAUUCACCAUUAAAAUUCAUCAAGUUUCUAUUUUCCUUUUCCUAAUUCAUCAAGCUAUAUUUAUGAAAUAUCCUCAUUCUUCAUUAGUAAUAUCAUAUUGUCAAAAAAACCCUUAAUAGAUCUACACCUAUCACCAGUUAAUAGAUAAAAUAACUUAACAAUUAGUUUUAAGUUUUAAGGACUUUACAAGACAAGCUAAGAACCUCAUAUUGUUUGCACACAAUUGACAAGUUGAUUUGUUUUAAAAAGUAAAAUGCUAAAGAAAAUCCACAACACGUGUUGUUUUAAAAAUCUUUGUAUUUAUAUGACAAAAAAAAAAAAGAACCAAUAGUUUAAAUUGGAAAAGUUUAUGCAAAUUAGAUGAGGAAAAUGCAAGCCAUAAAAUAACAUUCAAACGUUAUCAUUCUCUAAGAAACAUCAAGAACAUAUUGAGAGAACCAUUACUCAACAUAAUAAAUUUGUCUUGAAAGGAAAAGAAAAUCAUCAAAGCAAUCAUAUUUGUGAUGCAUUCUGAUUUCCAUAGUGUUUCCAUAUUUACUAUUAGGAUAAAAAAAUGGAAGUUGAAAAUUAUGGCAAUUCCUUGAGACAAUGAAUUAGAGUAGUAGAAAAGGAAAAAAAAUAAAAAAUAAAGAGAAAAAUAUGGUGAGUGAAAAAUAUUUUAACCCCAUAAAUUUUUCUUUCACAUCUCUUUAAAUUUAUUAAUAUCAAUUCUUUUCUAAAUAAACAAUGAAAUUUUUGAAAUUUCUUGAAAUUUAAACAUAUUUACUAGUUGUAUCAUCUCCAGUCACCUAAAUCUCAAGAUGUUCUUCAAAUGAAUUAUAGACUUUAUUUAGAUAGGUAAACUAAGGGGACUCCCCCUCUAAGAACUGUAUAUAAGAAUUUCAUCUCAUACAACUCAAAUAGAAACACCUAAACACUAGAUGAAACGGAUAUAUAAUAGAAAAAUGUAUUUCAAUGGAUCCAAUUGGUAUUUUUCCUGUCUUAGAUAAACAAACAAAUUUUUCUUCAUUAAUCAUUGUAAGUAAAUUAUAUUUUAAUUUUAAAAAGUACUAAACUUUAUUUUAAUUUUCAUGUAGGAUCAACUAACUUAUCAUAAUUAAAAUUUGUCUCUAUGGCUGAAUAGAGCUUUGAUGUAAUAAUACUAUACAAAUUUCAAGUAACACUAAAUUAAUCAAAUAGGAAACUACAGUUACGUUUGAAUACAUAUUCUAUUUUUUAUUUUUAAAAUUAAAAUUUUGAUAUAAAAUUUUUUUUUAAAAAUAUUUUAAAAUAAUUUCAAAUACACAAGAUAUUGACUUUAUAUAUAUAAAAGUUCUUAUAUUUUAUAUAAAACUCUAUUUUAAAAAAAUAGAAAUAAAAAAAUGCAUUUAAACAUAUGCUAAAUUGUUAGAUUUCAUAGAUCCUACAAUUAAUAGUGAAAAUGAAGAUGAGAGAUAACUGACUGAACUAUGAAAAGGAAUUAAAAUUUAUGAGUUUCAAAAAUACUAGUUAAUGAAAGAGAUUUUGUGCCUGGAUGACUAAGAAAAAUGCUGAAAAAUGUGCUAUAGAGUGGCUUUUCCUUUCUCCUCUUGCUAUAUAUGCAUAUCAUCCCUCUUUUUUAUCUCGUUGAACUCAACAAAUUCUCAUUUGUUCUGAGAAAAAAAAGAGAUUAUGUUAUAUGAUGGUAGGACUUUAUUCUGUUAUGGAAUAUGCACACCCUAGAUCUAUUGGCUAGAGCUAUACAGUAGGUUGUUGGCUUGUUUAGCAUUGUCUCUUUUUUGGAUAGGUUUGGACAAUGCCUCUUGAUGUUGCUUUUUGGUAAUGUAUUUUUCUUUGAUUUUUCAUGAAAAAUUCCACAUUUUGAGAUUUUCACCAUAUUAGAGUCUUUGGAAUUGGUACUUGUCUUGACACAGUUAGUAGGAAUCAUUUUCCCCAAGCUACAUAACACAUGUCUGCUAAUUGGUAAUGUUCCAUUGGCAUUUAUAAACUCUCCUGUCAAAAGUGAAUAUGCUCUAACAUUUCAAAUAGUGUGGUGUUGUACAUAGGUUGGUAAUUGAGGAUUUUAUUAUGGAUUUUGUCCUAUUCUGGUCGUGCCAACAUGUUCUGUCUUGUUCUUUGUCUUACUGAUUUGGGUGGUUGCGCGUCAUGUUUCUACAAGCUGUAUUUUUAAGCUUCAGGAGCAAAGGUAUUUUGGUUCUACCAUUUAGAUGAUGGUACUAAAGCAUUUGUAUUAUGGAUUGCACAACCCCUUAUAUGGGAUAUCUUUGCACCAAUUGUUUGGUAAUCAAGAGAACUCUCAUAUUAAACAAAGUCAUCUUCUAUUAGUAAUAAUAAUAAUAAUAAUAAUAAUUGUGUGAUUUGGAUGCUUGUGAGUGACGAACAAUAGGGUUGUUUAGGUGUUGUUGGGUAUUGAAAAGUAUAGUAAUAAUAAUAGUAAUUUUUUUUUUAAAAAGUUUUAAUUUAGUUUAAGUAUACAAAAGAAAUAAAUUGUUAGAAUAGGAUUUGGAAGAAAUAUGAGUUUAUAAAAAAUUUGGAAAUUCAUUAAAUUAUAUUAUUAUUGUUUAAGAAGUUGAAAGUAAUAUGGGGUGGUAAUAAUAUUAUCAUACGAAAUUAAUUAGGAUCCCUAAUACUAAAUAAAAUAUCUUUAGGAUUGUCAAAUUUUUACCUUUAGAUAAUUGUGUAUGAUAUUAUAUUAGGUGGGGAGUAAAUUCAUCAAGCUAAAUACUUCAAGUUUUUGAGUGCUUCUUCAAGGUAAGGGAAAUUAAUGCAGAUUUUUAUAAAAGAAAAUAAUUUUCUUUUUAUAUUGUAUUUUGAAUUGUGUAAAAAUAUUAUUUUUAUCUUUACACAUGGAUCAAAUAUAUGUUUUGUAUGGAAAGUAUGUUUGAGCAUUUUCUUUAUUUAUGAAAAAUGAAAAAUUGAGGAGAUAUGAUGUUUUGUUUUGUAAGUUUGAAUUAAUGAAAUAAAGUGUUUGACUUUGGAUUAUAUGACCCUAGUAAACGAGUUAUAAUUGUUAACUUUUUUUGUCCUAGUCAACGAGUUAUAAUAGUUGAUAUUAUAUGGCCCUAGUCAACGGGUAAUAAUAGUUGACCUUAUGGUCAUAGUCAAUGGGUUAUAAUAGUUGACCUUAUGGUCCUAGUCAACGGGUUAUAAUAGUUGACCUUAUGACCCUAGUCAAUAGGUUAUAAUUGUUAACAUUUGGUUUUGUUCAUCUUAAAUGGAACAAAUUUGAAACUAGUUACUCAAUUGUGAAGUCCCACCUAAUUGGGCACCAUUUAUCAUACGAUAAUCAGAGUAAAGAUAUUUUGAAUGUAUUCGAUUUGGUUUUGAAGAGAAAUUGUUUUGAAAUGGAUAUGAGAAAGUUUUGUUAAAAAGUAUGAAUGUAUUAGCAUUUUGAACUCAAAAGUUUUUAUGAAAAUAAGUAUAUAUUAUAUCUCCUAUUUGCAAGCAUAAUUGAAAACGUUUGAUCCAUGAAACUGUAUUAAUGUUCCUUACUAUGCUUUGAGCUCAUCCCCUUUUGUUGAUAAUCUUUCAAGCAACCUCAGUUCGGGUGAGAAGUGACCGUUAUGAGGGAAAUUCGGCUUUAUUAGGACAUUUUUUUAAACUCUUUUUAUUUUGGAUAUUGUUUAGAUGUUAAAACUUAAUUCUUGUUUGAAUUAUUUUGAGUUUUGAGUUAUUUGGACAAUAACACUUUGGUUGAUGUAUUAGUUUUUUUUUUAAAGGUGAUACUUGGAGAUUUUAGAAUUUUGUCUUACUACUUUGAACAGAGAUUUGAUAAUUGGUAAAUUUCUAGUUAUAAUACGAAUGUUUGUGUCGCUUCCACUUUGAGCUUUUGGACUCGAGGUGUGAAAUGACCGUCAUGUCCUUGAAGUGGGUUUUGGGGCAUGACAUAGAGAGAUACCUAUAAGACUUUUUGGACUAUUGGGUUUGGAAUACUUGAAUUUAUUAUAUAAUUAUCUCGAUAGUCAGUUUCUUAAUUUGGAAAAAACGCAUAGAUUGAUGGUACUGAAUUUAUCACUUAAUUCUUUGUCAGGUCAGAUCCUAGAAAAUAUUUCCAAUCUUUGAAACCUAACGCCAUUGAACAUUUCAUAACAUUGCCUCUUUGGAAUGGUUCUAAAAGAGUGGGGCUAUUAGGAGGUUUCCAAGAGCAUUCGCAGGGAUCCAGAGCUAUUCGUGCAAUCCUUGGAUAAACAAUGUUAGAUAGCACAAGGACAUGCAAGCUUGAAAUAAAUAGAGGUAUUGUAGACCCUCAAUUUUGUCCCUUGACACUUGCAUUUUAUCCUAUGGGUGUCACAUGCACCCAUGCUUUCAUAUGAUUUCUCCAUGGCCUCCUUUUGGCCUUGAUAGGUUUCUGAGCCUUGUGUAGGUUCAUUUGCGGUCCAAUGUAGUGCGGGUGUGUAGUUCAUUUUGGAGUUCCAUCAUGGCCAAGUUCCUAGUUGUCACAUCAUGCUAUAGGGAAGGAAGUGAGGCCCCCCAAAAAUUUUAGUUCAGUUGGAAUUCAUAAGAGCGGGUUUGAAUUCAGAGCACUUGGGCUUGUUUUGAUCAUAUCUCCCUCAUCCGAACUUGGAAUUGCGCACCGUUUUUUUUUUUAUGGACUCCUUAUUCGUCAAGGAAAAUUUCAAAAUUUUUUUUCUCAACCAGCUUGACCGGUUCCCAAAGUUUGAGAUUUUUUCUCAAUCGGAUGAACCGGUUGGGAACCGGUUCAACAGGUGGCUUGGUGGCAGCCCCGUUUUAUAAAUGCUUUGCAUUGUUUCGGCCGGUUCUCCCUCAUCUGGGCUCAGAAUUGAGCACCGUUUGUUUUUUGGAUUCCUUGUUCUUUGAGGAAUCUUCUGGUAAAGUUUCAGAUUUUUUCUCAAUCUGAUGGACCAGUUGGGAACCGGUUCAACAGGUGGCUUGGUGGUAGCCCCGUUUUGUAAACGCUUUGCAUUGUUUCAGCCUGUUCUCCCUCAUCUGGGCUCAGAAUUGAGCACCGUUUGUUUUGUUGGAUUCCUUAUUCUCUGAGGAAUAUUUUUAUAAAGUUUAAGAUUUUUUAUCAAUCGGAUGAACCAGUUGGGAACCGGUUCAGCAGGUGGCUUGGUGGCAGCCCCAUUUUAUAAACGCUCUGCAUUGUUUCGGUCGGUUCUCCCUCAUCCGGGCUCGGAAUUGAGCGCCGUUUGUUUUGUUGGAUUCCUUAAUAUCUGAGGAAUCUUCUGGUAAAGUUUUAGAAUUUUUUUCUCAAUUAUUCGAGCCAGUUGGGAACCGGUUCAACCGGUUAUGCUAGGUAGCUCCAGUUUCAGCGUGUUUUAACCCCCAUUUUUGUUGUGGCUUGGGCCCUUAGACUCCAAGGCACUUGUAGGCCACCUUUAGGGUCUGAAUCCAAAUUUGGUUUGAAUUAAUGUGGGCCUACCUAUGAGUCGAGGGUAUUAUUGGCUAGGAAGGUUAGGGGGUUAUUGUGAAUGUUUGGCUUGGGUACAUUUUGAUGUUUGAUUAAAAAUGCUUGUAUCUAUUGAUUUGCCCUUGUUUGCAGCGCUUGGCUGGGGACCCGAGGUACGUACUUGACUUGUUGGGAAUUGGAUUCAUUUGCAUGCGUGGGGCUUGGAUAUGUUUGCUUGUUGUGUGUUUAUAUUGCUUGACUAACCUCUUAUGUAGCGCUUAGCUAGGGACCUCAGGUACACACCUUUUAGCUUUGAUUUGUGGAGACUAAGUGCACGCUAGAUACUGAGCAGGUUCGUGUGAUCUAUGUCAUUUGUUUAGCCUGAUUGAUCAAUUGAUUUUUGACCCAUAUGCUCCCAUGUGCCCAAUUCAUUAGUAGAGAGUAGAGACCGAGUUCCAGGCCUAAAGAGGUGCUCCCUCACAUGAGGUACCUUCCCAAUAGGUAACCUGAUCCCCGGACCCAGAAUCUAGUUUUCCCAGAUUGCUUUUUCCAUAUUGGAGUCAUUAAGGGUUUUUGUUCUUACUUGAUUUUCCCCUUUAUAAAAUAAAAAUAAAAAGUAAGUGGCGACUCCAAACAAUCCUCACCGGGAACGGAUUUUCCAAAACCCAAAAACACACUUACUUUCUUAUUCUUUUAAAAAGCGUGUCGCGUCGGCCCGUGGAUCGGGUGAGAGUCCACAAAUUGGUGACUCCACUGGGGAUCGAACCUAGGAUCUCUGGUUUCAUAAGAGAAUCAAGCUUGAACUUGAAUUGGGUAUAUUGGAGCACAUGGUUCUCUGAUCAGUAGACUCUUAGGCUACAUAGAUGACUAAUGAUCACGUACUUGAUUGGUAUCUGGCUUGCACCUUUGAUGUGUUGAUGCUUGUGUGUCCACUUGAUUGGUUUUAACAUGCUUGCUCAUUGUUGAUUGGUACUUAGUUAUGAGAUUUGGGAUUGUCAUAAAUGGUCAGAUUGUGUGUAGAUUUUAUGGUAGGCCUUGCCCUUUGCGCAUAACUGUUUGCUGCAUGGCUACACUUUUUCUUGCAUGACUGUUUGCCGCUUGUGUUUUGGGGCGCGCUUGUAUCCCCUUAUUUUCGAAUUACUAGUCUUGGUUGACUAUUCCUCAUUGAUUGCUUGAGUUGUUUGGGAGUCAUUCCCAACUGUUUGCCUUCGACCAAGAUAGGGGUUUGGGAGUAGGGUCUAGCAUAAGGGUUAUAUUGAUGUUUGGGAGCACUAUGAAGAUGAUGGAUAUCCGAGCAAUGAAGAUCUGUAUAGCCCUGAGCUGGAUUUCAUGGAUACAUGCGUGGCCAGUGUGUCGCUUUGAUUGUUGAUUGAUUGUAGGUUAGGAUCAGAAGUUGCGUAUCCCUGUGGGUACAUUCAUCUAGCUUGUAGGACUUGCCUUUUCCCAUUAUUAGCUUUUGAGCCACCUUACUUCUGAGGUAUCACCAUGUCAGAGUCCUGUUCCUACCUGUGGAGCCAUAUAUUGGAUUAGCUGUUGACAUCACAUGUCAGCUCAUUCCUUUAGAGGAUUUAGUUGUAAGAUUGCAUUACUAGAUUGAUUUAAGGAUUAAUAGUCACGGGAACUGACGUACCCCUUUCCUUUUGUAGGAUUGUUGAUCGAGACCGACUUGGGUUCUCGAGCUUGGAUCUAGAUCGGAGGUUGAUUGGUUAGAGGAUCAGAUCUACACAGUCAGUUAGAGCAGAUAUCAGAUCAUAGAGAUAUGGACCCCCAAUACGCCACUAUUGACCAGUUGACUGAGAUUACAGAUACCAUGGCAUCACUCCGGGAUGCUAUAUUGGGAUUGGGUCAGAGAAUAGAUGGGCACCAGGCCCAGCCAUUGCCGGUUCCGGGGAGCACCCCGCUUGACUCUACUGCACCUCCACCUCCACCAUUGCCAUCUAGGCCUACUAUACAGUAGGAUUAUAUAGUUCCAUCUCCGCCACCACCCCCAAUUUAGUCAGCCCCGUGGGCUAGGGCCUUUAUCUUACAUGGUCAGACUGAGACUACGCCACAUUCUGUUGUGUCACCUACACAGAUUGUUGAUGACACUCAGGCCCAUAUCGAUAGGAUUGAGCAGAGGAUCAGGUCUCUACAUGUUUUUGAUGGAUGGGUUGGGACGGAUAUGAUGACUUGCCAGUGGCAGCUUUGCUAGUUGAGUUCUGCAUGUCGGACAUUGAGAGGUACACGAGGAUAGGGUGCCCCUGUAUUCAUUUACAAUUGUAUAGCACUAUUAUGCGCUGGCAUAGAUUGGACAAGGCACAGAUGAUCAUGCUAUUCCUUCUGUCUCUAAGUGGUGCCGCUCAGCGUUGGUUUGCCUCAUUGGACCCUUCAAGGCACCGGACAUGGGCUGAUUUGGCACAGGAGUUUCUUAGACAAUAUUCUUUUAAUACUAUAGUGGAUGUAUCCCGAAGGGAGCUAGAGGCCCUCAAGCAAAGGCCAGAUGAGUCAGUUACUUCAUUCAUCUCCUGCUGGAGGGAGAAGAUAGCACAAAUUAUAGAUAGAUCCUCCGAGCGUGAUCAGAUCAGCAUGAUUAUGUGCAGUCUUCACCCUCGCUUUGCCAAGCAUCUCAUGGGCUUUCCACAGACAGACUUUGGAUCAUUGGUUCAGGUCCUCUAUGGCAUUGAAGAGGGCAUAGCUAGAGGAUUAUGGGUAGACUCUUCCCGUUCAAACUCAAAGGGGAAGAAGCCAGGGUCAGGAUCCAGGCCUUCAGAUGUUGGUACCAUUGGCACGAUAGGGCACAGGUCCCAUCGUCACCCUCCUUCUCAGAGACAGUUCUUAGACACUCUUUACCAGAUGAUACAACACGAUCAGUACAAACCAGUUGCUCCCUAUAGGCCGACAGGGCCUACUUAUCUAUAUCUGGCACCGUAGCCGAUAUAUGCUACAUAGGCUCCUUAGAGGCCACCUGUACAGUUCCAUCAGCAGUAUAGAGCACCGCCUCCACCGAGGUCGGCUAGGCAGUUUACAUAGUUAGAGAUUGGUUGAGGGGGGUUUGAUUGCUCCACUACCACCCAGACCAUCACCACAUCCUACCCCACUAGGAUUCAGGAUAGAUCUUCACUAUGCCUACCAUCAGAGAGCUGGCCAUGAUACAGACAAUUGUGCGAUGCUGAGGCACGCCAUUCAGGACUUGAUUAAUCAGGGUUUGGUUGAUUUAGGACGCCCUGCAGUGACUACAGACCCACUACCUACUCAUGACAUUAGAGCUGUAUCUUCACCCCCGGGGAACGUACAUUUGAUUGAUUUUUCAGGAGAUGAGAUAUUCAUGAUGGGGUGGGACGGAGAGGCUCCUCAACCUAUUAGUCUGUACGAGGACUCAGAUUUUAGUGGAUAUAUCCAUGGACAGUAAGCUCCCAGGCCAUUCAGAUUGAUCCCGAAUGAGAUUCCCCAACAGACAGCAGUAUCGUCGGUAUACUUACAACAUGUUCUGCCCAUGACACCCUUCAUUCUAUUCCUGGAAGAGUAUAGGCCCGUUCACAGAGAUGUUCAGAUUGUUACACGGAGUGGGAGAGUAGCUCAGCCUCUACCCUUUGAUAAGUCUUUUGUUGGCACAGAUGUUAGAGAUGAUGUUUAGAGAGAGGAUGAUGAGAUAUUGCACCAGCUGUGCACCACACAGGCUCGCAUAUCCAUUUGGAGCCUCUUGGCAUUGUCCAGCACACAUAGAGAUGCCUUGGUCAGAGCUCUUAGUUAGAUCAGAGUUGACACUGCUACUACUCCUGAUGGACUGAUUCACUUUCUGACGGUUGAUAAAGCUACAUGCAUUGUAUUUUCAGAUGAUGAUUUACCACCUAAGAGAUCAGAUCAUGUUUGACCCUUAUUCAUUGAUGUUGCUUGUUCAGGUUGUUGGGUGCCGUUUGUCCUGCUAGACAACGGCUCCGCCUUGAACAUAUGUACAUUGGUUACUGCCAUUGCUUUGGAAUUUUCACCAUCCGAUUUUGGGCCAUCUACGCAGACCUUCAAAGCAUACGAUGGGACUCAGAGGACAGUUAUGGGUACUCUCACUACACAUGUCAUGAUAGGGUCGGUCAGAUAUUCUAUACUCUUUCAGGUUUUGAGGAUCCAGACAUCCUUUAACUUACUUCUCGGCUUCCCCUAGAUUCAUGAGGCGGGUGUUAUACCAUCUUCCCUUCAUCAGAAGGUGAAGUUCAUACACGAAGGGUGCAUUAUCACGAUACAGUCAGACAGAGACGUUGUUACCUCUUCCAAGCCAGUGUUACAGAUCAGUCACAAUGAGAAUGACUUGCACUUGACCGGAUUUACUUUUGAUGAGGUUCAGGUUGUUAGUUUAGAGGAUGACAACAGAGACAUGGUACCUAUGUCUUUUGAUCAGUAUAGCGGCACUUUGGUACUCAGUAUGAUGAGAGGCAUGUCCUAUAUGCCUGGCUUGGGAUUGGGUCACCGCCAACAGGGGUCGUGCGAGUUUGCUUUCACAGUUGAUCAUGAUAUACCACAUGGAUUGGGUUACACUCCUUCUGAGGAGGAUGCAUGACACAUGGCGCGAUUGAUCCGAGAUAAGGUGAGAGCUCGCUUGUCCGAGGUUCCAUUCGAUUACCCCCUUCGCCCAUACACUUUUCAGUUGGCUGACUAUUUUGCCAAAGGAUUAGAGCAUGCACCCCACACAAAGGGAGUUGAUCGUGUUCAUGAGGUAGUUGAGAUUCAGGGUAUUCAAUAGGCCUUAGGACAAAUGUGUUUUGAGUUCUGAGACCACCGAGCCACCCAAGGCCAUGGUAGUUGCAUCCCCAUCGACAUUGGUCGUAUCCUUGACACAGCCCCAGGUGGGCCCCAUUAUGCUUUUGAUAUGUUUGGAGUUUCUAUGAUUAAUUCUGAUGGUGUGACACUUUAUGACGCUUGCACUGACACGAUGGACAUGAUCGGCACUGGCCGCAUUUUGGAUACUUCCCCACCUAGGCCCCGAUCCGCUUUUGAUGUGUUUGGGAUUUCUAUGCUUGAGUUUGAUGGUGAUGGACUUGUUGCUACUAAUAUUACUCAUGAUACUAUUUUUGUUGAGGGAGUGUUCGACUCUGUGGACCUACCUCUUUCUUUUGACACUAUGUCCGGGUUUGUCACCCGCUUUGAUGACAUUUCUGAUGGUAAUAAUGACAUGAGUAUUUUCGAGUAUUUGCCUGUGUCACAACAUUUUCCUUUGAUUGCACCACGAGCAUCCACAGCACAUGUAUGUGAUGUUGAUGAUGUGGAAGACACAGAUGACCCACUAAGUGGUCAGUCAGAGUGUGACUCUGAUUCAGAUACGGAGGAUAGGAAAGCUACACCCAUUUCUGGUAUCACUGAGUUGAUAGAUUUUGGGGCACCUAACUAGCCUAGGGAGCUUAGGAUUGGCUCUUCCCUAUCUCCCGAUGAGAGAAGUAGAUUGAUAGACCUAUUCAGGUCAUCCUUAGAUGUAUUUGCAUGGUCGUAUGAGGACAUACCGGGCCUUGACCCCACUAUAGUUCAGCAUCACCUGCCCAUUUUGCCAUAUGCUAGGCCAGUUAAGCAGAAAUUGAGAAGAGUACACCCUCGAUGGAGUUUGUAGGUGAAAGAGGAGAUUCAGAAGUAACUCAGUGUUGGAUUCUUGUCAGUGGUUGAGUAUCUUGAGUGGCUGGCUAAUGUCGUCCCUAUUCCCAAAAAGGACGACAAGGUUAGAGUUUGUGUUAACUUCCAAGAUCCGAACAAGGCCAGUCCUAAGGAUGAUUUUUUCUUCCAGCACAUCUGAUUCGUGCCCAGUCGGUGUAUCAGUUGAUUCAUGUCCAGCUAGUGCUCCUUGCUUGAGGAAGUAAUCAACAAAAUUUAUAACCUAUUACACCAUGAACUAGGGUAGCAAAGACAAAGCUACUAUAGCAUAGUGGCUCUAGGAUUGUUCACUGGGAAGGGUUUUUAAUUCAUAAAUGAUACCAAUUCAAAGCUGAAUUGGUGCCUUUUGAUUUCAAGGUUAGCUUUAAAAGAAAACAUAAUUUUUGGAUGAAAAAGGUUUGGUUUAAACUAACGGUAAAGAAAGUAAUGGAAAUUACUUAUGAAGAAAAACAUUCCUUGAAGGUUUAGGUUCACAGGGGAGGUUCCUCGUGCAAAAACAGAGCUCUGGUCAUUUGGUUCAUUUCCUCGCAUUAGAGAAUUAACAUAUAGUCAAUUCUCUAAUCGGCUCUGUACAGAUGCUUCCCUUUAAUGGGUUCAAACACUAAAUCACUCUCACUGAUGCACCUUGCAAUGGCUCAUACCUCUCACCUAGCACUUGCCAUUCAAGGUGAUCUUUAACCUUGGACUUCCCGUCAAAAGCUCGUAAGAGAUAACUAAUGGAUGUCUCCUUGGAGUCCAAAAGCUUACCAAGUGUUAGCUAUUCUAGAAAAUCCUACCUUCAAACCACCUCCCAAAGGCUCGCAAUAGAUAAACUAGUGCAUCUCAAUGGAGAUCACUUGCCUUAUCAAGUGUUGGCCUAGGUGAUUUAAAGGUGUUUUAAGUUAACUAAAAACAUAGAAAUCAUUAAUGGGUCAUACUUUCUCUUCAUUAAUGGCUGAAACCGCAAAGCUACUAAUUCUUGCACUUGGAACCUUUCCCAGCAACCUUAACUCCAAGGAACUAAAAGUCUAGCCACUCAUUCUCUGAGGAAACAUCCUUAGAGCUUGUUUGGCUAGUAAGAAAAUACAAUUAAAAUGAGAAGGUAAAGCAGAGCAAAACUUUGUAUUUUUCUUCCUUUUAAAAACUAUACAAAAGUUUUUUCGUCGUCCUUUUUUGGGAACAGGCUCCCGAGAGAUAUAUAUAUGGAAAAUUACAAAAUAUCUAUCUGAGGUUAUUCACCCUUUUUCCAAACUUAAUAACUAAGGAAUCCUAUAAUUGGUGGGUUACAAGGAGAUUUUGGGGAUUUAGACAACAAAUAUCUAAAGCAAAAUAUCUCAAAAUAUCCCAAAAUAUCGGUGGCAAAUAUUAGGACGCUUCAGGAGAACACCGCAGCACUGUGCAAAAUGGCUGCUCUUCCAUCCGGGUAGACGCUAUCAGAUGAUCCGGAUACGUCCGUCCGGAGAAGUUGAAACACUCUCCUUUUCUAUCCGACAUCAGAAUUCUGGACGUGAACAUCUGGGUGGAAGUGGUGGCAGUCGGGUACAAAUUGGCGGCAGCCGGGUGCAAAAUGGCGGCAGCCGGGUGCAAAUGGCGGCGCACAUCCAGAUACAAAUUAGCGGCAGUCGGGUGCAGAAUGGCGGCAGCCGGGUGCAAAUGGCUGCGCACAUCCGGAUACAAAUUGGCGGUAGCCGGGUGCAAAUCCUAUCUGGAUAUGUGGUCCGGAUGCUCUCCGAUGGUGUAUCCGGACGCCCUGUCCGGGUAUACUCCUUACAUAGAUUCCAAAUAACUCUCCUCAAUUUCAGAUUUGCUUUGGUGAUAAAAAAGCUAUCAAAACACCAAAACUUAACACAUUUUUUAUUAGAAUUGAUUGCAAGGUCCUUAACAUGCCAAUUGAGUUAAAAGGUGAUAACUACUACUCAAAAGUGUUUAAAAGAGUUAAUUACAAGCUAUGAAAUAGCACAUUUUGAGUAGUAAUCACUCCCCCUAACCGACAUAUUGCUAGUCCCUUAGCAAUGAAAGAGAGAAAAAAUAAAAAUAAAAAGUACUGUAAUUUACAACAUCAUGCUGAUAAAAAAAAAACAAUUUCCAAGCGGCAUGAUGAUCUAACUCUCACAUGGAAUAUUAAAGAAAUAAAACUCAAACUUCAACAAGAGUUAUCAAAAAAUUUGUCUAAUCACAAUUCUUAAAGAGAAGGCUUUAUGCAAAUUUAAGCUUUAAAAGAGUUUCCACUCCCAAAGGGUCAAACCUUACUCUUCCACAAAAAUCUAAGUGUUACUUGAUAGCUUCCGAAUAUAGUAUGUUGAACUAAUCUCUCCCCCCAACCUAACUCUUUUCCAACACUUAGUAAACUGACCAAAUUCAAUAGGCUAAGAACGCACCCUUUUAUUUCACAUUUAAGGUAUUCUUUUCUAAAUUGUCCAUGUAACGGGGGUCCAUCGAUGACUCCCAACCAAUUAAGGUUUAGGGCAUCAAGCUUUAAGGAUCUUUCAACCACUAACUCCUCGAAUUUUACCCCGGACUUUUGAGAAUGAAUUUUUAUACCCAAGCACCUACAGUAUGUUAAACUCCACCUAUUCACCCUUGUAACGAGCAUUGAGGUCGGUGACUCCCAACCAACGAAGGCUUAGGGCACCAGGUUUUAAAGAUUUUCACCAUAUACCCCUCAGACCUUGCUCGGGUUUCAAGGCAAGCAAACAUUUUUUUAUUUUUUUAUUUUUUAUUUUUUUAUUUUUUUUUCCCAAAGGCUCAUUGGCCUUUUACAAGGUGUCCUAACACUAUUAAAUGAGGGCAAAGGUACCAAGUCUAAAAUUUUCUUAAGUCAAGAGGGAAAUAGUUUUUCAUCUUAUACUCGGAACUUAUUGUGCACAGUGUGUGAAUAGCUUAAAGUGGAAGACAUAAGCUUGAAUUCAAUAGAAAUUUCAACAAUUCAUCAACUUUAAUAAGCAUAAUACAAACUCUAAGUUAAGUAAAAAGACAAAAAUUCAAUUUCUCCCAUUUCAUUUUGAAAAUUUUUCCUUAAUAACCAUGGAGAGUAGAAUAAAAACUUAAAAAUUAAGCAAAAAACAACUAAAUUACCAAAAUAGCUUAGCAUUAAUAACAAAAACUUCCUUCCUCAACUCCCCCCCCAACCAAGCUGAACAUUGUCCUCAAUGUGACAAAGCGAUUAAAAAAUAGGGAGAAAGUGGUACCUCCUGAGUGGCGUGAAGUCUGAGAUGUAUAGGAGAAACCACAUGUUUCAAAAAAACAAUAAAAGAUAUGAGUAGAGGAAUUAAAAUAAUAUAAUGCUAAGUGUGGUCACAUACAACCAAUCCCACUAUAUAACACUAAAAAGAUGGGGAUUUCAAAAAGGAAAUACAUAAAGUAAAGUAUGUAAAUGAUCAGAAAUGGGGAGGAUGAUGCUGGUAAGCUGAUGACUCAGGCAUGGGGCUCUGCAGUGGUAGGGGUGAGAUGCUCAAUAGCUGAUGGAAGACCCAGAUGGUGCUGAAGCUGACUCAGGAUGGCAGUGUGCUGAGUCUGGGUGGUCAAAAUCUGCUCCUGCUGAGAACGAAUAGCUGACAUCUCUUGAGCAAGGCUGCUCUGAGUCGCGGUCAGUGUCUGCAAUGUGUGGCAUAGGUCUCUAUACUCUGAAAUGGGUAUGGUCAUUCUAAGCUCGGUUGAAGUAGAAGGCUCUGAUGCAGCUGGAAUAACUGGCGGGGUGCUAUGGGUGGCAGGAAAAGCAGAGGGUAUAUCCUCAUGUAUGGGCUCUGUAGAUGCUCUCCUGGCAGCUGGUAUCUCAGCUGGCUGUGGGUCCUCUGACUGCUGUGGCUGUGGAAGCUCUGGAUGCUUUGUUCUAUAUGCUGUCAUAUUGGUUCACUUGUCGAGAGUGAAUACCUCUCGGCAUAUGCGUUUGCGCUCCAACUGAGGGUCUGAUGGAUACCCCAGAUGCUCCAAAAUUUGGCAUAGCAAUCUCGGGAAAAGAAGUGGAAUAGCAUCUGCUCGCAGCAGCUUCUUCCUAUGCACCUUCUCUUCAUAGUAGAGAAGGACAGCCAUAAUUAGAUGGUGAGGGCCAAAGAAAUAUCCCUCUGAUAUCCUAAACAGGGCUUCUAGCAGAACUCCUCUCCUCUGCACCCAAUGCUGAAGUGGAUAAAUGUUGUGGCGCAAGAGUGCAUCAAUGAAGAACAUGCUCGGAGGAAGUUCCUUCCUCAACAGAUAUGGAUUUGUGGAUGUUCCUCUGGACAAGAGAUGAACCAUUUCAAGCUGGGGAGGAUUAGUCCAUACUCGAUAAUCCUCUAGACGGGCUGGCUCAUAUGGAAUAUGCAGGGCCUCUGCUAUGUGGCGAGCUCCUAAAAUACAAUGACGUCCGUCAAUGGUGAAGUGAAUAAGAGUAGCAUCUCUGACCUGAUUAGUAGUCAUGGACUGAUAGAGUUCCGUUGCUACUCGGGGAUAGAAAAAAUCCCUGGGGGUCAACAAAUGCUCCAUGCGAUAUCUGUGCAGUAGAUGGAAUGAGUCUGCUAGCUCCGGCUGAAGCCUGAAGGUGGCUGUGUCAAAACACAGCUCAGAGUGAAAUGGUCGAGCUCGGCAGUCCAAAUUCCCUUCAAUGGGCAGCUGAGGCUCCACCGGAGGUUCUAAAGACGACGCCAGAGUUGGGUCUGGCGAGGGCUCUAGAGAGGGCUCCGUUAAGUCGAUUGGCUUUGCAUUUACUACCCUGGGUUUCUUUUGAGGGGGACGGCCACCUGACCUGGUCUGAUAACGCCUCGCCGGAUGACUCAACGGCAUGGGCUUGGCCGAAGGUGGGGCGGCUACUUGUCGCGGAGGCUCUAAUGUGGAGCCUUGAAUAGGCGCCUUUCGCAAGACUCUCAUGCGGCUUGACGGAAAUGAUGACUUUGCUCCUCUGGUUCGCGCCAUGGCGGACUGAAGAAAAUGGCCGGAGGUGAUGGCCGAUGGCUCGCGCGGCUUCGGGCUCAGGUGAAAGAGAAAACAGACGGUUGCUCUGAUGUUCUUCCUUUCUGAACCCUUUUGGCAGCUUAAAUGACCGAUUUUUAUAAAAAUAAAGGAAUAUCAAGGGUCGUUUUCACAGCUCAUUUCGCAACUGCGAAAUGAGGGGAACUGUGCUGCGAAAUGGCACUCGUGUGCCAAGAGGGUGCUUCACAGCUGCGAAAAUUUUCGCAGAGAGGGGCCUGAGGUUGCGAAAUGAUUUCACAAAGGCUUCUUUUAGGUUGCGAAAUCUCGCAGACCUCUGUUUUUCCCCUGUUUUACACUCUUUCUUGCUCCAAACGACUUUCCUUUAAUUUCUUUGCAAUUCCUCCUACAUGAGAUCAUUUAGAAAUACUAAGUUACAUAUAAAUACACAACUUAAGACCAAAAAUCACAAGAAUUGAUAAAGCUUGAAAUUAACAAAAUUAACAAAAACAAACAAAACAACAAAAAAAAAAAUUAUGGACUUUGGUGAAACCAAGUCCAUCUAACCCUUAUUUGAUUAGGCUUUCUGUGGCUCAAGGAGGUUGAUUUCCUCCUUUUCUGGUUUGAAUGGCUCAAUGAAUGGCUUGAGACGAUGACCAUUGACCUUGAAAAUGUCAGUGCUUUUGGAAUUUAGUAAUUCCACCACUCCAUUGGGAUACACUUGGUGAAUAAUGAAAGGGCCUAUCCACCUUGACUUGAGCUUUCCUGGAAAGACAUGGAGUCUUGAAUCAUAAAGCAAGACUCUUUGUCCUUUAUGGAAUUCUUUGUUGGAGAUUAAUUGAUCAUGCCACCUCUUCAUCCUCUGUUUUGCAACUUUGGAAUUGAUGUAAGCAUCAUUUCUUAAUUCCUCCAUCUCAUUAAGGUCUAAGCACCUCUUUGCCCCAACUCUGAUCAAGUCCAUGUUUAACUUCUUGAUUGCCCACCAAGCUUUAUAUUCAACUUCCACAGGGAGAUGGCAUGCUUUGCCAUAGACUAGGCGAUAAGGAGACAUACCAAGAAUAGUCUUGUAAGUUGUUCUGUAUGCCCAUAGUGAAUCAUGAAGCUUAAUAGACCAAUAUUUUCUGCUCGUGAUCACCACCUUCAUCAGUAUAUUCUUGAUUUCCCUGUUUGCUAGCUCCACUUGCCCGGAAGUUUGAGGAUGAUAAGGUGUAGCUACCUUAUGCUUCACUCCAUACUUGGCUAAUAGGGUUUCAAAAGAUUUGUUGCAAAAAUGAGUACCUCCAUCACUGAUUAUGGCCUUGGGCACCCCAAAUCUUGAGAAGAUGUUCUCCUUAAGAAAUUUGAGAACCACCCUGUGAUCAUUAUGUUUACAGGGGAUUGCCUCAACCCAUUUAGAAACAUAGUCUACCCCCACCAAGAUAUAAGAGUUACCAAAAGACAUUGGGAAAGGUCCUAUGAAGUCAAUACCCCAAACAUAAAAAAGAUCAACUAUUAGAAUGGGGUUCAUAGACAAUUGAUUUCUUUUUGUUAGCUUCCCAAGCCUUUGGCAUCUAUCACAGCUCCUACACAUGAUGUGGGAAUCUUUGAAAAGAAAUGGCCAAGGAAACCCUGAUUGCAACACCUUCAUGACUGUUUUCUGAGAGGCAAAGUGGCCUCCACAUGCAUUUUCAUGGCAAUGGCUGAGGAUCCCUUGUUGCUCUUCUUUAGGGACACACUUUCUUAUGAUCUGAUCUGCACAAUACUUGAAAAGGAAGGGCUCUUCCUAAUAAUAAGCAUGAAUCUUUGCAAAGAAGUGCUUCAUGUCUUGUGCAUUCCACUCACUUGGAACUUCACCAGUAACUAAAUAGUUAGCAAUAUGAGCAUACCAAGGAGCUUUCUCUAGCAACAUAAGUGAUUCCUCAGGAAAGUCAUCAUUAAUAGGUAAGACAUGGGAAUUGUGUGCUAUAGCCAACCUUGACAGGUGGUCAGCUACCACAUUCUCCACCCCUUUCUUGUCUCUGGUCUGGAGAUCGAACUCUUGUAACAAAAGAAUCCAUCUAAUCAGCCUUGCUUUUGCAUCUUGCUUCGUCAAUAAAUACUUCAAGGCUGAAUGGUCAGUGAAAACAAUGAUGAAAGACCCUACCAAAUAAGCACGAAACUUGUCUAAGGCAAACACCACAGCUAACAAUUCUUUCUUUGUAGUUGUGUAGUUCCUUUGAGCCUCGUUCAAUGUUUUGCUUGCAUAGUAGAUCACGUAGGGCUUCCCAUCUUCUCUUUGGCCAAGUACAGCUCCUAUAGCAAAGUCACUGGCAUCACACAUCACUUCAAAGGGUAGUUGCCAGUUAGGAGCCCUCACUAUUGGAGCGGUUGUUAAGAAUUGCUUCAGUUGAUCAAAGCUAUUUUGACAUCUCUCAUCCCAGACAAACUUAGCAUCCUUAGCCAAAAGCUCACAAAGAGGUUUUGAAAGAUUAGAGAAAUCUUUUAUAAAUCUCCUAUAGAACCCUGCAUGGCCAAGAAAUUGCCUUAUUUCUUUCACAGUUGUUGGGGACGACAAUUUGACAAUAAGCUCCACCUUUGCCUUAUCAACUUCAAUGCCUUUCUCGGAGAUGAUAUGGCCAAGGACAAUUCCUUGACGUACCAUAAAAUGACAUUUCUCCCAGUUGAGCACCAAGUCCUUCUCAAUGCAUCUGUUCAGAACUGCUUCCAAAUUGACUAAGCAUUCCUCAAAUGUACCUCCAUAAACGGUGAUGUCAUCCAUGAAAACCUCCAUAAUUCGCUCCACCAUAUCACUGAAGAUACUAAGCAUACAUCUUUGGAAUGUUGCAGGUGCAUUGCAUAAACCAAAAGGCAUUCUUCUGUAGGCGUAUGUUCCAAACGGACAUGUGAAAGUGGUCUUCUCCUGAUCUUCCACAUCAAUUUCAAUUUGGAAAUACCCUGAGUACUCGUCCAAGAAACAAUAAAAAGGAUGGCCUGAGACUUUCUCUAGCACCUGAUCAAUAAAUGGGAGUGGAAAAUGAUAUUUCCUUGUCACAACAUUCAACUUUCGAUAAUCAAUACACACCCUCCAACCUGAAGUGAGGCGUGUAGCAAUUUCUUCUCCUUUUUCAUUCUGAACCACAGUAAUCACUGACUUCUUUGGUACCACUUGAGUAGGACUCACCCAAGGGCUGUCAGAUAUGGGGUAAAUAAUACCUGCUUGAAGUAGCUUCAGCACUUCAGCUCACACCACCUCUUGCAAAUGAGGAUUCAAUCUUCUUUGAGGUUGACGAAUUGGUUUAGCUUCUUCCUCCAUAUAAAUGUGAUGUGUACAAACCAAAGGGCUAAUGCCUUUCAAGUCAGAUAUUUGCCAUCCUAUUACUUUCUUACACCUCUUGAGAACUUCAAGUAAAGAAAUUUCCUGAUGACUAGUAAGAGAUGAAGAUAUAACAACAGGACAUUGAUUAUUUUCUUCAAGGUAUGUAUAUUUCAGCUCCACAAGCAGAGGCUUCAAAUUGAGCUUUGGGGUCUCUUUUUCAGCAGCUUCUCAUUCCUCUUUAUUGAACAAAGGUAGAAUCUCUUCUCUCCUCCUCCAACCUUGUAGAGUAGCAAGCACAUUAGGGGGUUCAGAAAACCCUUCUUCAAGAUCCCCAAGACUUUCAUUCAGCUUGUCUUGCAUAUUCUGAUUACAGUGCUCCUCCACUAGAGUGUCGAUAAUGCAUACCUCUUCUGGAUCUUCUUCUUCUUCCGGAGUGAUUUGCUUUUUAGACAUAUGAAAAAUGUUGAGUUCAAGUGUCAUAUUGCCAAAAGUGAGUUGCAUGAGUCCAUUCCUACAAUUGAUGAUUGCAUUUGAAGUAGCAAGGAAUGGCCUUCCAAGGAUGAUAGGAACUGAAUUAGCUUCCUUUACAGUAGGAUCUGUAUCAAGAAUAACAAAAUCUACUGAAUAGUAGAAAUUAUCAACUUGAACUAAGACAUCCUCAAUUACCCCCCUUGGAAUUUUUACUCAUCUAUCUGCUAGAGAUAGGGUGAUUGAUGUUGGCUUCAACUCACCAAGUCCCAAUUGCUUAUAGACAGAGUAUGGUAGCAAAUUCACACUUGCUCCCAAGUCUAACAAAGCUUUCUCCACUACCUUUCCUCCAAUCAUGACUGAAAUGGUAGGACAUCCCGGAUCUUUGUACUUCAAAGGAGACUUGCAUUGUAUGAUUGCACUUACUUGCUCAGUCAAGAAGGCUUUCUUGUUCACAUUCAACCCUCUUUUGAUAGUACACAGGUCCUUUAGGAAUUUUGCAUAUGUUGGAACUUGCUUAAUCAUAUCCAGCAAUGGAAUGUUGACCUUCACUUGUCUCAAUACUUCAAGGAUUUCUGAUGCAUUUUUUAUCCCCUUUUUCCCAUGCAAAGCUUGAGGAAAAGGUGGAGAUAUACGUUUCUUCAUCAAUUCUUCCUUAAUAAGCUCUUUCUCCAUAUUUGCAUUCACUGUUGAAUCACGGUCCUCCUUCUCUUCACUAACAUCUUUCUGUUUUCCUUUCAUUUCCUCCCCCUUCUUUGUUUCUUCUUCUUCUUCAACAUGUGGCUUGGGUGUUGGUGGCUCAACCUUUUUACCACUCCUUAGAGUGAUCAAGGCUUUAACAUUUUUCACCUGUGACGAUUCUCCCUCAUGGAUUUCCAUUUCAUGGAUACCCUUGGGGUUUUGGUGAGGUUGAGAAGGAAAUCUACCCUUCUCUUGCACUGUGUUCAAGUUAGUGAGCCUUGAUAUUGAGUAUUGGAGAUUAUCUAUCUUUUGAGAUAGAUGAUUUUGCAUCCCAUUCAUCCUUCUCUCUACACUGUCAAUUCUUUGACUGAGUUGAGCAUUGAUGGCUUUUUGGUCUCCAACAAAAUCUUCCACAACCUUGCUUAGAUUCGCUAUUGCUUUUUCAAGACUUGAAGAUUGUUGAGAUAGUUGAGCCGGUUGAGAUGGUGGAGCCGGUUGUUGGUAUUGAGGUGCUCUUGCCUUCCAUGAGAAAUUUGGAUGAUUCCUCCAACUUGAGUUGUAAGUAUUUCCAUAUGGUGCAUUGUUAUUGGGCUUGAAUUGACCAACAACAUUUGCUUGAUCUCCAAACAUUUCCCUUACAGUUGGAAUUGUAGGGCACUCCUCCACCAAGUGUUCAUAAGACUGACAAAUAGGACACAACUUUACUUGCACUGGUGCUUCAGCAACAGCUUGCACUUCAUGCAUCUUUUUCAGUUCUAGCUCCUCCAAUCUUCUUGUCAUAGCUGCAAAUUUUGCUUUCAUAUCAUCAUCUUCAUUCAAGGUGUACAUCCCAGCCUUAGCAUUGAAAGCACUCGAUUGAGACUUCAUCUUUCCCACUUCUCCUUUGUUGGGUUCAUCCCAUCCCCUUGAAACUUCAGCCACAUAACUCAAGAAAUCCAUAGCUUCCUCAGGAUUCUUACUCAUGAAAUCCCCUUCACACAUUGUUUCAAGGAGUUGCUUCAUUGAGGAAGACAUCCCAUCAUAAAAAUAGCUCACCAACAGCCAUGUAUCAAAGCCAUGGUGAGGACAAGCAGUUAUGGCUUCUAUAUAUCUUUCCCAACACUCAUAGAAUUUCUCAUUCUCUUUAGCUGAGAAGUUUGAAAUUUGCCUUUUCAAGCCAUUUGUUCUGUGAGUAGGAAAAAAUUUCUUGAGGAAUUCAGCUUGUAAGUCAGUCCAAGUACGGAUACUCCUUAGCCUUAAAGAAUUAAGCCAGAUCUUGGCCUUAUCCUUUAAAGUAAAAGGAAAUAGCUUAAGCCUCAUCAAGUCGAUAGAAGCUCCUUCCUCUCGGAAUGUAUUACAAACAUCUUCAAAUUCUUUGAUAUGGGCAUAGGGAUUCUCACUUUCCAUUCCAUGGAAAGUUGGUAGAAGUGGCACAAUAUGAGGUCUGAUCACUAGCUGCUCUGUAGGGGGCACUAUACAUGAUGGUGCACUCAUACGAGGUGGAUGCAUUCGGUCCCUCAUUGAGAUGAAAGCAUUGGGAUUAUCCUGGUGACCAUGGUGACUAUGCUGAUCUUCAGGUGUAGCUUCCAUGAUAUUCAAGCUCAAUUCCAAUUCCUUGUUAUGAGGUUAUCAAGUUUAACAAGCCUUCUUCCACUGUCUCGUAUCUAAUUUGGCAUACACAACUAGUAUCGAUUGUAACUAAGAAAGAAAAACAAAAAUAGAGGAAAACAAAAAAAAAACUACCAAAAAGAGUUCGAUUAACUAAAACUAAAUUAAAAACUAUGCUAGUAUAUAAACGAGUAAAAGAAAAAACUAAAAGAGUUAGUAAAAUGAGAGAAAAUUCACUAAACUUGUGAUGAAAACCACAGGUACCUUGAAAUAAUAUCACUAUGAAGUUGGCACCUUCCCCGGCAACGGCGCCAUUUGAUUCGUGCCCAGUCGGUGUAUCAACUGAUUCAUGUCCAGCUGGUGCUCCUUGCUUGAGGAAGUAAUCAACAAAAUUUAUAACCUAUUACACCAUGAACUAGGGUAGCAAAGACAAAGCUACUAUAGCAUAGUGGCUCUAGGAUCGUUCACUGGGAAGGGGUUUCAAUUCAUAAAUGAUACCAAUUCAAAGCUGAAUUGGUGCCUUUUCAUUUCAAGGUUAGCUUUAAAAGAAAACAUAAUUUUUGGAUGAAAAAGGUUUGGUUUAAACUAAUGGUAAAGAAAGUAAUAGAAAUUACUUAUGAAGAAAAACAUUCCUUAAAGGUUUAGGUUCACAGGGGAGGUUCCUCGUGCAACAACAGAGCUCCGGUCAUUUGGUUCAUUUCCUCGCAUUAGAGAAUUAACAUAUAGUCAAUUCUCUAAUCGGCUCUGUACAGAUGCUUUCCUUUAAUGGGUUCAAACACUAAAUCUCUAUCACUGAUGCACCUUGCAAUGGCUCAUACCUCUCACCUAGCACUUGCCAUUCAAGGUGAUCUUUAACCUUGGACUUCCCGUCAAAAGCUCGCAAGAGAUAACUAAUGGAUGUCUCCUUGGAGUCCAAAAGCUUACCAAGUGUUGGCUAUUCUAGAAAAUCCUACCUUCAAACCACUUCCCAAAUGCUCGCAAGAGAUAAACUAGUGCAUCUCAAUGGAGAUCACUUGCCUUAUCAAACUAGUGCAGUCGGGUACAAAUUGGCGGCAGCCGGGUGCAAAAUGAUGGCAGCCGGGUGCAAAUGGCGGCAGCCGGGUGCAAAUGGCGGCGCACAUCCGAUACAAAUUGGCGGCAGCCGGGUGCAAAUCCUAUCCGGAUAUGUGGUCCGGACGCCCUCCGAUGGUGUAUCCAGACGCCCUGUCCGGGUAUACUCCUUGCAUGGAUUCCAAAUAACUUUCCUCAAUUUCAGAUUUGCUUUGGUGAUAAAAAAGCUAUCAAACACCAAAACUUAACACAUUUUUUAUUAGAAUUGAUUGCAAGGGUCCUUAACAUGCCAAUUGAGUUAAAAGGUAAUAACUACUACUCAAUAGUGUUUAAAAGAGUUAAUUACAAGCUAUGAAAUAGCACGUUUUGAGUAGUAAUCAACAUCGAUAUGCUAGUUGACAGCACUGCAGGGCAUUCGAUGUUGUCCUUCAUGGAUGGAUUUUAUGGGUAUAACCAGAUUGUAAUAGCUCUAGAGGAUAUGGAGAAGACUUCUUUCAUCACUAAGUGGGGUACUUAUUGCUACCUGCUUAUGCCAUUUAGGUUGAAGAAUGCGGAAGCCACUUAUCAGAGAGCUGCUACUACUUUAUUCCACGACAUAAUGCACAGAGACGUCGAGGUAUAUGUGGAUGACAUGAUAGUGAAAUCCCGAGACAGGGCAGAUCACUUAGCAGCACUACAGAGAUUCUUUGAGAUGAUCUGACAGUUCAGGCUAAGAUUGAAUCCCAAGAAGUGUACAUUUGGGGUGACUUUUGGGAAAUUGCUAGGACAGAUCGUCAAUGAGCGUGGUAUAGAGGUUGAUCCCGAAAAGAUCAGAGCCAUACUUGACAUGCUUGCUCCGAGGACUGAGAGAGAGAUUAAAGGCUUUCUUGGCAGACUACAGUAUAUAAGUUGUUUCAUUGCUAGAUUGACAGACAUAUGCGAGCCUAUCUUCCUUCUUCUGAGGAAGAACCAGCCUACAGUUUGGAAUGAUGAUUACUAGCGCGCUUUCCAGAAGAUUAAGGAGUGUCUCCUCUCUUCUCCAGUUUUAGUGCCUCCCACACGGGGGUGGCCUCUGCUUCUGUACUUGUCCGUUUCAGACAUGGCUUUGGGAUGCAUGUUAGCUCAGCUCGAUGAUUCAGGGAAGGAGCGAGCCAUUUAUUAUCUGAGUAAGAGGAUGCUGGAGUAUGAGUGCAAAUACAUUAUGAUUGAGGGCCUCUAUUGAGCAUUUAUUUGGGCCACCAAGAGGCUGAGGAACUACGUGACAGAGUAUUCCAUAUUAUUAGACUCACGAUUGGAUCCAUUGAGAUAUUUGUUUGAGAGGCAUGUCCUGACUGGUAGGCUCAUGAGAUGGUUGGUGCUGUUGACAGAGUUUGAUAUUUAGUAUGUUACACAGAAGUCGGUAAAAGGGAGCAUUGUUGCAGAUCAUUUGGCUUUUUUUCCCGUAUCUAACGACAAACCGAUUGACGAUGAUUUCCCUGAUGAGCAGUUUGUCUUAGUGACCAGUAUUGCAGGAUGGUGGUUAUACUUUCAUGGUGCUGCCAAUCAGUCGGGGUUUGGUAUCGGUAUCCUAUUGAUAUCACCACAAGGUGAUCACAUUCCCAUAUCAGUCCGAUCGGCAUUCUUUGAUCAUCAUCGACUGACGAAUAAUAUUGUUGAGUAUGAGCCGUGCAUUACAGGUUUGUAGACUGCGCUAGACCUUGGAGUCAGAUAGUUGGAGAUCCAUGGGGAUUCCAACUUGGUUAUUCAGCAAACUUAGGGUAUUUGAAGGACUUAGGAUGAGAAGUUAAAGCCCUAUCAUGCUUAUUUGGAUUUGUUGGUUGAUAGGUUUGAGCAGUUGAGAUAUAUACAUCUGCCUAGGGCAGAAAAGUAGUUUUCUGAUGCAUUAGCCACCUUAGCUUCUGUGAUUGAGAUUCCUGCGGGAGUGAUAGUGUGACCAUUGGUGAUUGAGACUAGGUCCGCACCAGCUUACUGUUGUUUGAUUGGGGAUAUUGAGGACCAGGAUGAGUUGCCCUGGUAUCAUGACAUUUAUCAGUUCUUGUUAUGUGGCGCUUACCUUGAGUCAGCCUCAACCAAGGAUAGGAGAGCUUUGAGGCAGCUAGCCACUAGAUUCGUGAUUUGUGGAGAGUCCUUCUAUAGACGAUCACCCGAGGGCUUAUUAUUGCUGUGUUUAGACCAUACCUCUGCAGAUAGAGUAAUGAGAGAGGUUCAUGCAGGAGUUUGUGGCCCACACAUGGGGAGACAUAUGUUGGCCCGAAAGAUUAUGAGGACAGGUUAUUUCUGGUUGACUAUGGAGGUAGAUUGUUGCCAGUUCGUUCAGAGGUGCCCAGAGUGUCAGAUGCAUGGUGAUCUCAUUCACGUGCCACCUUCGGAGUUGCAUGCACUCACAUCCCCUUGGCCAUUUUCAGUGUGGGUUAUUGAUGUUAUUGGAAAGAUCUCACCCAAGUCUUCUAGCGGGCAUGAGUAUAUCUUAGUUGCCGUUGAUUAUUUCACCAAGUGGGUGGAAGCUGCUUCUUAUGCUAGAUUGACAGCGGCCAAGGUGGCCAAAUUCAUCAGGUCACAUAUUAUCUACCGAUAUGGGGUCCCCCCGAGCUGAUUUCUGAUAGAGGGUGUAUUUCAGGGGCGAGGUGGAUAUAUUGAUUAAGGAGUAUAGCAUUUAGCAUCACAGAUCGUAUGCGUAUAGGCCGCAGACUAAUGGGGCAGUUGAGGCUGCAAAUAAAAAUAUCAAGAGGAUUUUGAGAAAUAUGGUCGAGACUUCUCGGGAUUGGUCAGAGAAGCUCUCUUUUGCAUUAUGGGUUUACCGUAUAUCUUUUCGUACUUCUACCGGGGCUAGCCUGUAUUCUUUGGUAUAUGGUAUGGAGGCGGUGCUGCCUGUUAAGAUUGAGAUGGGAUCCUUGAGAGUAGCAUUAGAGCAGCAAAUAUUUGAGACUGAAUGGGCUCAGUCCCAUUAUGACCAACUUAGUCUUCUAAAUGAGAGGAGAUUGAGGAUAGUAGAUCAUGUUCAAGCUUAUUAGAGGAAGACGACUCGUGCAUUUAGAAAGAGGGUUAAGCCUAGGAAAUUUCAGAAGGGUGACUUAGUCUUGAAAGUCCUCAGGGGAUUGAUCAGUGACCCUAGAAGCAAGUUUAGACCGACUUGGAGCGGGCCUUAUGUUAUUCGAGAUUUGACCCGAGAGGGAGCCGCCUGGCUGACGGACUUAGACGAAAAUCAGUUUAAGGAGCCAGUCAAUGUGGAUCAGUUGAAGAAGUUUUAUGCGUGAGAUCAUGGUUAGAGGAUGGGUGGCCAUCAUUUUUUAGUAGCCAUUUUUCUUGUUGCACACCCACACAUUGAUAUAUCCUAUUGCUAGCCUGUUGUGCCUCAUGUGGUUUGUUAUGGCCUAUUCAUUCACUUAGCCUUGCAUACAUUUUCUCACCUGGGUUGGGGGCCUGUCCUUUGCGCUUUACAUUUAUUGAUUGGAUCUGUGAGUAUCGUGAGCUUUCUGUCAUUGUUCAUGUGUUCUUUCUUUGGUCAUUCAUGGUUUCUUCUUUCGUCCAUUGUGCAUUUUCAUUUCAUCUGGCUUUGAGUUCUGUUUCUAUCAUCUCGACUCUAUUCGCUUCUGUUUUCUCUUAUGUGAUGAUAACACGCUCUUGUCUUGGAGCUACAGGUCAGGCCUUUCACACCCUUCAUUCCACUUGUAGUCUUUGAUCUAGGAUUCUUAGGUUGAGGUGGGACCAUUUGGGAUGAGAGUUUUGAGGUUCUUUUGGUUGGACUAUGCUAGUGUGGCAUUCAGCUAGCUUUGGUUAUUUGGCGCAAAAAAAAAAAAAAAAAGAAGUGCUUAUUUGGUAUUUGUUGUUAUACUUGGGAUUAUCAGAGAUCAUUUGGGUUUGAGAGAUUUAUUAUUCCUCUGAGAGUUGGAUGAGAGCAUUGUACAAUCCUUCUCCAUGGAUUUGGGUGACACAUUGGGAGUAAGGUUUGGGUUUCUUUGGCACUCGGUCCCCUGGAUCAUUGUUUACAUCACCUUUCCCAUCUUACAGUGACUUGCUUCAGUCUGGCGUUCUUGGGAUGAGUUGUUCAUCGUUGUCACAUAUUGCUACAUUUUUAUCCUAGCUUGUUCCUCCAUUUUCUACUACAUCCAAUCAUCAUUUGUCUUAUCCCUUUUCGCCUUCUUCUAUCCUCAUCGAAUGUCGUUUAGCUUUAUGAACGACGAGUUCUUUGGUGCACAUCACCUAUUGUUUGACAUUAUUCAUUUGGAUGUAGGUUGAGUCACCUUGCUCACUGAUUUCGUGCCCAGCUGGUGUACCUUGAUUUUGGUCCUUAGAUAGGAGUAAUCAACAAAAUUUAUAACCUAUAUCACCAUGUACUAGGAUAGCCUCAGCUAACAUAGCAUAGUGGCUCUAGGAUCGUUCACUAGGAAGGGUUUUCAACUUGCAACUGAUAAUAAUUCAUAGUUGAAUUGAUGUUUUUUUUCAUUUCAAGGUUACCUUUAAAAGAAAACAUAAACUUUGGUUUAAAAAUGAUUGGUUUUAAGCUAACUAAAAAUAGAGUAACAAAAAUGACUUAAGUGGAGCUAAUAUCCUUGCUUUCUUCUUAGGAGGACGGCUAGUUGACUUCUUUGCACGAGAAGAGCUUGCCCCGAGUGUGGUGGGUGAUCUUCUUGUCUCAUAUCGCCUCGAAUGAGAACUCAAAGGCGCGCCCUCUACUGAAGGUGGGACGACAAGUGGCUGUGAAGGCUCAAUCAUGGAGCCUUGCAUAGGGGCCACUCUUGGUGCUCUGGGAUGGCCUGAGGGAGAUGAGGUCUUGGUUCCUCGGGUUUUUGCCAUGGCUGACUCAGAGAGGUUUGAGAGAGGGUGGUCGGAGGUGCGUGCGCGGCUUGGGCUCAGAUGGAGGUCCUCUGGAAAUGGUGCUUUGGCUUGGCUCCUAUUUUGCACCAAAGGGAGGUUUUCGCAAGGCAAAUGACCGGUGUAAAGUGAAAAAAAAUGGAAUUUAAAAAGUUAAAUUAGAAGCCAAGUGACGGUUGAGAUUUUUCGUAGAGGAGCGGGCAUUUCGCAGCGGAGGCCCAUUUUCACAGCCAAGGACCAUUUUCGCAGCCCAUUUUGCAGCUGCGAAAUGAGAAAGUGGGGCUGCGAAAUGGCACUCGUGUGCCAAAGUGGGGUUUUGCAGCUGCGAAAUGGAGCUUUGGCUGCGAAAUUGAGCUUUUGAGGGCCUUGGAUGGUUUCACAGAAGGUUUCGCAGUUGCGAAAUGAAGGCUUGGGCUGCGAAAUGACACUCGUGUGCGAAAAGAAGGUUUCGCAGCUGCGAAAAUUUUGGCAGAAGAGGGCUAUGGGGCUGCGAAAUUGUUUCGCAGAGGAGGACCCAUUUCGCAGCAAACCCUUGAUUUCACAGCGAGUCCCUUUUGGCUGCGAAAUUAUUUCACAAAGGAUGGUCGUUUUCGCAGGGGGCUAUUUUGGGCUGCGAAAUUUUGCAGGCCACUGAAAUUUCUUGUUUCUGAGCUCCUUUUGGCUCCCUGAGACCUUCCUUCACCUCUUUUGCAAUUCCUCCUAAAUUAGAUCAUUCAAAAAGUCUAAGUUACAUAAAAAUAACAUAAAUUAAGACUAAGAUUAAAAUCAAAACAAUUAAUAAAGUUCUUAAAUUAACAAAAUUAAACAAAAAAUAUGGACUUUGGUGAGACCAAGUCCAUUUAACCUCUUUCUGAUUAGGAUUUCUGUGGCUCAAGGAGGUUGAUUUCCUCCUUACCUUGCUUGAAUGACUCAAUAAAUGGUUUGAGACAAUGGCCAUUGACUUUAAAGGUGUUAGUGUUGUUGGAAUUCAGUAAUUCCACCACUCCAUUGAGAUGCACUUGGUGAAUAAUGAAAGGGCCUAUCCACCUUGACUUCAGCUUCCUAGGAAAGAUAUGGAGCCUUGAUUCAUAGAGUAAGACUCUUUUUCCUUUUCGGAAUUCUUUGUUGGAGAUUAACUGAUCAUGCCACCUCUUCAUCCUCUGUUUUGAAACUUUGGAAUUGAUGUAGGCAUCAUUUCUUAAUUCCUCCAUCUCAUUAAGGUCUAAGCACUUCUUUGCCUUGGCUCUGAUCAAGUCCAUGUUAACCUUCUUGAUUGCCUACCAAGCUUUAUAUUCAACUUCUACAAGGAGAUGGCAUGUUUUGCCAUAGACUAGGCGAUAGGGAGACAUGCUAAGAAUAGUCUUGUAAGCUGUUCUAUAUGCCCAUAGUGAAUCAUGGAGCUUAAUAGACCAAUCUCUUCUGCUCGUGUUCACCAGCUUCAUCAAUAUAUUCUUGAUUUCCCUGUUUGCUAGCUCAACUUGCCCGGAAGUCUGAGGGUGAUAAGGUGUAGCUACCUUAUGCUUCACCCCAUACUUGGCUAAUAGGGUUUCAAAAGGCUUGUUGCAAAAAUGAGUACCUCCAUCACUGAUUAUGGCCUUGGGCACCCCAAAUCUUGAGAAGAUGUUCUCUUUGAGAAACUUGAGAACCACCCUAUGAUCAUUGUGUUUACAGGGGAUUGCCUCAACCCAUUUAGAAACAUAGUCCACCCCCACCAAGAUAUAAGAGUUACCAAAAGACAUUGAGAAAGGUCCCAUGAAGUCAAUGUCCCAAACAUCAAAGAGAUCAACUAUUAGAAUGGGGUUCAUAGGCAUUUGAUUUCUUCUUGUUAGCUUCCCAAGCCUUUGGCAUUUAUCACAACUCCUACACAUGGUGUGGGCAUCUUUGAAGAGUGAUGGCUAACUAAACCCUGAUUGCAACAUCUUCAUGGCUGUUUUCUGGGAGGCAAAGUGGCCUCCACAUGCACGCUCAUGGCAAUGGCCGAGGAUUCCUUGUUGCUCUUCUUCAGGGACACACUUCCUUAUUAUUUGAUCUACACAAUACUUGAAAAGGAAAGGUUCUUCCCAAUAAUAAGCAUGAAUCUUUGCAAAUAAGUGCUUUCUAUCUUGUGCUUUCCACUCUCUUGGAACUUCACCAGUAACUAGAUAGUUAGCAAUAUGAGCAUACCAAGGAGUUUUUUCUAGCAACAUAAGUGAUUCCUCAGGAAAGUCAUCAUUAAUAGGUAAGACAUGGGAAUUGUGUGCUAUAGCCAACCUUGAAAGGUGGUCAACUACCACAUUCUCCACUCCUUUCUUAUCUCUGAUUUGGAGAUCGAAUUCUUGUAGUAAGAGAAUCCAUCUAAUCAACCUUGAUUUUGCAUCUUGCUUUGUCAAUAAAUACUUCAAGGUUGAAUGGUCAGUGAAAACAAUGAUGAAGGACCCUACUAGAUAAGCAUGAAACUUGUUUAAGGCAAACACUACAGCUAACAAUUCUUUCUCUGUGGUUGUUUAGUUCCUUUGAGCUUCGUUCAAUGUCUUACUUGCAUAGUAGAUCACAUAGGGCUUUCCAUCUUCUCUUUAGCCAAGCACAACUCCUAUAGCAAAGUCACUGGCGUCACACAUCACUUCAAAGGGUAGUUGCCAGUUAGGAGCCCUCACAAUUAGAGUAGUUGUCAAGAAUUGCUUCAGUUGAUCAAAACUCCUUUGACAUCUUUCAUCCCAUAUAGACUUAGCAUCCUUAGCCAAAAGUUCACAAAGAGGCUUUGAAAGCUUAGAGAAAUCUUUUAUAAACCUCCUAUAGAACCCUGCAUGGCCAAGGAAUUGCCUUACUCCUUUUACAGUUGUUGGGAAUGACAAUUUGACACAAUAAGUUCCACCUUUGCUUUAUCAAUUUCAAUGCCUUUCUCGGAGAUGAUAUGGCCAAGGACAAUUCCUUGCUGUACCAUAAAAUGGCAUUUCUCCAAGUUGAGCACCAAGUCCUUUUCAAUGCAUCUAUUCAGAACCGCUUCCAAGUUGACUAAGCAUUCUUCAAAUGUACUUCCAUAUGUGGUGAUAUCAUCCAUGAAAACCUCCAUAAUUUGCUCCACCAUAUCACUGAAGAUACUUAGCAUACAUCGUUGGAAUGUUGCAGGUGCAUUGCAUAAACCAAAAGGCAUUCUUCUAUAGGCAUAUGUUCCAAAUGGACAUGUGAAAGUGGUUUUGUCCUGAUCUUCAAUAUCGAUUUCAAUUUGAAAAUACCCGGAGUAGCCGUCCAAUAAACAAUAGAAAGGAUGGCCACAGACUCUCUCCAACACUUGAUCAAUAAAUGGCAAUGGAAAAUGAUCCUUCCUUGUCACAGCAUUCAAUUUUCUAUAAUCAAUACACACCCUCAACCCUGAAGUGAGGCGUGUAGAAACUUUUUCUCCCUUUUCAUUUUGAACCACCGUGAUCCUUGACUUCUUUAGUACCACUUGAGUAGGACUCACCCAAGGGCUGUCGGAUAUGGGAUAGAUAAUACCUGCUUGAAGUAGCUUCAGAACCUCAGCUCGCACCACCUCUUGCAAAUGAGGAUUCAAUCUUCUUUGAGGUUGAUGAAUUGGUUUAACUUCUUCUUCCAUGUAUAUAUGAUGUGUAUAGACCAAAGGACUGAUGCCUUUCAAGUCAGAUAUUUGUCAUCCUAUUGCUUUCUUACACCUCUUGAGAACUUCAAGUAGACACAUCUCCUGAGGAGUAGUAAGAUAUGAAGAUAUAACAACAGGGCACUUUUGAUUUUCUUCUAGGUAUGUAUAUUUCAACUCCGUGGGUAGAGGCUUCAGAUUGAGUUUUGGGGUCUCUUCUUUAGCAGCUUCUUGUGCCUCUUCUUUAUUGAACAAAGGUAGAAUCUCUUCUCUUAUUCUCCAACCUUGUAGAGAAGCAAGCACAUCUGAGGGUUUAGGCAACCCUUCUUCAAGAUCCCCAAGACUUUCAUUCAACUUGUCUUGCAUUUUCUUAUUACAAUGCUCCUCCACUAGAGUGUCAAUAAUGCACACCUCUUCUGGACCUUCUUCUUCUUUCGGAGUGAUUAGCUUUUUGGACAUAUAGAAGAUAUUGAGCUCUAGUGUCAUGUUGCCAAACGUGAGUUGCAUGAGUCCAUUCCUACAAUUUAUGAUUGCAUUUGAUGUAGCAAGAAAUGACCUUCCAAGGAUGAUAGGAACAUAAUCCGUUUCCUUGACAAUUGGGUCUGUGUCAAGAACAAUAAAGUCUACUGGAUAGUAGAAAUUAUCAACUUGAACUAAGACAUCUUCAAUUACCCCCCUUGGAAUUUUCAUUGAUCUAUCUGCUAGAGAUAGAGUGAUUGAUGUUGGCUUUAAUUCACCAAGUUCCAAUUGCUUGUAGACAGAGUAUGGUAGCAAAUUCACACUUGCUCCCAAGUCUAACAAAGCUUUCUCCACUACUUUUCCUCCAAUCAUGAUUGAAAUGGUGGGACAACUCGGAUCUUUGUACUUCAAAGGAGACUUGCAUUGUAUGAUAGCACUCACUUGCUCAGUCAAGAAGGCUUUCUUAUUCACAUUCAACCCUCUUUUGAUAGUACACAAGUCCUUUAGGAAUUUUGCAUAUGUUGGAACUUGUUUAAUCAUAUCCAGCAAUGGGAUAUUGACUUUCACUUGUCUCAAUACUUCAAGAAUUUCUGAUGCAUUUCUGAUCCCUUUUUUCCCAUGCAAAGCUUGAGGAAAAGGUGGAGAUGUGUGUUUCUUCAUCACAUCUCCCUUGAUGAGUACUUUAUCCGGAUUUGCAUUCACUGUUGAAUCAUGGUCCUCCUUCACUUCACUGGUAUCUUUCUUCUUUCCUUUGAUUUCCUCCCUCUUCUCUGUUUCUUCUUCUUCUUUUUCUUCCUCUUUAACAUAUGGCUUGGGUGUUGGUAGCUCAACCUUUUUACCACUCCUUAGAGUGAUCAAGGCUUUGACAUCUCUCACCUGAGAAGAUUCUCCCUCAUGAGUUUCCACUUCAUGGAUACCUUUGGGGUUUUGGUGAGGUUGAGAAGGAAAUCUACCCUUCUCUUGCACUAUGUUCAGGUUAGUGAGCCUUGAGAUUGAAUAUUGGAGAUUAUCUAUCUUCUGAGAUAAGCCAUUUUGCAUGUCAUCCAUCCUUUUAUUCAAUGUAUUCUCUACACUGUCAAUUCUUUGACUAAGUUGAGCAUUGAUGGAUUUUUUAUCUCCAAUAAAAUUUCCCACAACCUUGCUUAGAUUCACUAUUGCUUGUUCAAGAUUUGAAGCUUGUUGAGAUGGUUGAGCUGGCUGUUGGUACUAAGGUGCUCUUGGCUUCCAGGAGAAAUUUAGAUGGUUCCUCCAAUUUGAGUUGUAAGUAUUUCCAUACAAAGCAUUGUUGUUGGGCUUGAAUUGUCCAAUGACAUUUGCUUGAUCUCUAAACAUUUCCCUAGCAGCUAGAAUUGUAGAGCACUUCUCCACCAAGUGCUCAUAAGAUUGAAAAAUAGGACAUGGCUUGACUUGCACUGGUGUUUCAGCAACAGCUUGCACUUCAUGUAUCUUCUUCAGUUCUAGCUCCUCCAAUCUUCUUGUCACAGCUGCAAACUUUGCCUUUAUAUCAACAUUUUCAUUUAAGGUGUACAUCCCAGCCUUAGCAUUAAAGGCAUUCGGUUGAGACUUCAUCUUCUCCACUUCUCCUUUGUUCGGUUCAUCCCAUCCCCUUGAUACUUCAACCACAUAACUUAAGAAAUCCAUGGCUUCCUCCAGAUUCUUACUCAUGGAAUCUCCUCUACACAUUGUCUCGAGGAGUUGCUUCAUUGAGGAAGACAUCCCAUCAUAAAAGUAACUCACCAAUAGCCAUGUAUCAAAACCAUGGUGAGGAUAAGCAUUGAUGGCUUCCAUGUAUCUUUCCCAACACUCAUAGAAUUUCUCACUCUCUUUAGCUGAGAAGUUUGAAAUUUCCCUUUUCAAGCCAUUUGUUCUGUGAGUAGGAAAAAAUUUCUCGAGGAAUUCAACUUGCAAAUUAGUCCAAGUCCGGAUACUCCUUGGCCUUAAAGAAUUAAGCAAAAUCUUGGCCUUAUCCUUUAAAUUAAAAGGAAAUAGUUUAAGCCUCAUCAAGUCGAUUGAAGCUCCUCCUUCUUGAAACGUAUUACAAACAUCUUCAAAUUCCUUGAUAUGGGCAUAGGGAUUCUCAUUUUCAAUCCCAUGGAAAGUUGGUAGAAGUGGAACAAUAUGCGGUCUAAUUACUAGCUGCUUUGUAGGGGGCACUAUACAGGAUGGUGCACUCAUACGAGGUGGAUACAUGAGGUCCCUCAUUGAUCUGAAUGCAUUGGGAUUGUCCUGGUGACCAUGGUGACUAUACUGAUCUUCAGGUGUAGCUUCCAUGAUAUUCAAACUCAAUUCCAAUUCCUUGUUAUGAGGUAUUUCAAGUUUCACAAGCCUUCCUCUACUAUCUCGUAUCCAAUUUGGCAUACACAACUAGUAUCAACUGUAAUAAAAACAAAAACAAAAGAAAACAAAAGAAAACAAAAGAAAACAAAACUACAAAAAGACUAAGAUUAAUUAAAACUAAAUUAAAAAAAAUGCUAAAAUAUGAACAAAUAAAAGAAACAAUUAAAAGAGUUACUAGAAUGAAAGAAAAAUCACCAAACUUGUGAUGAAAAUCACAAGUACUCUGAAAAGAUAAUAUCACUGUAAAGUUGGCACCUUCCCCGACAAUGGCGCCAUUUGAUUUCGUGCCCAGCUGGUAUACCUUGAUUUUGGUCCUCAGAUAAGAGUAAUCAACAAAAUUUAUAACCUAUAUCACCAUGUACUAGGAUAGCCUCAGCUAGCAUAGCAUAGUGGCUCUAGGAUCGUUCACUAGGAAGGGUUUUCAACUUACAAUUGAUAAUAAUUCAAAGUUGAAUUGAUGUUUUUUUUCAUUUCAAGGUUAGCUUCAAAAGAAAACAUAAACUUUGGUUUAAAAAGGAUUGGUUUUAAGCUAACUAAAAAUAGAGUAACGAAAAUUACUUAUAAAGAAAAGUGUUUCUUGGAGUUUUAGGAUCACUGGGAUCAGGCUCCUAAUACAAAAACAGAGUUCCGGUCACUUGAAUCUUUUCCUCGCAUUAGAGAAUUAACAUAUAGUUAUUUCUCUAACCGGUGUGGUACAGAUGCUUCCCUUUUAUGGAUUCAAACACUAAAUCCCUCUCACUGAUUCAUCUUGCAAUGGCUCGUGCCUCUCACCUAGCAUUUGUCAUUCAAGGUGAUACUUAAUCUUGGAUUUCCUUUCACAAGCUCGCAAGAGAUAACUAAUGGAUGUCUCCUUAGAGUCUAAAAGCUUACCAAGUGUUGGCUAUUCUAGAAAAUCCUACUUUCAAACCACCUCCCAAAGGCUCGCAAGAGAUAAACUAGUGCAUCUCAAUGAACGGAGAUCACUUGCCUUACCAAGUGUUGGCCCAGGUGAUUCAAAGACGUUUUAAGUUAACUAAAAACAUAGAAACCAUUAACGGGUACACUUUCUCUUCAUUAAAAGUUGAAACAACAAAACUUCCAAUUCUUGCAUUCGGCACCUUACCCAACUACCUUAACUCCAAGAGACAAAAAGUCUAGCCACUCAUUCUCUGAGGAAACAUCCUCAUUUGUCUAGUAAGCAAAAUACAAUCAAAGUGAGUAGGUAAGGCAGAGCAAAACUCUGUAUAUUACUUCCUUCAAAACUAUACAAAAGGUUGUCUUUAAGAACAAACUCCCGAGAUGUCUGUGUAAAGAAAAUUACAAACCAUAUAUAUGAGGUUAUUCACCCUUUUGUUCUUACUUAUUAACUAAGGAAUCCUAUGAUUGGUGGAUUACAAGGAGAGAAUGGGGAUUUAAACAACAAAUAUUUGAAGAAAAAAAUCUAAAAGAGUCGGUCGCAAAUAUCUGGAAGCACUCAGGUGGAUUUCGCAGGCAUGCAAGAUGGGCUGCGAAAUUUCGCAAGUUGAAAGUCUCCAUUUCGCAGCCAAAGGUUGAUUUCAACUUUUAGCUUGGUGUGAUUGGCUUCCAAUGACUAUAACUCCUUCAUUUCAGCUCCAAUUCAUGCACCGUUUGAAGCGUUAGAUUCCUGACUUCCCAAGCUUCGAAACAACAUAUAGUAUGCAUGAAAUGGACUCUAGAAAGUGCUCUAAAUGUGUCCAAAGUUGUUGUCCUCUUGAAUUCUUCAUGUUAGAUUUCUCUCUUUGCUUUCCCUCAUUGCAUUCAUGAUUUGCUUUUGGAAAAGGACUAUAGAGCUUCAAAACUUGGGUUCUUAAUGUAAAUGAGCUUUCAAUUGCUUUGCCAUGGAUUCUAUAGAACUCUCCUCAAUCUUGAAUUGCUUUGGUGAUAAAAAAGCUAUCAAAAACACCAAAACUUAACACAAAGUGAUUAGAAAUGAUUGCAGAGGUACUUAAUAUGCCAAUUGAGUUAAAAGGUAAUAACUACUAUUCAAAAGUGUUUAAAAGAGUUAAUUAUAAACUAUAAAAUAGCACUUUUUGAGUAGUAAUCACUCACAUGAUUCUAUGAUAUUUGGCAUUGCAUACAGGGGUUUGGCAUUUAGUUAUUGGGUAUUUGGGCCUUUGUGUCCCAUCAUUUCAUUCACCUGUCACCCCUGGCCUACAUUACGGUCCGAGUCGUAAGACCACCCUGAGGCCAUGAGAUCUCGUAUCUGCUUCGAUGCGGUUCAUUCGGAUAGGCUCCAUCUACUGAUUGAGUACGGGAUGUCAACAGGUCUCCAUUGCUUCAGGGAAUAUCGAGGGUCACAUAUUGCCUUUCCAUUCAGUUUGCUUGCCUCAAGUCCAUGAUCAGAGGCAAAUGAUACAGAGAGUUGGGACCGUUGAAAACGUCUUUGCUUGAUGCUUUGACAUGUUCAUACUAGGGCAUACCCUCAUCCUUGCAUACUGGCUUCGACUCUUACACAUGUACGCAGGCAGUUCGUUUCGCCUAGAGAUGUUUUGGAUAUCAGAGUUUAAGUAAGCCCCACAUUCAACUUGGUUUCUUCAUACAGCAGAGUGCUUUUGGGAGCUGACCUGAGAUCAAAUUCACGGUAUUCAUUGACCCAGCAGGAGUGUGCACACCCGGGCAUACCCCAUUCAUUGUCUUGUUCGCUAGCUCAGACAAUUGGGUCUUCAAUGAUGUAUUUCAGAGUUUUCAUUGAGAUAUUUGAGUUUCAGAGGUAAACAUUGGGGCAUACCCCUUAUCAGUUUUUUUGUGGAUAUUGGAUGUUAUGGAUUAGGGUGGAGGGUUUUUCCUCAUGGAUGGAUGUUUGUGAUAUUUCCAGCUUUUUGACUUUGAAUCUAUGUGCAGUUGUGGGUUUCUAACAUGGUUUUGAUGCCUUAGACUGGAGCAUGGCCCUUUCUUUGCACUUUUGGUCACUUUUAAGAGUUGUCAUACAGGGGCAUACCCCCCAUCUUUCUAUCUUGUUGGUGGGGUUAUUCAUUUCUUGUUUAUCGGCGUUUUCUGAUGUCACACUAAGGCACACCCCCUUUCUUUCGUCAUGAUUGACGGGUUUGACUUUUCUCUUAUUUGAUUCAUUUAUUGACAUUUUUCGGACGCCACACUAGGACAUACCCCCCUUUUUCAUGGUGCCAUUACUUUUCAUUUCCUUUCAUUUCAAUGGCUCUCUAGCAUCGUGCCCGGAUCCCCUAGUCAUUUCGGCGGCUCUCUAGCAUCGUGCUCAGAUCCCCUAGUCAUUUCGAUGGCUCUCCAAUAUUGUGCUCAGAUCCCCUAGUCUUUUGGGGGCUUACCCGCAUCAUGCCCGGAUGCCCUGGUCAUUUCGGCUGCUCUCCAGCAUCAUGCUCGGAUCCCCUAGUCAUUCGGCGGCUCUCCGGCAUCAUGCCCGGAUUUCCUAGUCAUUUCGGUGGCUCUCCGGCAUCGUGCCCAGAUCCACUAGUCAUUCCGGCGGCUCUUCGACAUCGUGGCCGAAUCCUUUAUUUUUCGGCAUCGUGCCCGAAACCCCUAUUUUUCGUCAUCGUGUUGGAUUUUCUUUUAUCUUUCUCGGCAUCGCAUACUGAUUUCCUUUGUUUUCUCCGGCAUCAUGCCCGGAUCCACUAGUCAUUCCGGUAGGUCUUCGACAUCGUGCCCAAAUCCUCUAUUUUCCGGCAUCGUGUCCGGUUUCCUUUUAUCUUUCCCGGCAUCGCGCCCGGAUUUCCUUUGUUUUCUCCAGCAUUGUGCCCGGAUCCCCUAGUCAUUCCGGUGGCUCUUUGGCAUCGUGCCCGAAUCCCCUAUUUUCCGGCAUCGUGUCUGGUUUCCUUUUAUCUUUCUCGGCAUUGUGCCCGAAUUUCCUUUGUUUUCUUCGGCAUUGCGCCUGGAUCUUAUAUCUCUCCCGAAAACGCGUCCGAUUUUCUCCUAUCUUUUCUGGCACCGUGUCCAAAUUCCUUUAGCUUUCUCCUGCAGUGUGCCUGGGUCCUUUAGUCCUUCGGUCAUCAUGGCUCAUUCCCUUAGCCUCUUUAUGGUUGUGUGGGGACAAAAUUGUUGGUCAUUGGAAUUCUUCACUAGAGUUCAUUUCACUCAUUCAUUCUUGCACUUUGCAUUCGUGACUCACUCGUUCAUUCACUCUACUAAAGAGGGGCAUAUUUGUAAACCCUCAAUUUUGUCCCUUGACACUUGCAUUUUAUCUUAUGGGUGCCACAUGCACCCAUGUUUUCAUAUGACCCCGCCAUGGCCCCUUUUUGGCCUUGAUCGAUUUCUGAGCCUUGUGUAGGUUCAUUUGCGGUCCAAUGUAGUGCGGGUGUGUAGUUCAUUUUGGAGUUCCGUCAUGGCCAAUUUCCCUAGUUGUUCACAUCAUGCUAUAGGGAAGGAAGUGCAGCCCCCCAAAAAUUUCAGUUCAGUUGGAAUUCAUAAGAGCAGGUUCGAAUUCGGAGCACUUAGGCUUGUUUUGAUCAUAUCUCCCUCAUCCGAACUCGGAAUCACGCACCGUUUUUUUUUAUGGACUCCUUAUUCAUCAAGGAACAUUCUGUAAAAAUUUCAAUUUUUUUUCUCAACUGGCUCGACUGGUUCCCAAAGUUUCAGAUUUUUUCUCAAUCGGAUGAAUUGGUUGGGCACCGGUUCAACAGGUGGCUUGGUGGCAGCCCAGUUUUAUAAAUGCUUUGCAUUGUUUCGAUCAAGUCUCUCUCAUCCAAGAUCAAAAUUGAGCUCUGUUUGUUUUUUUGGAUUCCUUAUUCUCUGAGGAAUCUUCUGGUAAAUUUUCAGAUUUUUUUCUCAAUCGGAUGAACUAGUUAGGAACCGGUUCAACAGGUGGCUUGGUGGCAGCCCCAUUUUAUAAACGCUUUGCAUUGUUUUGGCCGGUUCUCCCUCAUCCAGAAUCAGAAUUGAGCACCAUUUGUUUUUUUAGAUUCUUUAUUCUUUGAGAAAUCUUCUGGUAAAUUUUCAAAUUUUUUCUCAAUCGGAUGAAUCAGUUGGGAACCGGUUCAACAGGUGGCUUGGUGGUAGCCCCAUUUUAUAAAUGCUCUGUAUUGUUUCGGUCGGUUCUUCCUCGUCCGGGCUCAGAAUUGAGCGCCGUUUGUUUUGUUGGAUUCAUUAUUCUCCAAGGAAUCUUUUGGUAAAGUUUUAGAUUUCUUUUCUCAAAUGGUUGAGCUGGUUGGGAACCGGUUCAAUCGGUUUUGCUAGGUAGCUCUAGUUUCAGCGUGUUUUGACCCCCAUUUUUGUUAUGGCUUGGGCCCUUAGGCUCCAAGGCACUUGUAGGCCACCUUUAGGGUCUGAAUCCAGAUUUGGUUUGAAUUAAUGUGGGCCCACCUAUGAGUUGAGGGUAUUAUUGGCUAGGAAGGUCGGGGGGUUAUUGUGAAUGUUUGGCUUGGGCACAUUUUGAUGUUUGAUUAAAAAUGCUUGUGUCUAUUGAUUUGCCCCUGUUUGUAACGCUUGGCUGGGGACCCGAGGUACAUACUUGACUUGUUGGGAAUUGGAUUCAUUUGCAUGCAUGGGACUUGGAUAUGUUUGCUUGUUGUGUGUUGAAUUGAAGCCCCAUUUUAGAUGAAGUGGCACACUAAAACCCAGUGAACAUGAGCUCUAAAAUGCAUACAUUCAAUUUCUUUCCAAACAACCAGCGAUAAGCAGAGCCCCAUGCAAUUCGUAGAGUUCUCCUCAUGCAAUUUAUAUCAGCAAUGUAGUCUCAAGUACAUUCUCGGACCUCACUCUAGCAUUGGCUACCUUGGUGCACCUUACCCUCAUAAUUUUUUUUCUUUUCUUUGUGAUCUUACACAUCUUAAAUCUGGAUUUCAAAACCUUUUUCCAUCAAAAUAACUCUACUUUUCUUUAAAAUUCAUUCCUUAGGAGUUUCUAGGCAUAAAAUCCAAAUUUUAACAUACUAUUUGCUGCAAUUUUCCUUCUAGCACGCGUUCUCACUAUUUUCUACUAAUUUUCUUGAUUUUCUUGUUUUUCCUAAACAAGCAUGAAUAAACUUCAUGAUUCCAAAUAAUGGAACUCAUUAAACCAAUUCAUGCAAAAGUAAUUUGGACCUUGGUGGGUGGCGCGACAUCCAUGAAUUUUUUUUUAGAUAUUGAUUCAAAUGAGGUGUUUGCUUGAUAUUUAAUUGAAAUUGAUCCUCUUCAUGAUACAUGAGUUUGUUUUAUAGUUAUUUUUGAACUAACCAUGCUCCCCAUUAAAGCGCUUAGCUUGCUACUCUUGUACGCUAUCUAUCACCUAAUUUUCAGAAUUCUAUGAAUAUGCAUAUUAUUAUGAGCUAUAUCUAUGUUCAAUUCUAUCAUUGGAUGCCUAAAUGUUUGUUUUAUUUGCUCUAACAAAAUGCAUGUUGUGUGUCAUAUUUGUAAGCUAACUUUGAUGUCUUAUGAUAGUGCUUGAGGAGCAAUCUAGGUACACACCCUAACUCUCCUUUAUGAUUAUGAUUUGAUUUAUUAUUGGGCAUGCUUGUUUUGAAAUCACCUUAGCCUACCUAGGCAUUCAUAAUCAACUUAUUAAUUGCCACAUUUACCUCAAUUUAGUCAAUAGAGACCUUUUUAUGGCUUAGAGAGGUACUACCUCUUUGAGGUACCUUCCCAAAAGGUAACUUGAUCGCCGAACCUCCUUUUAAAAUAAAAUAAAAUAAGCAAUGACUCUAACUUUGACCAAAAUUAAUUUUUCACCAAUAAAAGCAAGUAUCGCUGAUGAGUGGGGACACACGUGAAAAUUGCAGGUCCACAGCAUGCACCUAGUCAAAUUGUGUAUUGUUUGCAAGAGAUGCUUGUAUUUAUUUCCUAAUGAGUUUAUUCUAAUUCUUUGAUUAGGAUUUCUUCAAUCACAUUGCUUGCUAUUGAAUUUCCAAUGGCUUAAUAUAAAUUAUUAGAAAAAUGUUGUUUAAUUAUUUCAGCAACUUAUCCUUUAUAAUUUUUUUUAACAAAUAUUAUCUCUGAUGUUCAUUUGUAAUAAAUAGCUAGAGAAAGGGCCCAAUGUGAACACCUAUGAGACUUAGUUGUGUUUGAGAGAUUACAUGGAAAUCUUGGCAAAACAUCUCCAAGCCUUGUUGUCAAAAAGGAAACCCUACAUCUCAUGCCUUUAUACUGCAUCUUAGCUUCUCAUCUUGCAAUGGACAAUGGUACUCUUAUUGAAUCAGUUUUACCAUACCAGUCAUCAACAUUUGCACUCAUUAAGCACUAAUUUAAGCACUGAUGCUUUUGUUAAAGUUAUUUCCUUUUUUGUUUGUUCGUUUUUGUUUUCUUUUGUUUUGGAGGUAAUUGUGUUGGAUGAUUUAUGUUUGUGUUAGACAACAAAGCUUGUCUUAAUGCUAUUGUAAAACAAGACUAUGCUAAUAAGAUUUUGAUGUUUACAAUGUUUAUGCCAAAUUGAAUUUUUAGUUUUCCUAAUUGAAAAUUUGCUUGUUUUCCCCAUUAUAUCGAUGUUAUUGUUGGAUUUUUGUUUCUGUUGAUCAAGCAUGUGCUAAAAGUUUGUUUUUUUUUUUUUUUUCCGUUGCUACUUCAUGUGUGUGGAAUUCUAGCUUAAAGUUAGUGAGGAAUUCUAGGGUUUGUUAAGGCCAUUUUUGGUAUUUUGUUAUUAGUUCCUAAUUUAAUGUUUUUCCUUAUUUAGUGGAGAUUUUGUUCUCUAAUCAAUUAAGAUUGAAUCCUGGUCCUUAUGGUGACUGAUUGCACUAUUCUCUUGUAUAUAUAUACCAUGUUGUAUUCUAUAGAAAGUAAGAGAAUUAAUAAAUAAAUAAAAAUUAACUUCUCAUAAAUCUUCAUGGUAUCAAAGCCUUCCCUCUAAAACCCUAAUUUUCCACAUCACCAAAUUCGUCAUGGCUAUUGAGAGACAAAUCUCAACCUUUGAAGUGACCUUCAAUCCAGAAACGAUGCCAACGAUGAACAACCAUGGAAGAGCCGAGAACCCAUCUAUGCUCAUCACAGGUCACAAACUCAAUGGCCAUAAUUUUCUCUAGUGGUCUUAGUUAGUGAUGAUGUAUGUCUGUGGAAAGGGCAAGGAUGAAUAUCUCACCAGUGAAGUAGUUAUCCCUGAGAAGACCAAUCCCAAAUUCAGGGUGUGGAAGACCGAGAAUCACAUGGUGAUGUCUUGGUUGAUUAAUUCGAUGAAUACCGACAUAAGAAAGAAUUUUCUCCUCUAUGGAACUGCCAAAGAAUUAUGGGAUGUAGCAAGGGAGACAUACUCAAAUUCUGAAAACACUUCAAAAAUAUUUGAGAUAGAAGCCACUUUACACAACCCUACGGCAGGGAGAUCUCUCUGUUACCCAAUACUUCAACAUUCUUUCUCGUCAUUGGCAGCACCUAGACAUGUUUGAAGUUCACACCUGGAAGUGCCCUGAAGACACUGCAUUGUACCGAAAAAUUGUGGAGCAAAAGCGAACAUUCAAGUUUCUCCUUGGCCUCAACAAGAAUUUGGACGAGGUUAGGGGGAGAGUGAUGGGGACCAAACCUCUUCCAAGUAUUAGAGAGACAUUCUCAGAAGUUCGCCGUGAGGAAAACAUGAAAAAGGUUAUGAUGGGAUCUCAGAAUUCUGCCCUAUCAAUUGAAGGAUCUACCUUUGUAGCACGAGGACUUCCAUCAAACACCAACAGUGAAAAUCGCCAGAAAAUGGGAAACCUUAGUGUGACCACUACCGAAAACUAUGACAUUCCAGAGAAAAUUGCUGGAAGAUUCAUGGCAAACCAGCUAAUUGGAAGCCAUCCAAACCAUUCAAUGAUAGAGAAAGUAGUGUCCAUAAUGUUGCUACCUCAGAAGACAAGCCAACCUCAACCAAGACCAGUCCUUUCAGCAAAGAGCAGCUUGAGAUGCUUCAACAACUCAUAAGUCAAAACUCCCUAUCUCAAUCCAGUAACUCAGCAUCUGGUAUAGGCAUGUUGGCACAAAAAGGUGAUUUUUCAAAUGCCUUUGCAGUAAAUAAACAACACUUGAAUCCUGGAUUAUUGACUCUGGAGCAUCAGAUCACAUGACAAGAGAAGGAACCAUAUUUCAUGAGUACAACCCUUCUAAAGAGAAAUAUACAGUUUGGAUUGUUGAUGGAUCUCUAUCCAAAGUUGCUGGAACAGGCUCAAUCAGGGUUACAAACGACCUUAAUCUAAACCCUAUUCUCCAUGUCCCUAAUUUGGAAUGUAAUUUACUCUCAAUCAGCAAAUUAACUCGUGAUCUUCAUCGUGAAGCUAAAUUUUUCUCAAACUUGUGUAAAUUUCAGGAACUGGAUUCGAGGAGGAUGAUUGGCAAUGUUGAGAUGUGCUCUAGACUCUAUCUUCUCAAGGGUGAUACUCCUCUAAGAAGACGAACUCAAAAUGCAAGUUGUGUGUCGCUUAAGAGUCGGUCAAUUUUAGAUUUUUGUGUCAAUAAAGAUAAUGAGGUCAUGUUAUGGCAUUAUCGUCUGGGUCAUCCAAAUUUUAUAUAUCUUGAAAAAUUGUUUUCAUCUUUAUUCAUCAAUAAAAGUCCAAAAUUUUUCAGUUGUGAAAUCUACCAGCUUCCAAAACAUACUCACAGUAGUUACCCUAGUCUUUCAUAUACACCAUCUCACCCAUUUGCCAUGAUUCAUAGUGAUGUGUAGGGUCCUUCGAGGAAAAACAAUAUAACAGGAGCACGGUGGUUUGUCUCGUCUGUUGAUGAUCACACUAGAUUGACCUGGGUAUUCCUGAUGAAAGAAAAAUCUGAAGUUGGAAAAUUUUUUCAAAUUUUCAAUUCCAUGAUCUAAACUCAAUUCCAGACCAAAAUCCAAGUUCUAAAAACUGAUAAUGCCAAAGAGUACUUCAAGUUUGUUCUAGGUAGUUACCUCAUGAGUCAAGGAAUAGUCCACCUAAGUUCUUGUGUUGUCACCCCUUAAUAAAAUGGGAUUGCAGAAAGAAAAAACCAACAUUUGUUAGAGGUAGCUAGGUUCCUCAUGUUUUCCACUCACGUUCCUAAACAUUUUUGGGGGGAGGUAGUACUUAUAGCCACGUAUCUCAUCAAUAGAAUGCCAUCCAGAAUUCUUAAAUUUAAAACGCCUUGUCAAUCCCUUCUCUAGAUCUUUCCACAUACAAAAAUCAUCUCUUCAUUAGAUCCAAAAAUAUUCGGGUGUUCAACUUUUGUCCAUAUACAUCAGCAACAUCGUAGCAAAUUAGACCCUAAAUCCAUCAAAUAUAUCUUUAUAGGGUACUCUUCACAUCAAAAGGGUUAUAAGUGUUAUUCUCCCAUCACUAAAAGGGUAUACAACUCUAUGGAUGUGACAUUUUUUGAACAUCAAGCUUACUACCACAAAACCGACAUGCACGGGAAGAACAUGAGAGCAUUCCAGUUUUGGAAGACACUUGAUCUUGGGGACACCCUACCAUUACCUCAUCUUACUUCUCAGCCAAUUUUCAGUCAACAACCAAAAGUCAUUAAUCAAAUUCCAGUUCAAAUUUCAAUGUCUUCACAACCUAAACCUGAGAGUCAUCCUCCUACUACCUCACCUCAAACUCUAGUCCAUAAUUACUCUAAAUCACCACUAACUGCAAAUAAUGAGUUUAGCGUCUACAUUAGGAGAAAAAGGCCUAAGAGAACAAUAGAGCAACCAACUCCUCUAAAAAAUGACCAAAAAUCUUAACCUAGUCCAAGUCCUACUCAAAUUCACUUGGGUAAGGGAACUACUAAUCUUGAAAAGCUAGUACCAUUUGUAGAUGAUUCAAAUAUUCCGAUUGCUUUGAGAAAGAGUGUUAGAACUUGCACAAACCAUCCUAUCUAUAGAUUUAUUUCAUAUGAUGGAUUGUCUCCCUCCUAUCAAGAUUUUGUUUUAGUUCUUGAUAGUGUGCAGGUUCCUAAUUCUAUUUAGGAGGCUCUCAAGAAUCCAAAGUGGAGAAAGGCAAUUAGCGAAGAAAUCAAAGCUUUGGAGAAGAAUGGAACAUGGGUAAUCUCUGAUCUUCCUCAUGGAAAGAAACCAAUCGGGUGUAAGUGGAUUUACCAUUAAACAUAAGGCUAAUGGAAGUAUUAAGAGAUUGAAAGCUCGCCUUGUUGCCAAAGGCUUUACUCAGUCUUAUGGAAUAGACUAUCAAGAAACAUUUGCUCCAGUGGCCAAACUCAACACUAUUCAAGUUCUUUUUUAUCUUGCAGCAAACCAAGAUUGGCCAUUACAUCAACUAGAUGUCAAAAAUGCUUUUCUGAAUGGUAACUUGGAGGAAGAAGUGUAUAUGGAGAUACCAUCAGAGUUGGAAACUUCUUUCAACAACAACAGGGUGUGCAAGCUUAAGAAAUCUCUGUAUGGACUCAAAAAAUCACCUCGAGCAUGGUUUGACAGGUUUGCAAAGUCAGUUACAAAGCAAGGAUAUACUCAAUGUCAAGCGGAUCAUACACAAUUUGUGAAGUUCUCUUCAGAAAAGAAAAUAGCAGUCCUCAUAGUGUAUGUUGAUGAUAUCAUCUUAACAGGUGAUUAUGAAGAGGAACUAUUGGGAAUGAAGAAACACUUAGCCAAAGAAUUUGAAAUCAAAGACCUUGGCUAUCUUAGAUACUUUCUCGGUAUGGAGGUGGUAAGAUCUAAGAAAGGCAUAUUUUUCUCCCAACGUAAGUAUGUUCUAGACUUACUAAAAGAGACAGGUAUGCUUGGAUGUAAACCUGCAGACACUCCAAUGGACUCAACCAAGAAAAUAGGAACUGAGAAGAACAGUGCACCAGUUGACAAGGGGAGAUACCAGAGACUUAUAGGACUUCUUAUCUACCUUUCACAUACUCGACCUGACAUUAGAUUCUCUGUUAGUGUUGUGAGUCAAUUUAUGAACAACCCAAUAGAAGAACACAUGGAAGCUGUGAAUACAAUUUUGAGGUAUCUGAAUAUGACCCUAAGAAUAGGACUGUUGUACAAAAAGAAUGAUACUAGAGAUGUUGAAGUUUUCUCAGAUGCAGACUGGGCAGGUGAUGUGUUAGAUAGGCGAUCAACAUCUGGAUAUCGUUCCUAUGUAUGGGGAAAUCUCGUGACUUGGAAAAGCAAGAAACAGUUUGUAGUCUCAAGAAGUAGUGCAGAAGCUGAAUUGAGAUCUUUGGCUCUUGGUAUUUGUGAAGGAACCUGGAUAUAGAGACUGCUGAAUGAGUUGGGAAUAUCUACUGAGAAGCCUAUUAAAAUGUUCUGUGACAACGAAGCUGCCAUAAGCAUUGCAAAGAAUCCUAUACAUCAUGAUAGGACGAAACACAUCGAGAUAAAUCGACAUUUCAUUUCAGAAAAGAUUGAGAAGGCAAUUGUACAGUUGGUCUAUACUCCUACAAAAUCCCAAAUGGCACACAUACUCACUAAAGCUUUUUCAAGAACUAACUUUGAAGAACUGAGUCACAAGCUGUGCAUGUACAAUAUCUAUGCCCCAGCUUGAGGGGAAGUGUGGAAUUCUAGCUUAAAGUUAGUGAGGAAUGCUAGGGUUUGUUAACGUUAUUUUUGGUAUUUUGUUAUUAGUUCCAAAUUUAAUAUAUUUCCUUGUUUAGUGGAGAUUUUGGUCUCUAAUCAGUUAAGAUUGAGUCCCGGUCCUUAUGGUGACUGAUUGCACCAUUCUCUUGUAUAUAUAUAUCAUGUUGUAUUAUAUAGAAAGUAAGAGAAUUAAUAAAUAAAUAAAAAUUCACUUAUCAUAAAUCUUCAAUGUGCAAAGCAUCAUUAUUCAAAUUUUUUGUUUGUUUGUUUUUGUUUUGUUUUGUUUUGUCUUGUCUUGUUUUGUUUUGGAGGUAAUUGUGUUGGAUGACUUAUGUCUGUGUUAGACAACAAAGCCUAUCUUAAUGCUACUGUAAAGCAAGACUAUGCUAAUAACCUUUUAAUGUUUACAGUGUUUAUGCCAAACUGAAUUUUUAGUUUCCCUAAUUGAAAAUUUGUUUGUUUUCCCUAUUAUAUCGAUGCUAUUGUUAGAUUUGUGUUUCUAUUGAUCAAGCAUGUGCUAAAACUUUGUUUUUUUUUUUUCCUUUGCUACUUCAUGUGCAAAGCAUUAUUAUUUGAAUUUUAAUGAUUCCAUUCAAUUCAUUAUUCAAUAUUUUCAUUUGAUAUUACAUCUAUCACAUUUGUUUUCUUUUCUUAGUUUGUUUUGUUUUGUUUUUGUUUUUUUUUUUUAAUUUGUGAAAUUUGAAUUUGAUGGAGCCACCAUUAAUUUAUUUUUCCUUAUUAUUGUGGGGUGUGCUUUAUUUUGUUCAUGUAAAUAUCAUCGUUGUGGCACUAUUAUUAUUAUGUAACCUUUUUUUUGUUUAAUCUAUUGUUCCUAUGAGCAUUAAAUUCUCCUAAAAUGUAUGGAACAGGCUAAACCCUUUCUAUAGUUAUUUUAAAAAAUUUAUUUUUCAUCUAUUUUCUUGUGCUCAAAAAAUUAUAUUUUUUAGUAAAAUUGAAAUUUUAGGGAGCGCUUAUGCCUUAAUGACUCAACCCCUUGAGGGUUUAUACCUAUCUUAGCAAGAUGUAAACCCUCAUGCCUCUUAUGCUUUUACCUUAUGAAACUAUACCCAAAAACAAACACCACAACUCCUUGCCCCGAUCAAAGGAUACUUGAAAGUUUGCUUCAAAUCAAUUUCAAGGCUAAUAAUCAUAGGCUUGUCAAAUUCAUGUUGCUAAAAUUGGUAUUGUAACCAAAGUAAUAUUAGGAAAUCUUCAAGUUUCAGCUCCUCUUUUUAUGUUGGCUCUUGUAUUGUUAGGUGGCUUCAACCUUUUGCUUUACUUAUGCUUUAUGAGCUACUCCAAUUAAAAUAAUGCUUCAAGUAGAUGUUCUUUGGAUCUUCACUCUAGCAAGAUACUUGCAUUGCAAAAAUUUUUUGUAGUCCUAGAUAGGUUAACUAGGAAGACAAUAGCUUGCUUAAGAGGAUUGCCUCCUCUUCUAUUGGGUUUGUAAAAGUUUUGCUUCUCCCUUGACUUUAGGAGUCCCGUGGUUUCAAAUUUGGGUGUGCUCUAGGUUGUAGCAUGCCUUAUGCUUUCUAAAUGGUAAUCUUCUUCUUGUUUUGGCUAGGAUUCUUUCAUUUAUUUUGCUUGUUUGCUUUCUUUGUUUCUUUAUUGUGGUUGAAGGAUCACCAAUCAACUUUUUAUUCUCUGCAAAAAUUAUUUAUGUUUCAUACCUAAAAAAGAAAAAACAAAGGCUAGUUAGCCUAGAACAUGUUUUAUCUUGUUCUUCUUUUACUAUUAGUAUGGAUUCAAACUUGGGAAGAGGCCUUGAAACAAGUUGCAUUUGUGUUUUCUUAACAUACAUCUUUAUUCGAUCAUUUUUGUUAAGUAUUUGGUGUCUUGUUUGUUCUUUUAGUUGUUUUUGUCUCUGUCAAAGUGUAUAAUUGUAAUAUCCCAUAUCAUAUAGGGAAAAAAGUUUUUCGUGCUAUAUAUAUGUAUAAACUCCACUUAAUCUUGUAAAUGUGUUUUAAAGUCACGAGGGUUUCUUAGGUUCAGAGCAGAUAAUAUCUACACAGUUGGAAGUAGGUCAUUACUAAUGGUAUCGGAACCAAUCUCCAACCUCAAUGUGAGAGAUUGUUUAGCACCGAAAGGAGUGUCUAUCUAUUUGACCCUACAAUCAUGUGGAAUAUAAUAAGGAAAUUGGGUUUGCAUGAGGAGUGUGAUUAUGAUAUCCUACAUCGAAUAUGGGAAAAAGUUUCUAAUGUUAUAUAUGUAUGGACUCCUCUUAACCUUGUAAACGUGUUUUGAAAUUGUAAAUGUCACUUAAGUUUAGAGUGGACAAUAUCUAUACAAUUGGGAGUAGGUUGUUAUAAUAAUUUUGAUUUUCCUUCCAUAUAUGUUUAAUUGCAUAACAUUAUCAUAGAAAAAUAUUCAUCUAUCAUAAUGUAGCGUCUUGUAAAGCUUAUGUUGGGUGUUAUGAUUUUAUCUCUCAUCAUUUUUAUUAUUCUGAUUCAACAUCAUCUUAGCUUAUAAUCAAAAGGCUAUAAAUUGUAGGAUUCUUUUCUCCAAUUUUUUACUUGAUAUCUUAUAAUGCCAUGAAAUGUCUAUAUUUUGAUGCAGAAAGUCGUUCAUCCUUCAUCUCUCUCACUAGUUUUGCAGAACCAUAGUCAUUAGGCACAUGCAAGCGUUAGACAUGCAGCCACUUCCAGUGUUGGAAGAGACUUUGAACUACCUCUUAAACCUAUUAGAUCCACGGAGCAUCCUUUUGAAGUGGUUCAUGAUUUCAUCUUUGAUAGGACAAGAUCAAUAAGACACGAUCUUAGCAUGGAGAAUAUUGUUAAUGAUCAAACAAUUCAUACGUAUGAAGAAAUGGUAUAAAUUUCUUGAAACAUAAUCUUAAUUACCUUUCUUUUCUUAGCAUUAAUCUCCUCAAUAUACAAUAAGUUAGCCAAUCCACUACUAAACACACUCCUAGUUGCAGAAAAUAAUCAAAAUAUACAAGAGAUGUUGUAUAAUUGAGUCAUUAUCCUCUCUUUUUGCUUUAUUGAAUAAGAAAAUUCUAUUCAGUGGAGUCCAAAUGAGGUGAAACUGUGAUCACACAACUUUUAAAGCCUACUUUAUAAUGGAUAAAUGAAUGGUCUGGUUCUGAAUCUUUCUCGGCACAUUAGUUAUUAUCCAAUCCAUUCUAAUUAAGUUAUCCACUAUUGAGUGUCUAUUUCCAAUGAAAGUUAUGAAAGGCCCAUAGAACCCAAGCAACUCACACCGCUUGCGAUGGGAAUUGGUGUUCUUUCCCGUAAUGUCAAGUUUUCUAGUACACUUGGUGACUUUGUAGAAUAUGCCUACGGAAAGGGCUGCCACCUUCUAAUUCCCAAUCAUACAAGUUUCUUAACCAUAUUUCAAAAGUUGUAUUUCUUGUUCCGUCUCUUAAAGUUUUUUAAACCUAUAUCUCUUUAUCCUUGGCAAUUCAGAAAGAUGAGGAAACUAUUUAACAAGAACUCCAUCAAUUUGUUCCUCAAAAUUUUAUAUAGUUUCUCUCUCUCACUUUCAAUUUAAACUCUUGAUUUAAAAGAACAAAUUCAUGGCCAGCAACAUUUUUAGCCAAGCAAUAGAAUGUACAACAAGCAUGCAUAUGAAUGAACUGUAUUGUUUAAUGAUAAUAGAUCAAAUAUUUUAAUCUAAUCCUAAAACCUUAGAGUUAGCUAAAAGCCUCAUCUUAUGUUCUAACUUGUGGUUUGUUUCACAAUACAGGUGAAAUUUCAUAUUAUAUCCCACCAAAAGCUUUGCAAUUGUAGCAGCAAGCCAAAUUUUUAUUUAGUUAUUACCUUAAUAUGGAGCAACUGAAAAAGUGUCUAACAUCUCUAUAUGCUCUAUACAAAGAAAAUUGCAAUUCAAAUUUUAUUUACAAGAAUGAACCUGAGUUUUGCUCAUUUCACGUUCUUCUUCACCUUGGCUCUAACAGCCAACCACUGGUGGAUAUCUGCUUUCAUUGUUUGUUUGAGUUCAUCUUUUUCAGUAUUUGUACUAGUUUCUGAAGGUGUUACUAUUUUUGUUCUGAGGGGAGAGUCACUCUCUUUGUGGUUGGGUCUUGUACCUUCUGUCAUUUUGAAGUCAAAGGAAAAAUGUUUUGCCCAAGACUUUUAUAGUACGUUUGGUAGUGAUUUUAGGAAGUGUUUCUAGUCUUUUUUAUGCUUGAAAGAUAAAAAAAAAAAAUUAAGUGGUAAAAAGACUAGAAACACUUUAUAAAAUAACUGCCAAACGCACUCUUAAGAUGACCAUAAAGCUGUUGUAGAUUCCACUUGCAUUUAAAUUGUUUUUAUUCCCUUUACAUUUAACUCAAUGUAGAGUGGUUAUGUUUUUCCGUUGAUUUUUUUCUCUUUUUUAGUACCCAAUGUUAAAGUUUUGUUUCACGAACUGAAAGGUCCGUCUUUUCUAGUGACAGUGGAUGGGCAAUUAUAAGUGUUUCCUUUGUACUACAACAAUUGAGGCAUCAUAUUUGCAAUAUUACAUUAUUAUUAUUUUUUAUAAAUGAGCACAAAAUAUAUAAUAAAGGGCGGAAAGCCACAAAGCAUACAGGGAGUAUACAAAGCAGCUAAAAAGCAAAAAACUCAUAAACAGAACAAACUCACCAGCCCUUAAAGAGCCGCUAACCACUCUAAGAAGCCUAAAAUCAAAGAUGACUCCUCUCCCAUAUACAUCCUAGUCCAACUCCAUAAAUUACAUGCAAAAGAAUUCUUGAGUUUCUGAAUAGCUAAAGAACCCCAUCUAAAAGCUAACCUAUUUCUUUCCUUCCAAACCGUCCAAAAUAUACACAACGGGAUGGAAUUCCAAAUCUUUUUCCUCUUUUCCCCAUAAAAGGGCCCCUCCAACAAAAUAACACCUCUUUGACUGUCUCUAGGAACACCCAUUGAGCCCUAAACAAGGAAAGAACGAUCUCUCAGAGGACCCUGACCACUGUACAGUGUAAAAGAAUGUGAUUUACAUUUUCCUCUUCACAGCCACACAAAUAACAACGAUUAGGGAGCUGCCACCCUCGUUUUUGAAGCCUAUCCAAUGUGAGGAUUUUUUCCCAAGUGGCUUCCCACGCAAAGAAAGCAACUUUGGUUGGAACCUUAUCCACCCAAAUGAUUUUUUUCGGAAAGACGAGGGGAUUGGGGGUGAUUCGUGUUUUCCCAGCUGGUGUACCUUGAUUUUGGUCCCCUGAUGGGAGUAAUCAACAAAAUUUAUAACCUAUAUCACCAUGCACUAGGAUAGCCUAAGCUAGUAUAGCAUAGUGGCUCUAGGAUCGUUCACUGGGAAGGGUUUUCAACUUACAAUUGAUACCAAUUCAAAGUUGAAUUGGUGCCUUUUCAUUUCAAGGUUAGCUUCAAAAGAAAACAUAAACUUUGGUUGAAAAAGGUUUGGUUUCAAGCUAACUAAAAAGAAAGUAAUGGGAAUUACUUAUAAAGAAAAAGCGUCUCUUGGAGUUUUAGGAUCACUGGGGUCAGGCUCCUCAUGCAAAAACAGAGUUCCGGUCACUUUGGUUCUUUUCCUCGCAUUGGAGAAUUAACAUAUAGUUCAUUCUCCAACCGGUGUUGUACAGAUGCUUCCCUUUUAUAAAUUUCAGCACUAGUUCCCUCUCACUGAUUCAUCUUGCAAUGGCUCGUGCCUCUCACCUAGCAUUUGCCAUUCAAGGUGAUCAUUAACCUUGGACUUCCCUUCUCAAGCUCGCAAGAGAUAACUAAUGGAUGCCUCCUUAGAGUCCAAAAGCUUACCAAGUGUUGGCAAUUCUAGAAAAUCCUACCUUCAGGUCACCUCCCAAAAGCUCACAAGAGGUAAACUAGUGCAUCUCUGUGGACAGAGAUCACUUGCCUUACCAAGUGUUGGCUCAGGUGAAUUGAAGGCGUUUUAAGUUAACUAAAAACAUAGAAAUCAUAAACGGGUUACACUUUCUCUUCAUUAAAAGCUGAAACAUCAAAACUACCAAUUCUUGCAUUCGACACCUUCCCCGGCUACCUUAGCUCCAAGAAACAAAAAGCCUAGCCACCCAUUCUCUGAAGAAACAUCAUCAGAGCUUGUUUGGCUAGUAAAUGAAAAAUACAAUCAAAGUGAGAAGGUAAUGCAGAGCAAAGACUCUGUAUUUUACUUCCUUUCAAACUUUUACAAAAGGUUCGUCUCCUUGAUAACAGGCUCCUGAGAGCUAUUUAUAUGAAAAUUACAAUAAUAAUUAUUACCUGGAUAUUUACCCUUUUUCCUAACUUAAUAGCUAAGGAAUCCUAUAAGUGGUGGAUUACAAUGAGAGAAUUGGGAUUUAGACAUCAAAUAUCUGAAGCAAAAUAUCAAAAAUUUGUCGGUCGUAAAUAUCUGGAAGCACUCAGGAGAAUUUCGCAGGCGCACAAAAUGGCUGCGAAAUUUCGCAGACGUACAAGAUGGCUGCAAAAUCAUUUCGCAGCCAAAGGCUGAUUUCGCAGCCUUGCGAAAUUGGCCUUCAGCUUGAUGUGAUCAUCUUCCAAUGGCUCUAACUUCUUCACUUCAACUCCGAUUCGCGAACCGUUUAAAGCGUUAGAUUUUUUACUUCCCAAGCUUCGAAACAACAUAUAGUAUGCAACAAAUGGACUUCAGGAAGUACUCCAAAAGUGUCAAACAGUUGAUGUCCUCUUGGAUUCUUCAUGUUAGAUUUUUCUCUUUGUUUCAUCCUUGCAUUCAUGAUUUGUUUAUGGCAAAGGACUUUAAGGCUUCAGUUCUUCAUGUUUCUGAGCUUUCCAUUGCUUUGCCAUGGAUUCCAAAGAACUCUCCUCAAUCUCGGAUUGCUUUGGUGAUCAAAUUACUAUCAAAAACACCAAAACUUACACAAUUUGAUUAGAAACGAUUACAAAGGUCCUUAAUAUGUUAAUUGGGUUAAAAGGUAAUAACUACUACUCAAAAGUGUUUAAAAGAGUUAAUUACAAGCUAUCAAAUAGCCCUUUUUGAGUAGUAAUCAAGGGGUAGUGAUUCAUGCCCAAUUGGUGUCUUAGCUGAUUCGUGUCCAGCUGGUGUUCCUUGAUUGAGGGAGUAAUCAACAAAAUUUAUAACCUAUUACACCAUAUACUAGGGUAGCAAAGAAAAAGCUACUAUAGCAUAGUGGCUCUAGGAUCGUUCACUGGGAAGGGUUGGCAAAUUAUCAAUGAUACCAAUUCAAAGUGAAUUGGUAUUGUUUCAUUUCAAGGUUAGCUUAAGAAAUAAAACACAAACUUUGGUUGGAAAAGAUUUAGAUUUAAACUAACUGCAAAGCAAGUAAUGGAAAUUACUUAGGAAGAAAAACAUUCCUUGGAGAGUCAGGUUUACAGGGGAGGUUCCUCAUGCAAAAACAUAGCUCCGGACAGUUGGUUCAUUUCCUCGCGUUAGAGAAUUAACAUAUAGUCAAUUCUCUAACCGGUGUUGUACAGCUACAUCCUUUAAUUAGAUUUCAGCUUUGAUUCUCUCUCACUGAUGCAACUUGCAAUGGUUCGAGCCUCUCACUAAGCCUUAACCAUUCAAAGUGAUCUUUAACCUUGAACUUCCCUUCUCAAGCUCGCAAGAGAUAACUAAUGGAUGUCUCCUUGGAGUCCAAAAGCUUACCAAGUGUUGGCAAUUCCAAAAAAUCCUACCUUCAAGUCACCUCCCAGAGGCUCGCAAGAGGUAAACUAGUGCAUCUCCAUGGUCGGAAAUCACUUGCCUUACCAAGUGUUGGCCCAGGUGACUCUAAGGUGUUUUAAGUUAACUAAAAACAUAGAAAUCACUAAAAGAUUACACUUCCUCUUCAUUCAUGGCUGAAACCACAAAGCUAUUCAUUCUUGCACUUGGAACCUUUCCCGGCAACCUUAGCUCCAAGGAACUAAAGGUUUAGUUACUCAUUCUCUGGGGAAACUUCCUCAGAGAGUGCAUAACUUAGUAAAUGAAAAAUACAAUCAAAGUGAGAAGGUAAGGCAAAACAAAGGUCCUGAAUUUUACUUGCUUUCCAACUUUUUACAAAAAGGUUUCUCUCUUGGAACAGGCUCCUGAGAGCUAUUUAUAUGAAACUACCAUCAUAGCUAUUACAUGGAUAUUUUUCCUUUUUCCUAACUUAAAAGCUAAGGAAUCUUAUUAUUGGUGGCUUACAAGGAGAAUUUUGGGAUUUAGACAACAAAAAUCUGAUGAAAAAUAUCUCAUUGUGUCGGUCGUAAAUAUCGGGAAGCACUAAGGACCAUUUCGCAAGUGAAAACGAGGUCUGCGAGAUUUCUCAGAUGCACAAAAAGAGCUACGAAAUCACUUCGCAGCAAACGGUUGAUUUCGCACCGCUGCGAAGUGAUCUUUCAGCUUGCGGCAUUCGGCUUCCAACGUGUCGGGAAACUUCAGGGGGAAUUCCUCAGCACUGUGCAAAAAGGCUGCGAAAUCAUUUCGCAACAAAAGGGUGAUUUCGCAACGCUGUGCAAAAUUCUUCCUUCAGCUUGGAGUGAUCGGCUUGCAAUGGCUGUAACUCCUUCAUUUCAACUCCAAAUUGCAAACCUCUUGAAGCAUUGGAUUGUUGACUUCCUGAGCUUCGAGACGACAUAUAGCAUGCAUCAAUUGGACUUCAGAAAGUGCUCCAAAAGUGGCUGACAUGACUGUCAUCAAGAAUAUGCUUCAUGGCAGAUUUCUCUUUGCUUCCUCUCCUUGCAUUCCGGAUUUGCUUAUGGAAAAGGUCUUCAAAGCUUUGGUUCUUCAUGUUUCUGAGCUUUCCAUUGCUUUGCCAAGGAUUCCAAAUAACUCUCCUCAAUCUCGGAUUGCUUUGGUGAUUAAAAAGCUAUCAAAACACCAAAACUUAACACAAUUUGAUUAGAAGUGAUUGCAAGGGUCCUUAACAUGUUAAUUGGGUUAAAAGGCAAUAACUACUACUCAAAAGUGUUUAAAAGAGUUAAUUACAAGCUAUGAAAUAGCACUUUUUGAGUAGUAAUCAGGUAGCCAUCAAAUUAUAAGCAUCCCGAAUCCGAAAAAUAUCAAGACCCCCUCCUUUCCAUAACACUGAGUCCUCUUCCAUAUCAAGCCUUUUUACAACUAACUUGGGCAUUCGAAAAAGGGAUAAUUGGUAGAUGGGUAUACUGGCCAAUGUACUUUUAAUGAGGGUAAUUCUCACACCCUUAGACAUGUAUUGCAUUUUCCAAAUAGCUAAUCUUCUUCUUAUUCUUUCCUCCACCCCAUCCCAUAUAGACAAGGCCUUGUGAUGGGCUCCAAGGGGCAGCCCCAAAUACUUAGUAGGAAAAGCCCCCACUCUGCACCCUAACUUCUCAGCCAUAUCCUCAAUAUCUUCAACCUCCUCAACAGAAAUUAAUUCACUCUUAGCUAGAUUAAUCCUAAGACCAGAAGCUGCCUCAAACCACCCCAAAAUCCAGCCAAGAUGAGUUAGAUGCUCCUUCCUUGCUUCAUAGAAGAUGAUUGUGUCAUCAACAAAGAGCAAGUGGGACACAUUCAUCUCCAUCCCCCAUUUUCCUCGAAGUUUGCAACCAGAAAUGAAGCCUCCAUCAAUAGCCUUUCUUAUAAGUGCACUCAGCACUUCCAUACCCAAAACAAAAAGGUAAGGAGAAAUGGGAUCUACUUGACAUAGCCCCUUGGAACUGGAAAAGAAGCCUACUGGCACCCUGUUGACAAUAAUAGAAAAUUUUGCAGUUGAGAUGCACCACCAAAUCCACUCCAUCCAACGAGACCCAAAGCCCAUCUUGUGCAAAACCUUCAUGAGAAAGUUCCAAUUAAUACUAUCAUAAGCUUUUUCAAUAUCCAAUUUGCAAACCAGUCCUUUCUCUUUAUGUUUCUGCCAAUAAUCAACCACCUCAUCAGUUAUGAGAGAGACGUCUAGAAUCUGUCUUCCCCUCAUAAACACAUUUUGAUCCACCGAGACCAUCUUACCUAACACUUUCUUCAACCUAUGGGCUAGCACUUUGGCCAGAAGCUUGUAUAGCCCCCCUAAAAGGCUGAUAGACCGAAAAUCCCCGAGGUCCACAGCCCCACCUUUUUUUAGGAUGAGGACCAAGAAGAUAGUAUUUAGACUUUUGGCAAAAUAUUUUUGGUCAUAAAAUUCCUUAAACAGCUCUACAACCUCCUCCUUCACAAAAUCCCAACAAGAUUGCCAAAAGGCCACAGUAAACCCAUUCGGCCAUUCAUUUCCAACAGAGUUAAGUGAAUUUCUUCCUCAGUAAAGGGCAUCUCCAGAGCUUCAACUUCACCGUGGUUUAGACGUUGAAGGUGCAACCCCUCAAUGUCAGCUCUCCAUCCUGGCUCUUCUGAGAGCUAUUGUUGAAAAGCAUUCACAAUCCCCUCCCUCACCUCCUGCUCCUCAUCCAACUCCACCCCAUUGAUCUUGAUUUUAUCCAAGGAGUUGUUUCUUCAGUGGGCAUUGGCCAUUCGGUGGAAAAAUCCUAUGUUCUUAUCCCCUUCCUUUAGCCACAGCUCCCUUGACAAUUGUCUCCAAUGGGUUUCUUCUAAAAGCACCCACUUUUUAAAGGUUUCCUUAGCUUCAUUUUUCAACUCCGUUUCUCCUUCUGGCGGGCCCCUUUCACAUUCCACCCCAUCCCAAAAUUCAACUUGCUGGAGAGCUGAGCUUUUAUUAAUUUCCAACCUACCAAACACAUCCUUGUUCCAAACUUUGAUUUUUUUCCUUCAACACCUUUAGCUUAGCAGCCAGUCUAAAGUUGGUCCUCUCUCGCCUCCCCGCUCCCUACCACCAAUCCCGAAUGAGAUCCUUAAAACCAUCAACUUUAAGCCACAUGUUUUCAAACCUGAACGGGGAGGGUCCUCGUCUUAACCCGCCACCCUUCAAUAGAAUGGGAAAAUGAUCUGAAGUGGGCCUGGGAAGCCUACUUUGGACAACCUCCCUAAACAAGUCAAGCUAGUUUUGGGUCACCAGGAAACAAUCCAGUCUAGCCCAGGACUGAUUGUUCCUAUCUCCACUCCAGGAAAACACAACCCCUUGCAAAGGAAGAUCUAGGAGCUCUAGUUCAUCAACCACCUGAGCAAACCUUCUCAUUGCACCAUUUAAACUAUCCUGACUGCUCCUUUCCCUUUGGAAAAGGGUGACAUUAAAGUCGCUCCCUAAACACCAGGGAUCAUCCCAGAUGCCCCUUAUUGGCCUUAGCUCAUCCCACAAAGUCUCCAUUUCAUUCCUAGUGAACGGUCCGUACACUCUUGUGAAGAUCCAAACAAGCCCAUCUUCAACAUUCCUGAGCCUACAGGAAAUAGAAAAUUGUCCCACCUCCAUCUUUAGCAUUUCCAGGGACCUUUUAUCCCAGCAAAUCAAAAUCCCACCCGCAAAGCCUUGAGCACCCAUGGCUCCCCAAUCUAGAAACCUCCCAGAGCCCAAAGUCCUCACCACACCCACUAACAUUGACUGAAUUUUCAUCUCCUAAAUACAGAACAAAUUCACCCUCUGACUUCCAAUCAUAGCCUUGAUCACCUUUCUUUUAGAGCUAUCGUUAGCUCUACACAUGUUCUAGUUCAACAACCUUAACUUCAUUAGACAACCAAAAUCUGGCACCCUCUUCCUUGCAUGGUACCUUUUUAUUUCCUCCCCCCUUCAUAAUUAAUGGAUCAUUCAAGUCUCUUCAAUUCCCUUUCAAAUUUCGAUUUUUCUAGAAGAGUUUCACUAUGAACUCUUUCCCUUCUUUUUUUUAUUUUGACCAGAAACUCCAAAAUGUCCUUCAAUCUCUCUGUCAAAAACCCCAAAAACCUGCUGAACCUCACUAGAUCGCUUUCCUCCCAACUAGUUUCCUCUCAUCCUCUAACUUCGAGUGGCAUAGCACUAGCUAAGCAAAGUUCCUCUCCACUUUCUUCAAUACUACCAUUAUUAACUUUCAUUAGCUCCCAACGAGUAACAGUCUCCAUCAUUGAAGACUCCGUACCAUUAACCAUGCAGCCCGGUCAUUCCCUCUGGAAUUUUUCCAAUCUGGCCCUAGAACAGUCGUAAUACUCCCCCAAUUGAGUCCGACCAGAAAAAGAAGAGGGGGGAGAUGAGAAAUCACAAAGCAACGUUCCACAAGGGUUAGAGGUGUUCUCAUACCUCGAAGCUUCCUCCAUUAGAGCACAGUUAGUCUUCAAACUCUUCUCUAAAAGUUGUUCCUUAGUCGAAGGUCUUCGCAGACCUUCGUGCACCCAAAAGGAAAAGAUGGAAUGGUCUGGAGCCCCCAAAAGUCUUAGGCCAAAAAGAUUGUAAAGACGGGAUGCUCCCAGCUGGGCUCUUCCCUCAGCUAAGGGCAAGGUCAGGCCUCGGCAAACCAGCCCAAGCACCACAAUAGGCUCCUUUUCCUUGGCCCACCUAGAACCCUUAAUAAACGACAACCCAAAAUGAGAUGGCCCAGUCUCGCAGAGAAAGGCCACAAGAGGAGCAGGCCCAGUAAUCACAAUGGGCUCUGCUCAACACGGUGACGAAGACCAACCCGAACCUUGGGACCCAACUGACAGCCCAACAAAGCACCAACCAUGACCCAUGGCCUGUCCCGACCCACUAGUCUGCCCCCUCGUCCCAUCAGCAGGUAGUAGCAAGUCCUCAAGCCUCGAGGCAUCGUCCUCCACCCGCACGCGCUCGAUUGUGCAUGCGAUGGCCUCACCCCCAACCUCGCCUUCUGUACCGAUAAUGUUUCCACUCUUUCUUGCCAUCGUCAUUCUCAGGAUUGGCCUGACCUCCCACCGGAGGGUUACCUCGUAGUAGAAUUCCUCAGCCCAAACCUCCACCACGUUGGGAAGCUUCUCGUCGUUGAGCUUCAUCAGGAUCCUUGCCCACUGCAAAUCCUCCAGCUUCUCCAUUUGGGAAUCGACUGCGAUGAAGCCCCCGCACUCCUCCCCUAUCCUUCUCAUAAUGGCUCGAUCCCAUAAGGAAAUGGGUAAUCCCAUAAUACGCACCCAAGCCUUGCUCUUUUUCACCCCAUCCAUCAGGCAUCCCAUCUCGGGCCUCCAUUUCUCCAAACGAAUGAGAGACCCCCCAACCGAAAUACCCCCGAUUUUUAAGGUUUUCUCUGCUUCUACCAAAAACUCAAAUUCAAGUAAAACUUUGCCCCUUUCCAAUUUCGCUAGCCCUAGAUUACCCUUCAGUCUCCAAAUAUUCUCCAAAUGGGUCCUUCUACUUCUUAGGUCAUCCCCUCUCACAGAGCUAGGAUUCCAAAUCCCAACUAAACAGUGAGCCAGCUUGUUUAAGUUUCGGCUCAGCUCCUUCUUUCUUAUCUCCACCCUAAUCAUUGUUUUUUCUUUUCCUCUUGGCUAUUUAGCCACUUCCGCGUAGGUUUUCCCCAUGCUAGAUUUCGACAACAACGCUUCUUUUUUUUGGCAUCCCUCUUCUCCGUUAGUAAAACCCAAUCGCCAUAGCGUCUCCACCAUUGAAACCCAGCCACCCUUAGCUCUUCUUCCUUUUGGAAUAAAGAUGCAAAACCUUUUGUUUUCCAGGUCCGCAACCUCUAAUCGAAGAAAAUACCCCCCUUAUUUUGAUCCCGCACCAGAGAAUAGGCUCUCCCACUUUCCUUCCACUUUCUUUCCCUUUUACCAGUUCCCGCGUCCUUAAUACAAAGAACUAGACCAUCGAAAAAAAACCCAAUGAUCUUCGGUCCCAACCUAAUCCACGAGAAGAUCCCUCAUUUCAGUUCCACAAUUGUAGCUUGCACUUUACCUUUCUGCUCCUCCACCUCGACCUCGAACGACUUCAACUCCACUCCAAAACUACCCUUUCUAAAGCUUUUCCUAGUCCCCACGAAGACAACACCCUCUGCACCCUCGCUCGCUCCACCAUCUACACUUUCUCUCGCUCGCCGCACGCCUCACUCUCCAUCGGAGCUCUCGCUCGUUCUCUCUCUAGCCCUCUCUCCUCCAUUUCUCAUCUGUCUACUAUAUUAUUGAACCUUACAUCAAUGAGGUUGCUUAAAUAUGUUGAUUUUGCUAGGUUUCUCAAUUUGAAAAAUAUAUUAUUCUCUGUUCAUUUAUUGUUUUCCAGAUUCAUCUCUGAGAAUAUAUCUAAAAUCUAGAGUUGAGUAUUUGUGCUUUUAGGUUUUAUUUUCCUUUCAUUUUUGUUGGUAAUUGUAUUUCAUUAUUCUUAAAUUUCUCACCAGCUAUUUCUUUAUAUGGUUUAUUGUCCCUCACUUUCUUCAUCCAUCUAAAGUGUUCAGAUUCAAUUAGCUUGUUUCGUAAUCUAGGUCUUAUUUAGGAGUUUCUUCUCAACUGCCUUUUUUAGUGCUUCUAAAAGACAUGCCUGAUUUAUAUACAUUUUUAUUGGUUUUUUUUUUUUACCAUAAAAGGUUCAAGCAUUGGCAUUGUCAUGUGUUAAUUAGUGGCUAUAAACUUCAUCCGUAUCCAAUUGCACACUUGUCCAAACUCUUGAUGAUGAAGGUAUGGUUGCAUUUACUAGUAUGAAAUUGCUAAAAUUUGUCAUCCAAAGUUUCAAUUUCUUUUGAAUCUUGAAGACUUAAUUUGCAUUCUUGUAGGAAUUAGAUGUGGAAUAAUUUUGCAAUGUUUGUUGUCUUAAGACCAGCACUGAUGAACGGGGAAAUAAGUUCUUAUCAACCAAGCAAACAAACUUCCAUUAUCCCAAGGAAGUCUUUCCAAGCUACUGCCUUUUAGGUUUGGAACACUUUUAGAGGUAACAAUCAAUAGGAAUUAGUUAUUCUUUCAAACUUCUUAUUGUACAAAUAUAACCUGCAUGUGCAACCAUUUAUGAUCCCAUAAUUUCAAGAAUUUAUGACACCUUCUAGUGGUUAGUUUUUCUAGGAAUAGAGUGAGACAAUCUAUUCACCCCCAAAAACCAUCGUCAGAGGAACAGUAGAUAACCCGCAAGACCAAAUUUAUGUGUGUGAAUGGAGAUGCAUGUUUUUUACAUCCCAGUCAUGUAGUGUUGUGUCAAAGGGAAUAAUAGCAGGUGAUGAUAAGUGGUAUUUCUAAAAUGUUCGAAGAAUAUUCCAUCUGUCAUGUAAUAUUGCUUUCUCAAAACUGUUUUUGAAGUCUUAUUUUUAAAUAUUAGAGUUGACCUCUUGUACACUAUCAACUGAUGUUGUAACUUAACUAGAAAGAGAAAUUAUAUAAACUUAGCCUUGGUUUGGAUCUUGAAAGAUAGCAAGCAAAGAAAAAUUAGGUUAAUAGUGAGUUGAUUUAUUCUCUUCCCAUGGAUGUAAGCACAUUCUUGAAUCACUUAAAUUAUUUUUUUCUUGUCUAUUAUUCAAUUGUCUCUGAAAAAAAAAGUGGUAUCAGCGUUUUUUCCAACACAACAAAUGAUUCAUGUGACAACUGCCAAUAAAGGAAGCACUUAAGAAGGAGUUUGUAAGGUGUUACAUGGCAGGUUGAACAAAACCAAUAGCUAGAGAGAUAUAUGAAAUAUUUGGGGGCCAUUGAUCCAACAAUAGUAGAGAAUAACAUAAGAAGAGACCCUCUAAUCACCAUUUUUGCUUUCGAUUCUUCUCUACAAAACAUCAUCUCUUUAUACAAAAAGACACCCCAUGGCUGAGCUCGUAUUAUUCUCUGCAUAUCCCAAAACUGCUCUCCAAAUUUUAGGGCAUGGUACUCUUUUGAGUGGUAUUUUUGGUACUAAAUUUAAGUAUUCUCUCAAAUACCUAAAAUGCCCUCUAGAUUUUAGGGCAUGACCCACUCUUUGAGGUGGUAUUUUGGGUACUAAGUUUUGUUAUGAGAGGUUUUGGUGUGGAAAUCGGAGGGCCUCUUGGGAAUAUGAAAUUAGAAAUGUUACACACGUUGCAUGUAUUUUCUUUUGCGUGCAUUACACUUAGAUUGGAGUUUAUGCAGUUACUCACUUUUUGUGUGUCCAACAGUACUGUAUGUCACAUCACCAUAUGAUGGGCCCUUUAGCCUUUUUUUAACCCCCUCCCCCCAAGAAAAAAAAAACCUAAUACUAAAAAUAAAAAAAUAAAAAAAAACCUAAUACUAAAAGGACCUUAGCUUGCAAACUAUGUGGAGGUAGGCCUCCACAUCCAACUUCUUAGAGGGACCAUGAUCACUUAGGCCAAGGAAGUUUGAGGCAAUAAUACGUCUACGAUGCCCUUAGAUGUUUUGGGCACAUGCACGCUACACUAAUGUAUUCAACGAGUCUGUAACCUUGACUAACAAGCUUAGGUAAUCUUUGAAAUUUCAUUAUGAUGGGGAAGGUUCCACAUGAACGACACUUGCACAUGGGUUAGUUAAUCCUAAGAGAUGGGGGAAGCUCGUCAGACAACGCGUGACACUCGAGCUUUGAAAGGUAAUUGAGUUAACAUUCCUAAACCGGGACAUGACGGUCUACAACAAUGUUAGGUAGUCUGAAGAGUCAUGUUAAUUGUUAUCGGUAUUUUUAUUUAUUCAAUAGAAAUUGAGGAUUUAAAAAAUACCACAAAAAUUAGAAAAAAAAAUUAAUUAUAUGAAUAACAUUUCAAAUAUUUAACAAAAUGUAUGAAAGUUGAAUAUCAUACACGAUUAAAUGGCUAGAUCAUCUUCUUUAGUUUUUCCAUGAUCUCAUCCUAUUAAAUGACUCAUCCAAUAUUAAUUUAUUUUAAAGGUAAAAUUAAUUAUAUUAUAAUACUUAAAUACUUUACCAUGCUAUAAUCCUCUAGCUAAUAAAUGAAAUCAAAACUUAAAAAUCAUUUUUAUAUAUAGAUAUAUAUUAUUAAGUUUAGGUAGUGAAGCAAUUAAUGUGGGUAUAAAAUUAAUGCCAAAACUUUUGAUUGUUCCUUCACAUUCUCCACAGCAAAGGAAAUAAGAAAAAUAAAGAAAGAAAUUUAGGGUAGUUUUAUUUUUUGUUCUCAUCUCAUGGUGAAAUUAAUAGAGGAAUGCUUGGGUUGGUGCUCAACAAUCAAGUGACAUCCGAUAUAAUGAUUCUUCCAAUCCUGUAAAUAUUGUCCGCUUUAAUUUUAAUGGAUCAUCAUCACUUUAAAUUGCAUUCACAUUGUUAAGAGCAAUUCAUACGUACAUAAUAUUAAGAACUUUUUCUUAUUCGAUAUGGAAUAUAAAAUUGGGUAUCUUUCUGAUUACUACCAAAAAGUGCUAUUUUGUAGACCUAAUUAUAAUGGUUUUAAGCACCUUUGAGUAGUAAUCAUAUUCAUUUAACCCAAUUAAUUCAUUAAGGUCCUUAGUAAUUGGUUUUAACCAUUUUGUGGCAAGUUUACAUGUUUAUAUCAGCUUAUGAAUCAAUUCAAGCAUGCCAAAUGAUGGAGGAGCUACUUGGACAAGUUAAAUCAAGCUUUUAGCUACACCAAAGCAAGCCAACAAAAGGAGAAAAGCAAAGAAAAGCAAAGAAAAGCAAGGAGGAAAACAGAGGACAGCAGCUGCAGUCUUCGUUGGCACUUUUGGAGCACUUCCCGAAGUCCAUUCUCUACAUGCUAUAUACCAUUUCAAAGCUCAGGAAGUCAAGAAUCCAACGCUUCAAACCGUGCAUGAUUUGGAGCUGAAACGAGGAAGAUAUGGCCUUCGGAAGACAACUGCUCCAGGUGUGCGAGAAUUUCGCACACCCCCCUUUAGCUGUGCGAAUGGUGUGCGAAGUUCGCACACCUUCUUCAGGUGUGCGAAAAUUUCGCACACCCCAUGCGUGGUGCGAAUUUUCCCCUGUUUCUGCCGACUCCACUUUAGAUCUUUUCUUUUAGAUAUUUUUGUAUAAAUUUCCAUUCUUCUCCUUGUAAUCCACCAAUCAUAAGAUUUAUUAGCUAGGAAAGUUGGAAAAACUUCUCUAUUUAUAUCCCCUUGCAUCCGUUGUAACAAAUAAUUGAUAUAUAGAUAUAUAAUACAUAUUACGUUUUACACUCUCUCGUUUUCUCUUUUCUCUUCACUAUUUUAUUUUCUUGGUAGCCAAACAGCCUCUAAGGGCUUUUCCUCAGAGGAUGAUUGGCUAAAACUUUUAGUUUCUCAAAGUAUGGAUGUUAUGUGAUGACUUGGAUGCAAUCCCAUGGAAAUUUCUCACACCCGGAAGGUAAGGUAGUCGUUUUUCAUUAAAGGUUCAUUAAUGCAAAGUUUGGUUUUUAUUUCCUUUGGACAACUUCCAACGGCCAAUACUUGAUAAGCUUUUGGAUUUCUAUCCAUUAGUUAUCUCCUACGAGCUAUUGGAAGGUGAGGUUUUCAAUUCCAAGUUUUGUAUUAAUCCGUUAGAACCAAUUUCAAUGGCCAUUGAAAGGUGAGUUUAUCACCUGGAAUGACUUUGAGUUGCCAAUAUUUGGUAAGCUUUUGGCUUUAGACCAUUAGUUAUCUCUUACGAGCCAUUCAAAGGAAGUCUAAGGUGAAUAACCAUUGAUGAAAUUCACUACCAUCUGUUUUGCCAUUUUAAAGGAUUAAAACGUGAUUUGCUAAAUCCAUACCGGUUCGGGAAGCAAGCAUCACCAUAGUUGCAACCCCAACGCGAGGAGCCUAUCCUGAGAUUUCCAAUUUGCAUAAGAGCCAGAGCAUAGCUAUCCUAUCUUUGAGAAACUUGUUUUUACACCCUUUCAUUUUAGUCUUUAAUGUUAGCUUAGAUUAGUUUAAAUCUUUCUAAAACAUUUACAUCUUCUUUUAAAGCUAACAUCCAUAAGAAAAUCACCUAUUUUCCUAACUUGAAUAUCACUUGUGUUUGCGAAAACCCUUCCCAGUGAACGAUCCUAGAACCACUAUGCUAUAGUAGCUUGGCUACUUUAGUAAUAGUAUUCAAGGUAUAAAUUUUGUUGAUACGCCUUUAAAGCUAAGCUACCAUGAGUCGCAUCACUUUCAAUUUUAGAUGUUGCAUAAGCAUUCCAACUCCUAUAUAGACACAUUGCGUAAAUAUUCUUAUUUAAUAAAAGUUUAUAUGUCAUUAAAUAAAUAUAGAAUUUUAACAUUAAUUGCAGUGCUAAGUGCAAGAGAUCUCAUGUUUAAGUCAUUGAUUAAGAUUUAUUUGAAAACUUAACAUUUGUUACUUAAAUAACUUAAGUUGACUUUAAAUUAUAUUAUAUUUAAAUUAUUUGCUUAAAAUUUAUUGUUUAAUAUUUAUUUUAAGUAUUAAAGUUAUUUGAUAAAGUUAAUUUAAAAAAUAUUUUAAAUCACAAAUUGUCAUAUUUACCUUCAUUAAUUUGAAUUAGUAUUUACAUUCAUUAAUUUUAUUUAAUAUUUAUUUUUAUUAAUCUUAAAUAAUAAAUUUGUUUAUUAAACAUUUAACAGAUUCAUAAAAUAACUACACAAUAUUCACAAUAAUAAAUGAGUCAUGAAUUUGAAGUCAUGAUUUUAAAAUGUACGCUAACAAGAUAUGAACAAAUGAGACAAAAAAAAAUGAGAUUAAAAAUAAGUUAAUUAUUUUGAUUUAACACUUAAAAUUAAAAGUAACUUUAAAUUAUAAUAUUAAGUUAUUUUAGCAAAUAUAUUUAAUCUAUUUAAUGAAUUAAAUUAAGUUAUUAAGUCAAAUGAUUACCAAACACCCUAUUAAGACCCAGAAAAUGGAAUGAGUUUUAAUAGUAUUCAGGAUGGGCAUGACUAGGUGGUGGUUCAAUGCUGAUUAAUCAUAAUUUAAUCUAAGCAAAAUAUGUAACGAAACUCAAACUGCACUAUCCAAAUGGGCGCCAAGAACGUUACAUUUGACAAAUGCCAGUAAACCUCUACAGCUAGAAAUUAAAAGAUCACUCUCUUGUUGUAUCUCUCUUUUUCUCCAAGCCCCGGAAGGAAAAACUCGAACCCCAUUAUUUUGAUCACAGAAAAAGUGGCAAAAAAGUGUGUUGUAGUUCAUCUUGAAGCUCAUUAACUUCAUCUUAAUUUGAUCCAAAUUGCAGAAACAUGGGAAACUCCAUGAAUCUAUGGUGCUAUGGUGGCCUACAUUCAUAUAACUGGGGACACUUUGGUUUAAACUACAAUGACCCCAAACAGGGUUUGUAGAGACUUCAUCGAGAUCACUAGCUUCAAAAGACUGAGGAAGAAAGAUGUUCUCAAUGAAAACUUGGUGUCAAAUUGCAGAUAAAGACCUAAAAAUCCCACUUAAUGUGUUCUAGGAAUUGUUGUUUGAUAGGGAGUAAGAACAGAGUGCACGAGUUUUGGGGUGGGGUGAUACCUAAAGCACUAGAGUAGCACGUGAUCAAGCCUCACUUAGUGAAAAGCUGUUUGGUUUGUACAUGUCUGCUUAGUGAUACUUAGGAUUGGCGAAGUAUACAUCUCCUUUGUGAUCAGGUUUGUAUAUGGGCAGAUGAAUGUUCAUGUGAGGUUCAUAUAUGUUUCUGAUACAUAUCACCCUGGAAGAAUCUAGAUCAAGGGGAUGAGUUUCUAAGCUUGACUAGGUUUGAGAUGUUUGAGAAUUGGUGAGCAUGAUAUAUAUCAUGAUAUUGCAGAAGACAACAGAGCUUCUGAAAUAUGUCAGGUUCAAUAGUAGGAAAUCUUAUCAGCUGUCACUUACUUUAAUCCUAUGAUCUCAAUAUUCAUUUGUUGAAGAAGAAAGAGGUAUCUUGAAAAAAAUUUGCUUUCACACUAUUCAAUUACAAGAGGAUGUUCAAUUAUAGAAGAAAAUAAUAUUCACUAGACUCUUUCAACUUAAUCAACAUGCAGGGAAAACCAGUCGGGUGACCAAUUAUUCACAUAAUAACUUAGGUGGUGUUUGUUUUUUUGGCUUUUUGCUGAAAACCAUUUAGUUUUAGAAUUUAGGUAGUUUGUUUUUUUACUUUUUCAUAACUUAUCAUAAACUUUUUACUAAAUAGAAAAAGCCAAAAUAUGUGGCUUUUUCUAAAUAGAAAAAAUAACACAAUGGUUUUUUUUACUUUUUAAUACUUAAUAGAAAUAAAAUACUACAAAAACAAACAACCUAAUAUUUAAUACUAUUAAGUAUUAAGGUUCUAUUUAGAAUUAAGUAAAAAAACAAACACCACCUUACUGUCUUUCUACCUCUACUUGUUAAUCAUCAGCCAAGCUUAUAGUAAUAUAAGCUUGGGUUCAUCUCUCUAUGCCACUGAUGACAACUCCACAUGGGCUUCCCCUUCUGGUGAUUUUGCAUUUGGAUUCCGACCGUCUCCAAGUGAAAAGGAUCUAUUCCUUCUUGCUCUCUGGACUGCAAAUGGAAGUUAACCGGCGCCAAGAGGAUCAAAAGUCGAGCUUGCUACCAAUGGACAGCUUGUUCUCCAGAGGCUAAGAGAUAUGGAAGACAAAGACUGGUAAUGUGAGCAGCAAAGCAGUGCAUGGUGCCAUGCUUGGAGAUGGAAAUUGUAUACCUGUAUAUGGGAGAGCUUCAAGCACCCAACUAAUACCAUAUUGCCAACUCAGGGAUUGGUGUUGGAGCCUACUGUGCAGUUGCCAUUUUUGAGAACCUGAGGUUUGCAAAUGGAACUGGUGUAUGAGUUUAUGCACAAUGGUUCUUUAUCAAGCUUCCUUUUUGGAGGCGCCCAAGGACUGGUGUACCUACAUAAAGAAUACAGUAAACAGAUCAUCCAUUGCGACAUAAAGCCCUCAGAACGUAACUCUUGGAUGAUUCUUUUACAGCCAAAGUUGCAAACUUGGACUGGGAAAGCUUCUGAUAAGCAACCAGACUAGAACACUCACAGGCAUCAGAGGGACUAUGGGGUAUAUUCAGACAACUCGGGCAGCCUAUGUCUCUUAUAAUAACACGUUAUGAAGCAUCAGCUCAAUGCCGGGGUUCAAUCUGCAAAGCAAGGGAUUCAUCAAUGUUUCCUUCAAACUAAAUGAUAAGGAACAGAAAUGGAUCAUUCUGCAUUUUCAGUGGUGUUUGUUAUAGCAUUUAUACAAGAACUCUAGGGGUUUCUAUGUAUAACUUCAUUCCCAUUUUGUAUAAUCCAAAUCUCUUCAAUCGAUUAAAUGUAUAAAUGAAUCCUAUUCAUUGUUUGGAGUAACAACAAAAUUCUGGAAGACUGGGAAAGUUUCAACACUGGAGAGAAGACAAAAUGACCAGACCAUAAAUUCUGGAAGAGGGCUUUGCUUUCUAACCAUUACCAUAAUUUUAGAGCUCAACCCGGAUGAGUAAAUUAUAUUUCAGAAUGUUCAGGAGAUAAUUCUAAAGUGAUGAACCUUCUACUCACAGUUUUUUGUUCUUCUUGAACAGAGCAAUGAACAUCAAUAGUUCAGCACCCAGGAAUCUCCCCUUCCUCCAAUUCCCCCACUGGGAAAAGUCACCUUUCCAGUUAAGAAAAUCAUCAGGAUUAAUUUGAGCAAAACAUCAGAGUAUACAUCAAGAAAGCCUUGAUCAAAAUCAAAAUACAUCAAGAGCUGCCAUUUUCUUCUAUUUCCUCUUCCCUGAAUGGAAUGCCUUUUGGACUGAGGUGAUCAAUGGUAACAGUCUAACACACUCCUUAAGCUCUGAUUGAGGUCAACGGGGAUUGGCACAUUUAAUGACUUUGAAAUCAUAGCUGUGUGAAGGGAGGCAAACAUGAAUCUCAGGAUAAUCAACAAGUCAACAACUAUCAAUCAGUAAGGAAAAGGAAAUACCUUUGGAUAUUUACAAAUCAAAAAAUUGAGAGUCCAGCUUCUCUGUACAGAAAGGCUUGAGCUUAUUCCAUGGCCAGUCUGAAUUACGGAUGAGAGGGUUGAGUUUUCUUUCAUUCUGCAAUAAGAUUAAAAACAUCAAUGAAACGCUAAAAGUUUAUAUAUAGAAGCCCUUUAAAGAUGAGAAUUGGUCAGAGAGCUCACCCAUGGUCUAGUAAAACAACAUCUGUUAGAUAAGUAACCACCAUUCUAUUGUCCAGCUAAUGCAUUUAGAUCUAAGAUAAGCUAUGGAAAAAUAGUCAAAAAUAGCUAAAGACAGUCCAAAAACUCAUUUGACUAAUAAUUUUCUAAAAACAGUAACAUAAAACCUGGAUGAAGAAUCCACCCCUCUACCUCACACCACUGCAAUGCCAAAUAAAAUGUUACAAUGACCAUAUAUGGUCUUAAGAGACAAUGGGUGUUGUUUGGGCUCAAGACCUAAGACAAGCCAAAAAACAAGAAGAAAACAACAUCAAAAAUAGAUGGCAAAAUAGAAGGAUAAGGUCACAGACAGGACAAUAUUAAAAGAAAUUAUUAUUUUUCCGACCUGAAAAUCAAGGCAUUCAGAAGAGUACAAGUUUGUAAGUAGUCCAUGGAAACCAGGGAACAUAUGCAGAUGUUGUACUCUAUUGCAUAAGGCAAACACUCAAUACUUACAAGCAUAAUCAUGCCCAGAAAGCCGUGAAUCCCUUUUUGUUUUGCUUUUUUACCUAUUCCCAUCUCUUAUGGCCAGAAGUUCCUUCUGUGGCUGGUUUGUUGUGAUGGCCAUUUCGGGUCCUAACAGACUUGCUAUUGUUGUCUGGGCACCUGCCUCAGAGAAAGCCUGCCAAAGAUCGGAGUCUGGGCCAGGGGAAACGGAUUUUCUUUGCUGGAGUUCCCAGUCUGUUGCUUCAAUCUUUUCUCUGUGCUGUUAUGAGAAGAAAACCUAUCAGACACAUGAAUGGGUACAAAAAGGUAAACUUCAGGUUUUGGUUGUAUUGAAAAGCACAGGAAACUUCACAAGAGGCAAAUUAUACCCCAGACUUAUUGAAGAAAAAUAAAGUACAAUUGACUUACCCAAAUGUCUACUUUCUCAUUUAUAGGUUUCCUCCUAAACAAAUCCCCACAUCUAGGACAGGAAAAGGAAGAAACUGGGAGUCGACAUUUUUUCAACCAAAAGCACUAACUUAUCAAAAAACAUAGUUUUCCAUUCAAUGCCCAUUUCUUCAGGCUUCUUAAAGUGCUUAUGAUUGGUGGAGGUUCUUCCAAAAUCACACAACUUCCAUAAUCCAUUAGGGCCCAAUAGAAGAUUCUCAGCAUUUAUAUAAGAACUUCAGGGUUUAUACAUAUGAUCAUGUUACAGUAUAAAUCAUAGUGAACUGGUGGAAUUUGAUCAUUAGCCAACCUCAUCAAAAACUGUUUCACAGUUGAGGGGAUUGUUAACCUUGCCAUGGGCCAAGCAGCAAUUUCUGAAGAAGCUGGGUGACAAAGAGUACCAUCAUUUGGACUAGUUUCAAUGGAAAUUCCUCUGUUUCUAUACAUGAUAUCUUCAGCUUCAGCUUUUCCUUUUGCUUUGACAUGGCUGAAACUGAUCCUGAAAUCAAAAAUCCCAUGCAAGUAGAUAUUUAACAGAAGAGGAUCCGAAUCUCUUCAAUUGAUUAAUGUAUAAAUGAAAUAAUCAAAAUUUUUAGAGAUAAUUAUAGGGAGAUGAACCUUGUACCUCUGAGUUUCUUAGUCUUCUUGAACAGAGCAAUGAGCAUCAAGUGUUGAGCACCCAGGAAUCUCCCUUCCUCACAGGGAAAAUCUGAACAAUCUAUCUUUCUUCAUAUUCCACUUCCUUGCAAAAGUCAUAACAUGAAGAAAAUGUCAUCAAAAUUGAGACAAAAAUAAGUGCAUCAACUGUCUCAAGAAGAGAUUUAUGCCUAUUGCUUACCUUUUGCAGAAGUCCACUUGGUUAGAGCACAUUUUACAUGGACGCCCAAUCACUGCAAGCUGCUGAACCAAAGGAGAGUUCAAACAUCUAAAAAAUUUGACUAACUCAAGUAUCAUAAAAUACUUCACAUGAAUUCCAAAUGAUCUCAUAUCUAAAAAACAUUGACAUAAAAUUAUUGUUGUUUACCUUACAUGUUUCUUCCAUGGUCAUAAUCGAAACUUUGUUUAUCAUAAGAAAUCUUCUAUGCUCAUCCUGAUUACUUACAAUGAACAUUGAAAUGAAAAGACAAAAAACACAAAAAAUGACGAUUAGUUUGGUUUGAUAAUUUUUUAAAAUUAGAAAUUAUAAAACUAUUUUGGUUCUCAGAUUUAUCGGAAAAUUGAGGGAAAAACAAAAAUCUAAGAGAAAUUUAUUUAACACUUAUGAGGAACCAAAAAUGUUUUAGAUGUUGUCCAAUCGAUAAUUUAAACGUGUUUAAUUUCAAUUAAAUGAGUUUAAUCAAACACAUGAAAUUGUGAAUAAAAUUAUUUAAAAGCAUUGAAAUUCAAGUCAAUAAAGUUGUACAUAAAAUUUGAUAUAUUGAAGCAAGAAAAAAACAAAGCAAUUUGAAUGACUUGCUAAUAAAGCAACUAACUAGAAUAUGCCCUACAGUUGUUCUGUGCCCUGUAUAUAAGAAAUUUAAAAAAAACAUUCCUAGAAAAAAAACAAACAAAAUAUCCAUGGUUCUUACGUUAUUUUUUUCUUAAUUUUUCAAUAGUUAUAAAUGGUUCAUUUAAUUCUUGCAAACCACCAAAUCAAAACAGAGCAUGAAAAUGUGUUCAAUAUUUGUUUCAGGCUUGAAGCUUCAAGAAAAAGAAAACCUUAAAUCAAAUAAACAGGACUAGCGAAUGAAUUGGAACUUGAAAGAAAAGUUCAAGCGCAAAAGAAUUACUUGACUCUAUAUUGGCGGAGUGGCACUUUGAUUAAUAUAGCACAUUAUUGAUCAAUAUUCUUGGAAUGUGAGCUAUAUAACGCCAUUCUUCCCCUUUCUCAAAUCCACCGUUUUUCCCCUUUCUCAAAUCGAUGAAAAGGUAGCAUAUAUUUUUCAUUUCCUAAUUAUAUCAACUACUUCAUGGUGCCUUUGUCUGAUAAGCUUAAUAGUUCUUCUACAUUUCCACCAUCUAAUUCUCUAACGUUCAUCAUGAUAGGGUUGUAAAUUUCAUCAUCAAAUCAAAACAUAUCCUCCUAUAAGAGGCCUUUGAAUUAUGAAAUAAUCAAUUCACUUGAUUCUCAUAUUGGCAAAGACAAGCUUACACUAUUGGAAAGACUACCCCUCACCUUUGCCUUCCCAAAUAGCAAAGAUGAGAGAGAACCUUUCACAAAAUCACAAGAAUUAUUCAAGUUUGGAAUUCAUAGGCAUUGUUAUUGAAUUUCAGUUGUAUAAAAUUGGUGUGUUGUGUUUAUUUUGUUGGUAUUAAAAUUGAAUUUUUUUAAUUGCAAAUUGAUGAUUUUUUCUCUCUCUCACAUUUAUACCCAUUAGAGUUUCUUAUUAGGGUUUGUGUUUGAAAUUUGGAGAAAGUAUGGUGCAAUUGUUCACCGGUGUGGUGUACCAUCUUGUUUGUUGUAUUUGAUCUUUGGGUAUUUGAUUUAAUUUUGUUGUUGUGAAAUUGAAAGUUGAAAUCCAAGUUAAUUGUUUAACUAGCUAUUUGUAGUUGACUUGUUUGCACCGAUCUUGAUUAUCCAUUUCAUGGGAAUAAUUGAUUCCAAUUUUCCUUCAUGGUUACUGAAAAUAUAUUGUGGGUGAAGGACUAUUAUGGAGUAUAUUUAAUUUACAAGAUUGAAUAUUGAACAAAGAUAUGCCCUAGGUCUAGCUUAUAUGGAAUAGCAUAUCUUACAUUUAUUUAAUUAAAUAUACUAUACAAAUUUUGGUUAUAUAUAAUAUCUAUGUUACAAAUUUGGAUAAUUCGAAGUCUAAGUGACUUCAUAUAAUUAUUGUUACAUCUUAAAAAUGAUUUCACAAAUUAGAAUUACAAUGACUCCUACACACCUUAGAUUCUAACUCAAAUUCUCACUUGAUUUUAUUUUAUUUUUAUUUUUAUUUUUUUGUUUUCAAUCAAUUAAUAAUAUGUUAUGGGCUAGUUUAGCUUAUAGUUGAGAAGAAUUUUAUCUAAGAGCACCUCAAUUUGAAGCAAAUUGAAGAAAAAAAAUGACUUAUUAUACCUUAUGAAAGAUAAUAUUAUUAAUUUCCAUGUUUUUUUUUCAAAUAACCUUUUCAUGACAUGAACUUAUAUGGAACAUUGUUGUAUUAAUUGAUUAGGAAAUCACUAAGCCUAAGGAAGUGAGAAAAUUUAAAAGGGAAGGAAUGUCACCAUUGCAUUUUAGCACAAAGAAAGAUGAUCUCUAGCUAUGACGAAAAUUCAAGAAAUGAACAACUUCCAUUAAAGAUGAAGGCACAAUUGGGUGACAUUUAAAAAAAAAUAACAAAGGAAGUUAUUGUUUUAGCUAGGGAUAUGUUUUUUUUUUUUUCAGACUUCUUGUGUUACUCAUAUAUACAAUAUGCAAUGUGAUUUCUCUUUUAUAUUAUAAAUUUAUUACUCUUAGCACUUCAUUUAUGGGAUAGAUAAAUAAAAAUUACUUUAAUUUUAUUUAAUUAUUGGAUAGUUGUUGGAUGGAUAAAUGAUUGUUAUUUUCUUUAUAUUUGAGUUAUUUCAAUAUCAAAUGCCAAUUAAAAUAAAAGAGCAAUAGGUGAAGCUAAUUUUAGAUUGUCACAAUCCUUGGCACUUCCACUAAGUGUCAAGGUUUAGAGCAAUCAACAAUGGAAAAGGUGAACAAUGAUACUUCCAAAAGACGUCAAGGUUAUUUCAUCUUGAACAAUAACAGUUUUUGUAAGUGUCAUUAUUUACAAAAUCAACAAUAACAUUGGCAAAUUGGUACACCUCAAUGCUUCUAAAAAACAUCAUUAUUUGUUCCAUAUUUACAAUGACGCUAUUAAAAGUGUCAACAUCGCUAAACACUCUUUACAAUGACACUCGAUUUCAUGGCGCUUUUAAGAAGUGUAAUGUUUGUAGAAACUUAUUAUUGAUCACCGACUUUUUGCAACCAUACAACACUACAUAACCUUAAUACCUAUUGUUCAUUAUGAUGUUGUAAGAACAUAUGCCUCUAUGUGACCUAUUAAAUAAACUGGUCUUAUCAACUGAAAAAUGUUCCUCUAGUUAGUAAAAACUUCAUUCAUGUGGUCAUUUAUGAGCAUCAUAAUAAUCCAUAUUAAAAAUAUUUAAAAACAUUAAUGCACUAAAACAUUGAUUUCAUCAACAAAAUUACACUCAUUCUUUUGACUUAUAGCAUUCAAAGAUGUUUAAAAAUAUAUAUGUACAAUAAAACAUCAUCAAAUUUAUUAACAAUUAAACUUUUAACCCCAAAACAAUCCGCUACUUUAGUAGAUAAGACACUAUUUGGAAUAACAUUAUUUUUAGCUCAAGUUAGAAGUUAAAAUGAUAAGGUUAAAAGAAUAAAACCAACAAAAAAAGAAGAAGUUAUUUUUUGUCAAACUUGACACUAGUUCAAGUUAGAUAAUGUAGCUCAACGCCCUAUUGAAUUGAGUCAUAUAACUAGACUCCCUAAUUAUAUAUUAUGAUACACACACAACCUUUGGUCUAGUAUACAUGAUUAAAUUAAAUGCCCAACCUAGUUUGCAAAGCUAAACUAGAAUCCCAAAUCUAGUUCAUUAUAAAUGCUCUUCAACCAACUUGCUAUAGCAUUCAAAUAAGACAAUGACAAUGAUAAAAAACCAAAAAAAAUACCUAAUAUAUCAUUGAAAACUCCUUCCUAAAGGAGGUAAAAAAAAAAUCAUGAAGUAACUUUCUUCUAUUAAUAAAAAAAUGGGAAUACAGUGAUCUAUAUAGUGUUUUAACUCGAAACUUAUGGUAUUACAAAUAUUAAAGAAGCGAUUUAAAACACACACACACACAACAAGCAUGUUGUCAAGCUUAUAAAAGUUGGAGAAAUCUCUACAUAUAAGUCUUCAAAACAUGAUGGAGAGUAACCUUGACAUUUAAGUCAACAAUAUACAAGGAAAGGCAACCCAAAAAGAUACAACUUUGAGAACAAACCCUUCUUUUUGCUUUUUUACAUAACCCCUUUUUUUUUUUUCUUUUUGAAAACUUCUCUCAUUUCCUCUAAUUGUUACACUACACAACAAUCCUAAAAAAACAGAGUUUAAAGGUCUGUUUGAUAAUUGUUUUUAAAAAUAAUUUUGAAAAAUAGUUUUUGAAAAUUAUUCUUUAAUGUUUAAUUUGUAGAACAAAAGUUUGUUUGGAAACCCUAAAUAUUUUUAACAUGUUUUUAAUGUUGUUAAAUAUGUUUUAAAUUUUUUUUUUUUAAUGUCUAGUAUUUUAUUUUUAAUCAUUCUACAUGUUUAUAUAAUUAUUUUUUAAGACAACCCUUAAAAAAUAAGUAAAAAUAACAUAAAACAGUUAAAAGAUGUUAUCUAAAAACACCUUAUUUUAUUAUAGCAGAAAAUAAAAAAUGGUUUUUGGUUGUCAAACAUGUUUUCUUAGUUUUUUUAUUCUGAAGAAUAAAAAAUUGUUCUUGAAAACAGUUGUCAAACAAGAAUCUUUUCAUGUUAGUCUAAGUAUCACAUUAGUUAUUGCUUAAAAACUAGUCUUUCAACUAAAAAAGAAGGUCCACUACUUAUGGGUCAAACCUUCAACUUUCAAACCUCAACACAGUUAUAGUCAAGACUAAUAUUCACAUAUUAGUAUUAAUAUAGUUCAUUAAAUAUGAAAUUUCUAUAGAAGCCAAAAUCAAGUUUUUAGGGGAAGUAACAUUCACUUUCAUAAUAAGCACUUUUUAACUCAUAAGUUAGUACUUGCAACAAGAUUUCUUAAUAGAGACUUUAAUUGAGUUUUAAGAAGAAUUUUUUGUUUGUCAAAAACCAAUUCAAACAAAAUCUAAAACUAAUAUUAUUAUCUAAAAGACAUAAUGAACAACAUAAACCAUAAACUAAAGUGGUAGUGACAACCAAUACGUAGCGUUAAUGAAUAAUUGAAAAUAGCCUCAUUUUCUAAUGACCUCAAACCUAGAAGCUCUAAAAUCCUUGCCUAAUUCUUUGUGAUGACUUUAGUUCAACCUUAUUGGCGAGGGCAAAAUUCUAAAUAAUUUUUGUCACAACUCAUAAAUUUAGAAGAAAAAAUGAAAAUAAAUGGAAUCCCUAAUGAGAAAUUGUUAUUUUUCCCCUUUAUGACAAAAAUAGUAACCAACUAGUAUUAUUAAAUAACAUGGAAAUUGUUUUUUCAACUUUAAUACCAUGUAUGACAUAACUUUAAUAACCUUAAUUUAUAAGAUUAUUUAAUUUAAAAGGAUAAAACAAUUACAUAUUCAUAAGAAUCACUUCUAUUUUUUAAAAACAAUAAAUUCCAUUUUUUGGACAAAAAUACGCUCCAUUGUUUUUAUCAACAUUUCAUAAUCAAACAAUUAUUGGAAAAAAAAAAAAAAAGGUAUAAGGGUAGCUAUAUUAAAAUGAGGUUAUAAUUAUAAUACUCAAUAAGUGGAGAUUGUUUUUCCUAAUAUUGGGAUCAUCUUGUCCAUUUGACAUAAAAAAAUUUAAUUUAUAUUAUAAUUACUCUUAUAGUAAGAGAGAGAGUAAUUUCACAUGAAAUGGACCCAUAAACAUAGGUUUAUUAUGAGGCAUGAUACUAUAAUAAUAAUAGGAAAUAAGACGAGUGCUACCAUAAUAAUAGAAAAUAAGAUAAGUAAUUCAAUACUUAAUAAAGGUCUAAAACAAUUAUGCUCUCAUUAAAUGAUAUUAAUGAUGGAAAAAAACUAAGGGGUGUUUAACAAAAUUUAAUAUUUAUUACUUCAUGAUUUAAGUUGACUAUAAGUUAAAUUAUAAUUAAGUUGUUAAUUUAAAACUUAUUAAUUUUUAUUUUAAAUAUUAAGACUACUUAAUAAAAUUAAUUUAUAAUUUAUUAAGACUGUUUGAUAAAAUUAAAUUAAAAUUUAUUCUAAAUUAUCAAAUUGAUAUAUUUAUUUUCAUAAAUUAGAACUAAGGCAAAGGAGAUCAAGUAACAAUGAAUGUCGUGGAGUAGUAAAAAAGAUCCUAGAGGUAACGGGAUAAAUUAUGGUAAAAAAUGUCAAAUAAAAAUAUGAAUUUAAGAAUAAAUUAAUUGUUUGUACUUAUUACUUAAAGUUGUUUUUUAUUUUAUAUCAUUAAGUUAUUUUAUUAAACAUGUUUAAUUUAUUUAAUGACUUAAAUUAAGUUAUUAAGUCACUUUAGGCUAUAUAAUCGGUUUACCAAUCAUAUGGAGUACAUUUGGCUAGUAGGCCUGGAGUCAAGAAUAUUGCUAUCAUAUGUUUUAUGUAUUAAGGUGCCAAGAAUAAUUGACCACAAAAUAUAUGAUUGAUAAGUAUAGGAUACAAUCUAAAAAAUGCACUUGAUUUCAUCAUCUAAAUAAAUGCUCUCGGCAAAUGGAUCAUCCUAGCUGAAACCAGAGCACAAGCCGCCAUGGACAGGAGGCAACGGAGAAACCCUUCUGCUUCUUCUUCUGCCUUUUCAUCUCCAGCUUCAUCCUCAUCGCGUUUCCGCUCAGAGAAAUUCUCCUCGAAUCCCCCAAAAACUAGUAACUCCCUGGAGGAUGCUCACCAAUUGAAAAGCAAAUGUGGGAAGCCACAAAGACCAGAGCAAGAGGAGGAAGAAAAGCAAGAUCCGAGCAAUCUUCUCUCCUUAGUUGGAACUUGCCCCUUCAUGUGCCCUGGUAAAAAUGCGUGCUUAUUUUUCCAUUUUUUUAAAUUCUAUUUUCCUGUUAUUCUGUGUUUGGUUUCCGAGAAAUUGGAGGAAAACAGUAGAAAAGAGAAGUGAAUCUGGAGUUUGUGUCAUUUUUGUGGCUUUUACAUAAAUUUUACAAAUAAAAUUGAUAUUUCCCCCCCUUUAUUAGAUACCAAUCUGCAGAAGAUGUAGGAAUCCCAAAAAAAAAUUCGCUUUUGCCUUUACUUCCCCCAAAUCUUUCAUAAUGGAAAAUGGACUUACCACCUCUUUUAUCACUUUUCCUUUACCAUGUCAGGUUUACAUGUAAUCAAACACUGUAUUUGGAGUAGAGCACUUAUCCUAAUGUCAAAUGGUGUUGAAAACUUGAAUUACUGGAUCUUAAGACUCCAGAAGAAAUUUAAUUGUUUAUGAUUAUUGCUCCAUGAGAAGGGAAAGGGAUUUCUUUUGUUUUUGCUUACAUAUAUGGCCAAAUUGAUCUAUCUCCUUCUCAUACGAACAAAAUAAGGACAUUUCUUGUCUUGCUGCCUUUUAUGCCACCGGUUCCACAUGCUGAUGUGACAACCCUUGUGCUAUUCUGUACAAAUGGUAGGAAAAUUCUGGUAAGACUGGUGGCCAGCCUAUCAUGUUCAGAGAAUAAAUUCAUUGUAUAUCUGGAAUUCACUCUAUAUCAGCAUAGGGUGUUGAUAUUGAUUAUAAAUGACUAAAUUCAAUUUAUUAUCCUUACAUUAGGGAGUGCUAAAAGGAUGCAAAUUGUUCGUGUUAUACCCAAAGACAUACAAGUGAUGCUAGAGAUUUUCACAAUGUAGAUAAUCAUAGAGUAGAGAUGAACACUAUGGAGUCCUUUGGCAUGUGUUCAUUCCAUGUAUGGGAACAUGCAUUGGAAGAUUAUGUUUCCUCCUCCCUCCCCUCCCCUCCCCAAAGUUAAUACUAUGUUGUCAUGGCAAGAACUUUGGUGACAUGCUUCUGAGUGGAAUAGCCUCCUAGAAGUCCAUUUAUGUGGCAAUUGGCAAAUUCUUCCAGUCAAUGAGAACUUUGUGACUGUCUGAUUGUUGUACUAAUCAUCAUCAGAUUUUUUUUAAGUUCAAGUUGCAAAUAGCCUUUCACAGUUGAAGGUAGCAAUGAAGAGGCCUGUUGACAUAAUUAUUUCUUCUGCUUGAAUGGAUUAAAAUCAGAUACCACACCUUCAGCCUAGAAAACUAUGGACUUUCCUAUGUACCUGCAAUUGGCUGAAUACUGGUGUGACACUGAGCAAAGGCUCUCUGAUGCUGUUAUUAAUUUCCCGAGCAAAUAAGAGAAAACAGAGAGGUCAUAAUGUGAAUCAGUUACCUGUUGAGUAGGGAUGAAGGCUUUUUAUAUUUUUUUACUUUCUGGUUAGGCCUUGGAAGCACUUCUGUGAACCAUGAUUUUGUACUGUAAAAUUAGAUGGGAUGGAUAGGUCACCUUAACUCUACUUUUGGAAGUGAUUCGGGAGUGCAUGACCGUAUGAAUAUUGAUGUAUUCUCCCCAUACAGAGCCCAACUUCUUUUUGAACUAGGAAGCAUGAAGGGUGGGUGGAUGUGGGCUGAGGAAGGAAGAUUUGAAUUGUGUGCUGCAGGCCUGCAGUACCAAUUUGUUCCAGAACUUGAUAAGGCCCAUAAACUGGUAGGCAAGUUUCAUUAUUUGGUCACCACUGAAUUUCGGCAGUAUGGCCACAAGGAAGGUAGGAAGGAGAGGGAGAAGAGAAAACCCCAAUUGCCAAUUGCAAUCUUCCAGUUGGCACAGUGCUCAUUUGCUGACAUUUCCAUUUGAUUUUGACCUUGCAACAGAUACAGCUUAACGUGAUGGACCAGUUUUUCGCAAUCUUGUGAUUCAUUACCCAACUUCUAGUAACAGUUUCUCAGCAGAUGACUCACCCAUGACAGGCUGAUGAUGUCUGCACACAACUUGAAAGGUAUAUAUGCCAAGGUGUGAAAGGUAAUAUUGUGACACCGUUUUUCCUAUUCCAGAAAAUGUACCAAAUGUAUGGCUGGUUCUUGACCAAAAAAUGCUGGCAUUGGUCACCAAGUGCUAGAGUGAUUCUUGACAAAAAAUGUUUGUAUUGUUCAGAACAAUGAUUUACAACUUCAGAUUGGCCAUCCAGUUAACGAUGAUAAGCACUUGUUUUACAAAGUUCAGUGUCAUAAAAGCAAAAUAAUUUUGUCAACAAAUAUGGGGAUAACUUUAUCAUAAUUACUACUUAUGGAAGUUAAGGAUAAGUUGGGUAAUGUGAGAAAGCUUUGGUCAGAGGAUAUGAGGAUAACUUUGUUGCAAUUGCUAAGCUGCACGUCCUAGGACUACUAGGAGAAAAGUAUGAGCAACAGAAUGAAUUUACAGUCCAUCCCCACUAGCUGCAUGGAGAGGUUGGCCUUAUUGCUGCUAUGGUGGAGGUCACCUUCUUGUAGACUUUGAAAUGUGCAAAUGAAGAGGCAGAUUUCUUAGAAGAAUGGGUAGGAUUCAGCUUGUGGUAGAUAUUGAGCUUAUCGCCUCUAAUUUCAUGUCUUCUCAAUGUGGAUUUGAGGUUUAACGAGAUUUUUGGGAAAUCAUUAAGAUUAAAAGUAAUCGAAGACUUCCACAUUAAUGAGGUAAUGAAUAACCACUGAUACUUCUUCACCCCAAAGUUCCUUCACAAAAAUUUGGUGAGUGAAGAACUAUUACUGAGUUGUGAAGCACCAAUUCCAGCUUCAUUAUCUUGAUCUUCAGAAAGAGGGGUCCAACUUGAUUUGGGAUUUUAUACCUGUCAACCCAGUCACUAGUUUUUAGGAGAAUACUUCCAAUUUACCCUUGGGUUGCUUUAGGAAGUUUCUUAAUAGUGCCAUCUCUCUAGCUUAAGGGGCUUUUGUUAAUGGAAGGCAAAUUCUAGAUGUGGUUAUCAUUAGUAAUGAAAUCCUAGAUAAAAAAUUCUGUUCUAAGGACAAAGGGAUGGUUUUUAAAAUAGGUUUUGGGGAAGUUUAUGAUCACAUAGAUUGGGGUUUCAUGUAUGAUACAUACUUUGAAUAGGGAAGGCCCUUGAACCUGGAUGGCACAAAGGGACUGGAUAUUUUGAGGCUGUUUUUCAAACUGCAGACUCUUUAAUGGUUAUUGAAGCUGAGUGAUUAGCACUCGAGGAAGAUUCGGACAUGGUUGUUUGCCUGGAUGUAAUGAACCUCCUUAUUGAAGGGGAUUCCUUUGUUAUUGUCUUAGAACCCUCUUUGAAGGCAAAGGUCCUUAGUGGAUUGCUCAUCAGAUGGGGUGGCUUCAUAAUCAUGCUAGAGACAUUGCUUGUUCUUCUCUAUUGAGGCCCAGAUCAGCUAGCCAGGUGCAUGGCUAUAUUUUUCUUAUAGGGAUGCUAAUAUCUGAAAAUUUUUAUUGAGAACACUUACUGCUCUUUGAUUGGCUUGAGGCAUGGAGCGGCUUUUCUGUUCUCUUCUUGCCAUACAUGCAUAUCAUCCCUCUUUUUUUUAUCUUGUUUAACUCAAUAAAUUCUCAUUUGUUAUAAGGAAAAAAAGAGAUAUUAUGUUACAUGAUGGAAGGACUUUAUUCUGUUAUGGAGUAUGCAAAACCUAGAUCUAUUAGCUAGAGCUAUACAGUAGGCUGUUGGGUUGUUCAGUAUUGUCUCUUUUUUCGAUAGGUUUGGCCAAUGCCCCUUGAUGUUACUUUUUGGUAAUGUAAUUUUCUUUGAUUUUUCUUGAAACUUCCUCAUUUUUCAAGCUUGCUUGUAUAUCUUUUCUUCUUCCAUUAAUGAUUGUUUGAUUCCUUACUAAAAUAAAUAACAAAUUAUGAUGCAAAGGAUUACGUUUAUGGAAAAUUUUGAGAUUUUCACCAGAUUAGAGUCUCCGAAGCUGGUACUUGUCUUGACACAGAUAAUAGGAAUCAUUUUCCCCCCAAACUACAUAAGACAUGUCUGCUACUUGGUAAUGUUCCAUUGGCAGUUAUAAACUCUCCUGUAAAAUGUGAAUCUGUUGUAGCAUUCCGAAUGGUGUUGUGUCGUACAUAGAUUGGUAAUUGAGGACUUUAUUAUGGAUUUUGUCCUGUUUUGGUUGUGCCAACAAGUUCUAUCCUGUUCUUUGUCUUGCUGAUUUGGGUGGUUGUGCAUCAUGUUCCUACCAGCUGUAUAAUUAUGCUUCAGGAGCAUAGUUAUUCUGGUUUUACCAUCCAGAUGAUGGUACUAAAGUAUUUGUAUUCUAGAUUGCACAACUCCUUAUAUGGGAUAUUUUUGCACCAAAUGCUUAGUGAUCAAGAGAACUCUCAUAUUAAACACAUUCAUCUUCUAUUAAACUAAAUUCCUUAAGUAUGCAGUCUCACAACUACAUCAUACCAUUCUUUUCCUUUUUUCUUCCUUUCUUGCUAUUACAGGUUGGUUGCCACUAAUAUAGUAGAAAGCAAAUUACACGACCCUGCUUCCAUAAGACCUUUCUUAUUCCAUAGGUUGAAAUAGAAAAAACACUCGAUGGGACUAAUGUUUCUCUUUGCAACCAAGCAAAUUAAAAUGUUUUGAAACCCAUGCUGCCAUGAUCUAGCUAAUUUGCAUUUUAUAUGUCUACUCCUUUCUAUUUACUCAAAUUGUGUAUUUCUUAUGCUUGUAUUUAUUUCCUGAUGAGUUUAUUCUGAUUCUUUGAUCAGGAUUUCUGCAAUCACAUUGCUUGCUAUUGAAUUUUCAAUGGCUUAAUAUGAAUUAUUAACAAAGAAGUUGUUUAAUUAUUUCAGCAGCUUAUACCUUGUAAUUUCUUUUAACAACUCUUAUCUUUGAUGUUCAUUUGUAAUAAAUAGCUGGAGAAAGGGCCCAACGUGAACGCCUUCGGGACUUAGCUGUGUUUGAGAGGUUACAUGGAAAUCCUGGGAAAACAUCUCCAAGCCUUGCUGUCAAAAAGGUAAACCCUACAUCUCAUGCCUCUAUACCGCAUCUUAGCUUCUCAUCUUGCAUCGGACAAUGAUACUCUUAUUGAAUCAUCUUUACCAUAUCAGCCAUCAACAUGUGCACUUAUUGAGCACUAAUUCAGGCACUGAUACUUGUGCUUUUGUUUUGUUUUAUCUUGUCUUGUCUUGUUUUGUUUUGGAUGUGAUUGUGUUGGAUGACCUGUAUCUGUGUUAGACACCAAAGCCUAUCUUAAUGCUACUGUAAAGUAAGACUAUGCUAAUAAGCUAUUGAUCUGUUACAGGGUUUAUGCCAAACUGAUUUUUUAGUUUCUCUAGUAGAAAACUUGUUUUUUCCCCUGUUAUAUCGGUGCUAUUGUUGGAUUUGUGUUUGUUGUUGAUCAAGCAUUUGCUGAAAGUUUUUUUUUUCCUUUGCUUCUUGAUGUGCAAAGCAUUAUUGUUUGAAUUUUAAUGAUCCCAUUUGAUUCACUAUUCAAUAUUUUUAUUUGAUAUUACAUCUAUCUCAUUUGUUUUCUUUUCUUAGUUUUUAUUUUUUUAUUUUUUAUUUUUAAUUUAUUUUUUAUUUUUUGAAUUUGAUGGAGCCACCAUUAAUUUAUUUUUCCUUAUUAUUGUGGGGUGUGCUUUAUUUUGUUCAAUUGUUGUUGCACUAUUAUUAUCAUGUAACUUUUUUUUUCCUUUUUUUUUUUUUUUGUUUAAUCUAUUGUUCCUAUGAGCAUUAAAUGCUCCUAAAAUGUAUGGAAUAGGCUAAACCUUUCUAUAGUUUUUUUAAAAAAACUCAUUUAUUAUCUAUUUUCUUGUGCUCAAAAAAUUAUAUUUUUUUAGUAAAAUUGAAAAUUUAGGGAGCGCUUAGGCCUCAACGGCUCAACCCCUUGAGGGUUUAUGCCUAUCGUAGCAAGAUGUAAACCCCCUUGCCUCUUAUGCUUUUACCUUAUGAAACUAUACCAAGAAAAAAACACCACAACUCCCUGCUGCCAUCAAAGGAUACUUCAAAGUUUGCUUCAAAUCAAUCUUAAGGCUAAUUAUCAUACGCUUGUCAUCAUGUCACUAAAAUUGGUAUUGUAACCAAAGUCCUAUUGCGAAAUCUUCAAGUUGCAGCUCCUUUUUUUCUGUUGGUAUUUGUAUUGUUAGGUGGCCGCAACCUGUUGCUUUACUUAUGCUUUAUGAACUACUCCAGUUAAAAUAAUGCUUCAAGUAGAUGCUUUCUGGAUCUUGACUCUAGCAAGAGGCUUAUAUUGCAAAUUUUUUUGUGGAGUCCUAGCUAGGAAGACAAUAGCUUGCUUAAAAGGAUUGCCACCUCUCUUGUUGGGUUUGUAAAAAUUUUGCUUCUCUCUUGACCUUGGGAGUCCUGUGGUUUCAAUUUUGGGUGUGCUCUAGGUUGUAGCCUGUGUUAUGCUUUCUAAAUGGUAAUCUUCUUAUUUUGGCUGGGAUGCUUUUGUUUAUUUUGCUUGUUUGCUUUCUUUGUUUCUUUAUUGUGGCUGUAGGAUCACCAAUCAACUUUUUAUUCUUUGCAAAAACUGUUUAUGUUUCAUAACAAAAAAGGAAAAAACAAAGGCAAGUUAGCCUAGAAUAGGUUUUAUCUUGUUUCUUCUUUUACCAUUAGUGUGGAUUCAAACUCAGGAAGAGGCCUUCAAACAAGUGGCAUUUGUGUUUUUUAAACAUAUAUCUUUGUUCAAUCAUUGUUAAGUGUUUGCUGUCUUGUCUGUUCUUUUGGUUGUUUUUGGCUUUGUCAAAGUGUAUAAUUGUAAUAUCCUACAUCGUAUAGAGGAAAAAGUUCCUAGCGCUAUAUAUGUAUGAAUUUCUUUUAAUCUUGUUGAUUCGUUUUCAAGCCGCGAGGGUCGCUUAGGCUCAAAGCAAAUAAUAUCCACACAACUGGGAGCAGGUUGUUACAAAUGGUAUCAAAGUCAAUCCUCGACCUUGGUGGGAGAGUUUGUUUGGCCUAAAAUGGGUGUCCGUUUAUUUGACCCUACAAUCCUGUUGGACACAACAAGAACGUUGUGUCUGCAUGAGAGAGAGAGUGAUUGUAAUAUCCUACGUUAGAUAGGAGGAAAAGUUCCUAACGUUAUAGUGUGUGUGUCUUGUAAAGCUUAUGUUGGGUGUCAUGAUUUUAUCUCGUCCUUUUUAUUAUUCUGAUUCAACAUCAUCUUAGCUUAUAAUCAUUUAUACACUUGAUGCAUGAGAAAUGAAGAUGCUAUAAAUUGUAGGAUUCUUUUUCUCCAAUUUGUUCCUUGAUAUUUUAUAAUGCCAUGAAAUAUCUAUAUUUUGAUGCAGAAAGCCGUUCACCCUCCAUCUCUCUCACUAGUUUUGCAGAACCAUUGCCACUAAGCACAUGCAGGCGUCAGAUGUGCGGCCACUUCCAGUGUUGGAAGAGACUUUGAACUACCUAUUAAACCUGUUGGAUGCCACGGAACAUCCUUUUGAAGUGGUUCAUGAUUUCGUCUUUGAUAGGACAAGAUCAAUAAGACAAGAUCUUAGCAUGCAGAAUAUCGUUAAUGAUCAAACAAUUCAUAUGUAUGAAGAAAUGGUAUGAAUUUCUUGAAACAUAAUCUCAAUUACCUUUUUUUUUCUGAGCAUUCAUCUCCUCAACAUACAAUAAGUUAGCCAACCCAUUGCUAAACACUCUCCUAGUUGGAGAAAAUAAUCAAAGUAUACAAGAUAUAAAAUGUUGAAAAUUGAGUCAUUAUCCUCUCCUUUUGCUUUAUUGAAUAAGAUAAUUUAUUCAGUUGAGUCCAAACGAGGUGAAACUGUGAUCACACAACUUGAAGCCUACUUUACAAUGGAUAAAUGAAUGGUCUGAUUUUGAAUCUUUCUUGGCACAUUAGUUAUUAUCCAAUCCAUUCUAAUUAAAUUAUCCACUAUUAAGUGUCUAUUUCUAGUCACCCUCCAAGUUAUGAAAGACCCAUAGAACCAAAGCAACUCACACCACAUGUGAUGGGAAUUGGUGCUCUCUUCCAUAAUGUCAAGUUUUCCAGUACACUUGCUGACUUUGUAAAAUAUGCCUACAAAAAGGGCUGCCACCUCCUAAUUCCCAAUCAUAGAAGUUUCUUAACCAUAUUUCAAAAGCUGUAUUUCCUGUUCCCUCUCUUUAAGUUUUUUAAACCUAUAUCUCUUUAUCCUAGUAAUUCGGAAAAAUGAGGAAAUUAUUUAACAAGAACUCCAUCAAUUUGUUCCUUAAAAUUUUAUAUGGUUUCUCUCUCACUUUUUAUUCAAAUUCUUGAAGCAAAGGAACAAAUUCAUGGCUAGUAACAAUUUUAGCCAAGCAAUAGAAUGCACAACAAACAUGCAUAUGAAUGACUUUUGUUUUUUGAUGAUAAUAGAUCAGAUAUUUUAAUCUCAUCCUAAAACCUUGGAGUUAGCUAAAAGCCGCAUCUUAUGUUCUGACUUGUGGUUUGUUUCAUAAUAUAGGUGAAAUUUCAUAUUAUAUCCCACCACAAGCUUCGCAGUUGUAGCAGCAAGCCAAAUUUUUCUUCAGUUCAUUACCUCAAUAUGGAGCAGCUGAAAAAGUGUUUGAUAUCUCUAUAUGCUCUAUACAAAGAAAAUCGAAAUUCAAAUUCUAUUUACAAGAAUGAACCUGAGUUUUGCUCAUUUCACGUUCUUCUUCAUCUUGGCUUUAACAACCAACCAUUGGUGGACACUUGCUUCCAUUGUUUGUUUGAGUUCAUCUUUGUCAGUAUCUCUUGCAGCCUUGUACUGGUUUCUGAAUAUGUUACUAUUUCUGUUCUGAAGGGAGAGUCACUCUCUUUGUGGUUGGGUCGUGUACCUUCUCUCAUUUUGAAGUCAAAGGAAAUGUGUUUUGCCCGGAGACUUUUAAGGUGACCACAAAGCUAUUAUAGAUUCGACUUGCAUAUAAAUUGUUUAUAUUCAUUUUACAUUUAACUCAAUGUAGAGUGGUUCUGUUUUUCAAUCGAUUUUUUUCUCUUCUUUUAGUACCCAAUGUUAAAAUUUUUGUUUUCAUGAACUGAAAGAUCUGUCUUUUCUUGUAACAGAUUAUUUCGGAUGGGCAAUUAUAAGCAUUUCCUUUGUACUACAGCAACUGAGGCAUCUUAUUUGCAGUACUACAUUAUUGAACCUUACAUCAAUGAGGUUGCUUAAAUAUGUUGAUUUUGCUAGAUUUUUCAGUUUGAAAAAUAUAUGCUUCUUUGUUCAUUUAUUGUAUUCCAGUUUCAUUUAUGAGAAUAUAUCUAAAAUCUAGACUCGAGUACUUGUGCUUUUGGGUUUUAUUUUUCUUUCAUUUUUGUUAGUAGUUGCACUUCAUUAUUCUUAAAUUUCUCACCAACUGUUUCUUUAUGUGGUUUAUUGCUCCUCACUUUCUUCAUUCAUCUGAAGUUUUCAAAUUCAAUUAGCUUGUUUCAUAAACUAGGUCUUAUUUAGAAGUUCUUCUCAACUGCCUUUUUUUAGUGCUUCUAAAAGACAUGCCUGAUUUAUGUACAUUUUGUUGGUUUUCUUUUGACCGUAAAAGGUUCGAGCAUUGGCAUUGUCAUGUGUAAAUUAUUGUGGCUACAAACUUCAUCCAUAUCCAAUUGCACACUUGUCCAAACUCUUGAUGAUGAAGGUAUGAUUGCAUUUACUAGCAUUAAAUUGCUAAAAUUUGUCAUCCAAAGUUCCAAUUUCUUUUGAACCUUGAAGACUCCAUUUGCAUUCUUGUAGGAAUUAGAUGUGGAAUCAUUUUGCAAUGCUUGUGGUCUUGAGACCAGCACUGGUGAACGGGGAAAUAAGUUCUUAUCAACCAAGCAAACAAACUUCCAUUAUCCCAAGGAAGUCUUUCCAAGCUACUGCCUUCGGGUUUGGAACACUUUUAGAGGUAACAAUCAAUUGGAACUAGUUACUCUUUCAAACUUCUUAUUGUACAAAUAUAGCCUGCAUGUGCAACCAUUUCUGAUCCCAUAAUUUCAAGAAUUUAUGACACCUUCUAGUGGUUAGUUUUUUUGGGAAUAGAGUAAAGCAAUCUAUUCACUCCCAGAAACUAUCGUCAGAGGAACAGUAGAUAACCCCGCAAGACCAAAUUUAUGUGUGUUGCAUGGAGAUGCAUGUUUUCUGCAUCCCAAUCAUGCAGUGUUGUGUCAAAUGGAAUAAUAGCAGGUGAUGAUAAGUGGUAUUUCUAAAAUCAUCUAAGAGUAUUCCAUCUAUUGUAAUAUUGUUUUCUCAUAACUGUCUUUGAGUCUUAUAUGUAAAUAUUAGAGUUGACCUCUUGUAAGCUAUCAAUUGAUGUUGUAACUUAACUUGAAAGGGAAAUUCUAUAAAUUUAGCCUUGGUUUGGCACUUGGAAAGCAAAGAAAAAUUAGGUUAGUGAGUUGAUUUCUUCCCUUCCCAUGGAUGUAAGCACAUUCUUGAAUCAUGUUAAUUAUUUUUUGGUUUAUUUUGUUGUUUUGUUGUUUAUUGUUCAAUUGUCUCCACAUAACAAGUGGUAUCAGAGUUGUUUCCGACACACUAGAUGAUUCUUGUGCUAACACAAUGUUUGAGGCUAAAUAUAAGAUAGUAAAAGUUUCUAGAAUAUUUCCCUAUGACAAUUACCAAUAAAGAAUGUACUUAACAGGAAGUUUGUAAGGUGUUACAUGGCAAGUUGAACAAAACCAAUAGCCAGAGAUAACUGAAAUAUUUGGGCCAUUGAUCCAAUAAUAGCAGAUAAUAACACAAGAAGAGACCCUCUAAUCACCAUUUUUGCUUUUGAUUCUUCUUUACAAAGCAUCAUCUACUUUAUACAAAAAGACAAUCCAUGGCUGAGCCCACAUUAUUCUCUACAUAUCCCAAAAAAGCCCUCCAAAUUUUAGGGCAUGAUGCUCUUUUUGGGGGUAUUUUUGGUACUAAAUUUGUGGUAGUCUCUCAAAUACCUAAACUAGCCUCCAAAUUUUAAGGCAUGCCCCACUGUUUGAGGUGGUGUUUUGGGUACUAAUUUUUGUUAGGAGAGGUUUUAGUGUGGAAACUGGAGGGCUUUACACAUGUCGCAUGUAUUUUAUUUUGCAUGCGUUACACGUGGAUUGGAGUUUAUGCAGUUACUCACACUUUUUGUGCGUCCAACAAUACUGUAGUGCCACGUCACCAUAUGAUGGGCUCUUUAGUCUUUUCAAACCCAAAAAAACACCCAAAAAAAAAAACUAAUACUAAAAGGAGUGCUAACUAGCUAUGUGAAGGUGAACCUUUAUAGCUAGCUUCUUAAAGGGACCAUGAUCGCUUAGGCCAAGGAAGUUUGAGGUGAUAAUAGGUCUGUGAUGCCUUUAGAUGUUUUAAGCACAUGUGCGUUACACUAAUGUAUUCAACGAGUCUAUAACCUUAACCGACAGGUCCGGGUAAUCUUUGAAAUUUCAUUGUGAUGGGAAGGUUCCAUGUGAACAACACUUGCACAUGGGUUAGUCAAUCUUAAGAGAUGGGGGAAGCCCGUCUAACAACGCACAAUGUGCGAGCUUUGAAAGGCAAUAGGGUUAACAUUUCUGAAUUGGGACAUGACAAUGACAACAACAUUAGGUAGUCUAGAGAUGUUGUCAUAUUAAUUGUUAUCAAUAUUUUUAUUUAUUCAAUAGAAAUUGAGGAUUAAAAAAUACCACAAAAAAUAGAAAAAACAAAAUUAAUUACAUGGCUUACAUUUCAGAUAUUUAAUAAAAUAUUGUAUGAAAGUUGAAUAUCAUACACUAUUAAAUGACUGGAUUCUCUUCUUUAUUUUUUUUAAUUGUCUCAUCCUAUUAAAUUACUCAUCUAAUAUUAAUUUAUUUUAAAGGUAAAAUUAAUUAUAUUGUAAAAAACUUUUAAUUGACCAGAGUUUGUGCACAACAUCUAAUAUAUACUUAAAUACUUUUCCAUGCUAUAAUCCUCCAACUAAGAAAUGAAAUCAAAACUUAAAAAUCAUUUAUAUAUAUAGAUAUAUGUUGUUAAGUUUAGGUAGUGAAACAAUUAAUGUGGAUAUAAAAUUAAUGCCAAAACUUUUGAUUGAUCCUUCACAUUCUCCACAACCAAACAAAGGAUAUAAGAAAUAAUGAAAGAAAUUUAGGGUAGUUUUAUUUUUUGUUCUCAUCUUGUUGUGAAGUUAAUAGAGGAAUGCUUAGGUUGGUGCUCAAUAGUUAAGUGACACCAGGGUAUAAUGAUUCUUCCAAUUGUGUAAACAUUAUCCGCUUUAAUUUCAAUGGAUCAUCAUCACUUUAAAUUGCAUCCACAUGGUUAAGAGUAACUCAUAUGUAUAUAAUAUCAUGAAUUUCUUCUUAUUCGAUAUGGAAUAUCAAAUUAGGUAUCUUUCAAUUUUAGGUAUUGUAUAAGCGUUUCAACUCAAAUGACUUGGCUUAAUGUAUGCUCAAAGCCAUGACAAAGGAACGUACAUGUAAUAAAGUGAAAAUUAAACCUUGUCGCCCUUCUAUCUCUAGUAUGAAACACAACUCCAUUAGCCCUUAAACAUCUGCAAAAAAAGAUAUACACAUCUGUUACAUUAAUUAAAAUAAAUGAUGCAAAAAGAGGCUCUACAUGUCCAUGUACAUAAUUUGAUUAGAUUUGUUAUAUAUAUAGAUAGAGAGAAAAAAAAACUGCUUAGAUUAAGGAUCUCAUUAAUUAAUACCUAGAAAAUAUAAAAUAAUAAGAAAAGAUUAGAAGGUGUGAAUCAUAAGAUAAGACUACAUUUUUGAAUUAGAUUCAUCGAAAGAUGGCAUAUUGUAUGAACAUUUGUACUCUAUAUAUAAAAAUUCAUAUUAUGGUUGAGAUGUAUUAAUUUGUCAUAUUUUUGGAAAAUUAAAGUAAUGAGUAAUUACACUAAAUUAAAUUAUUGACCUUAUUAAUCAAUACCUCAAGAGUAUAAAAUAGUAAGAAAUGAUAAUACAAACUUCAUUGAAAUAUUUUUAUACACAUUGUGUAAAUAUUCUUAUUUAAUAAAAGUUUAUAUGUCAUUAAAUAAAUAGAGAAUUUUAACAUUAAUUGCAGUGCUAAGUAGAGGAGAUCCCAUAUUUAAGUUGUUGAUUAAGGCUUAUUUGAUAAAACUUAAUAUAUAUUACUUAAUAACUUAAGUUGACUUUAAGUUAGAUAAUAUUUAAGUUAUUUACUUAAAAUUUAUUAUUUAAUAUUUACUUUAAGUAUUAAAGUUAUUUGAUAAAGCUAAUUUAAAAAUCAUUUUAAAUUUUCAAAUUGUCAUAUUUACCUUCAUUAAUUUGAUAACUAGAUGCAGAUAAAUGAAAAAAAAAAUGAGAUUAAGAAUAAGUUAAUUACUUUGAUUUAACACUUAAAAUUAAAAGUAACUUUAAAAUAUAAUAUUUAGUUAUUUUAUCAAAUAUAUUUAAUAUAUUUAAUAAUUAAAUUAAGUUAUUAAGUCAAUGAAUGAUUACCAAACACCCUAUAAGACCUAGAAAAUCGAAUGAGUUUUAAUAGUAUUCAGGAUGGGCAUGACUAGGUGGUGGUUCAAUGUUGAUUAAUCAUAAUUCAAUCAAGGCAAAAUAUGUAACAAAUACAUGUCAAACUGCACCAUCCAAAUGGGCACCAAGAACGUUACAUUUGACAAAUGCCAUUAAACCUUUACAGCUAGCAAUUAGAAGAUCACUCUCUUCUUGUAUCUCUCUUUUUCUCCAAACUCCAGGAGGAAAAACGCGAACUCCAUUAUUUUGAUCACAGAAAAAAUGGCAAAAAAGUGUGUUGUACUUCAUCUUGAAGCUCAUUAACUUCAUCUUAAUUUGAUCCAAAUUGCAGAAACAUUCGAAACUCCAUGAAUCUAUGGUGCUAUGGUGGCCUACAUUCAUAUAACUGGGGACACUUUGGUUUGCACUACAAUGACCCCCAAACAUGGUUUGUAGAGACUUUAUCAAGAUCACUAGCUUCAAAAGACUAAGGAAAGAAAGAUGUUCUCAAUGAAAACUUGGAGUCAAAUUGCAGAUAAAGACCUAAAACUCCCACUCAAUGUGUUUGAGGAAUUGUUGUUUCAUGGGGAUAAGCCGUUUGGUUUGUACACGUCUCCUUGGUGAUACUUAGAGAUUGGCGAAGUAUACGUCUCCUUUGUGAUCUGGUUUGUAUCUGGGCAGAUGAAUGUUCAUGCCAGGUUCAUAUAUGUUUCUGAUAUAUAUCACCCUGGAAGGAUCUAGAUCAAGGGGAUGAGUUUGAAAAGCUUGAGUAGGUUUAAAAUGUUCCGAGAAUUGGUGAGCAUGAUAUAUAUCAACAUGAUAUUGCAGAAGACAACAGAGCUUCUGAAAUAUGUCAGAUUCAAUAGUAGGAAAUCUUAUCAGCUGUCACUUACUGUAAUUCUAUGCUCUCAAUAUUCAUUUGUUGAAGAAGAAAAAAAAUUGCUUUCACACUAUUCAAUUACAGGAGAAUGUUCAUUAUUGAAGAAAAUAAUAUUCGCUAGUCUCUUUCAACUUAAUCAACAUGCAGAGAAAAGCAGUCGGGCGACCAAUUAUUCACAUAAAACUUACAUACAUUGUCUCUCUACCUCUACUUGUUACUCAUCAGUCAAGCUUAUAGUAAUAUAAGCUUGGGUUCAUCUCUCUAUGCCAUUGAUGAAAACUCCACAUGGGCUUUGCCUUUCUGGUGAUUUUGCAUUUGGAUUCCGACCCUCUCCAAGUGAAGAGGACCUAUUCCUUCUUGCUAUCUGGACUGCAAAUGGAAGUUAACCGGUGCCAAGAGGAUCAAAAGUUGGGCUUACCACCAAUAGACAGCUUGUUCUCUAGAGGCUGGUAAUGUGAGCAGCGAACCAGUGCAUGGUGCCAUGCUUGGAGAUGGAAAUUGUAUACCAGUGUAUGGGAGAGCUUCAAGCACCCGACUAAUACCAUAUUGCCAACCCAGGGAUUGGUGUUGGAGCCUACUGUUGAGUUGCUAUUUUUGAGGACCUGAGGUUUCCAAAUGGAACUGGAAGCUGUUGGAGGAAAAGACUACCUCUUUCAAAUGGGAGGUUGGAUCAAACUGCUGUUUCCAGAAGUGCUCUAAUCAAGAUAUUGAAGUCCAGUGAACUAACUUCAGGCAGAGGCAACCAAAAUAAAGCAAUUCUAAUACUCUCAGUCCUCUUAGGCCCCUCUGUGUUCUUCUUCUUCAUUUCUCUGGCUGCAAUUUCUCUAGUUUUCUACUGCUUGAUCCUCAAAAAUCUGCAGCUUUAUCACAGAAUCCUGAGUACAAGCGAUGGUAGAAGCCUUUGGCACUGUCUAUAAAGGGAUAUUACCAUCAGGUUCUGGAAAUUCUGUUGCUGAAAAGAAGUUGGAGAAGGUGGUGGGAGAAGAUGAGAAAGAAUUCAAAGCAGAAGUGAAUGUGAUAGGCCAACUCACCAUAAGAAUCACGGACACUAGCUGCGUUACUGUCGUGAGGGUGAACACUGACUACUGGUGUUUUUUUUUUUUAUGCACAAUGGCUCUUUAUCAAGCUUCCUUUCUGGAGGCGCCCAAGGACUUGUGUACCUACAUGAAGAAUGCAGUAAACAGAUCAUCCAUUGUGACAUAAAGCCCUCAGAACAUAACUCUUGGAUGAUUCUUCUACAGCCAAAGUUGCAAACUUGGACUGGGAAAGCUUCUGAUAAGCAACCAGACUAGAACACUCACAGGCAUCAGAGGGACUAUGGGGUAUAUUCAGACAACUCGGGCAGCCUAUGUCUCUUAUAAUAACACGUUAUGAAGCAUCAGCUCAAUGCCGGGGUUCAAUCUGCAAAGCAAGGGAUUCAUCAAUGUUUCCUUCAAACUAAAUGAUAAGGAACAGAAAUGGAUCAUUCUGCAUUUUCAGUGGUGUUUGUUAUAGCAUUUAUACAAGAACUCUAGGGGUUUCUAUGUAUAACUUCAUUCCCAUUUUGUAUAAUCCAAAUCUCUUCAAUCGAUUAAAUGUAUAAAUGAAUCCUAUUCAUUGUUUGGAGUAACAACAAAAUUCUGGAAGACUGGGAAAGUUUCAACACUGGAGAGAAGACAAAAUGACAAGACCAUAAAUUCUGGAAGAGGGCUUUGCUUUCUAACCAUUACCAUAAUUUUAGAGCUCAACCUGGAUGAGUAAAUUAUAUUUCAGAAUGUUCAGGAGAUAAUUCUAAAGUGAUGAACCUUCUACUCACAGUUUCUUGUUCUUCUUGAACAGAGCAAUGAACAUCAAUAGUUCAGCACCCAGGAAUCUCCCCUUCCUCCAAUUCCUCCACUGGGAAAAGUCACCUUUCCAGUUAAGAAAAUCAUCAGGAUUAGUUUGAGCAAAACAUCAGAGUAUACAUCAAGAAAGCCUUGAUCAAAAUCAAAAUACAUCAAGAGCUGCCAUUUUCUUCUAUUUCCUCUUCCCUGAAUGGAAUGCCUUUUGGACUGAGGUGAUCAAUGGUAACAAUCUAACACACUCCUUAAGCUCUGAUUGAGGUCAACGGGGAUUGGCACAUUUAAUGACUUUGAAAUCAUAGCUGUGUGAAGGGAGGCAAACAUGAAUCUCAGGAUAAUCAACAAGUCAACAACUAUCAAUCAGUAAGGAAAAGGAAAAGGAAAUACCUUUGGAUAUUUACAAAUAAAAAUGAAAUAUGAUACAAGAUUUUCAUGGAUUAAACAAAAAUAGAUGGCAAAAUAGAAGGAUAAGGUCACAGACAGGACAAUAUUAAAAGAAAUUAUUAUUUUUCCGACCUGAAAAUCAAGGAAUUCAGAACAGUACAAGUUUGUAAGUAGUCCAUGGAAACCAGGGAACAUAUGCAGAUGUUUUAUUCUAUUGCAUAAGGCAAACACUCAAUACUUACAAGCAUAAUCAUGCCCAGAAAGCCAUGAAUCCCUUUUUGUUUUGCCUUUUUAUCUAUUCCCAUCUCUUAUUGCCAGAAGUGCCCAGGAUGAUAUAAGCCUCACCAAAUAAGUUAGAAACCAGCCCAUUCAGCAGGUUGAGUAGCCAGCUUGCCCUCAAUCUUCUUUGAGUCAACAAACAGCUGGGCAUUAUUGCCUCCAAUGGAGGGUCUGGAAAUAUUAGAGCCGGCAGCAGGGGUGGCUGUAAAACUCUCUGUUCCAAAACCCCAAGUUUCAGGGCCAGAAGUUCCUUCUGUGGCUGGUUUGUUGUGAUGGCCAUUUCGGGUCCUAACAGACUUGCUAUUGUUGUCUGGGCACCUGCCUCAGAGAAAGCCUGCCAAAGAUUAGAGUCUGGGCCAGGGGAAACGGAUUUUCUUUGCUGGAGUUCCCAGUCUGUUGCUUCAAUCUUUUCUCUGUGCUGUUAUGAGAAGAAAACCUAUCAGACACAUGAAUGGGUACAAAAAGGUAAACUUCAGGUUUUGGUUGUAUUGAAAAGCACAGGAAACUUCACAAGAGGCAAAUUAUACCCCAGACUUAUUGAAGAAAAAUAAAGUACAAUUGACUUACCCAAAUGUCUACUUUCUCAUUUAUAAGUUUCCUCCUAAACAAAUCCCCACAUCUAGGACAGGAAAAGGAAGAAACUGGGAGUCAACAUUUUUUCAACCAAAUGUCAGCACUAAAUUAUCAAAAAACAUAGUUUUCCAUUCAACCUCGGGAGCUGUAUGUGCAGGUGUACUGUACUUUCUGAUAUUGUCUUCUUCAAUGCCCAUUUCUUCAGGCUUCUUAAAGUGCUUAUGAUUGGUGGAGGUGCUUCCAAAAUUACACAACUUCCAUAAUCCAUUAGGGCCCAAUAGAAGAUUCUCAGCAUUUAUAUAAGAACUUUAGGGUUUAUACGUAUGAUCAUGUUACAGUAUAAAUCAUAGUGAACUGGUGGAAUUUGAUUAUUUAGCCAACCUCAUCAAAAACUGUUUCACAGUUGAGGGGAUUGUUAACCUUGCCAUGGGCCAAGCAGCAAUUUCUGAAGAAGCUGGGUGACAAAGAGUACCAUCAUUUGGACUAGUUUCAAUGGAAAUUACUCUGUUUUUAUACAUGAUAUCUUCAGCUUCAGCUUUUCCUUUUGCUUUUGACAUGGCUGAAACUGAUCCUGAAAUCAAAAAUCCCACACAAGUAGAUAUUUAACAGAAGAGGAUCCGAAUCUCUUCAAUUGAUUAAUGUAUAAAUGAAAUAAUAAAAAAUUUUAGAGAUAAUUAUAGGGAGAUGAACCUUAUACCUCUGAGUUUCUUAGUCUUCUUGAACAGAGCAAUGAGCAUCCAGUGUUGAGCACCCAGGAAUCUUCCUUCCUCUACAGGGAAAAUCUGAACAAUCUAUCUUUCUUCAUAUUCCACUUCCUUGCAAAAGUCAAAACAUGAAGAAAAUAUCAUCAAAAUUGAGACAAAAAUAAGUGCAUCAACUGUCUCAAGAAGAGAUUUAUGCCUAUUGCUUACCUUUUGCAGAAGUCCACUUGGUUAGAGCACAUUUUACAUGGACGCCCAAUCACUGCAAGCUGCUGAACCAAAGGAGAGUUCAAACAUCUAAAAAAUUUGACUAACUCAAGUAUCAUAAAAUACUUCACAUGAAUUCUAAAUGAUCUCAUAUCUAAAAAACACUGGCAUAAAAUUAUUGUUGUUUACCUUACAUGUUUCUUCCAUGGUCAUAAUCGAAACUUUGUUUAUCAUAAGAAAUCUUUUAUGCUCAUCCUGAUUACUUACAAUGAUCACUGAAAUGAAAAGACAAAAAACACAAAAAAUGACGAUUAGUUUGAUUUGAUAAUUUUUUAAAAUUAGAAAUUAUAAAACUAUUUUGGUUCUCAGAAAAUUUACGGGAAAGUAGGGAAAAAAAUUGUAAACUUUUUCUCUUGUUUGAUUGUUUAUCGGAAAAUUGAGGGAAAAACAAAAAUCUAAGAGAAAUUUAUUUAACACUUAUGAGGAACCAAAAAUGUUUUAGAUGUUGUCAAAUCGAUAAUUUAAACGUGUUUAAUUUCAAUUAAAUGAGUUUAAUCAAACACAUGAAAUUGUGAAUAAAAUUAUUUAAAAGCAUUGAAAUUCAAGUCAUUAAAGUUGUCCAUAAAAUUUGAUAUAUUGAAGCAAGAAAAAAACAAAGCAAUUUGAAUGACUUGCUAAUGAAGCAGCUAACUAAAAUAUGCCCUAGAGUUGUUCUGUGCCCUGUAUAUAACAAAUUUAAAAAAAAAAAAUCCUAGAAAAAAAACAAACAAAAUAUCCAUGGUCUUAUGUUAUUUUUUUUCUUAAUUUUUCAAUAGUUAUAAAUGGUUCAUUUAAUUCUUGCAAACCACCAAAUCAAAACAGAGCAUGAAAAAGAAAAUCUUAAAUCAAAUAAACAGGACUAGCGAAUGAAUUGGAACUUGAAAGAAAAGUUCAAGCUCAAAAGAAUUACCUGACUCUAUAUUGGCGGAGUGGCACUUUGAUUAAUAUAGCACAAAAUUGAUCACUAUUUUUGGAAUGUGAGCUAUAUAACGCCAUUCUUCCCCUUUCUCAAAUUGACACCGUUUUUUCAGUAAAGGACAUUUGUAGAUGAACAGAUAAGAGAGGGAGUCUGGAAGUCUCUCUUUUGUCAAGUAUUUGAGCUUACGACACUUACAGAUCCCUAAUGUUUUAAGAGAGGUGAGGUGUUGAAGACCCACUUUUGUCAAGGAUUGGAGCAUUGGGCAGUUAUCGAUCCACAAACAUUCAAGAGAGGUGAGGUGUUGAAGACCCACUUCUGUCAAGGAUUGGAGCAUUGGGCAGUUUUCGAUCGACAACAUUUCAAGAGAGGUGAGGUGCUGAAGACCCACUUCUGUCAAUGAUUGGAGCCUCGAGCAUCCAUCAAUUUCUAAUCGUUUUAGAGAGAUAAGGUGUUGAAGAACCGAUCCUGUCGAGAACUGGAGCUCUGGGCAGUUUCUGAUCUUUAAUUGUAGAAGAGAGGUGAGUUGUUGAAGACCCCUGCUGUCAAGAGACUUGAGAUUCGAAAGCUCUACAAUUUGAAGAGAAGUCAGAGAAGAGGGCAGCAAACACUCCUUGGGAAAUAAUUCAAUGUCUUCACAUCCACCGGUGAUUGUGAAAUGAGUAAGAGAGGUCAGCCUUUGCAAACCCCACUCCACCUGGGGUGUGAGUUGGUUGCACUUCUUAAUUUCAAGUUCACGUAGGUUGGAAGGCAAACCCUCUCUCUGAAACAACAAUUCUGGACAAUCCCAUAAAUUCAACGACCUGAGCUUGGAGCACCUAUAAAUCUUACAAGACUCCAAGUUGAGAGCGUGCAAUUCGAUAGAUUCAAGAUCAGGGCAACCAUCUAGAGACAGGGAACAUAAAGAUGUGGGAUCACCCUCUGAAACCAAAAUGGAGAGCUUCUCAAGCCCCUUAAGAUCAAGGAUUGUGAAAUUAGUCAACUUUGGGAAGAUGCCUAAUGAGAAGGAUAACGAGAGAGAAUCAUCGAUAACACCAUCUUUGAUUUCUAGACUUUCAAGGACUGGGAGAUGGCAUCUGAACAACUCAGGUAGGAGAAACGCUAAUUUCGAGCAGUCAGAGAUGAAUAGUGAUUUCAGUGUAGUGGGUAAACCAACUUUGUGCAGGGAUCUAGAAAAACUACAAUCAUAGAUUUUCAGAUCAUGUAUGUUGGUUUGCGAGAUUUCCUCCUCUAGCAGAGACUCCACAUAAUCACAUUUUCUAAUUGACAGCUGGUGUGGUGCCAUUGGAAGUUGACUCCACUGAGACACAUCUAAAAUUUCAAUUUCUGAAGUUUGAAGAGCUGUGAAGUCACAACCUGCCAUUUGCAACUGCAGUUUACCAAAAUCCACCAUCCUCAAUUGACGAAUUGCAGGAACUGUGAGUGAAGCCAUAAGCAGUUGCGGACAUUCAUGAAUUUGAAGUUCCACCAAUGAAAGAAGCUGUUCUGGUAAUUUCCCAAUGAGUUUGGGACACCUUCGUAUAAAAAGCUUUUGAAGAUGAGGGAAUUCUCCACAACAUAACCAUUUCUCCCAGUUCUGCAUAUCCUCAAAUGAUAGUGUUUCUAGGAAUUGAAAGGAAGCAUUCCCAUAGAACUCAUCACCCACACACUCUACUCCAUUCAUCCUUGAGAUUUGCAGAUAUUUAAGUUGGGUUAGCUGUCCAAGUGGUGGCAAUGUUGAGCAAUUGCCACAACCCCGAAGCUCAAGGGACACGAGAUUCAACACUGAAGGAUCUCCAAGCCAAUUUGGAAAUCCUUCACCAGGAUAGUUUGUGAUGGAGAGUUGUUUUAAAUUUGGAUGAGGUUGUAACUUGUUGAGUAUAUCAUGCGUUGUUGCACCACUUUGUGUAACACCAUUGGUACACAUGUAACGCCAAUCAAAGAUCAACUCAUCAAGAUAACUUUUAUCCUGCAUAUUAGCUCUUGAUGCAUCAUUAACACUCACCACAUUCUCCAUGUUUGAAAUAUAAAGUUUUCCUCGAAGCUCUGAUAGCUCCCCCAAUUCUCCAAUUCUUAAUCCAUUGUUUUGGCCCACAAUAAAUCGAGUCAACCUUUGUAAAUUUUUUAAUUGACCAAUUCCAUGACUUGACAUUGCUCUCAAUGAACGACAUCCAUCAAUAUCAAGAUAGCGCAAAUUAAUCAAUUUUCCCAUCUUUGAAGGCAAUUCAUCAAGUUCUGAACAAUUUCUCAGCAUCAUCGUUUGUAAAUUGCAUAAACAACAUACUGAUUUAGGUAAUUUUUUAAUCCUCGUGACAGACAAAUCCAAGUAACGCAAAUGUUUUAAAUUACCUAUCGAUUUAGGCAAAUCAGUUAUUGUAUAUGCACAUAAUGAUAACACACGUAAACACCACAUUUUUGGUAAUAUAUCUUGCAAAACUCUUUUACUCAAAUUAUAUAUCGGAUAGUCUUCCAUUUGCUUCACUCCUAAGAAUGUUCGAAUAGAUUUAGCUUUAGUGAUAGCCUCAAAAUUCUUAAAUGCAACAAGCCUCUCAUAAUCACUUUUAAAGUACAAAAAGUGGUGAGCCUUCUCAGAUACUUUCAGUAACUUAUCAUCCUCUUCCACUCGAGCACAAAAAUCUCCAGACACGUGUUGAGCCAAUUCGUGUAUUAGAUCAUGCAUUACAAAGCAUGAUCCUUUUGUUCCAAUAGAUUUUUGAAAGAAUGACUUGGCGAGAAGUUCAUUAAAAUAUGACUCACCUAUCUCUUCCAUUCUCCUUCCUUCGUUUUCUUGUGGAUGUAAAAGACCUUCUGCCAUCCAUAAUAAAAUCAGCUUCUCUUUGUUGAAUUGGUGGUCCUGGGGAAAAAUAGAACAAUAAGCAAAACAAUGCUUCAGAGGUAGAGAAAGAUGAUGGUAGCUUAAUCUCAAAGAUGGAAGAAUUUCGGAGCCACUCUGCCGCCAUAUGUCACUGUUCAACACAACGUUCCAUUCCCCUUUGUCGGCCUCCGAAUACAAGAGACGGCCGAGUACUUUCACAGCCAAAGGCAAUCCUUGGCACUUGUCCACAAUCUGUCUGCCUAUGGGUUUAAGCUCAAGGAAUGCGUUGGGGUCUCUAUCUCCAAAUGCAUGCUUUUUAAACAGGGACCAACUAUCUUCAGAGCUUAAUUUCCCAAGAUCAUGAGUAGGGGCCGCUUUCAUGGCUUCUGCAACAGAUUUAUCACGACUGGUCACAACAAUCUUGCUUC